ACCCCAGCAGGGCCUGGGCAGUAUUAUGUAAUCAAACAGCACUAUUUCUGCAGCUGGACAUAAUCCACUAAGUUGAAUACACAAUCACAAUAGCCUCCUGACAGUUCACUCAGGCUUUGCUCCAACUGAGUUCAAGUUUUGCUAACAAAUGAGUUAAAUUUUGUUUUGCUUUGUUUUCAGAGGAUGAUUUUUGAAUUAUAGAUAAGAAAUGGUACAAUGUACUACUAUCUAUAAAUAGAAUACAGAGAGUGAGCAGGUUGUUUGUUCAUUUGUUUUUUGAUGAGAUGAAGGUUCUGGUUUGAACAUAUAUAAUCUCCAGUGAUGAACAAAUGUUAAAGAUGUCCAAUAGGCAAUCAUAUAGAAAAGAAAAUUAGUUUGGACAGUUUGAAACUGAAACAAUUAUAGGGAAAAGGUGUACUUGGGGGAAUAUUCUCUCUUUAGUGCCAAAAAUAAGAGCCCAACUCUGAGAAUGACCCAAGGAAGUGUCAUAUAAUUGUCAGUAGUCUCUAAUGACCUAGAAUUCAGAGUCCUACUUGUCUUUGCUUUGCAAUAAGUGAAUGUACUUUUGUCUCUUGCCACUGCUGGAAUUGAUUUGAAUUCAGUUUUCCCCCUUAGUGUACAUGAGUUGUGUUAAAUUUCACCCAAAUUACAUAGUAUGAAUUAUUUUGAUACUAACUAAAUGCAUAAUUGAACAGCUAACUGAAAACACCUUCCUUUUCAAUAGGAUUUUAUAUCUAUAAAGUAUCUAUCAUUCCAAAUGUAUUUUUGCACUUGAUGGACUAAAGAACUGAAUACAUGUGAAGAUGAUUCAGGCACUGAUCAUUUCUAAAAUCCUAAAUAUGAUAAUAUUUUCCUUAGGAGAAAUAUUUCACCCACCAAGAAUGUAAAGGCAGGUUAAAAUUGAAAGUGUCUACGGAAGGCUUAAUUAUCCAAUCAGAGCUUCCAAGACUACAUUCCUACAAAUCAUUGAGGGAUCUAUUUUAAUCUCUCAAUGUAGUCUUUUUGUGGAGAGGGGGAGUGUAAUUCCUACAAUUUGUCUCAUACUUGUUUCAUAGUAAAAAAGAAAAGCAUUAAAUAUUAACAGAAUAUAAACCAAAUAAUAAACUGGCUAUGUUUUCUCUAAUAAAUUUUCAGACUCCACCCAGAACUCUAACUCAGUCAUAAAACUUUAAGAGUUCAGAAUAGAGCUGGACAGAAGGUUUCUCCCUCAAAAUUUCACUGAAUUCUUAUCAUCAAAAUCCCCUCAGAAAAAAAUAUUUCUAGUUUUUCCUGUUCCCAAAUACACUACAGCAUGAUGAGAACCCAUUUAACACAAAAUAUGUAUAAUGAACAAGGUUUCAUGUAGUUCUUAAUAUUUGAAAGAUUUAAUCUAGCACCAAGGUCCUGGAGCCUCAAGCCCUACAAUACAUGUUUAAUUAGGAUUACAGUAAAGUUUUUAAGAAAUAAUUUAUUUUCUUUCAUGUGAGUGGGUGUGUGCCUGUGUGUGUGUGUGUGUGUGUGUGUAUACGCAUGUAUGAGACAGAGAAAAAGAAAGCUGGUAGAAAAAUCAGCCUUUAAAAGAACAAAAAUUCAACAGAAUAGUGCUAUUUUCACAUUGAGGGCUCCAGCACUUUCGUGGUCAUAAAGCAGUCUAAUUGUUUAGACCAACGUUUUUAAAAAUAAAAUAAUAAAGAACAUACAUGUUGUAAGGUUAAGCACUGUUUUAUAUUAAUAAAACUUGUUUCAUUUAUAUACACUCACAUUGGAGUUUACAGAGUUGAGGCAGAGAAUAAAUUAGUUAUUGAGGAUUGCAGUAAAAGGAAAAAAAAGUUUAAAGAAACUUAGUGUUAAGGAAGUGUGCUUGAAAUAAAAAAUCUGGAGUGUUGCAAAUGGAUGAAAGGCACUGGGUAGCUGCCUCAUAAAAUAUAUUUUAAGCCAAUAUAAUAAAAAGAUCAGAAGACUAAAUAAUGUUAUCCACAUUGACUUAAAAAAUUAACUGUGGCUUGGAAAUACCAAGAAGGAACUAAAAGUCUCAACUGACAUGGCAUCAUCAAUAUGCAUGCUAUUCCACAAUGAGAGGAGCAUGAUGCCUUCACUGGGUAGUUUCCACGAAGUCAGGCAAUAUUUGGACAAGUAGAAAUGAGGGUAAAUCAGAGUGAAGAAAGAGCAAUGGACAAUUCUGUAAUUACAAAGGCCUUACAAAUUAUAUGAAAGAAAAAAGAUAAACAUCUUAUGGUAAGUGAGGAUGUGGGUGGUGAAAAGUAAGAUACAGGAGUCAUGAGUCAAGCCACUGGAAUGAUCAUGCCAUCUCUGAGUGAAAUGAAGUUAGAAUACCUCUCUUGGCUUCAAUUUUUCAUAAAUGGAUGGUUUGAGUAUUGAAUCUCCAAAGUGAGAAAGGGAUCUCGAGAAUGCUAGGGCUGGAAGAUACUCCUGAUUGUUUUUAAGGUUUUGUUAUCUUAAUCUAGGAAAGUAUUAUUUUUCCUAUUUAACAGAUAGAUUAAGUUACACUGUUACUCUAGCUAAUGAAAACAUGUUACAUUUCUCACUAGAGGUUAAGAGGAAAGACAGUCUGGUAACAUCUGCCUAGUAAGUAAUGAAGACUAAUAUUCAAAAUUCAGGGAACAACUCCUAUAUCUCAUAUUUAAACAGUAUUUAGCACAUUUGUUUCUCUGUAUGGAGACAAGAUUAAGAGGUCAGGUGAGAUCCUUUUAAGAAAUGUAGAAAAGUGGUGAUUGAAUUAAUAAUUACAUCAUGUUAUGCUGUGGUUGGCUUUUAGAUUUCCAUCUAAUCUUAAAAAGAAGAAGAAAAAUAACCCCACUACAUGUUGCAUCAGGCAUUUUAAGUAAAACGUGCAAUUUAAAAAAUAUUUUUAAAAUGUGUGGAGAUAGAACAAAACAAUGGAAUUGUUAUUAUUAUCAGAAACUUCUACGUAAAAAUGUUGGUUAAAGCAAUAUAUAAAGAUUGAUUCUCGGUACAAAUUGCUUGGAAAGUUUAACAUGUGCACUAGAUUUCAGAUAUUAAAAGUUAAAUUAAAAAAAAGAAUCUAAUGGCAGCGUGUGACUUUAACCUCAUGGAUUUUAGCCACAAACGCAAAGAAAAAUAUAUACAAUAAAAGAAGCAACAGAUUUUCCCACAAGCAGAGAUUUUCUAAUUAAAAUGCUGUCACUUUAAUAUUUUUUAGCUAUAGAAUUUGACUGUAAAUGUCUUCAUUAUGUAGUGUAACUUCUAUAGCAAGUUAUGUUAACGUUUUCAAGAAUCGGAAAUAUUGGUAACUCGAUGGGGUUCUUAAAACAGAAAUAGUUUCUUUGAUGAGUUGGAAAGAGAAGGAAAUAAAAGUCUAAGGUAAGCGCCAGUUUCACCCUCAAUUCUUAGGCUUCAGAAAAGCCUAAUUAGGCAGGGAAAGGAAUCUGGGCCUGGCACACCCAAGCUUAGACGUGGCAGGAUCCUGAAACAAUGUUUUUUUGAACCUUUGAGUCAUAUGCCACAGGCAAACCAUAGCCGCGAUAUGCAGGUCCUUAAGUCAACAGGUCCUCUAACGAGAUGGUGAGUGGUUGGUGCGUGGCAGUUGGAUUUCUUCCCGCCACGGAAGAAAAGAACUCUUCUCCAUUGAUCAGGAAAGUGGGCCCAACUCUGGCCUGGAGAGCGCACCCGGAAAAGUGCAGAGUCGAAACAGAGAGAGAGGGGUGUCCGCGUCCCGGCCACAGAGCCCUUUCCAAACCACUCGGAAACCAUUUAAAUGGCUCGGCGGCCGCGGUUUGCAGCCUAGAACUGUUUGGGGUCCCCGGCUAGGAAAGUUGCCUGGCAAAGCCAUGUCUUUCGCUGUCGCGGGAUGUCCUCUCGGGCAGAGAGGCUGGAGGAGACAGGCAACCUGCUAGCCGGAGUGGAAGCGCGCCCGCCUCCCGCCGGGCCCUCCCUCUCAGGGUCCCCACGCUGCGACCCUCCCAAGGGCAAGUCCGGGGCCACCAGGUCUUUGGUCUCCGUCCAGCUCCUCAGGGGCCGCCCCAUAGGGACUGGCGGGGGCACCGUGGGCGAGAGGGUGUGACCGGGCUCCCCCCCGAGGCGCCACCUGCCCCUUGGCCCAGGGCGCCCCUUUCGGGAUCUCUCCAGGGGCAACCGACACACUGCUCUCGAGACCGUCUCCAACCGGCCACCUGGACCGUAGCCCUGUCCCCAACACGUGAACCCCUGCGGCCGUCCUCCCGCCUGCUCUAACGCAGCCCAGGGGUACCGCGUCUCCCUCCGCCUGCCGCCGGCUUACCUGGCGGGUGGGCAGGGCAGGGUGGCGGGAAGCGGCGGCCGGGCAGGCGCUGGACGUGGGCUAGGCGCCAGGUGCAGGUGGCGGCGGCUGCGACUCCGGUUGCUGUCGCCACAGUUGCGGCUCAGUAGAGCUCCUCCUCCGCCGCCGCCUCCUGCCUUCCCGCUGGGCCUCCCGCGUUGCCUGGAGAGGCAGAACCGAGGCUCGGCUUCCACUUGGAGUCUCCCAGGUGAGCUCCAGCCUGCGACGUCGGCAGGGGCGAGGCCCCACUUCCGCGCCUGCGCGCCAGCCUCCCGCCCCGCCCCAGCCCUACCUGAGCGCUCCAGGUGAGAACCUUGGAUCGCGCGCGCAGGGUGGGGGCGCCGUCCGGGCCAAGCCUGGCUGUCGCGCGGCUUCUCUCUGAGUGGUCGGCGAGGCUGCUGCUCCGCGCAAGUUGUGGCUCCCGGCCCAUCUACAUUGGAGGAAUCCUGCACUGACCUGGUGGCAGUGAUCACCUUGUAGCCAGAACACAGUCUGCUGGGUCCUUGGGGAACCAGAAGUUCUAGAUUUCCCCCACACGGUUCCUCCCUUCCUCCUCGGUUCGCCAAAAUGAAGGGGUGCGCUGCCUCCGAGGACCACUUCGGGAGGGCAGCAACUGCUGGCUCAUGUGGUUUCUUCGGGCAGGGUUCAGCAGCUUCUGUCACCAGUUAGGUUUCGUGAGCUUCCUUCCCGUGUAGUCUUGAUUUCAUCACUUGACUCACUUCAGCGCAGCUAGUGGUUUCCGUUUCUGUACGCGGGCGCUCUGGUAGGGGCGCCUCACGUCCAAAGGAGGAGUCUUCUUCCAAAGAAGAGCCUUUGGUAUUUGGCAGAGCCUCGCCAAUUUGGGGCGCACCUCCCCUUCCUGGGAUGCUCUCAGAAGGCAAACCAAUUCCCAGAAGAGAGGGAAAAACAGCCACAACAGAGAGAACCUUUGCUGUCCCUGUUUGGAAAGAGAUUGGGAUUUCCUGGAGAGGGCUUGCUUCUACUGCAGGUUUGUUUAAAAGCUCAACAUCUAUUCUGGAAGAGAACAACGCAGACUCCAGGAAGAUGGUGGGUUUUGCUGUUUUUAAGACAAAAAAAAAUUGUUAAACAGUAUUUGUUCCAUUUAUGACACAACUUUCUGUUUCAGCCUUCCUUCUGCUGCUGCAACAAACAUUGACACACCCAAAACCAGGACUUAAAAUGGCCUUUAUACCUUUCUAUGAACUCAUUUCUUUGGCCCUAUCCCAAAGAUAUCUAGGGAUAUAAAUAGAAAACUAGCUAAAAACUUUUUGGUGUCGUGUUUAAUCACAUGGUGGUAGGUUUUACUAUGAAGUUUAGUUGUGGCCUUCCUCCUACAUUUUGACAUGCUCUUAUGGUGCUUAUUCACUGUUUUAUUAGUGCUAUGCGUGACCUAAAAAUAAGGUUUAAAAUACAGUUUAGUAUAGUAUCAACAAGUGUAUCUUUAGUAUUUGACUACUCUAAGACAUUGGUUUUAGCAUCCAUAGUGCUAUUUUAUACUAGGACAUCUAUGAGUUAGGGUUUAAGACUUUAGUAAACUAGGUAGUUCUUUGCUUGUUUUACAUGUCAUGGUUAUUUUGCGAGCACCAAGGAACCUCCAUGUAUUUGCAACAUUUUAAUAUCAGUACCUACAAGCAAUUGCCAAGCUCCCUUUCCCUCCAAAAACAAACAAACAAAAAAAUAGUUCAGGAGAUACUUGUGUGUAUUGAUAUACUAACUUGGCAGUGUUUUUCCUUAGGUCCAGGUCCAGAACUGAAAAUACUAACUACUGAAAUUCUCUUCUCCUUCUCCUUCUUCUUCGUUGUGCCACUUUGUCGUUUACCCCUAACCAGAGGUUAAUGUUAGUCUUUGGAAAAUUUGUAAGGUAUCCUAAAUGUAUAACCAAGAAACCUGUACCCUUUUGCACGCACCACCCAUCUCUGAAUGAAGAGCCAAAGAUUGUCAGAGUUUUGAUGUCCCACCAGGCGAAGAGCAACACUUUUCACUGACAAUCAGGACAGAGCAGAUGGAUAUAGAAUAACAAUCUGGAAUCCAAGGACUGAGAUGCAUUGACAGCAAGACUAGUAACGUCAAAUAACAACUGAAAAGAGAAGCUAGGGUAGACCUAUUAAAAGAGAGAGCCAGCAAACAGGACCAAAAUGCUGGAUGAGGAGUCUAAAAAGAACAGAAGAAACAAAAAAGAUCAGGAGUUACUAAAAUUUGACUGUCAGUUUUACAAUGGAGACAGACAAUUUAAAGAAGGAAGCAGUUUUUCUGAGUGUGGCAUUACUUGUGCACGUUGAGUGUCAUAUAUAUAGAGAGAGAGAAAGAGAGAGAGUGAGAGAGAGUGAGAGAGAGAGAGAGAGAGAUAUCUUGGGGAUGAGACCUGUCUAAACACAAAAUUCAUUUAUGUUUCAUAUACACCUUAUACACAUAGCCUUAAGGUAAUUUUAUAAAACAUUGUAAAUAAUUUUAUGCAUGAAACAAAGUUUGUGUAAAGUACUUAUGUGUGGAAUUUUCAACUUGUGGUGUCAUGUUGGUGCUCAAAAAGUUUUGAAUUUUGGAACAUUUCAGAUUUUGGAUCUGUGGAUUAGGGAUGCUCCACCUGUACUAUUUUACACAACGUUGCUUGUACUAUUUCAAAGCAUUCUGAAAGCAAAGUCUUAAUAUUAAUAAAAAAUUUUCUAUGUGACAAUAAAAUUAAAAUGCUGCAGGCCCAAGAAAAAAAUAUUAUCAUAUUGAAAUAUUUAAUGCCCCAAAUCUAAUCAGAUGCAGGUUUUUGAAAGUACCAUCCUAUUCAAAAUUAUGAAAUAAAGAAUUUGUUUCAUAAAGAGAAAUUAGCAUUUCAUCAUAAAUAAAAUCCAGGAACCUUAGUGUAGACAUGCUUCAGAAAUAAGCUAAUUUUAAUAGUAUAUGUUUGACAUAUAAUGACAGUUAAGAUAGAAAACUGGGCAGAUUUUACACAGGAAGGAAACAAACAUUCUCUCUCUCUCUCUCUCACACACACACACGUACUUAUUACACACACACACACACACACACACACACACACACGACUAGCCACAAAAUGCUCAUUUGCAUGGAUUUGAAACAAUACUCACUCCUUAAUACUUUCUGUUAACAUUUAAAUUAAUGCCAAGACCAGCACCUGGCACUUAGUAGGUACUUAAUAAAUAUGUGUUAAAUGAAUAAAUUGACCCAUCAAGUACCAUAAAAAAAAUGCCUAGUGUCUUGAGCAAUUUACAGGUCUAAAGAAUGGUUUUACCCAACAGUAAUGACAAAUAAUCCAAGGCAGAUAAGAACACUAGACUGGUAAUCUGAAUUGCAAAGUUCUAAGAACAAUAGCUACCAGCUUUCACAUACCUACAUUUCAAAAGACACUACGCAAAACAACUUACACUCCUACAAAUUACUUUACAUCUGGCUUAAAUAUUCUCUUCCACAAAACAAAAUAGUGGUACAAGAUGAUCUACAGGCUUCUUUACAUUCUGAUUCAUAUAAACUCUAUGCCAAGAGAAUUGGGCAAAUAAAUAAAUAAAUAAAUGAAACCUUCUGGAUAUAGCAAUAAUAAUUAAUGGGACAGCAAAGAUGAAGAAACUGAAAUUAUUUAGCUGAGAUCGAAAUUUUAAUUCAUAAAAAAUAGUUGUAAUAUAUAAUGUAACAAGUAAAUGUGUAAAGUUACUAAGCCUAACUUUAAACUAUUUUAGUUUGUUAAUUGUUUAAUUGUUGGUUACACAACUUUGCUUUGAAACAUACUCUAGAAACAGUUUUGCCUCAUGAGGGAACUAGAGCUUUUAGUGAGGAUCUCAAAGUCAGACUGAGAGAUUUGGCUCAAAGACUGAACAGACUGGAAUAAUUUCUUCUCAAAGCAGUAAAAGUGUUGAAAUGCUAUUGAUUCAAGCAGAGAAUAGAGGUGGUAUCACAGUGAAGAGCCACAAACACGUGGGUAUUUUUUAAAUAAUGAUCCAACAUAAUUCUACAUUGUGUUUAAAAUAUAGCAAGUUAAAACAGGGAAAAUAUAAAUAGGUUAUUUUAGUAUGAACUUUUUUGGACAUUGUUUUAUAUGAUUCUUCCCCCUGUAGAAUCUCAGAACAAUCAUCUCAGAUUUUCAAAGUGGUUCACAUACUAUGAGGGGUUGACUUAGAUUACAACAAAACUAUGUCUUGCUAAUCUUGUAUUCUUAGUACUUGGCACAUAGUAGGCACUCAAUAAAUAUUUGAUGAAAUGUAUUGAAUAGAGUGCAUUGUUUCAAGCUUUUAAGCAUUAGCAUAAGAGCAAAAAGAAAUGUCAUGCUGAGUCAGAAUAAUAUUCAAUCUAACUGGCUCUAAAUUCUGACAGUGGCACCAAAGAAUAUUUUGUGGAAAACUAUGGUGAUAGUCUUGCAUGAUGUUGACCUCAGUGAUGUACUCGAGUAUCCCUCACUCACUCUUUUCCUAAAUUGAUUUCUCUUUUUCUGUAACAUGUUUCUUUAAAUUGAAAAGAAAUUAAUAUUCAUUACAGAGAAAUCAGAAAAUACACAUAACUGCAAAGAAACUAGCUUUGAAAUACUCAGAAUUCCUUAUACCAAGAUGAAUCAGUGCUAUCAGACCCUUUCUAUCAUGUAUCUUUGCAGAUUUUUUUUAUUGAAAAAGUUGGCAGGAGGCACGGCAUGGAAUGGGGAACAUAGAGGGAUACAGAGACAGGUUUGUAAAAUAAAAACUAGAUCAUUCUGGGGACUUGUUUUGUAGCCAGAGUUUUCUACUUGACAUAUAAUUAAAUGUCAAUAAAUUUAUUUUACAGUAUUAUUUUAAUGGCUGCCUGAUAUCCCUUUGUAAGGAUUUAAUCUGUCAAUUACUGUUGGACAAUGAAGAUUGCUCCCAAAUUUUGCUAUUGCAACCAGUGCUAUAAUGAUCAUACUCUUCAUCUGUUGAAACAUUUAUUACGAUUUUCUUCUAAUUGACUUUUAUUUUGUUUUUGUUUUAUAUAGAGAUGGGGGUUUCACUAUGUUGCCUAGGCUGCAAUUGAACUCCUGAACUCAAGCAAUCCUCCUGUCUCGGCCUCCCAAAGUGCUGGGAUUACACGCAUGAGCCACCAGGCCAGGGAUAUUUUUGUCUUUUGAGACAGGGUCUUGUUCUGUUGUCCAGGCUGGAUCACAGUGGUGCAAUCAUGGCUCACUGCAGCCUCAACCUCCCAGGCUCAAGUGAUCCUUCCACCUCAGCCUCCUGAAUAUCUCGGACUACAGGCAUGUUUCAUCAUGUCUGGCUUUUAUUUUAUUUUAUUUUAUUUUUUGGAGAGAUGAGGUCUUACUAUGUUGCCUAGGCUGUUCUCGAACUCCUAGACUCAAGCAAUCCUCCUUCUUCAGCCUACUGUAGUGCUGGGCUUAUAGGCAGGAACCACCAUGCCCAGCCCUGACUUUUAUUAAGCCACAUUGUGUCAAUUAUCCAGAUCCUAAACUAUGACAAUGUCAUUAGAGGCAUCAUAUCACAAAAACAAGAGGUAGAAUACCUAUUAACAAUUUACAAUUUUCUAUUGGUAAGAAAAAUAAUAAGAAUAUUAAUUCUAGCUACCAGACCUUCAUACAAAGAACGUUCUAUUCAAUGAACACCUUAUAAUUUUAGAAAUAUGGAAAUAGAAUACGUCACUUAUUUUAAAAAAAAACUCAGAUCUCUUAUUUUCCUCUGAUCAUACCACAGUCAGUUUCCCACCUGUGAAAGUCUUUGUAUCUUCUAAUAUGAUUUUCUUCCCCCUCUCCAAAUCCCCUCCAGCCCAACUGAAGACCCUAGUCUCCCAUGGAGUCUUGAUAUGGUUUGGCGGUGUCCCCACCCAAAUCUCACCUUGAAUUAUAAUAAUCCCCACAUGUCAAGGAUUGGACCAGGUGGAGAUAAUUGAAUCAUGGUGGUGGUUUUCCUCAUACUGCUCUUGUGGUAGUGAAUACGUCUCAUGAGAUCUGAUGGUUUUAUAAAUUGGAGUUCCCCUACACAAGUUCUUCUUACCUGCCACCAUGUAAGACGUGACUUUGCUCCUCAUUCGCCUUCUGCUAUAAUUGUGAGGCCUCCCCAGCCAUGUGGAACUGUGAGUCAAUUAAACCUUUUUCCUUUAUAAGUUACCCAGUCUUGGGUAUGUCUUUAUUAGCAGCAUAAGAACAAGACUAAUACAAGCCUCCUGGAUCAGUUCAAAUCACCUUGAUAUUUCUUAAUUCCAAUGCAUUGGCAUAAAGUAAAUUUCCUUCCUCCCUUGGCCCUCACCUCUCUCUUGACUCCAAUAAGGGAGAGUUGUGGAGAGAUGGUACCUGGGUUUGAUAUAAUUUGUUGCCAGAUAAGUUAUAAUAAUUUGUUAAGGAAUUCAAGCCGUAGAGGAUGAGGAUGCUCUUUUAGCAUAUUAGGUUUGAGGUAACAGGCCAAAAGGAAUAGCAUUUGGUUAUUAAGGUAAAAAGAGAAAUAAUUUUUAUGCAUGUUAGAAGGGGAAUUUUGAAGGAAAUUACACUUUUUCUGUAUAUUUAUAUAUUUUACUUUUUAUUUACCAGGAGAAAAGGCAUUUGCUGCCCAAGGUAGAAUCCCAUCACCAUACUCCUUUCCUACAUCCAAUCACAAAAUCAGAAUAUGCCAAUUCUCUAUUCCCAAGUAAGUCAACAGACCCUAAGAUUACAUUCCCUUUCUCCCCUCUGCAAAGCUUCAGGGACAGGAGUCCCUGACAGGCAGCUGACAUUUGGGGUUGCAUACAAAAAGUCAAGUCAUUGCAAGAGAAGGAAGUUUGUUUCUAUUGGAAGAGUUAGUGUACAACAUAUAAAAACGGAGUGAGGAUGGGGAUAUUGUAGUAGGGAGGGGGUUAAAGGGCUUAGAAAAUGAUUUUUUUAAAGGUGGACAGGGGAAGAGUAGAAGGCAAAAAAAUGUCAUCCAUGUGGGACAUCUUCUGAACGCCCAAGGAGAAUCUUUGGGGAUACAUUCCCCCCAAGAUUUAAAGAAGUGGCUUCACUCCUGAGAAUGUACAGGGAGCGGAGAAGCUAAACCAGGAGCAACAUCCAAUUUCUUUGUCUCUCCUUCUCUUCUCACUGCAAACUCUGUACAGGUUUGGCAUAACUAUCUAAACUUUCUAGUAAAAAUCAUAGCCUUCAUGAAGAUCCAUUGUGUAUUUGAUUCACAGAAAGUUGGUAUUGAAUUGUAAAACACGGCUACAAAUUUCUCCCUCUCCAACAGGCGUGUCAUUUUGGAAUGUGUCUUGCUGCUCUUCUCAUCAAAGGUAAAGUCCUCUUCUUCACCUUUUAACCUAGAGUAGCUGUGCAACUUUCUUUGACCAAUCAAAUAUGGUGGAAGUGAUGUUGCGUGACUUCCAGAUAUAAGUCUUAAAGAGAUUUUUCACUUUCUGCUUUCACUCUCUUGGAAUGUUGCCCUGAGAUCACCACACCAUGAAGAAGUCUGGGGCGAAAGGCCAUGUGGAGUGAGAGGCUCAGCUUCCCAGAUGAUCUCACUGAGCACAGCCCCCAGCCACCUGCCAGCUCAAUGCAACCUGGUGAUGGACCCAAGCAAAUACCAGCAGAAGAAUCACCUGGUCAACCCACAGAAUCAUGAGAAAUACUAAUUUGUUGUUGUCUUAAGCCAGUAAGUUUUGAGAGAGUGUUUUAACUGUUUCACCUAAGUUUGGUCUCUUAACAUGAACAUAAGCACUUUUUUGCAUUUGUACAUCCUUUGUACUCUUCCUGUUCAUACCGAGAAAGCUUUUGCAAUGCAAAAGCUCAAAUGUAUUGGAAUUUUAGAAGUUUAAGCCUUGAAGGACUCUGUACAAAACCAUGCCAAAAACCAUAUAUUUUGAAGAAUAUGUUCUCAGUCUGAGCCAGUUUUCUAUUUCCACCUCAAAUCUUGAUUGGUGCAGACUGGAGAAAGGAGAAGAGAGUCAGGGGUAAGACCGUGGGUCGGAGGUGGAUAUCGACAAUGUACCUGAGUAAAAGCCCUGUAGCCUCUCACCAUGUUGGAAUACCAUAUGGCACAACUACAUGGACCGCCAUUUACAUAGAGUAGGAUGUUUAGUACUGCGUCUUGACCUUUGAAACCAGACUGGUGAGAGGACUCACCAACAAAAGUGAAGCUAGGGUCAUAGGCCCUACCUUGGAGAUUGGUAAGACCCCAGAGUUAUUCCUUGCCCAAUGUUAAGUAAGAACAGAAAACAUUUCUAAAGAGGGUCCUGAGGCAGACAGGUCUUAAGCAGUCCCACAGCCCUCAUGUGCCCUAGAAAGAUGCAGAGCGCCCAGAAGCGGUUUUUCAGUGCAGGUGAGAAUGGUUUAGAUCCACAUGUUUUUGUAAAUUAGUUUUUAUUGGAAGAGAGGCAAACCCAUACAUUUACCUGUUGUCUAUGGCUGCUUUGACACUACAAUAGCAGAGUUGGGUAGUUGUGACAGAGAUCAUAUGGUACACAAAGCCUAAAACAUUUACUAUCUGGUCCUUUAUUUUUAAAAAGUCCUUAUAUUAGAUGAAACACAAAGAACUGGUAAAACUUAAGCCUUGUGUAAUAAUACAAAACAAAAAUAUACCAUGUAGACCAUAAUCAAAGGGCCCAUUGUCUUCAGCCGCUGACAUUGGGACCAGGGUGUAGUGUCAGAACAUGAAAGCCUGGAUACCUACAAUGGCCUAAUUUUCUCAUACAAAUGCAUCCUACCACUCCCAUCCCAUACCUUAUGCUAGAUAGGAUCCAUGGAAUUAGCUGCAUCUCCAGUGAAACAGGAAAAGUCCCUGAUUUUACUGAGAUUUAGCUAUUGUCACAUGGUGUAACAGGGAUUUAAGAGAAAAAAUAACCUCAGGUAUAGACAUAGGAAAAUAAUGUUAGAUUAAGUUUCUUAUACACCUGGUUCUGUCUUCAGAAACUGGCACCCACUAUAAAGCCUUCCAUAGUGAUAAUUAUCGCACAAAAUCGAUACAAAGGAAAUACCUGCUGAAUGUUCUGCCUCAGUAGGUUUUCCUUUGGUCUUUUACCUUAGAAAACUGCAUGAUAGCAUUUUUCUAUUAUUUUGACAUUUCAUGUAGGAAGCAUGUUAUUCACAACUUAUGUUUUAUAAAAUCUUUUUCUGAUGAUGAUGAUGAUGACACUUGUUAAUUUCCAUCUCCUUCCUUCACUGUAAGUUUUUCUAUUCCCUGAGACAACUAUUUCUCUCACUUGUCCUAAACCCCAAGGAUACAAGAGAUGCAUAGGAAAAUAUCUAUGAAGUGUGUGGGAGGAGACAACAGGGCAGGGUUCCAGAGGUCUGUGGUUUAUUGCACGUAAAACACUGGAAAGUGCUUUGGAUGAUAAGGAAGUAGCUUGUUGUCCUUUGCAAUGGCCUGACAUUCUUACACUGAGAAAAUCUUACUCCCCACUUUGAGCUGGGAUGUGGGAGCUGGGAGGACAUUUACUGAGUAUUAACUCUGUGCCAGGAAUUAUUCCUACAUUAUCUCAUUUAGUCUCCGGAAAACCCUACGUAACAGGUGAGAAGACCUCAGUGACAAGCUCAAAGAUGCAUAGCUAAAGAGCUGAAAUGUAAAAGCAGGUCUGCCAGACUCAAAAACCCAUGCUCUAUAAACUACAUCAUAGAAGUUGUAAAAUAAUUUUACCUUGAAUCCAAGGGUGAAUAAUUUGUCAUGGUUAGCUUGCCCUUUGGCAUUCAUAAACAAUUUCUACUGUCCCAGUUUUUGUUCCAUUCAUAUAGGAGUAACAUGUGGAAGUAUUAAGCAAUAGAAGGCUUUGUUUUCAUGUAUAAAUUUUUACGAUAUUUUCAAAUAUAAUAAAGCCAAAAUUGUUAAUUUCACUUCAUGUAGAGAUUCCUUCAAAUAUAAGAUGCUAUGAAACAGUGUCAUACCAAAAAGCAAACACACUGAUUUCUAUAAUCAAAACAUUGAGGAACACAGGAAACUCUAGAUAACUCAGAGGAAAAAGGGAGUACAAAAUCGGGUUGACACAAUGCUUCAUUUAAGAAUAGGAACAUUGUUUGUUCAUUUGGGUACUUUAUAACUUUAAGUAUAAUGAGGUUUCUUUAAAAAAUUGUAACAAUUUUGGUAUAAUUGUAUAAUAACUUGGUAUGUGGUAUUUUUAUUUCUAUUUAUUUAUUUAUUUAUUUUGAGACAGAGUCUCACUCUGUUGCCCAGGCUGGAGUGCAGUGAUGUGAUCUUGGCUCACAGCAACCUCUGCCUUCUGGGUUCAAGCAAUUCUCCUGCCUCCCAAGUGGCCUCCACGCCCAGCUAAUUUUUGUAUUUUUAGUACAGACAGUGUUUCUACUAAAUGUUGCCCAGGCUAGUCUCGAACUCCUGGACUCAAGCAAUCUGCUGGCCUCGGCCUCCCAAAGUGCUGGAAUUACAUGCAUGAGCCUAUCACACUCAGCCGUAGGUGUUAUUUUUAAAACAUAUCCAAAAUGAUUUGGAUCAUUUUUAAAAUGAUCCUAAGUAAUUCUUUAUAAUAUUAAUAGUAUAAUUUGGUCCAUUAAAUUAUAACUAGAAAAAAAUAAAUAAAAUUCUUCCAAAUUGAUAUAUUGAUGUAAAAAUAAGGGUCUCUCCUUUAAGUCUCUCCAUAAACUUUAGUUGAGAGUGAAAGACUUUUGGACCAAUGAUUCUUAACUAAAGCAAUUUCUUGACAGAAGCAAAAGUGUGAAAUGAGAAGAUACAAUAAAUUUAACAUCAAAACAAGAACUGUAAGUUUUAUCAUUUAAUUGUAUUGAAAUACAUACAAACCACUAGAUAUGUGGAAUUUCAGAGGCAUUUAAAGAGUCAUUCUAAAAGUAUAUGAAAUUAUUUCAUGAAAAGGUCGAUCAAAAUAAGAAGAGGAUCCUCAUAAAUAAAAAUGUUUUAUAAUAUCUCGAUUAUAAAAGUAAUUUCACAGUAACUUUUCCUUUCUGCAUCUUGUGAAACACAAUAGACCUGAGACAGCCUGUCAGUUUGCUUUAUGGAAUUUGACUUUUUGCAGCCUCACAGACCACGAUGAACUGGUAUUACCAGUUUUGCCAUCUUAUCUUUUUAUUUAAACAGCAAUUAAACACUGCCAUAAUAUCAUAUAAAUCAUUAAAUAAUGUUCCAGACCACACACAAGUGGAUGAGUUAUGAAAGACUGAAGGAUUAUAUUACUUUUAAAAUAUUUUGCUUAGAUAGAAUAAUGGCAAUAAAUAUUAGCACCCUUUGUUUUAUACUUUUACCAAAUAUUGAGUAGUUUCAAAGGAACACUUACUAAAUACAUGCAAUACAUAAGGAAUCAUAAUACAAUAAACAACUAUGUACCUACUACUUACUUAAAGAAAAAUAAUAUUUUUGUAUCUGUCAUGGAACCCUCUCAGAUCCUGUCCCCUCCUAAUUUUGAAUUUUGUGUUCAAUCAUUUCCUUGUUUUUCUUUAGAGGUUUACUGCAUAUGCCUAAACAAAACACUGGUUAAUUUCAUGGUUUUUACAGCUUUGAACAUUAAUGAAGUGUAUCGAUAUUAUUUUGCUACUUGAUUUUUUUGCCCAAAAUUGGAUACAUGAGAUUCGUACAUGUUGUUGCAUGUAGCUGUAAUCAAUUAACUUUCACACCGUAUUAUGUUAAUCCAUUCUGCUCUUGAUGAACAUUUGAAAAAUCUCCAGGUGCAUGUUUAUGUGUGAGAGAGAUUACAAAUAGUGCUGCUAAGAACAUUUUUAUACUACCCUGGUUAAAGAGCAUGUGAAAGAUCUUCUCUUGGAAAAAUAACUAACAGUGAAAUUGCUGGGUAGUAGCAAAUUUACCAGAUAAUGCCAAUUAUUUUCCGAAGUGCUUAUAUAACACACCCUUAUGGUUUUAAUGGCAUGCUUCUUUACUAAUUUAUCUCUCUCUCACACACACACAGGCACACACACAUACACGAUAUAGAGAUAUAUCCUUUUAAUAUACAUUACUCCUUUUCUGAAAAUGAUUUUAUAUACUAAAAAUCUAAAUAAUAGUAUUAGUGCUGGCUUUUCAGAAAACCUAGAAUUGUGAAAGAUGUGGUUGAUUGGGAAUUUUUGUCAUUUGUUGCCAGGAAACAAAAUAUUAAGGAAAAAAUGGGAAGAAUGUUUUAGUUGUAUUUUUUUUUUUUUUUUUUUUUUUUUUUGGGACAGAGUCUCGCUCUGUAGCCCAGGCUGGAGUGCAGUGGCGUGAUAUCGGCUCACUGCAGGCUCCUCCUCCCGGGUUCACGCCAUUCUCCUGCCUCAGCCUCCCGAGUAGCUGGGACUACAGGCGCCUGCCACCACGCCCGGCUAAUUUUUUUGUAUUUUUAGUACAGACGGGGUUUCACCGUGUUAGCCAGGAUGGUCUCAAUCUCCUGACCUCGUGAUCCGCCCGUCUUGGCCUCCCAAAGUGCUGGGAUUACAGGCGUGAGCCACCGCGCCUGGCCAGUUUUAUCUUAACAGAUGGAAAAACAAAUGUAUUUAUCUUUCAUAUGCCUUCUAUUACACUUCUGAUGUCUUCAUUUAUAGGGCUAAAAUAUGCAUUCACUCUAUUUUCAAUCUUGGUCUUUGGUCUUUUAAAGAAGCCCAAGGGCUGACUGGUGACAUUCAAAAUAAUGUGUUAUGCAAGAAACCAAUUUUAGGGAUGAACGAUACUUCUUCAGCUAUAACUCCUAAAAAUCAUCAGAAUUGGAACACUGGAAAAGAAUUUAAGAUAUUUUUGUCUACUCUGUAACUCUUUUUGUACAUUUUUUCUCUUAUAACAAGCAUCUACUUUAAGUUGAAGAGGAUCCGUUAACUAUCCAACUAAGUAUAUUUCAAAUGCUCUAAAAGUUCAGACUUGACUUAACUAAAAUCCUCUAGGUACAAUACUACCAGAAGCACAUGCUUCUCAUUUUUAUCUAAUAAAGUUUCUUUAAUCAGUGAAGGCCUAUAAGAAUGUGAUGUCCCUUAAAAGAAAUGCAUUGCAAAAUUCCAAAAAAUUAUUUCUUUUAUACUCUCUUUGUGUAAAUAUCCUACUUUUCAAAAUUUACCAAUGUUAUAAGAACUCCAAAUUAUUUAAAUUAGAAUCAAGCAAAUGGUAAUAUUAUUUUAAAAUGUUCCUAGAGUGGUACCCUCCCAGCUCUUGCACUCUGCUGUUUUUAAUGUGUGGGCCCCUGAUGGUCUUCCAUGAGAACCAGAAAUCUGUAAGACUCUAUCUUGCAUUUAAGAUAAAGUGGUUUAGGUACUUCAUUACGUGUUCAUUUUAAUGGUGCAGUGCACUCAUUAAUAUGCUUUAUCAACACUAAAUAAGUAACCUAGUGUAUGUAUGAGCAAUCAUUGAUAUUAGCCUAAUGAGAAAUUACUGGGCAGUAAGUACUAUGAUAAGAAACAUAUCAUAGGUUUAUAUUACAAAUUAAAUAGAGAAUUGCAAAAAUUUUCUGAGUUUUCUAAGCAAAAUAUAUUGGGCCCUAAAUUAUUUGGCUAUUGUUAUUGCUUUGUUGAUGGAGAAAUACUCAGCACAGAGAUGCUUUUCUAAUCUAUAAUCCAGUAUCACAAAGGAAGCAUCCACCAUUAAAAAAAUCAAAAAUCAUACCUCAAAUAAUAAUAAAAAUAUCAAUGGAAUAUUAAUGAUUGCUUAUUAUAUGUACCAAUAAUUUUACAUACUCUAAUUUGUACAAAAGCUUUUCAGGUAGGUAAUAUUAUUAUCAUGUUGCAGAUGAGGAGAUUGAGUUUUAGAAGAUUUGUGUGAAUUACCCAAGGCAACAAAGCUAGUGAGCAGCAGAGUGAGGAUUCAGUUCAUGCCAGCUGAUGUAGAAGCUAUGUGCUUACUAUACUAUUCAACUCUAAUAAGAUAUGUCUUUCAUUAGUACCUUUCUUCUCAUAUGUAUGAACUCUGAUGGUCCAAACAUAUAUAAGCACCAGGUACAUACACUCAUGCCUGAAUGAAAUGCCUGCUGUAUACACUAUGCCAUGGGAAGUAAAGUAAGGACUCAUUCACCCUUUCCUCAAGGAGCUUACAAUGUAGAUCGAGGGGAUAAGACGUUAACAAAGAUACGUAUAAUCACAAGCAAAAUAUGUCAAUAGCCAUAAGAAACAUAUUCUGGCAAUGCACGGAAGAAAGAAAUCCUGUUGGCUAAGUGGGACAAAAAGAGUCUUUAUAAAGAAGGUAAGGUGAAUCUUUUGGGGAACAGUGAAGUGGAAAAUCAGGAUUUUGCACAAAGCAUGCUUUAUGCCAAAAAGCUUAAGGUACGUUGUAGGCAUGACUUGUUUUAUUCUGGCUGGGCUGGGACAGGGCAUGUAUAAAAACUGCCUAGAGACUGGGCACUCUUUAUACUCUUUGAUGAAUUUGUACCAAAUUAUUAAACAGUGGGAAACUAUUGAAGUUUUUUUUUUUUUUUUUUUUUUUUUUUUUUUUUUUUUUUGAGACGGAGUCUCGCUCUGUCGCCCAGGCCGGACUGCGGACUGCAGUGGCGCAAUCUCGGCUCACUGCAAGCUCCGCUUCCCGGCUUCACGCCAUUCUCCUGCCUCAGCCUCCCGAGUAGCUGGGACUACAGGCGCCCGCCACCGCGCCUGGCUAAUUUUUUGUAUUUUUAGUAGAGACGGGGUUUCACCUUGUUAGCCAGGAUGGUCUCGAUCUCCUGACCUCAUGAUCCACCCGCCUCCGCCUCCCAAAGUGCUGGGAUUACAGGCGUGAGCCACCGCGCCCGGCCACUAUUGAAGUUUUGAAGUAAGGAAUGAUAUCAUUCAUUCAAAAACUAUUUGUGGGGUGUCAGUAUGUGCCUGGCACUGUGACAGAUGAUGGGAAUAUUGAGGUGAACAAGACCAGUCCAUUUCCUGCCCUCAUAGAUCCUACAAGUUGAUGGGGAGAAAGAGGCUAAUUUUCACUAUGACUAAGAAUGUGAUGGCCCUGCAUGAAACAGAAGCAAAGCCUCUGAGUAGAAAAAACUUUGAUGGUUUGGUUUACAUUUCCUCUACUACCUUUUCUUAAAGUAAAUAUUUUAUUUUAGAAUAAUUUUAGAUUCUAUUACUAUUAGAGUCUAAUAUCAUUUAAAGGUAAUUUAGAAAAUUUAUUUCAAUUACUAUUAAGGUUGCUAUUUGAUCAUUUAAUGCGUAUCCUUCUAUGUCAUAACUCUGUGGGACAAAUUUCAGAAAGACUAACACAUUUAAACAUCAGUUAGUUGCACAAUCUAAACUGCUACUGCAACUAGGUAGAUAAACAUGUUAAAGAAAUGUCUUUGGUACAUCUGUACUUGGCUCUGAUCCCUCUGAGCAUAGCAAGUUACAAAGUGUUGAGUUGGAAAACUUUGUAAUGACCAAAGAGGUAUUACAAAUACAGAAAGGCCAAUUUUAAAAGAAGUCAACGAGAAAGGUAUACAAACUGCCCAACUAUAAUCAAACACUUGCAUGAAAAAAAAAUUGUAGGUAAGACCUGCUUGUAUUAAAGGUUUUUCACAGAAACAUAAAACUCAGAGAUUUAUGAAACUAAAAAGUAUGGAAGAUUACUGAAUUAAUCCUGAGGUAAAUAAUGUCCCAGUAGAAAUUAGCAGUAAGGUAAGCACUCCAAAACAAUCAAAUUAGCAGGGGGACAUAAACUGAUAUGAGGGUAAAGGGACGACUAGUGAGAAAUAAGAAAUCAGACUACAGCCAAAUUAAAAAAAAAUUUAAAUAUAUUGAUGCUUAGUUUCCUUUAAGCAUUGCAACAUAUGAUAUUGACAAAUGUGGUGACAGCUGGUAAAAACUGUAUAUGUUAAUUGCCAACAUCACAUAACUAAUAUUUACUAUAAAAAGUGUCCCUAAAAUAACUUUCUUUCAUCAUCAGAUAGCCAUAUCCAUCUAGCAUUCCCUGUUUAUGUUUUGAAAUGUAUGUAUUACAUUUUUUCUUCUCCUUUUAGGAUUAAAAUAUAAAGUUUUAUGUUCCCUAAUAUAUCUACUUUAAGAAUAUUCUAAAUAUUGAAAAUAAAAAAUUUUUUAAUAAAAUACCACUGACAGCUGUUCUCUACUUAUCAUUUCUUAGCAGGGUGAAGACUAUAUUUGCUCACAUAAAUUGUGUCCUUAUAACAGAAAAAGCUUCUUAGGGCUGGUGCGGUGGCUUAUUCCUGUAAUCCCAGCACUUUGGGAGGCGGACGCAAGCAGAUCACUUGAGUUCAGGAGUUCUAGACCAGCCUGGCCUACAUGGUGAAACCCCGUCUCCACUAAAAAUACAAAAAUUAGACAGGCAUGGUGGUGCAUGCCUGUAAUCCCAGCUACCUGGAAGGCUGAGGCAGGAAAAUUGCUUGAACUUGGGAGGCAGAGGCUGCAGCGAACCAAGAUGGGACCACUACACUCCAAACUGGGUGACACAGUGAGACUCCAUCUAAAAAACAAACAACAACAACAAAAGAAAAAGCAUCUCAGAAAAACGUUCCCCUUUUUCAUUGAUUCCAUGCAAAUGAUACUUCACCCUAUUGUUUACUUGUCCUGAAAUUUCAAAGCAGCAGAAAUUCUGCUAUACAUUAUCCUUUUAUCUGGUAUUUAUUGAAAAUGUAUUUGGCUAUGAUUUGAAAUAUAUAACAUAGUGUCAGGUUUAUUUUCUCAUGUAACGAGUCAAGAAGUAGGUGGUUGCUGCCUUUCUUUCAGUUAUUCAACACUAUAAUCAAUCACUGUCUUGUCUUUUUAUAUUUCUGUUCGCUAUCUUCUAUGUGUUGGGUUUCCUUCCCGGUGGGUGUCAUAUCAGGGUCACAAAAUGGCUGCUAUUGCCCAGUAAUACUCGAAUGCUCGAGCGAGGGCAGGAUGGAGGGAGGGGCUGCUAGCUGUAUCUGUCUCCUUUUGUCAGAAAAGCAAAAGCUUUCCGGGAAGCUCUCCUAGCGGCGACUCCUUACAUCUCAAGGCCACAAAUUUCAAAGAGUGGAAAAGCAGAAAACAAGAUUCUCAUUUUUGGCACCAUUGUGAGACAUUGCCUAGGAAAGGCAUAUUGACAAUUCAAACAAAAUCUUAAAUUCUAGUAGCAAAGGACACAGAGGAAUGAAUAUUUGGUACGGGACAGAAAGGAUCUGCCUAAAUGCCCUAGUUCAUUUGAAUGUAAAAUUCUUAAAGGCUGGGAUUGUGCCUGUUCUCUUCUUUGUGUAUAGGACUCAGAUCAUAAGAAAAAUCUUUGACACUACAAAUUCUAUACACUAAGGCAGUAUCCCCAAAUUUCAUUCAAUUUUUCUAAUAUGGGGGUGCUACUGAGCACAAAACUAGAAAGAGAUUAUAAAUAUACAUAUUCUUGGUCAGUUUAGACUACUAUAGCAAAAUAUGAUGCACUAGGUGGUUUAAAUGAUCUCCUCUUAGGGCCCUUGCUGUGUCCUUGUAUGGUGGAGAGACAGUUCUCUGGCCUCUCUUCUCUUCUUAUAAGGCCACUAAUUCCAUCAUGGGGACUUCACCCUCACGUCCUGAUCUAAACCUGAGCACCCCCCAAAGGUUCCACAUUCAAAUACCAUCACACUAGAGGUUAGGGCUUCAACAUAUAAAUUUGGGGGAAGAUAAGCGUUUAGACCAUUAUUUAUUUAUAUGUUAAAAAUAAUAUAGAAUAUUCCCAGAAGUCAAUUUUUGCUCCAUGUAUUAGAAUACUUAUUAAACCUUCCUAUGCCCAGCAAAAUUGUAGACACUGAAAAAAUACCAACAGAAAAUGGUCCAGCUUUUAAUGCAUUUAAGCUGAAAUAAGAAGUGGUGAACACAGAUCCAAAUUGAACUAAAAUGUUAUGUAAUCUAUAAUAGCAACCUUUUAUCUGGUGUCUAUUAUGUGAUAAUGGUAUAACGUACUUUAUCUAAUCUUCACAACAACACUGCUAGGUAGUUAUUAGCCUCAUCUUAAGUGUUAGAAAACAGAGAACACUGAGAGGCUAAGAAAUUCAUUCAAGGCCACCCAGGGCAUAAGCAGUGGAGCUGAAGUUUGGACAAGAUUUCUUUUUCUCCCCAAGCCAUGCUUGCACAUAAUGCACAUACCACUACAUGCUGAUUAAUUCAUUUUAUGAAUAAAAUCUUCCCUCUUAUAAUUCUGCUUUGUUUUUAUGCUUUUUCAUUCCUAGCUUUCUCACUGGUGACUUAUGUGGAUGAAUCAAUGGGAACAAGGUCAGAUCAUGGACAGAUGAGAAAAUAAUGAGACAUUAGAUUAUUAAGAGAGAUGAAGUUAAGAGUGAGAGGUGAAUGAAAGGGAAGAAGGGGUGAAAGCUCAGGAUUAUGAAGGGAAUAAACAGGAAAGAGGAGAGAGAAGAAGAGAAUGAAUACUACCCAGAUAUUUCUCUGGGCACUGUGGAUCUGAUGGAAUGGUGGUAUCCCACCCUGUAACCCUGUCUUCUCUGAUCUCUGGCCAAGUGUGUGGCUUGGCACUGCACAACUAACAGUUAGCAGCAUUCUGGGGAGAGGCUCAUGGUAGUGACCAAAUUGCACUUUCCCUAGCUAUUCUUGUGUUCUAAUCCUCCCCUGAAGGUCUUUUAUGGUUAAUCUCAAACCAUAUAAAUAUUUAACUCUCCUUUUAGUUACAUUGCAGAAGCCUGUUCUCAAACAAGUAUAAGUUUCAGUAACCACAAAUUGAUACUAAUCUACCCUAAUGUCACUGUGUUCCUCUUCUUCAAGUGAGUUGAAAGCAUGGAUCCAUACAAUUUGUCUUGUUCAGUUUGUACCUACUUGUAUCUUCCAUUAACAGAGCAUAGACUCUCAGGUAUGGAGAACAGAUUAAGAUCCAAUUACUCAGCCAAAAUUUCAAUCCACCUCUCUCCAGGACAUUUUUUUGUUUUUGUUUUUGUUUUUCUUUAACAUCCUCCAAACUGGUAGUAUAGCUAUAUCGAGUACUUCCAGUCCAUGGAACCUAACACUUCCUCAAGUAGUCCUUUCCAUGCUUAGACAACUUCGACUUUAGAGUGUGGUUUCUUAUUUCACCAGUCAGGAUAGCUAAGCUGUUCUGCAGUAACAAACAGCCCUAAAGUGUCAGCUCUAAUACAACAGAGGCUUUCUUUUUUUUUUUUUUUUUUUGGCUAACAUUAUGUGCCUAUCAAAUCAGCUUGGCUCUGGUAUAUAUUGAUAUCCAUCUGGGAUCCUGGCUGAGGGAGAAGCCCCUCUCUGGGACAUUUCUGAUCUCAUGGCAGAGGAAAAGAGGUCCUGGAGGAUCGUAUACUGGCCAUUAGAGCUUCCACAUGUCAUUAGCCAACAUGCAUCACAUGGAGUCAUCCCACAGAGAAGGACAGGGCCAGGAGCAAGACAACCCAGAGAACAGCCGUAAAUAUCUGGAAUAACAGUGCAAUGUACCACAUAGUUAUUGAGUCAAAUCCUUUUCCAAGUCAUAUCCCUCCUUCCCCAUUGCCUUUUCUCUUUACCAGCUCUACAAAUGUUAGGAAUCCUUAGCCAUGUUUUCUUCGAGCUGUCUUUCUUCUAGUCUAAUUGGCUCCAAUUCCUCCACUGACCUGUUCCCUGUAUCUAGUGGUCUUAUCUGACAUUCUCUUGAGCCUUUUCAGCUGUCUCAAGUCAACUGGUGAGAGAAUUGUUGGUCUAUUCUCCAAAGGAAGUGGUCCCUUGACAUACUUUCCUUUAGGAUGAUGGGUUUGGCGAUGUGGCUGAGCCUUCUAGACAAAAAAAGCUUUCCUUAAACAAUAUCUCAACUAAUCAGUCUCCAAAUAUUUUAGUAGCUUAAAUCUUUAGGCUUUUCACAAAUGCCCAGACACUUUGCCUGUUAUAUAUUAGAAUGUAGAGAUGUUUGAGCACUUCCAGAGGGCAAAUGUCACAUCCCUGACUAUACUUUAGGUAACUUAGCAAUAUAUAUACAUGGUUGUAUUGACAAAACUCCUCAAGCCUACUAUUUUUUCAUAGGACUGGCUCAGAAUGUGGACUUUGGAAAUAACCAGUCUUGGAUCAAACCCUGAUUCCACUCAGUACUACCUAUACGACCUUUGACAAGUUAAUUAAUCCUGAGCUCUUAUUUCCUCAUCUAAUGAGAUACAGACAAUAAGAGUUAUCUUUCUCAUGUGGCUGUUGAGAGGAUUAAAUGACAACAGUGGGGCUCAAUCAGUGUCUUCUUUUGUUACCAUACUGGGGUCCUAGCACUCAGAGCUAUUUCUGGUCUUACUCAAGGACCAGGUCCUCUAGCAUCCCUGGGUUUACCAUGGUUAUGCAUAGCUCCCUCCUCUCUCCCAGGUGUCCUUCUCUCCUCCUGAAAUGUUUCAGCCUCAAGUCAGCAUCAUCCGAGCUUGACCAGUAUCUCUCAAGGUGUUGUCCAAGAACAAGCUGCACUGGAAUCACCUGGAGGCCCACGUGGCUCCAUUUCAGACUAACUGACAGAGUUAGAAGAUGAAACUAGUAAAUCUGUAUUUUAACAAGCUUCCCCCAGCUAGAGGUGCCAGAUAAAUUAUAGGACAUCCAGUUAAAUUUGAAUUUCAGAUAAACAAUGAACAAUUUUCAGUAUAAGUAUGUCUGUCCCAUGCAAUAUUUGGAACAUACUUAUACUAAAAAAAAAUUUAUUAUUUAUCUGAAAUUCAAAUUAAAUGGAGUAUCCUGUACUUUUAAUUGCUAAAUCUGGCAAACAAAUCUCAGGGAUUCCAAUUCUUACUAAAUUUGAAGACCACUGGUUUAAGAUAUUUGGCAAAAAUCUCAAAUUCAACUUCAUGAGCUUCCAAGGAGGGAGGGAGGGAAAGAACGAAGGAAGGAAGGAAGGAAACGAAAGGAAAGGGAAGGGAAGGAAGGAAGGAAGGAAGGAAAUGAAAGGAAAGGGAAGGGAAGGGAAGGGAGGGAAGGGAGGGAAGGAAGGGAAGGGAGGGAAGGGAAGGAAGGGAAGGAAGGGAAGGAAGGGAAGGAAGGGAAGGAAGGGAAGGAGAGAAGGAGGGAGGAAGGAGAAGAGAGGAAAGAAAGAAAGGAAGAAAGAGACAAAGAGAGGAAAGAAAAGCAAAGCAAGCGAAGCUUAUAGACGGAACACAGAUGGCCCAUGCAUCCACAAAACAAAUAUGCACAAGACCAAGUAGGUUAGCAUUUGUUUCAGCAGCCACAGUGGCAAACAUAGACAAUCCAGCAGCCAGAGAAAAAUCCACUUCCUUGUUUCUCUAGUUUGGAAUUGGGCUUUAGGUGUCUCUGUCUCCUUCUGCUGCUUUCUCCUUUUUUUUUUUUUUUUUUUUUUUUUUUUUUGUCUAAACAUCUCCAUGCUAUGCUAGCCAACACCUACUCAUCCUCAUUUGGUAUUUCCUCUUUUGCUUUUUUGCUUUCCUACAAAGCAUCUUGGGCCCAUCCUCCUCUGUCUGCCCCAAACAUCAGAAUACCUAAUCAAAUAGUCAUAUAGCCAUCUUUCUCCCUCUAAUAUUAAGUGUGGACUCCCUCAAUUUUAGUUUUCUGAUGGGAUUUUCCUAAUUCUCAAACCAUUCUGUCUUAUGUGUACUAGAGUAAUGCAUUGUGUUUUUGGUUCGUGUACAUUUACAGAGGCCUUAAAAGAGACAUUAGCUGAUUUUUCACAAUAACCCCAUAAUCGAGGCAGAUGAAAAACGGAGCCCUUUUAUUCCUAGGCCAAGACCCUUCUUACUCAGCCAUUGUCUCAUCUCAGGUUAUUAUACUCACAUCAUUCAUUUGUCAUUUUAGAAUAGUGAUUAAAGCACAGCUGUGUGCCUUGGUUAGUUUUAUUUUUUUCUUAACCAAUCUAAGCUUCCAUUUCCUCAUUUGUAAACUUAGGUUAACAAUAGUGCCUACAUCAUGAGCACUGGGUUUAGUCAGAUGAUCAAAGUCUUAGCACUGUGACUGCAAAUUGUAAGCACUCAAAAUAUUAGCCAUUAUUAAAACUAUCUUGUGGGCCAAUUCUUUUCCAGGCCCAGCUUUUCUCUUGUUGUCUUUCAGCAAAUAGAGAUAUAAAAUGGAAAACUUAGACUAAAACCAGCAGAACAAGAAGUAUCAAUGGCUGCACAAGGAAGUAAUGCAGACCUAUGCUAAAUUUUCUCUUGGUAAACACUUCCUUUUUCAUACCCCUCUCCCUUGAACUUUUUCACCUCCACUCCUACAAUUUUAUGUUAUGCAGAGUCAAAAAUAUAAUCAUCCUAAACUAGGCUCAGCAGUGUGGACAGUAACUGAUUGAAAUAUGAGGUUCUUUAAUUAGAAGCAGGAACUAGAGUAUAGUACUAAGAAUAAUGGUAAUAUAAUUAUUUGCAUCUUGUCUAACUUCCUCAUUUACACUGGCCUUCUUCAUUUCUAUCUCAUUCCCUGAUAAAUAUGGUAUCUCAAAGCCAAAUGUUUGGGACUCCAAUAUUAUCAUUGUGUUCACCUUCUUUACCCAUUAGGGCCUUUAUAUGAUAAUAAGUGUAAUAUGAUAUCCCCAAUGAAUGAGAUAGAGUGGCCCAUACAGGAGCGACCUCAAAGCACUUUUUCUGUACUGCAGAUGCAGUGCAAAAUUAGGAAUAUUAGGAAAAUUACGACUGCUUUCUUCAGAAAAUACUCAGGGCAAUAUUGUUGUGGAUAAUGGGAAAUAACUGGUGGUUUUUGAACAAGGAAAGUGAAUGUCGGUUAUAGUAUUGAAUAGAAUAGUGUUCUAGAAAUAGACAAUCUAUGUAGACCAGUAAGUCUGAAGUCAGGGUCACUGUGCAGCAACAGAGGACAUAAUCUGAGAGGCUACCUUUUCAUGACUGUGUCAGCAAAUACACCACCAUUGCUUUUCAUCUUAGAGGCAGCACAAAACUAUGCAAAAGAAAAAUCAAUCAAGAACAUAUUUAGGACACAGCAGGGAAGGCUCCUAUAAACAUUUUUUUGGGAAGAACAUAGAUAUAUGAUGCUUUUUUAAAAAGUUAUCAGUGGAAAAAAUUGGAAUUUCACAGGACUUUGUUAUAUUUGUUUUUGGCUUAGAGUUUGUUUUGUUUGGUUUCUUUGUUUAACUAUAUUUUUGGAAGGGUAGAAGGUGGAUGGACAUUGUAAUCUUCUUUACUAUUUAGAAACUCUAAAUGUCUUAAUCUGAUUCAGUCCAGGACUGCAUAGGAAUUACUUGAUUUUUGCCAUCGACACAGGUAUCAUAAUCCCUUUACUGCUCUAUCCGGAGAAUGUUGUGUUUUUUCCCCCCUUUAAGAUGAGGAAUCUGUCAGUAUGGUUGCUCCCUUAUGACUAACAGGUUAGAUUAUGCUUAAGUAUUCUACGUGGUCCCUCCCAUAAAAACUGCCUCAGAAACCUCCAGUGCCUCAAAUACUCUUGUCCUUGAAUGGUACAAGGAAGUAGAGGAUUCCUGGGGCAUAUAUGAUACUUAAUCUCUCUCUCUGCCUACUGACAUUCUAACAUUUUGGUGAGCCCCAUUUUAUUUGCUAUGGAAUUUGACAAACAGUUCAAUCCCACAAACAUCGAGUGAGCAAGUACCAUGUGCAAGCAAUUCAUUCAAUGAAUAUUUUCAACUCCUACUACGUAUCAUGCAUAAGAUUCACCCUAAUGAAGGAGAAGAAGGAGGAGAAGAAGGAAGGAAGGAGGACAAGGAGGAAGUUGGGAGGAAUCCCUGUUCUCAGGAGCUUCAAAUCCUGCUGGCUAGAAGAUAUGUAAACAUAAGGGCAAUAGAAAUCUUAUGCUGCCUCUGUGGACUGAGAGUGACAGGGGAUAGAUCCUUGAAGAAAUAGCAGUGUGCUUGGGGGAAACAGAUGCUGGGCAGGCAAAAACUUCUCCUGAAAAAUACAAACUGUGACUUGAGCCAUGCCUGAGGGAGAAGUAGAACUUUGAUUCCAGUUGAAGCAUAGGCAGUAGAAAAUGUAUGGAUUUGAGAGUUAAAAAUAAUUUUGAACCCAUCUUCACCAAUGAGCUGUGGUGACUGUGAAUAAGUUAUUUUGCUUCUCUAAGCCUCCACUCUAAAAUAGGAAUUGUGAUGUUUAGCCCAAAGUGUUGAGGUAUACAUCUCCUCAGGCCUCAAUGCAGUCUUGUAUAAUGACUUAGAGCAUGGACUCUGAAGCCAAACUGCCUCAGUUUGAAGUCUGGUGCUAACACUUAGCUAUUAAACUUGGGCAAAUUAUUGAAUUUAUCAGUACCUCAGUUUCCACAUCUGAAAAUAGAAAUGAUAAUAGCAAACUGACCUCUCAGUAGUUGUAAAUUAAACAGACAGGUUAAUGAUAUAAAGUACUUUAAUAAGUGACUACACAUGGUAAGCCCUAUAACCAUUUGCUAUUAUUACCAAGUGUUUAGUGAUACAAUAUAAGCCAUUAAAUUACCAUAUUACCUGGUUAGUAGAUGCUAUUUUUUAUUAUAGUGCACUGUGAUAAACAUUGUAAGAAAUAUAAAUGUUCCUUGUAUUUUUAGGGAAGACAUGAAAGAAAUUAUAGCCUAGUCAUAAGUGACACUCACAAGUAAUCAUAAUAAAGAUGGUAUGUAAUAAAUAUUGCAAGAAAGAUCAGAUAUGUCCAACUGAUAGUUCAGAAGAAUAAGGGAUCAGGAAGAAAAAAAAACUAUAAUAGAGACAUGGCCUUCUCAUCAUGGCCUGGGCAUGAUAGCAAGACCCCAUCUCUUCAAAAAAUGAAGAGAUAUCCCCUAGGAGCAUGCAAUCCUAGAGGAAGGCAUGGGUGUACCUUCCAGAUUGGAAGGAGAGGUAAUGAUUGUUGAGUCAGCAAUGCAAGAUUAGGUAGACUAUUGCUGGGUGGAUUAGUGCAGGGAAUGCCUUCCCUGAUGAAACCAACAAUGGUUGCAAAGGCAUAGAAGCAUGAAAGGGCAAAAAGUGUGUGUGUGUGUGCAUGUUACAGAAAAAGCAAAGCAGUCAAGAGAGAUGGAAGAUGUGUACUUGGGGACAUCACAUGAGCGAUGGAGACACAAAGAUGAAUAAGACAUGAAGGAAAUAUUUUUGGAUGAUGCAUGCUGGAGACUGUUUUUGUUUUUUGUGUCCUUUUGUCCUUAACUUCCUCCUUCCUUUUUUCCUUCAAAAUACAUUUACUGAUACCUACAAUGUGCUAGAGAAAUAUGACUUUCCUUAUAUCACCUGUUAUAUAACAGAGUUUUGUCCCAUGAUAAGUGAUAUAAUAGAAAUCGCCUCAUAUGAAACAAAGUUAUGUUAUAUCAGAAAUGUGAUAAAUAAUUUUCCAAGUUACACCGAAACUAGGCCCCAAAUAGGGCUCUUUCAUUAAACUCUUUGUUCAGUUGCUUUCUCUCACUCCCAUGUCCCUAAAGUACAUGGAUAGUAGAGAAUCCUUUUUUUUUUUUUCAGUUUAUGUGGGCUUAGCAAAGAGUGGGCAGGCAAUAGAGACUUGCAGAUCUCAACUGAAUUACUGGAGAAUUUAAUUUUAAAUGCUCUAGAAGGUUAUCUUCUUCACAACUUGGUGGCAAAUUCUUUCAGGAACUGAAAGUUGCAUGUGUUUUAAAGGGGCAUAAGCUUGUGGAGAACCUUUCUCUUUGGUUUAGCUGCAUCGAUAUGCUGAUUUUUUAAAAUGCACUGAACAUGCAAAAAUGAGUAUAUUAUUGACCUCAAAUCAAUGCCCAUCACUGUUUCUAUCUUAUACAGUGAGCUUCUUGGCUUUUUAAUAUUUUCAUUGUGAAGUUAUUCCAAUGAAGACAAAAUUUUGUCAAAUUUAUUACCCAGGGAGCUUUCAAAAUGAAGCAGAGAGACUUUGACCGAGCAAUUUCACUUCUGGAAUUUUAUUCUACUUAUGCAUACUUAUACAUAUGUGCAAAGACAUAUAUAUCUGAAAGUUUAUUAUUUUUUCGAAGCAUUGUUUAUAGGGAGAAAAAGCAGGUAACAGCCCAACUGUCCUUCAAAAGAGAACUAGUUAAUUUAUGAUAUAUCCAUAUAAUUAAUAUUAUUCAGUCAUUAAAAAGAAUAAUAUAGAUCUAUGUGAGCUUAUUUGGAAUGAUCUCCAGGACAUGUUUUUAAAUUAAAUCACAAAUACAAACAAAAGAAAGAGAGAAAGAAAAGUACAGAAUAGGUAUAAGGAAGAUUUCCAUUUGUGAGACAUAAAUAUUUAUCUGUGCUUUGUAUAUUUAUUUAGUACACAUGAAUGCUAUGUAGGCAUGGAACAUUUCUGAAAAGAUCAGCAAGAAAGUACAAAUAGUGAUUAUUUCUGGAUGGGAAUCUGGACUACGCAGCAGGCACACUUUUCAUUGCCUGUCCUUUGUAUUAUGUGAUUUUUACCAUGCUAAUAUAUUUUUAUUAAAAAUUAAUUAAAGAAAGAAUAACUACUGGAGAUAAGCCAUUUUUGGUCAAUUCCAUAGUGGCUAGUUAGAGGCUAAGUAAUAUGCAAUCAUGAAAUUAAUGCUCAAAUUAAUAAAACAGUAUUUCCCAAUCUUGAUUUUAUUACAAGUUCAUUUCUGAGUAGUUCAAGAACUUGUAGAAUUAUUUUAAAGAUCUCAAAAUAAAAGAAAGUGGUAAUCUAAUUUUGAAAGGAAAUAUGUUUCACACAGUUUGGGAAAGAGAGAAGUAUUGUUUUCAAAUAGGGAGCAGUGCCUUAGUGAGUAAUUUCAUUUGCAUUCCUGUGUAUCUUUAAGCUGAGUACAAACUAAGAAAAACUGUUCUUGCAGAAUACACUGUAAAAUUACUUUAAUCAGUAAUUACUUUGACCUUUCCCUAUCAAAGGUCAAAACACCGGACAGCCUGUUGCUCUUAACAUCAGCUCUUCUGCGUAAUAUUUCUCUUUGCUCUGGAACACAAUUAGCUCUUGGGAAAAGAGGCCAACUUUUCAGUUUCUGCCUUUCAUGGUUUCUGUCUUCCCCUCUGCUUCAGUGCAGGUCAGUCACACAGAUAAGCAUUAUGCCCAGAAUAAAACUGGCUCUGUUUAUCUGGACUAAUAAAUGAAUGGAACCAGUUAUUUUCAUUGGCUUGGUCUGGAAGGAAACCAAACUAAUUUCCACAGACCUUAAAUUGGACCUAAUCCAAGCUACUUGUCCUCACUAAUAAGAGCAAUAACAAUUAGUAUAAAAGCAAAAAUUUUUACAAAAGCAAUCCAUAUUUACUGCUGGGCAAGAAAAUUGGAUAAAACUAGGAACUAACAUGAGGGACUCUGAAAGCUCUGAGAAAUCCACUUCAUUUGUAUUUCAAUGAGUCUGAGCUUUGCAGGUGAAUACAACCUUUCUUUAGGUUCUAGAUACUCCAGUUUCUCUCUGGUCAAUUUUUCUAAUCAAGUUGUGCUAACUUCCGCUGAUGAGCAGAAAGUAUGUGUAUGGUACAGUCAAAACUUUUGCACUUUUGUCUUACUUAAGAAACUUAAAACUCACAUUUGUAUUCCUAGGGUUUCUGACAAGUCGGCAUACUUUAUUUCACAAUGUGUUCAUGGAACAGUGAGAUUUUGACUUCCAUUGUGCACAUGUAAUAAAAUGUUCUCAUUAGUGAUAUUCACUCAGUGUAUGAAAGCAGUUACUGCCUCUGCCCAAAAGGCAUUGCUGUUUCCAUUUAAGAUUUAUGGUUGGCCUUUUAAUUAUACUCCCAACACUGCCCCUAAAUAUAUCCCCAUGGAAAAAUAUAUAAAAGUAUUUCACUUAAUUAUUAUCUUGCUCAAAGAUCAGGGCAAUAUCUUGGAGCUGCUUCCAAGACUAUUGCUUUAUGAUUUGAAAGCUGUUUAGCUAUUUUUACCAAAUAAUUAAUUCAGAUAUAUCAAGAAUAGGGUAAACUCUUUAUUGAAACGAUUUGUAGGGAACUUAAAGAGUAAUUAAUUUUCCAUAUGUAUUUUUAAAUGAAAAUAACUUAUUCUUUCUUUCUGAUUUAAAAAAAUGCCUACUUGUAGCAAAACAAAAUAGGGGAAUUCAUUAAAAAAUUGUUUAAACCCAAUGCAACCCACCUAUAUUUCUAGGUACCAAGAAUACCACUAUGAAAAUGUUCAUGAACAUCCUUUCAGACAUUUAUAUGGAUAGACAUUAGGCAUACACAUUUUUUAAAACAAAUGAGAUAAUACUGAAGGAGUUCAGGACAUUCCACCCCAAAAUAUGUCCCUUUGGCGUAUUGAUUAUUUUGAUUUAAAGACACCUGGGGCUGGGCAUGGUGGUUCACACCUUUAAUCCCAGCACUCUGGGAGGCCAAGAUAGGCGAUGACUUGAGGUCAGGAGUUCAGAUCAGCCUGACUAACAUGGUGAAACCCCAUCUCUACCAAAAAAAUACAAAAAUUGGCCAGGAGUGGUGGCACUCACCUGUAGUCCCAGCUACUUGGGAGGCUGAGGCUGGAGAAUUGCUUGAACCCAGGAGGUGGAGGCUCCAGUGAACUAAGAUUACACCUCUGCACUCCAGCCUGGGUGACAGAGUGAGAUCCUGUCUCAAAAAAAAAAAAAAAAAAGACACUUAGAAGACAAUAGGUAUUAGAAGGGCUUUCUGACCACCCCUUUUCUAUUUAAAAACAGUCCAUAAAAUUUCCUAUGAAAAAGCUGCCUUCCUUGUAUCAAAAAGUGAAGAACAUCCUUAUCAGCAGAGACUGGGAAUCAACACUAAAAUGAAUCCAUAUACACAAAUUUACUAAAAUAACUCUUAUUGUCCACCAGUUUUCCCCACUUAAUGUUUUAUCACUUCCCCGCAAUUAACUGCCCCUAGCCCAAACCACUUUGUCUUGUCAUUUCUUCACAAAUUCAUCACUUCUUUGUCCAAAAGGUACAUAUGCUUUCUGCUCUGGUCCUUUCUUCAUGGUUUCAUUUUCCUGUGAGGAUUCCCAUGCACAUGUGCCAUUCUAAUAAAACAUAUGUGCUUUUCUCCUGUUCAUCUAUCUAUGUCAAUUUGACUUUUAGGUCCAGUCAGAGACCACAAGAACGCAGAAGACACAUUUUAUUUCCUCUAUAAUACCAUACUGUUUUAAAAUUAACAAUAUAUUCUUUAAAAUAUGUAAAUAUAAGUAGAUGAUUAGAUAGAGAGAUCUCCAACUCACCACUUAAAGUGCUGCAUCAUAUUAGAUUCUGUUUUCAUAUUUUACCAAUCCACUAUUGAUGAACAUUUAAGUAAUUUCAAUUCAAUUUUAAAUAACACUAUAGCAAAUACCAAUGUGUGUUUUUCUGAUUAUCUUUCUAGGUUUUAUUCCCAAAGGUUACUGACUAUGGAUAUUUAAAAUGUUUGAAAUGUAUUCUUAACUUCCCCUUCAACAAUGUUAAAACCAAUGGUUUUAAUAUCCUUAAAGGUAGUUUCUACUUUACACAAAAGUUAUUUGGAAGGAGAUUUGGGGUAAAGGAAGUGAUUAGGAGGAAUAGAGGAUUAAGAGAUGAGGAUGAUACUGGAUAUAUUUCUUAAAAAAGUCUAUGAGAAGAUAGAAAAAUGAGUACAGCUUAGAGAUGCUGAAAUAUCAUAACAGUAAAAAAGGUAUGUGUUACAUGAAGUUAGGCACCAAUCCAAAGAAGUUGCUGAGAGAACAAUCUUGUGAACCUACAAGUUAAUUGUAGGAGAGAAACUCAGAAGUUUUAGUAUGAAUGAGCUGGAAGGUUACUGUUUCACUCAGGAGAUUAGAAAGAUAACAAGAGACAUUGCUUAAAUCUAUUUUCAAAUAUAAUGCUAAUAAUUUUUUCAGUAGGCUAUAAAAACAAGUCUUCCCUUUCCUACUGCAGUUAAAAAAAAUGCAUUGUCCUUUUCCCCCCUCACACUUUGUUUGUAUCAGGACCUUCUUGUUUAGAUCAGGUUACUAAAUAUCUUUAGAAGACACUACAUUUAGAAAAAGAAAUUAUUGUUUUGAAGUUUUUCCAAAGCAAAUAAAGAUAAUUCUUAUACUUCUAUAGAUAUUUAAAUCCAAAUGUGUCUGUUCAAUGGAUAAAACCAUAGAGGUCUUUAAUUUUGCAAAACAAGCCCAUGGCAAACCCAUGAAAUAGAAAAAUGUAUUAUUUUGAAUACUACUAUCCAAUCUUCCCCCACGCUUUCUCUGGUGCCCAGUUUUUCCAGGUGACACUGCUAUACCUCAGCCUGAAGCCUCUACCCCUCUUGUUCAGCUCUGUCCCUGCAGACAGAACUUCUAGGUGGGUCCCCAAGGACCAGAUUUGCCUCACUCUAUACCCUCUGAAUGCUUUAGCCUUUGACUUGUUUCCUCAAGGCACUCCUAAAUGAUGCUCUUUUAACUGAUGAACUAUUUUGAAAAUUAGUGACUGAGGGUAGACCAGUGUGUUACUACUCCAAGUAACAAGAGCAAUUUAAAAGUGUCCUUCAGUGCUUCAGUGGAAAGAAAUCUGUUCCAUAAAGGGAAUUCAGGCUUCCUGCAACAGGAUGUUUUCUGUUCAAUCCAUAGUCAUACCAAGCAGGGCAACAGCUCUUAGUUUCUAGUCACAAUCAUAGAUACAGGUAGGAGAUACUGAUAAAUAUUUGAUAAAUAUUAUUUCAUUGGAGCUUCAAUUCUAUUUAAUUUUUAAUUUUAUCAGAGUAAUGCACAGAUACAUGCUUUUAUAAAGUAAAAUAGCACUUAGAGAGCUUUUAAUAAAAUUAGCUUGCCUGCCGCAUUGCCCCACUUCAAAAGCAGGAUCUUCCACACUUGAUUUGUUUAUGUGUACUUCUGAAUUUCUAAACUACCUGCCCACUUUAUUGACUUUUCAAUUUUAGAUAUCAUUAUUGAAUGAUAUCCCUGUAAGAGAAAUGAAGAUUAAGCAGUCUGAUGCACGCUUCUCACCACACACCACAAAUACAUGUCCCUCCUUCCAUCUUCUUAUUCUGUAACAGACUUUGGGGUUAAAUUAAUAUUUAAUAUUUCCAUUGAUGUCACUGUGUCUAUCACUCACAUCUGAAAGAUGCCAUGUUUUGUAAUUUACAUUUCUUUUCUCAUAUUAAUUUUCAUUAUUCCUAAACUUUAAAAUAGCCAUGCACUGUUUUGUUUUCUUCAUUUCCUAUGUGCCUAUCAUUUACGCAAUCUCAAAUUUUCUGAUACUGCUGCUAAACUCUCAGUAAAAUCAGACACAUUAGGUGAACUAUCAGUAGUACUUCUCCUUUCAUGGAGACAUUACUCCUGGGGCUGUCUGUCCUUUUGCUUCUCUGGUCUAUUGCAGAUAAUCUGUUAUUCCUAACUGUAUCUCUUCAUUCAAAUGACAAUAAAGCUCAAUAUUUAGUGAAGAGCAAUCUUGACAUGUGAUUCGAAGACAUAACUUUAUUUUCAUUUUGAUUAUUUUUCCUAUGUCUCAAAUAAGGUUUCUUGUGUGAGUGAGGGAUAACCAGGAAUGAGCAAAUGUUUCUGUGUUUUGCCUAUAAAACAGACACAGAGUCCCAAGACUGUCUCUCUAGAAGAAUUUUUCCAGAGAUUCCUUAGUUCAUCCUACUCUCAAAUGGCUAAUUUUAUUCCCCUUGCAAGUCUUUACCAAAAAUGAUUUUGUAGCCUGAACUGCUGUGGUACUAGAAAUUUCAUCUGCUUUUUUCUGAGUAUUCCCAUUCCUUCUCAUUUUUAAUCAGCCCUGUAUAGUUUAGAUUUCAUGUCCUCCUCUUUUUUAUUUACCCUCUCAUUUUGAAGAAGCAAAUAGUUCAACAGCCUCUUGAGAAGGAGGACUUGAGAGGUAAAUAUAUUGAGGUAUUGCAUGUCAACAAUAUCUUUAUUCUGUUCUCAUGCUUGAUUGUGGCUUGGCACAGUGCCAAACUCAAGGUUGGAAAUCAUUUUCCCUCAGAAUGUUGAAGGCAGUGCUCCGACUGGAAUGGAGCCCAUGCUGCUGUUGAGAGGUUCAGUGGAAUCUGAUCCGGAUUCUGAAUCCUUGUAAUGAGAACUGAUUUUUCUCUCUGGGAGACUUUUAAGGUCUUUUCUUUAUCUCUGGCUUCCUGAUGAUAAGCCUUGCUUCAUGUGGGUCUUUCUUCAUUCAUUGUGUUAGGUUCUUAAUCAGACUUUUCAAUCUGAGAAUGUGUCCUUCAGUACCAAAAAUGUUUAUUCUAUGAUUUCCUUGAUAAUGCUAUCCCCUCUGUUAUAUCUCUUUCCUGUUUGUGAAACUCCUAUUAAUCCAUUUAUGCCUAGUGUUCCAUUAUUGGAACACUAAGCUUGUGAGAGUUAUUUAUAUCUUACUGCCCAAGGUCAUCACCAAGGUCUGAUUUUUCACACAAAAAAAUUUGCAACCUCCUGCAUAAAUGGGUUAAUUGGAUGUGAAACCUCUGAUUCUUGUCUUUUCUAUACUGUUUUUCAUCUCUUUGAUUUUUAUUUCAGUUUCUGAUUUUCUCAAAUUUUGUGUUUAAAUUCUUCUGUUUUUAUUUGUGCUACUGUAUUUUUUUUUAAUUUAAAGAGCUUUUAAAAAAUUUAUUUCUUUUAGAUAGCAUUCUGUUCUUUUUCAUGGGUGCAAAAUCUACUUUUGUUUCUGGGGAUAUUGCUUACAGAAACUUUUCCUGUUACUCCAUGAAUGGUUUCCAGUAUAUGGUGUACUGGCUGGAAAUUUAGACUCUGCAUCCAGCUUAAAUGUCAAUCAACACCACCAUUGACUGUGCCUAUGACCUUGGGCAAGUUAUCUAAACUCUGCUCAUCAGUUGUCUCAGUAAAAUAGAAACAAUAAGAGUAUACAGUAACGCAUGGCAUUAUUGUGAGGUACAAAUGAGAGCAAAAUGUAUUCGGCACUCAGAACAGUAACUGGAAAAGAGGAAGCCCAUAUGAUAUGUUAUUAUAUCCAUUUCCUCCAAGUUCCUUUUUUUCCUGUUUUAUUUUACUCUUUAUCAUUUGUGUUAGACAUUUUUCUCAAAUGCCUGAUGAUCCUUGGCUGUGUGUUCAUAUUUAAUAAUGAGGAACUAAGAAGUAAAUUGGAAACCUUCUGUGUGCCUUUGAACUCCUGAAGAGCCAUGUGGGAAUAUAACACCCCACAGCUUCAGUGCUGGAAAGACCUCAUGAUAGAGAGUGGUGAUCAAGGAGCACCAGAUGUUGCAAUCACUGCCUGCAGCCAUAUCAGAUACCCCAAUAAGAACCGCCUCGCUGAGUCCAGUCAGCACCCAAAACCAUGAGAAGUCAUAAUAACAACAAGUGAUUGCUGUUGAUUUGUUCCACCAAGUCAUGUAACAAUAGACAAAUGAUGCAGAGAAGAAUAGGCCCUAGAAUGAGCAAGAGCCCCACCUAGUAUCAGAUCUUGUGACUUGAAAGUUUCCCUUCCCAUCUAGGAACAGCCUCUCAAUCUCUAUUCCUCUAAAAUCUACUAGACAAUAUCCUUGUUUGAUUCUCUAUAGAUAUUUUAGUGUUAAUCUUUCCUUGAAGUUUAAGACAGGUCAUCCAAACACAGCUGAAGGUAAAUCGGAGUGUUGGAGAUGAUGCCACUCUAAGGCAUAGUAAGCCAGUUUUCUAAGAGUUGAGAUAACACAUAAUGAUAAAUUACCUACGACAAACACAAUAUAACUGUUACUUGGAUUAAUAACCCUCUUUUUCUCUUCACAUCUCAUCAGUUCCCUCUGUCAUCUAAAUACAUUCCUAUGCCAGGAAUAGAAUUUCAGAAAACAGUUUACUUUGCAAAUUCAAAAGUAUCUCAAAUUUAGGGAAAAGAAAGUGAGAUGAAAGUUUCAGUGAAGUCUUCUCCAAAGCUAAAACAAUCAUUUGAAAAUAGAUGCCCACAAAUGUUGCAGCUUGAUUUAUAGAGGCAAAUAAUUCAGCAUUAAAUGAGGAGCAACAUGAUUGCUAAGAGUAUAUAUGUUUAAACUGUGUCAACAGCUAUUACACUGUGAAGAGGGAUUUGGAUUUUGAACAUCUUGUCAAGUCAAGAGACGUUGUUUACAUUUCACUGCUCACUUUAUUUCUGCUACCGAGAAUGAGAUUUGACUUCUUCCAAAGAACUCAUUGCUACAAGGAAGGGUAAAUACAGAGAGUAGUCAAGGUGAUCUCACAGGGGAGAAGGUAACUAAGCAUCCAAAUUGAAACACUUAAAUUUAAACAGCUGUAAAACAUGUAAUCAGCCAUUCAAAAUGUAAUUGUCAAAACUGGCUACACUUACCGAACAUUUCACUCUGCAUUUGUUUGAAAUGUUUUGAAACUCUAAGUUUAGGUUGAACAUUAUAUUUGGUUAGCAGGGAAAAUUUUGCCUAUUCUGAUUUACAGUGAACUACAGGAAGCUAAUAAGUUGCCUGGGAGAUACUGACUGAAACUAUGAUCUGCAUAGGUCACUUAGUUACUAAUUGGUUAUGGGAAAGGCAUGGCUAAGCCUACUGCACUGAAGAUUUGAAACUAUGAACACCACACACAGGAGGAACCUUAACCCUUAGCAGUCAAAUGCUGCAUGUAAUAAUAUGCAGAAGAGGAAAAUCUAUCCUUUAAGUUUGUUAAGAACCAGCAGUUUUAGGAGGAAUCAUUUGCCAUUCUCUGACAGUUUACAUGUGUUUCCCUGAAAAAUGAGAUAAAGUAAAAUAAAACAAAAAUAAGCACAAGUUUACUCAGAGAUGAUGAAACCCCAAACUAGAUUGGUGGUUGAGAAACAUGAUAUUCAUGGCCUUCAUAGUAAAAGCAUUGUUGUUAAGCACUCUACUCUCAUUACCUCUUUUAGCCCUUGUAACUGCUGUGAUGGAUAUGUCUAUAUCUCCCCCUCUAUAUUUGAGGAAACUGAUGCUUAAAGAGACUAAGAAAUAGGUUCAGCAACCAUCCUGAUUUGCCCGAGACUGAGAGGUUUCCCAGGUUGCAGAAUUUUCACUCUUAACACCAGGAGACUCCUGGGCAAACCAGAAUGGUUGGUCACCUUAUGCAGCAGCAGGUCACUUACUUACUAACUGGUUAUGGAAAAGGCAUGGCUAGGCCUACUGCACUAAAGCUUUGAAAGCAACUCCACAUGGCAGCAAGCAUUUCUUUCUGUGUUAUAGGGUAUCUUACUUUUUUGGAGACAGGGUCUUGCUCUGUCACCCAGGCUGGAGUGCAGUGAUACAACUAUAGCUCACUGCAGCUUCGAACUCCCGGGCUCAAAGGAGCCUCCCACCUUAGCCUCCCAAGUAGCUAGGAUGACAGGUGCCUGCCACCAUGUCUGGCUAAUUUUUUAAUUUAAAAAAUUUUAAAUUUUGGGGUCUCACUAUGUUUCCAGGGUGAUCUCAAACUCCUGGACUCAGGCGACCCUCCUUCCUCACCUUCCCAAAGUGCUGGGAUUACAGGCAUGAGUUGCCAUGUCCAGCCUUAUAGGGUAUUUUUCAUUGUACUGAUUUAGAUAUUCAACCCUCUCCACUCAUCCUUAGACCUGAGAGAUACUCACUCCAUAUGAUCUGCUAAACCAUCCAAAUGUGAACAUCCUCCCGUGCCCCUGAGGCUGAAAUGGCAGCAUUCACAUGUAUCUGAUACAAAAUCUUAUUUUUAUGAUAGAGAAAACUAAAGCUCAGAGAGGUUUAAGUAGUUAACCAAGGUGCCAUUUAACUUGACUUCUGUAAAUCACCUUGAGACUUAAAGGAACAAAUUGUUUUUCCUUUAAAUUAGAAAUCUUUAAUACCUGGAUUAGGUUCAAAGGGUAAACUGUCAAGGGUAAAUUUCAAGAGAGAUAAUAUUUCAAAUUGGUGGUAUCGAAUGAUAAAAAUACAUAAUCUGUAAUGUGUAUUUGCAAGUAAUUAAUUCGGCUGUAGAAGGCAAGAAAACAAACAGGAUGGGUGAAGCUCAGAAGAUGCAUUAAGCAUAGAUAAGUAAAUUAGUAAUCUGUAAGACGUGUUCAAUAUAAAUAAGGUAAGUGGAGCAUAUGCGUGUGAAAAUAGAAAUGGUUGAAAGGACGAAGUGACUUUAACUAUUCAUGAUAUACUAAUUAUAUAUCAAGCAUGUGUGUUCCCAACUAGUCACAUUACAUGAAGUAUGUAAUGUAACGUGUAAGUACUCAGAAGAGGAACUCUUGAACUAUAUAUGAAAGGUAAGUUUUCUAGAAGAGGUGAUACCUAAACCAAAUUCUUAAGGCUCUGAGAAGGUAAGGGUGGGCUGGGGAGGGGCAUUCAGAUGGAGACAACCAUAGGUAGUUGGGUAUAUGGAUGGAUACAGGGUAAGGAAUCACUGUAGGUUAAUUCUAUGAAAAUGAUUGAAGUCAAAACGGAAGCACAGUCUAAAAAGUAUGCAGGAUGGAACUCAAGGAGCUCACAGACUGUCAAGGAAAGAGGACGAUAUGUAGCAUCUGACUUACUUAUAUUGCAAAUAACUCAAAGCAUGUAUUAAUAUCUUUAGUAAUAAUAGAUCCAGGUUGGGCCUUGGGAAUAGGUAUAGAUUUGGACUUAUCAUGUCAAAAGACAUUAAUGUUCAAAAAUUUUAUUACCAUGUCAUCAAAAAUGUCUUUACUUAGGAACCUAAGAGGUUUUCUUUUAAUACUAAUACAGCAACUGAAAAGAGUAAAACCUUGACAUGCAUCUGUUAAAGUCCCAUCUAUAGUCAUCAUUAUCAUCAUUGUUACCUUUAUUAUUUAAGUAAAUCUAGACUGUGUUAAAUAACCACCACACAUUAUCUUACUUAAUAUGUAAUACUAUAAAGUACUAUACAAUAUGCUAUACUAAUAUUAUAAAAUAGGUACAAUAGUCCCCCACUUAUCCAUGGGGGAUAAGUUCCAAGACCCCAGUGGAUACCUGAAACCUAGAAGAGUACCACACCUGAUGGCCAUCAAUUGGAAUACACUUCUGUUCAUGUCUUCCAUUCACAAGUUUAAUGCCUUUUCCAUUUAACCAAGCACUUAGCAUGCACUGUGGCUGUAAUUUCUGCAAUUUGCGAUGUGACAACCAAACUGGCAGAAAUUUCUUUUCCUUCUUCACAAUUUCACAGAUAGAACAUCUUAGCAAUCUCAGCAUAUGAUUCUUUUCCUUCCUAAAGUUGACAACUUUUAUCUUUCACUUAAAGGAAGCAACUGACAGCUUCUUUUUGGCAUAUUCAAAUUGCUAGUAUCCUUCCUCUUGCACUUUGGAGCCAUUAUUAAGUAAAAUAAAGGUUACAUGAGUCCAAGCGCUGGGCUGCCAGGACAGUCAAUCUGAUAACCAAGACAGAUACUAAGUGACUAAUAGGUGAGUAGUGUGUACAGCGUGCAGGCUCUGGACAAAGGGAGGAUUCAUGUCUCAGGGAGGACAGAGCAGGACAGCACGAGAUUUCAUCAUGCUACUCAGAAGGGUACAAAAUUUAAAACUUAAGAAUUGUUUAUUUCUGGAAUUUUCCAUUUAAUAUUAUCAGGUUGACCAGGGCUAACUGAAACUGCAGAUUGUGAAACUGUGGAUAAUGGGAGACUACUCUUGACUUAAAUAGACUUUAACUGAAAAUGAGGCUCUGAGAGUUGAAGUUUAUACAAUCAAGAAGUGGCAAAGUUGGCCUAAAAAGCCUAAUGUAUAUGAUUCCAAAACAAUAAGGUUUGUAUCUAGAAUCAGAUACAUUAGGCUUCUUAGGCCAACUUUGCCACUUCUUGAUUGCAUAAACAUUAUCAGAAAUACAUUCUGAUAAUAAAUAUUUUAACAAUUAGACUUUAGUUAACAUAACUCAAGUCAGUACAAAUUUCAACAAAGCUGAUAGUACCAGGAGUCGUUCCAAGUGCUUUUCAUGAUUAUAUAACACUUUUCUAUUCUUCCAUAGCCAUGAGCAAAAAGCAAGAAGCACAAUCUGAGUGCCAACCCUGCCCACAAUGUUCAGUAGACAAAAAUUUCCCAUGAUACUCAAAAUUGCCUGGUGCAGUCUCACCUACCACCAAUACCACUGUGAGGAUUUAUUUAGCAGAUUCAUGAUCUAUGCAUUCUUCACCAUCAACAUGAAAGGCUAAAUAGCAUCACAACAUUAACCUUUCUCCAGAGUAAUUUAUAUACCAUUAAGAGAUGCAGUCUGUCAAAGGAAAAAUGCCACUGAUGGUAGAAUUUUAAUCAUUGACAAACAUCUUUAGGAGACAUUUUGUGGUUUUCUUUUUUUUAGAUUAGGGAAGGGAGAUAGAGAUAGGAUGUCAGGGGGUAUGAUAGAGAGUAGUUUGGGGAAAAGCAAACCCUCUCUUGCCAUAGGUCCCUCACUUUAUUUGUAAUGACUCUACCUCUGGAUCAUAAAUAUUGGGAAAAAAAUCAUUAAUGAGUGCAAAUUGUUGUAAAUGACAAAAUAGAAAGUUAUUAGUCUUUAGCUACACAUAUGUAUGUGUGUGUUAUCAAUACACUGCUCUAAACACUACAUGGUGUGUUAUGAAUUUACCACUAAAAACAUUAUGCAUAAAUUGGAACAAUUAUCUGUAUCACGAGGUAAGAUCUACCUGUCAAAACAAGGGGCUUAUAGUGCCAGGAAAUGGAGUGGGAGGAUUUUAUGGCAUACCCCAGGAGAGGCACUCGUGAUUAGCGGUCCACUUCCCAUAAGACAACCAAAGUCAGUUGACUGGUGAAAACCAAAAUUCAGUGGCUUCCAGGGCCACUUCUACUUAGAAUACCAAGAAAAAUGCUUCUGCUGUCCACUCACCUGCAAAGAAUGGAAGGACCUUCUCCAACUCACAGGAAAUGCAUUUCUUUCCAACCUGAAGAAUUAAGAGUUCGCUAGUCAUUCUCCCUACUUUUUGUUUUCUUUCCUGUAUCUUGGUCAAAAGUGUGGGAAAAUCGAGGCAUGCUAAAGAUAUUUUGAGCUCUCCUAAUCCUCAGUUAAAAUUGUCUGCUCUGCUGAGGCAGGAGAAUGGCGUGAACCCGGCAGGCAGAGCUUGCAGUGAGCCGAGAUCGCGCCACUCUUGGACGACUGAGUGAGACUCUGUCUCAAAAAAAAAAAAAAAAAAAAAAGAAGUCUGCUCUGGAGAAUGGUAAUGAAAUGUAAUAAGAGCUCUAGAAUGAAACCCCAUACGUAAAAACUUUUCAUCACACCAACUGGUUAUUCUUUCUGAGAUGGGCCUGAAAUUAAACCAAUCUUUAAAGACAGAAGUUCAUAGCAAUCUCUAGGAUGAGAAAACCUGGGCUCAUUCAUUCAUUCAUGCAUCCAUUCAUUCUUUCUUUCAACAAUAUUUACCAAGUGAAUUCUAGGUGAUGCUGCACUUCCAUGUCUUCUUGUUGAGCGUUGAAGCAGAAAACGAGUGGGAGCCAAACCAUGACAAUUCAAUGCCUGACACUGAGAAACUAGAAAAUUCAAAUGCAGAUGGGGCUUCAUUUUUGUCUACUGAUAAUGUUUUUGAAAGCCUUGAUUUCCUCCCCACAACUGAAUUCCCAAUAAAGGUAUGGAAAGUUCAUUGUGCAAUGGCCGGGGAAUUCCUGGGUCACUUGCACCGCUUGAAGAAGCGAUUAGGGAUGGGGUCACUGUGUUCCCCAGUGACUGUAGUAAAGAGCUGGGAAGUCAAGGACCCAGUCACUUUCUGAGCUUUUGUUUCCUCAGAUUUCAAAUAGGCAUUAAAAAAACAAAACAAAACAAACCUAUUUCAAGAAGAAUUAAAGAGAGAACUUCCACAAAGAACCUGAUCAUGGUAUGUGAGAUAACAUACAAAAUUGCUAAGUCAGGAACUUGAACCAAAGACCUUCUGGUUCAAUUUGCAAGAGAUCUACAUAGCCACUUGAGAGGGUCAGACAAAAAUUUUACUAUUAAAGGAGGGCUUGACUGUUUUUCUCUGGACUCCUGACCACUCAGGGGCCAUGUGAUGUGUUCUGAGAAAUGGUGUCACGGCAGUAAAAGAUAGUGGCCUUCUUCAGAGUCAUGCCUUACAGAGCCUCCUUAGUGUUUCACCUGGACAAAAAGAAAAACAGAAUUUCACAGAAAAUUAAAGCCUUACUCUCUUUCUUUGACAAAGAUAUUUGGCAAGAUUCAUCAUACAAUUCCACAAGCAUUAGUCAUUGAAGGAUCCAAAGCACGGACUGAAGAACAGAAAAACCUGCUGAUACAAGUCCCUUCUCAGGAAUGGCUUGGACUGACCAGGCUGGUUCUUCCACCCAAUUUGGCCAAUGGAUUUCAAAGACAAAGUUUUGGACUUGAAUUUCGGUAACUUUAAGUCUACGGAAGAAACUUAUCGUUUUGACAAACUUGAAAUAUGAUUUGUGUGUACUUGUCUAUUCUAUCUAAUGAGAGAUGGCAAACUCCUUAAGAACAAGAAUUGUGUUAUGUCUGGCACAUUGUAGGUGCUCAAGAAAUAUAUUCACUACAUGAAUAAAUAAAUAAAGGUCAACAAAAGCCUGCAAAAUAGUUUGUGUGAUUAUUUUUUGGAAAGUUUUAAUGAUAAAGAGUGUGGUAAAAAUUAAAUAGAAUAAUAAGAAGAAAUGAAUCCACGAAUUCAUGUUAUUUAAAAAAAUUUGAAAUUUUAAAAAUAACAAAUAAAAAUAAAAAUAAAAAAAUAAAAAAUAACUUGAAAAGAAAGCCAAUAUAUCCAGAAAAGCAGAGCCUGAGAAACUGCAGAAAAAUGGAGCAGAAGCCUACUUUAUCUCUGGACUUAGUGUUGAGACAAUAUGUUUCCUCAUUGCUUAAGCCAGUUUUUCUAUUAUUUGCAGUGAAAAAGUGCUAUAAUUGAUUCAAAAUCAAUGCAUUUGCUUCCAGUGGGGCAUAUUCUUUCCAAUAACCACAAGGCAUUGGUUGCUUCCCCUAGACACUCCUUCCUCUAUUGGAAGAUCUGGGAAACCAAAUUAGUUAUUGGAAAUUUCUCUGCCUCAACUCCUCCCUUCCCUCCUGAGGGUGAGUUCUUUAAAAGAGAAUGGGAUGAAUUUUCAGAGAGCCUGAAAUACAUUUUUAGAAAUCCUGUUGAAGUACUGUGACCCAGAAACAAGGUCCCCUCUCCAGUGACUGAGAGAUUCAAGACACUCCACAGUGAGAACUUUUUUUUUCUUCUUGAACAAUGGUGAAGACCCUCUGUCCUUGUCUUCUCCUUUGCUUCUCUUUGUGUAGACCAUCAUUGUUCAAAAAGUGUACAUCACAUGAGCUUCUCAUGCAAACUACAUAUAUGUAAUUUAAAUUUUUCUAGUAGUUACAUUUAAAAAGUAAAAAGAAAUAGGUGAAAAUAAAGUUAAAUUUAUUAUGUUUUAUUUAACCCAAUAUAUCUAAAAUAUCACUUCAACGUGUAAUUAACAUAAAAACUAUAGAGUUAUUUUACAUUUUUUUAUACUAAGUCUUCAAAAUCCUGUGUGUAUUUUACACUUAGAGCACACUGCAAUUUGGACCAGCCACAUUUCAAGUGCUCAAUAGACAGCACAGUUGUAGCCACACACAAAUCUCCUUUACUUCUGUUACAGCAUAAAACUCUUAGACACACAGCGUUUAGCAUCUAAUUAAUUAUGUAACUGUAUUACACUGUUAUUGCAAUAAUCAUUAAACAAGUGUCAUUCCAACCCCCUAUCUGUUUUAAUGCAAUCUUACAUGAAACAGUUUCUUAUAUUGAGAUAUAGGCCAGUCUUGAUGGGUAUAGAGAUGUCAUUCCUCUUUAUCCAAAGAUUUCCUUAUUAUUCUUUACUGAAUGUCACAUUUACAGCUAUUAGAUGGGAAGAUUAUAAUUUAUUCUAGAAACUUCUAUUUUUAAACUAUGUAUUAACCAAAAUUACACAUGUAUGGGGUACCUGCUUAUUUCUAGUAAGCCCACUAGCUGAUGUAGCAAAUAGGUAGCCAGGCCAAAAGCAAAAUUUUGAUAGUUGGCCUUUUGUUUAAAAAGUGUUUUAUAUCUGAUUAGCUGAAUUCUAACUAUCUUAGGAAAUAAAUCAACUAACAGUGUAAGAGACAGUCUACUAUGGUGGAAAGAGAUAAACUUCAGAGUCAAACAAACUUAACCCUAUCACUUACUAGCUUUGUAAUGGUGGAUAUAUUCAUUAGCUUCUCACUUGUAGAAUGAGAAUAAUAAUAUAUUAUGUCUGAGACUGCUAGUUUUAUCCCAAUAUCCAUUCUCCCCUUCUUCAUCAGUAAAUAACCACCAAAAGUUAGCUAGACACAGAUGCCCAGAAAAAAGUCCAUGUUUUCAGCCCUUUCUUGCAGCUAGAUGUGUUUAUGUGGUUAAAUACUGGACACUGAGGUCAAAAUAAAAGCGGUGUCUGUAACUUCCAGGAAGUAUCCUUUUAAAAAGCAGGGAGAAUGCUAUUUUCUUCCUUAUGGCUAGAAUUCAGACAUGAUGGGUGGAGCUAGAGAAGUCAUCAUGAACCAUGAAAUGUAAACUGUGUUGAGAACAGUAGAACAAGAGCAGAGCCCUGGGUCUCUCCUGAUCAUGGAAUCGCCACCAAAGCCCAGGGUUUUAGAAAAGAAAGAAAUGCAUUUCUAUUUUUUUGAGCCAUUGUUGUUACUUAUUUUCUCUAACUUGCUGCUGAACCUAACACAUGCUUAAUCCGUAGCAUCUUUUUGAGGAUUAAAUGGGAUGGCAUAUGUAGUCCACUUUGUACAGGGCUUGGCACCUGGGAAUGCAGGUGCUUAAUAUAGGACUGUUUUUAUUACUAGCAUAAAAUAUCUCCUUAAAAGGGUCACUAUAAGGGUCAGAUGAAACCUAUAAGUGAGCUUGCUUUUCAAUCUGUAAAUCUGAGAAUCACUGUAUAAAUGUUGGUCAUAAUUAUCAUCAUCACCAUUAAAUUAUUACAAGGAACUGGCUAACUGCCAGCAUGCUCUACUAUGAUCAAUCUAUAUUUAGGUCAAUUAAAAAUAGAUAGAUACAGACUUCUUUGCUUUUGUUAGGUUUACUUAACUUUAGUCAACUGUGAAUGAUUGAUUAUAGGCUUGCCAUUACAUUGUUGCUUCAGAGCUUAGAUGAAACACUCAUUUGGGUAGUAUAAAGAAAGCUUAGAACUUGAUGAGGCUAUGACAUCUUUUAUUCAUUUACUUUUACCUUAAAAAGUUCUCUAUUACAAAAAUCAAUAUAGUGUUUGUUGUUAAAAUAAAUUAUAGAGACAUGAGUAAAGUGAAAGAAGAGAGUUCACCCCCUUCCUUCUUUUCCAUCCCAUUCUUUAGAAUUAACCAUAUUACAAUGUAACCAAUUAUUCCUUGUAUGUAAAUAUCAUUUUUAUAUAAUGGGAUAUACACAUGUAUAAUAUACAUUUUCUAUUUCCAAAUGAAAAACAAAAUCUUUUUUUUGCAGAAAGUUCAAAGUUGUUGAAAAGAAAAUCUUUUGCAACAGCUUUUUUGAUUUGUUCGUUUCCCAAUUUAAAAUGUCUCCUGGGCAUCUUUCCAUGUAAAUACAUAUUCAUCAAUCCCAUUUUAAAAACCAUAUACAGAGUCAUUUAAACAUUUUUACUAAUUAAUUAUUGGAAAAUUGUUUGUAAAAUAAAGGAGACUGCCCUUAAAAUAAAAUAGCAACUUAGCUAGGAUUAAAUUAGGCAAUUCAGAAAAAUGCUUAGCAAAUGUUUGGCAGAUUGUAAAUGAUUGAUAAAUAAAUAUUAGCCAUUAUGAUAUUGAUGAUAGUGAUGAUUAAAGAUGACUAUCUCUCUAAGCUCACUCUCAAUAAAUUUCUGUUGUCAGAGAGGUGGUUUAUUUUAUUUAAUUGCCCAAUAUGUACAUUUAUAUAUAAUAUUCCCAUUUUAUAUUUUCAUUUUAAGGACGUACUUGGCUGUGUUAUAUGGUGGAGGUGGGUGCCGUGUUCUGGAAGGACUGUCAGACUCAAGUUGGUUCUCUUCAGGAUCUGCCCAACCCAUGGCGACCUAGUACAGUGCCAAAAUUGAACAAAAAAAAUACAAUCCAUCCAUCUGUCAGUUAGUGAGGCAGCAAAGAAGGUAUUUAGCUUCUAGGACAUUUAAAAACCUAAGUUAAUUCUAUCUAAAAGAAAGACAUCUGUGGGGUGGGACUCGCCUCCUCUGAGCCUUUGAGACCAGUGGGGAUUUAAACAGGUAUAAAUAAUGACUCUUGAAUAGCCACCAGACAGCCAGUGGUGCAACCUACUCUAGGGAGAUGAGUCACAGGCUGAGCCGUGGGUAGUAAGUCCCUAGGAGAAGGGAAGAGGGGUGUCUGGGAUCCCAGGAAGAGCAAUAAAUGCAGUCUGUCAGCUCCGCAGCAGAGGAGGGGCUGUGACAGCAGCCCUCACCCAGAAGGGGUGAAUGGUAAAUCUACCUCAAUAGACAGUGGCCUGUGCAUUGUAAAUCUGAUCAUUUUGCUGUGCCCAAAACAUCUUAAGUAUAAUUAUACCAAAGCCUGAAAAAAGACUGGCUAAAGAGAAAACUAAAAUAGAUUUUUUAAAAUGCAAACACACAAUUCUGCCUACAAAAAUGUUAAGUGCCAAGGAAAAUAUUGUUAAAAUCCAAGAGGACCUCCUUUCCUAAGCUGCAGUGUUCAGGAAUUUAUAUGUAUAUAAGGUUGGUAGUGACCAUGGACAAAUCAUUGCCUACACCUCUGCCAGAACAUCUGUCAUUUCUCAUGAAGCCGGAACUUUAAAUGUCACAACUAGAUCAGAAAUAACAUUGAUAUCAGAACCAUCAUGUACUUUUUUUCUGCUCUGCAUGUGAGCAUCUGGGGUGCCUAAAAUCCAACCCUCACAGCUCUUGAAAAGUCCUGUGUCUUGCAGAAGGGAUGCCUUUCAGUGAUGCAUCCGUGAGGAGGCGGCGCCUUUUGAUAAUUCACACAAAGGUCUUGCUAGUAGAGGGAGGCCUUACCUUGACUGGAGGAGAGACCUACGUUUGGAUCUCGGCUAAAGUAUCUUCCAAGAGCAACAUUCUUGUUAGCAUAACAUGCCAUUUUCAUGUCCUACAGAUUCAUAGAUUUAUGGAGUUUUGAACUAGUUAAAUGCCUUAGAAAUGACCAAUACCCACCCAUUUUGUUGAUAAGGGACCUGAAGCAUAGAGAAGUCAGAUAGUUUGAAUAUUUGUCCCUACCCAAAUCUCAUGUUGAAUUGUAAUCUCCAGUGUUAGAGGUGGAGCCUGGUGGGAGGUGUUUGGAUCAUGGGGGCAAAUUCCUCAUGAAUGGCUUGGGCCAUCCCCUUGGUGAUAAGUGAGCUCUGAGUUAACACUGAGAUCACAUAGUUUAAAAGUGUGUGGCACCUCCCUCACACCUCAACUCUCUUUCUUUUGCUUCUGUUUUUGCCUCAUGAUGUGCCUACUCUCCCUUGACUUCUUUUUGAGACAGGGUCUCACUCUGUCACUCAGGCUGGAAUGCAAUAGUGCAAUCAUAGCCCACUGUAGCCUUGAGCUGCCAGGCUUAAGCAAUUCUCUCACCUUAGCCUCCCAAGUACAUGAGACCAUACGCAUGCACCACCAUGCCCAGGUGAUUUUUGUAUUAUUUUUGUAGAGAUGGGGUUUUGCCUUGUUUCCCAGGCUGGUCUCUAAAUUUUGUGCCAUGCACCACCAUACUCAGAUGAUUUUUGUAUUUUUUUGUAGAGAUGGGGUUUUGCCAUGUUUCCCAGGCUAGUCUCUAAAUUUUGUGCCAAGCGAUCUGCCCCCAUUUGGCCUCUCGAUGGGCUGGGAUUACAGGCAUGAGCCAUCACCACACCUGGCUUUGCUUUCUGCCAUGAUUGGAAGCUUCCUGAGGCUGCUAUUCUUCUUGCACAGCUUGCAGAACUGUGAGCCAAACUUCUUAUUUUAUAAAUUAUCCAGUCUCGGAUAUUUCUUCAUAGCAGCACAAGAAUGGCCUAAUACAAAAAGUGAAGAGUUUGCCCAAGUUUAGAUAGCUAAUAAUAAUUUUUAUUAAAUGAUAUUACAAUAUAAUCUUCACUGGGUUUGUUUAUAGAUUUUUUUUACUAAUGCAUCAGUAGAACUACAUGUACUUAUUGAUUGAGGUUUAAGCUACAAUUUCAAGCAAACAUGUGAAAAUAAAGGCAAUUCUUCUUGCUCUUUAGAUCAUUAAUGUUUAGUCCUCAAUACAGAUUUCCACAUUCCACUACUUCAUUACUAUACUACGUUUUUAACUAGAAUUUUGAGGUCAUAUCCGCUGAGAAGUCUUUUUUCCCCUCUAGAAUGGGUUGGGUUCCCUCCCAGGUGGGGUAGCCCUAUCAUCACUUUGGGCUUGCUCUGUGAUCCUGUUUGUGACAAUAUCUUGGGAUUGUCUAUAUAAUUUUGAUUCCCUAGUUAAUUAUAAGCUCUGUGAAGAUUAAGACUGACUGGGCAUUUUUUUCAUCAUUGUAUCCCCAGUAUUUAAAAUAGUGUUUGCAAAUAUAAACAGGGAUAAAUAAGCAUUUGCAGAAAAAGGAAGAAGGAAGGAAGCAGAGAUGGAGGGAGGGACUCAUAUAGAAAUUGAUAUGAAAAAUGGAAUAGCAAAUGAAUGAUAAGGAAUAAGAGAUAGAAGCAGAACUAAAUGUGAAGAAUUGAAGAGUUACCUAAUUCACAAAUUUUAAAAUUUCUAAAUAAGUAUGACAGAGCAUAACACUAUUCAGCAGAGUCUCCUGUCUUUGUCUUUGUUUGUCUACUUGCAGAUGGUGGUGUUUGAGUCAUGUGGCAGAAAUGCUCCAAGAUUUCUGCCUCCUGGUGUUCGCAUCUUUGGGUAAUUCCUUCCCAUUGAGUGUGGCCAGAAGCUCCUGUGACUUGCUUCUAACCAAUGAAAUAUGGCAAAGGUCAUCAGGUGUCACUCUGUGAUUAUGUUACAUUUAUAUAAGAUUCUGUCUUGCUAGCAGACUGCUCUAGAGACUCCUUACCGGCUUGAUGAAGUUACAAUAGCAGCUGUGUUAGGAAAGCCUGUGUGAUGAGUAACUGCAGGUGGCCUUUGGGCACUGAGGGUGGCCUCUAGGAGCUGAGGGUAACCUCCAGUCAACACCCAGCAAGAAGCCAGAGCCCUCAGUCCUACAAUUGCAAGGAAGUGAAUUCUGCCAAUAAUCUGAAUGAGAUUAUUAUUCGAAGCAGAUUCCUCCUUAGUUAAGCCUCCAGAUGAGAACUCAGCCCAGUUGACAUCUGGUUUAAAGACUGGUGAGACAAUAAGUAAAGGACUCAACUAAGCCAUGCCCAGUCUCCUGACUCACAGAAAGUGUGAGAUAAUAAAAGUGUUUGGUUUUAAGAUAAUAAGUUUGGGGGUAAUUUAUUAAACAGCAAAGGUAAGUAAUACAAGGUGUUUGGUUAUAAAUAAGCUAUAAAACUAGCUGAGAGAAAGAGAGAAGGAAGGAAGGAAGCAAGGAAGGAAGGAAGAAAGGAAGGAAGGAAGGAGAAAGAAAGAAAGAGAAAGAAGGAAGGAAGGAAGGAAGGAAAGAAAGAAAGAAAAGAAAGGAGAAAGAAAGAAAGGAGAAAGAAAGAGAAAGAAAAGAAAAGAAAUGAAGAAAGGAAGAGAGAGAAAGAAGGAAGGAGAAAGACAAGAUGGAAGGAAUAUGGCCUUAGUUAAAUUGUAUGGAUUUUUUUUUUAGGUUUAAUUUGGUGAUUUUCAAAUCAGUACAGAAAACAUCUGAAGAAAUUACAAGAUUUUAAGAAAAUGACAAACAUCAGCAAUUUACCAAGGCUUCAAGGGAAUAUAAGAAAUCUGAUAACUCAUCACCACUAAGGCAAAUUUGUGUGAGUGAAUUCUAUGAAUACAUAGGACUGGACAAGAUCUUAAGAAGACAGAUGGUCUAUACUCAUCUUCAGGUAAGGCUUUUCCUAAAUACUUCCAAACAAUGAUGAUGAUGAUGGUGACAUCAAUACUGUGAGCUUUUAUUUACUGAGUUCCUCAUAUAUGCAUAUCAUACAGAAUAGGAAGAAACUAAUUUUUAUGGAACACCUGCAGUUGUCCAUGUGCUAUACUGCAAACUUUAUAUAAGUCAUCUUAUAGAAAAUAGCAAGCCCUUACAAUAAGUCCCAAUUAUUUCCCCCAUUUUACACACACACACACACACACACACACACACAGCCAGCCAGAGACACACAAAGAAAAAGUAUCUUGCUCUAAUUCACCCAACAAUUAAGUUGUAAAACUAUGAUUCAAACCCAUAUUUAAUAGUCCUCACGAUCUGAAAAAUUUCCCAAGUAAUCUAAUUUCCAACUUCUAGGCCAUCUUCUAAGCCAAAAGAUGCUAGAUAGGUAACCAUCCUAAUUUUUUCCAAUCACUUUACAUUAAAAAAAAUGUGAAUAGGCUAUAAGGUAAAACAAAUUUAAAUAUUUGGAAAAGAUUUGAAAACACAAUUAAUAAAAGAGAACUUCAAAUGGCUAACAAUGUUUGGUAAAAUGGUCACCCUCACUAAUAACCAGAAAAACACAAAUUUAAAUGAGAUAUCCCUUUAUACCCAUGAGGUUUGUAAAAAUUAUAAUUUUCAAUAAUACUAGGUGUUGGGGGGACAGUGAGACUUGGAGCCUUUGUACAAGGUUAGUGGGAAUCUGGGACUGAUGCAGUCAGUUAGCAAUGUUUGGAGAAAUUGGUGGGUGUACCCUAGAUCCAAUGAUAGGGUCUCCCACGUAUUUUGUGGGAGCUAGGAGCUGGUGUCAAACAAGUUCUAUUAUUAGGGAACAAAUAAAUAAAAUGUAUUCAAUGCACACUAUGGAAUAACAUGCAAUGGUCAGUAGCAGUGAAUUAGCACGUAUAGCAUCAUCUUAAAAAUAGCAUGUUGAGCCAGGUGAGGUGGCUCACGCCUAUAAUCCCAGCACUUUGGGAGGCCAAGGCGGGCAGAUCAUGAGGUCAGGAGUUCGAGACCAGCCUGGCCAAUAUAGUGAAACCCAGUCUCUACUAAAAAUGCAAAAAAUUAGCCUGGUCUGGUGGCGGCGCCUGUAAUCCCAGCUACUCGGGAGGCUGAGGUAGGAGAAUGGCUUGAACCUGGGAGGCAGAGGUUGCAGUGAGCCGAGAUCACGCCAUUGCUCUCCACCUGGGCGACAGAGUGAGACUCCAUCUCAGAAAAGAAAAAGAAAAAAAGCAUGUUAAGUGAAUAAAAAGUAUGGCAGAGAAUGAAAUCUAUUGCACAAUAUCAUUUAUCUAAAUUAAAACAUGCAUGCAUGUAAUGAGUUUAUGUAUUUUUCAAAGAUAUUUAUAUAUUCAAUAACAUAUAUCAAGCUCAUUAGAAUGGCUGCUUGUGGGGUAAUGCGAAAUGGAAAUGAGGUCAAGAAUGAACUGAAAAAACAUUAUGAAGGAAAAGAAGAGAGAGGCCUGACCAGACAGCUAAUGACUGAACAUUAUUAACUACAGAAUGUGACUAACUCAUCUCUCAGCACUUGAGGUAUCCCCAAAGACAACUAAAAAUGUUGUGGAAUGAAGCUCUAUUGUUACUGGCUAAAGAGCUUAUGCUGACCUUGGAUAUUUGAAUUUACAAAAGUAUGUACCCAACAUUUUAUUGGGAAAGGAAGCCACACCAGGAAAAUGUGGUCUGAAAUUCUGUAGGGAGCAGAGGAAAAUUUUUUCUAAAGAUAAAGUAAUUAAUUUCUUAGAUUUGUACUUGGAGAAAACAUGAUGGCAAAUAUUUUGGCCAGUGUUAGAAUUUGUUCAUUAGUCUUAUCUUAAUGGAAGAGAAUCUGUUUGCCUUUGAGCAGAACAGUCUUGUGGUAGAUUGUUACUCUAUGUAUAAAUAGCAAAAAGAGUCCUUCAGCCUGAGUUCCACUGUCAAUCCCGCUCAUUCACUCACCAAUCAAGGGCUUUGUGACCUGCACACACAGGUUCCUGUGAACACCUUGCUCUGCAAGGCAGAAUGCAUCAAUAGGAUUGUUCUUUUGUCCUGGUCAACCUGAUUUCAUAAGGAAGAAAAUACUAGGAAAAGCUAAUAUAAUCCUCCUCCAAAUAAUCACACAACUUUAACAUUUUUAGACAUAGGGUCCAGAACACAUUUUCAAUCCAGUGUUUCAGGAAGUUAGAAAUGAUACAUUAAUAAAUGAGUAAAUAAGUAAACCAAAAAAUGAAAACAAGCAAAACAAAACAGAAAACCUAAGAUACACGUCUUUACCUUAAAUACAAUAUUUACCCUUGGCUACAAAUUUGAGGUAAUAUGUCCUACAAUAAAUGUUAUAAUUUGGCUGAAAGUGAUUUUAUCCAUUUUGAUAAGAUAGAUGAAAGAUAAAGAAAAAAUAGGCUAAAUAAGAAAUAACUUCAUUUAUCUACACUUUUUAAGAAUUACGGUUUAUCUUAUGUGAUUCAUCACUUAACCUGAUGACUACUUUUUGUUAGUUAAUUUCCCAUUUUAAAAAAACCUAAAUGUUUUCAGUAGAAUUAUUUAUUGUUUGCAGUGAUUAGAAACUAACUAUAUAGUUUUGGCACAGAAUAUCCAAGUAUCCAUAACAAUUAAUGUGCUAUAACAGUAAUGUCUGCAAGGGUCACUGGAAUGCGAGGACUUGGCAUGAUGCAAAUAGCCCUGAACUUCCACAUGUUUACAAAUUCUAUUUGCCUCUUCUUGGUACAUUUUCUCUCUGUUUUCUUUUACUUCUUUUUACCAUGAUUUUUUUUAGAUGUUACACCCUCCCUUGGCCAUCCUCAUGCCUACCAUGGUCAUAUCUUUUCCUGUGUGUGUGUGUGUGUGUGUGUGUGUGUGUGUGUGUGUGUGUGCAUAUAUCUAUCUAUAUAUAUGUAAAAUGUAUGCUUUUAUAUAUAUAUAUAAUAUGAAUGCAUAUAUCUAUCUAUAUAUGUAUAUAUCCAUAUAUAAAAGUCCAUGGGUUUUGUGACAACCAUGUAGAGAAGUUACUUGCUGUUUACUUUAGGGUAUGUGUACCAACCUCAAUUAUCCAGGGGAAGUUCUAAAAACUUUGUGGUACCCAGAGUAGGGAAUCCUUUCUGUUCAAAAUUAUUUUAAAUACAUUGUCACGGUUUUUAUUUGGAUUUAUCUGCCUACUAAUAGAUAUAUGUGUUCCAUCUGGGGUUGAUAGUUCAUUUCUUUCUAUAAGGUGAUCAACCAAAAGCAACAGAUAGAAUUUUAGUAGUACCUGUUUUAUUUUGCAGCUCCUGAAUUUUACCAAUGAGUUAAAAAAAAGGUGUUUUUUUUUCCCUUUGGCUAACUCCAAAAUAUUCAGAGGCUGACAAAAUCUGAAUCUUAUUUAGUUCUUGUUAUAGCAACAGCAAAAUUUAGCAUUGGAAUGCACAAACAUUUCUUCAUCUGAAGAGGUAUGAAUAACUUCUCAGCCUCUUUUGUCAUUAGAAUGCUACUCUCCAGUUGCAAAGAGUAAACCUCGUGAAUGGGGCUAUGUCUCCACACUUAGCAGUGGAAUUGUAAUAAAAUUACAGUAACCACCUUUUUGUUAGAAGUUCUCUGAAGUUGAGCUAUUAACAUAACCAACAGUACCUAAAGUGUGACCUGCAAACAGAGCUUUUCAAACACCAAAUACAAUGCCCUAUUCAUGGUCGAUACUCUAUAAAUAGCAGAUCAUCAUUUCCCUUCCCUUAAUCCUUAGAAUAGCCUUAACUAGUAAAUACUGUUAUCUGAUUUUUAAGAAUAAUAAUAAAAAAAAGAAGAUGUAUCUGGCUAUCCAAGCUGGUUACACAAACUCAGUGGCAAAACUAUUUCUGAAUUGGUCUAUAUUCUCUCAAUUUAAGAGCCUCCCAGCAUCGACCAUCAUGCCUCUUUGCAAAAGUGCAAUUGUUAAAGAAAGAUUGGGUGGUUUGGGCCCUGCACCAUGGGAUGCACCAACAAUUUCAUCAAAUGACCCUCAGAACAGCCUGAAUGUCACAUGAAUAAUUUUCAACAUGUAAGCACAGAGGGCACACAAGGAUAGCAACACUUAAAAGCUCAAAAAAGCAUGAAUUGCAAUAUGCUGGGCUCCUAUAAUCACACAUAAUCCAAUAAUGUCUUAAAUCAGUAUUAAAACAAAUAUUUUUUUCAAGGGUUCACAGGUUAUUUUCAUGAAAAGAAUUUUAAAAAUGAGAAAAUUAUCUUCUAAUUUGUGCCUUUAUUUCUUUAAUAUUAUUAAGUAAUAAUAUACUGUCAACCCUGAUGUCAUACUGAGAAAAUAUUUCUGUGUAAAUCUAACAUCUUCAUUAUACUCUCAAGCCACAAAUAACAUUAUAUCACAAAUUUACAUGUAAUAGAUAGUUUCCCCAAAAAGAAUUUCAUUCCUUAAAAAGUGACAAAGUUUUAGUUGUAUUUCUGAAUAGUAACAUUCAGAUAAAGAUCACCAACAAGUGAUAGGUGGCAAUUUUCAAUGAAGAAAACUAUUGAAAAUAAUCAAGUUUACCAGUGGAAGAAAUAAAAUAAUCUACUCUUGAUGUAUUCUGUGAUAUUAUAAAAACUUUUCAGUGAUGGCAAAUGUAAAAAGAAAUAUAAACAUACAUAUAUUUUUUUUCUGAUAUACAUAUAAAUGAGAAGAAAUAUAAUGGCAACUACAAUUUUAAUGUAGUUUUUACCUUGAUUUAAGAAUGUCCAGUGGAAAGAUACUUUUAAAGCAUAAUGCAACAAUAAUUAAAACAUGUACAAUUCAUGAAACUUAAUAUCAUUCUUAUACUUUCCACCUUAAAGGUCAGAAGUGAAUCCAUGUUAUAAUAAUUCCUUUUGUAAUUUAUCUCAAUUUAGUAGCACACGUGUGAGGUUAACUUAUCUGCAACUUUCCUUUAAUAUUCUAGGACUUAAAAGUUCUUCCAGGGUUUUAAAAAUAUUUCUAUUUUCUUCCCCUUUAUGUAUAGGAGGAGUUAGUUGUUUUAAAAAAAACAAAACAAAUACCUGUGAAAUGUGAAUGGGCAUUGGUUAAGCAUUAUAUUGGUUUAAAUUAGGAGGAGAUCAAGGAGAAAAUACUCACAAACAGAUAAUUGUCAUCCAGACUCUUCAAUUAGUUACAUUUUCUUUCUUUUUUCUUCUUAAUGAAUGAGAGGCAAAUAAAUCUUUGGCAUUCCCAGUGCCUCUGAAGUGUAAACUCCACCAGAUCAUCUAGAUGCACAACUGUCCGACAACAUUAUAAUAAAGGCAGUAAAUAAAUUUGUUCAAAAUACCAGCCGAAAUGCCUGAGGUUUCGUCAGUGGCCAUGGUUGAAGCUCAUCAUGAUUUGGACAGUGCAGCCGAAACCUCGAAGACUUAUACACCGAGCAACAAUGAAGAUACUGUAUAAUCAACUAGGAUUACAGAGGAAAAAGCACAAAGUGCUUUCAGUCCAUAAAAGAAGUGAUUAUCACGAGGAAAGAGAAGUGACUGUUGGAUUUAAAAGGCAUACAGAGAGAGAGAGAGAGGAAAAAAAAUAUAUAUUAUAUAUAUAAAAUGUCACCACCCUACCCCCAGAAGAUGUUGAAAUCACAAAGAACAAUUUUCAAAGGAAAUAUAAUAAGCUUACAGAUGAAAAACCACUUACACAAACCAUUUUCAGCUGUACACUUUGUUAAAUGAUCUGCAAAAUUAGAAAAAGAAACUGAAUCGUUGUUGAGGUACAUUAUCUAAAGGGUACACGGUAUCCAGAAAUUCUGUUGCCUCUUUCAUCUGAGUCAAUGUGAGGUUUGCAUUAGUAAAAAUUGUGUAUUUAAAAAAAAGAAAACAAAAAAAGAAGAAAGCUAGAGAACUAGUAUCAAGCCAAGAAACAAAAGGUAGUCAACAAUGUUCUUUUCUCAAUGCAGAGAGGGCUUAUUGAAAUAUAAGCAAGAACCUUUUUUUCCUUCAGCUAGUAUAUAUGAGUUAAAAUUUUCCAGUUCUUCUGAAAAAGGUCAUUUCUAUAAAUGAUGCAUUUUAAAUACCAUUUAAUAGCUGUUAUUGAAAUUUGGCUCAUGAAAAAACUACAGUUAUAUUUUUUUGUGUGUAAUCUGGCAAAAAUGUCACUAUACAUGUCAGCUAAUUGUGUAAUAUCUUGCUGCUGUUUUGUUUCCUGUGCACUUCCAUCAACAAUUUCAGCUUAUAACAGUGAUUCUUUUCCUUUUGCAUCUCAAUAUACCUGAUAUAAACUUUUUCUCCCAUCAAUAAUAGUGAUUCAUGACAGUAAUCAUGAAAUCUUUCAUAGGAGACAAUGUUGUUAGAAUCUGUCUCUAGGGGAAAGUUGAGAAGGGAUUGCAUAGUUCAGCAUUUUCCUCAGGAGAUUCGGAUGUGACCCCUAGAGGUUAUAAACCGUACCACCUUUUGAGAAUCACUGAUCUUCCUAGGGGUUAUAAACUACCUUCCCUUUUGAGAAUUACUGAUUUCUGAAUGAAGACAAAGAAUUUAUAGUUUUUCUUUAAGCCAAAUUAACAUACUUCUAGAACACAGUGUAUAGAUGCUAGACACAUCAUGGGCAUUCACUUACAUUUGAUAGAGCUUGCACUUUGAUUUUUUUUUUUUCUGGUAGCAAUAAAAGAUUUAUGCCCAUUCACCAGCUUAGUUGUGAUCACCAUGUAAGAAGGUUGUCUGGGGUUAAGGUACUAGAUAGGCCAUUGGAUAGAACAAAAUUUCACUUUGGCUUAUUUGCUUAGCAAUUCCAACCAAAGCUAAUGAGCUGUAGAUCAAAGCAAUUUGUUGACAAUAUUAAUGGCAGUCUCAGGUCUAAGUAAAUUAUCUGACCUUUCACUCCGUUACUUGGCUGUCAGGAAGCUGAAAGGAAGAGUUCAAGCCUAGUCUUGGUUGUGACUACAUUUGCUAGCACCUGAAAUAAUGAGUUUUGGUAGCCACACGAUUUUUUUUUGUAAUUAAUAUAUACUAUUUGUACACUUUUAUGCAGUACAUGUGGUAUUUUGUUACAUGCAUAGAAUGUGUGAUGAUCAAGUCAGAGUAUUUAGGGUGUCCAGCACCUUGAGUAUUUGUCAUUUUUAUGUGUUGAGAACAUUUCUAGCCCUCUCUUCUAGUUAUUUUGAUAUAUAUACAAUACACUGCUGCUAACUAUAGACAUCCUACUCUGCUAUCAAACAUUAGAACUUAUUCCUUCUACUUAACUGUAUGUUUGUACCAAUUUAUGCCCAUCCAUUCCUCUACCCACCCACACACACACAUUCUUGCCAAUUGGUAACUAUUACUUUUAACAUUACUUUUAAAUGGCAAAAACUGCAAUUACUUUUGUACCAACCUAAUAUUUCACUCUGUACUUCUAUGAGAUCCACUUUUUUAGCUCCGACAUACAAGUGAGAACAUGCAAUAUUUGUUUUCUGUGCUUGGCUUAUUUCACUUAAUAUGGUGACCUCCAGUUCCAUCCAUGUUGCUGCAAAUGACCAGAUUUCAUUCUUUCUUAAUGAAAGGUGAAUAGUAUUACAUUGUGUGUAUAUACAAAUUUUCUUUAUCCAAUCAUCCAAUAGUGGACACUCAGGUUGAUUCUAUAUCUUUGCUUUUGUGAAUAGUGCUGCAAUAAACAUGUGAGUGCAGGUAUCCCUUUGAUAUGAUUUCCUUUCUUAUGGAUAAAUACACAGCAAUGGGAUUGCUGGAUAGUAUGAUUUUUGAGAAAUCUCCAUGUUAUUUUUCAUAGUGGCUAUACUAAUUUACAUUCCCAUCAACAGUGUAUAAGAGCUCCUUUUUCUCUGCAUCCUCACCAACAUCUGUUUUUUUUUAAUUCUUAUUAAUAGUCCAUCUAACUGGGGUAAGAUGAUAUCUCAUUGUGGUUUUGAUUUGCAUUUCGCUGAUGAUUAGAAAUACUGAGCAUUUUAAAAAUAUAACUGUUGGCCAUUUGUAUGUCUUCUUUAGAGAAAUGUCUAUUUAUGUACUUUGCCCAUAUUUUAGUAGGAUUAUUAAGUUUUUUUUGGCUGUUGAACUGUUUGAGUUCCUUGCAUAUUCUGGAUAUUAGUUUCUAUCAGAUGAAUAAUUUGCAAAUAUUUUAUCCUAUUCAACAGGUUGUCUCUUCACUCUAUUGAUGAUCUCCUUUGCUGUGCAGAAGAUUUUUAGUUUAACAUAGUCCCAUCUCCAUUCUUGUAUUUGUUGCCUGCACUUUUGAGAUCUUAGCCAUAAAAUCUAUGCCUAGGCCAAUAUCCUGUGGUGUUUCCUCUAUGUUUUCUCCUAGCAGUUUUAUAGUUUUGGGUCUUAUGUUUAGGACUUUAAUCCAUUUUGAAUUGAUAUUUUUAUAUGAUGAGAGAUAGCUGUCUAGUUUUAUUCUUCUGCAUAUGAAGAUCCAGUUUUACCAGCACCACGUAUUGGAGUGGAUAUCCUUUCCCCAAUGUGUGUUCUUGGAGCCUUUGUUGAAAAUCAGUUGGCUAUAAAAAUGUGGGUUUAUUUCUGGGUUCUCUAUUUUUUGUUUUUUUGUUUGUUUUUGUUUUUGAGACAAAGUUUUGCUCUGUCGCACAAUCACGUUUCACUGCAGCCUCAACCUCCUGGGCCCAAGCAAUCCUCCUGCCCCAACCUCCCAAGUAGCUGAGAUUACAGAAGCAGACUACAUGCCUGGCUAUUUUUUUUUUUUUUUUUUAGACCUGGGGUCUUGCCAUGUUGCCCAGACUGUUUUUGAGCUCCUGGCCUCAAGCAAUCCUCCCACCUUGGCCUCCCAAAAUGCUGGGAUUACAGGUGUGAGCUACCAUGCCUAACCUUGGGUUCUCUAUUUGUUCCAUUGGCCUGUGUCUGUUUUUGUACCAAUACCAUGCUGUUUUGAUUACUAUAGCCUUGUAAUAUAUUUUGAAGUCAGGUAGUGUGAUACGUCCAGCUUUGCUUUUUUUUCUCAGUAUUGCUUUGGCCAUUAGAGCUGUUUUUUUGAUCUGUAACAAUUUUAGAGUUGUUUUUUUCUAUUCUAGUGAAAAAUAACAUUGAUAUCUUAAUAGGGAUUGCAUUGAAUCUGUAAAUUGAUUUGGGUUGCAUGGUCAUUUUAACAAUAUUAAUUCUUCCAAUCCAUGAGCAUGAGGUGACUUUCCAUUUGUUUUGUGUCCUCUCUAAUUUCUUUCACCAGUAUUUUGUAGUUUUUCUUAUAGAGAUCUUUCACAUCUUUGAUUAAAUUUAUUCCUGGAUUUAGUUUAUUGUAAAUGGGAUUUAUUGUAACUGGGAUUGCCUGCUUGAUUUCUUUUUCGGCUGUAUCAUUACUGAUAUGUAAAGAUGCUACUGAUUUUUUUUAUGUUGACUUUGUAUCUUGCAACUUUACUAAAUUUACUUAUCAUAUCUAACAGUUUUAUGUUAUCAGCAAAGAGGAUCAAUUUGAUUUCCUCCUUUCCAAUUUGGAAGCCUUUUCUUUCUUUUCUUUGCCUGAUUGCUCUGGCUAAGACUUCCAGUACUAUGCUGAAUAUGAGUGAUGAAAGUGGGCAUCCUUGUUUUGUUCCAGUUCUUUGAGGAAAUGCUUGCAGUCUUUCCCCAUUUAUUAUGAUGUUAAUUGAGGGUUUGUUAUUUAUAGACUUUAUUAUGUUCAGAUAUGCUUCCGGUAUGCCUAGUUUGUUGAGAGUUUUUAUUAUGAAGGAUCGUUGGACUUUAUCAAAUGUUUUUUCUGCAUUUAUUGAGGUUAUCACAUGGUUUUUGUCCUUCAUUCUGGUGGUGUGCUGUGUCACAUUUAUUGAUUUGCAUACAUUGAACCACCAUUGCAUCUCUGGGAUAAAUCCCACUUGUAUUAUAUUUUUGAAGUGCUACUGGAUUUGGUUUGCUAGUAUUUUGUUGAAGAUUUUUGCAUUUAUAUUCACCAUGUAUAGUGAUGUGUAGUUUUCUUUUUUUGUUGUGCCCUUGUCUGGUUUGUGUAUCAGAGUAAUGCUGGCCUUGUAAAAUGAGUUGGGAAGAAUUCCCUCCUCUUCAAUUUCUUGGAAUAUUUUGAUAACAAUUAGUGUUAAUUCUUCUGUGUAAGUUUGGUAGAAUUUGGCAGUGAAGCCAUCUGGUUCUGGACUUUUUUUUGUUAAGAGACUUUUUGUUACUGAUUCAAUCUUGUUAUUUGUUAUUAGUCUUCUCAGGUUUUCUAUUUAUUCCUGAUUCAUUGUUGGUAGGUUAUAUAUGUCCAGGAAUUCAUCCAUUUCCUCUAUGUUUUUCAGUCUGUUGUAUAGGUGUUCAUAAUAGUAUCUGAUGGUAUUCUGUGUUCUUGUGGUAUCAGCUGUAAUGUUGCCUUUUUCAUUUCUGAUUGUGUUUAUUUGCGAAUUCUUUUCUUGGCUGGGUUGGUUAGCAGUUUAUUCAUUUUAUUUAUCUUUUAGAAAAAUCAGCUUAUCAUUUUGUUGAUCCUUUGUCUUACUUCUUUUGUCUUUAUUUCAUUUAGUUUUGCCCCUAUCUUUAUUAUUUCUUUUCUUCUGCUGAUUUCGAGUUUGGUUUGUUCUCGCUUUUCUAGUUCCCCUAAGUAUAUUAUUGGUUUGUUAAUUUGUUAUUUUUUUACUUUAUUGAUAUAGGCAUUUAUUGCUAUAAACUUCCCUCUUAGCACUGCUUUUGCUAUAUCCCACAGGUUUUGGUAUGUUGUGUUUCCAUUUUUUGUUUCAAAAAUUUCUUUUUUAAUUUCCUUCUUAAUUUUUUCAUUCACCCAAUGGUUGCUGAGAGCAUAUUAAUUUUCAUAUAUUUGUACAGUUUCCAAAGUUCCUCUUGUUACUGAUUUCUAGUUUUAUUCCACCAUGGUCUAAGAAGAUGCUGAGUAUGAUUUCAAUUUUUAAGAAUUUAUUGGGACUUGUUUUGUAGCCUAACUUAUGGUCUUUUUUGGAGAAUGUCUCAUGUGCUGAUGAGAAGAACGUGUAUCUACUGUUGUUGAAUAAAAUGUUCUGUUGAUGUUGAAUAGGUCCAUUUGGUCUAAGUUGCAAUUUAAAUCCAAUGUUUCUUUAUUGAUUCCUGUCUAGAUCAUUUGUCUAAUGCUGAUAAUGGGGUGUUGAAGUCUAAAACUAUUAUUAUAUUGGAGUCUAUCUCUGCCUUUAGGUCUAAUAAUAUUUAAUUUAUAUAUACCAAUGUUGGGUGAUAUAUAUUUAGAAUUUUUAAAUCUUCUUGCUGAAUUGAUCCCUUUAUUGUGUUUUAAUGACCUUUUUCUAUCUAUUUUUACUGUUUUUUGACUUAAAUUCUGUUUUAUAUGAUAUUGAUAUAAGUAUAGCUACUUCUGCUUGUUUUUUUGUUUUCCAUUUGUAUGGAAUGUCUUUUUCCAUCCCUUUACUUUUAGUCUAUAUAUGUCUUUACAGGUAAAAUGAGUUUCUUAUAGGUAGCAUAUAGUUGAGUCAUGUUUUAAAAAAAUCUAUUAUAUUUAGCUAGUCUAUACAUUUUAAGUGGAAAAUUUAAUUUGUUCACAUUCAAGGUUAUUAUUGGUAAGUGUGGACUUAUCCUUGUCAUUUUGUUAAUUAUCUUCUGGUUGUUUUCUAUCUUUUUCCUUUCUUUUUUCCUUUCUUUCUUUCUCUUUUGUUGUUUAUCAUUGUGGUUUGGUGUUUCUCUGUAGUGAUAACAUUUGGGUUCUUUCUCUUCCUUAUUUGUGGGUUUGCUUUACCAGUGAGUUUUAUACUUUCAUGUGUUUUCAUGAUGGUAGAUAUCAUUCUUUUGUUUCCAGGUAUAGAAUGCCCUUGAUCAUUUCUUGUAGGUCUGGUCUAGCAGUGAUGAAUUCCCUCAGUUUCUGCUUGUUUGGGAAAGAUUUUAUUUUUCUUUCAUUUAUGAAGGACAACUUUGCUGGGUAUUGUAUUCUGGGUUGACAGUUUUUUUUUUAAUCACUUUGAAUAUAUCAUUCUAUUGUCUCCUGACCUGUAAUAUUUUUGCUAUAUGUAUUUUUAAAAAUCCCCAGUUAGUCUGAUAGAGGUUCCCUAAUAUGUGACUAAACACUUUUCUCUUGCUGUUUUUAUAAUGCUCUUUGGUUUUGACUUUUACCUUAAUAUGCCUUGGAGAAUAACUUUUUUGACUUAUAUCUAUUUAGGGAUUAUAAACGUCCCAUAUCUAUAUGUCUAAAUCUCUUGCUAGACUUGGGAAGUUUUCAGCUAUUAUUUUGUUAAAUAGGUUUUCUAUGGAUUUGGUCUCUUCACCUUCUGGAACACCCAAAAUUCAUGUAUUUAGUUGUGUUGUGUUCUUAUGUCACAGGAUUUGUUCAUUCUUUUUUAUUCUCUUUUCUUCUUUUCAAAAAAUCUGACUGGGCAAUUUCAAAAGACUUGUCUUCAGGUUCUGAGAUUUUUGCUUUUGUUUGAUCUAUUGUUGAAGCUCUUGUAUGAAUUUUUAAAAUUUCAUUCAUUGAAUUCUUUCUUUCCAGGACUUCUGGUUUGUUCUUUUUUAUUAUAUCUAUCUCUGGUGAAUUUCUCACUCACAUCCUGAAUUGUUUUUCUGAUUUCUUUCAAUUAUUUUCAGUGUUAUCAAUCAUAGCUCACUAUGAACUCAAGUUCCUACUCUCAAGCCUGCCUCAACCUGCUAAGUAUUUAGGACUAUAGCCUGCAGUGUGCUGCCAUUCCUGGCUAACAUUUUAUUUUUAUUUUUAGCACAGACAAGGUUUGCUAUGUUGCCUGGAUUGGUUUCUUGUGUUUUUACGUUGAUAACUGUACCUCCGGUGUAACAGUCACUUCUUCCAAUUUUUUUUUGAAUUGACUUUUACAAGGGAAGGGAUUUUUCCUGAAGAUACAUCUAUGCUGUUGGUUGGGUAGGACACUAGCUUUGAUUCUGGGUGCAUGCAGUAGUGUAGUCUCCAUAUGAUUUAUUCAGCUGUAAACAGCAUCAGCUGUGUCUGUGAUUUCCUAAGUGGCUUAGGUUGUUGUUGUUAGUGGAGGCUAUGGUGAGGUUUUGUUGAGGAUGAGGAUUACAGGUAGGCCAGUCAUCAGAUUCCAGUCGCGGCAGCAGUAGACCAAGCAUGCCUGGCCUCGGGUUCCCAGUUGGCGUAUGAAGUCACCAGUGUUAGUGGGUUGAAACAGGCCAAUACUUAGGUCUACAGAUGGCUGAAGUGCUGCAGUGGUAGUGGUGGGUCAGUCAGUCGAGUGGGUCCUUGGUCCCUGGAUAGCAUGUGUGAUGUGGGUGAUGGCAGUAGUAAUGGCAAGACAAUCCUUGGGCUCUGAAGUGACACACAUUGGUGUUAGUGAUAUCUACAAGGAGCUGGGUAUGUCAGUCCCUCAUUCCCUAGGCAGUAUGUGCAGUGGGUGCUGCUGUGGUGGUAGCAGCCCUAGGAGGACUGCACAGAUGCCAGUGGUGGUGGACAGGGUGAGACAAGCCCUUAGACAGUGUUCUAGGGCACUGGAGUGGGGGGAGUGCCAGGCCAGGUAGGCCUGUUUCCAGGGACCCCAGGAAUGUAAUCAGGCCCUGGCUAUGGUGGGCAGAGAGGAGUGACACUCAGGCUCCCAGUAGAGAGCUUGGGAGUCUGCUACAACAGGGGUGGUAGGCAGGGAAAGCCUGCCAUUAGGGUAUGUCCAAGUAUGCUGCAGUCCUGCUGUUGGAGUAGAGGCAGAGUUUCUGACAGUAACUAUAGCCACAGGCAGGCAGUUCUUAGGCUGUGUGGGAGGAGGGAUGCUUUAAUCCCCAGUGGCAGUGGCAGUGGUAUAUCAGCUGUAGUAGCAGCAGGGAAAACUAGUUCUCAGGAAAUGUGCAAAUGCGUGAUGGGAGCCCUGCUGCUUGGUAGAUGGAGUCGUGACCAGCUACAUGUGUUUUGGCUUCUGGUGGCAGCAAUAGUGGCUGUGGCUGGUGAUGAGAGGGUCUGUCCUCAGAGUGUGAUUGCAGUAGCCCUGCUGCUGGGGGCAGGGUCAUUAUAUGUGGUAGCUGUCCCAGGUAGGUGGUUCUCUGGCCAUAGAGAGUAUGUGCUUUGGCUUUCUUUGUCCUGGGAGAGCCUCCCUAGGGUGCUGCACCACCGUUUACCUGGCAUACAGGGCACUGUGUGUGCUGGAGUGCUGGGGACCCUGCCAUUCUGCUGAGUCUGACUGGUGUUAUUGCUGCUACGGCUCUCUGGGUGGACACAGAAUGGUGUCAGUGGGGCUCCAGGGACGUGAAGGUGCAGGGGCUCUUGGGCCCCAAGGCGGGAUGCAACCUCCAGUGGGUCCUAAGCUCUCAAAAUGGCCCUAUGGUGAAUCUGCUUAGGACUUGGUGGGUGCGUUGGACCAUUAUGAACUCCCACUCUAGAGCAAUGCCUUUGUGUCAUCUCCAGGCAGGUCCCUAUGCUAUUCUGAGAGCCUGUGAUGGGGUCUCCCAUGGCUAGGGUAUCAGGAGUCCAUGGUGGGAAUAUGGAAAGGUGGGUAUCUACUGCUUACCCUUUUCCUGAACUAGGGAGUCUUUAUGAGCUCCCAGCUGAUCCCAGCUGAGCUGACUGCCUCCCUUCCUGCUCCUUCCAUGCCUCAGGUGCUUCCUGUUCCUUCUCUGUUGAAUUCCAAUAUUCUCUCUUAGAUGCUCUAUUCGAAGUUUGAUUAUGCACUUGCUAUUUUGGUUCUUGUCUGUGGAGGAGGUAAGUGUCAGAUGCCUCCAGUCAGGCUUCUUGAAGUUCCUCUCACAUAAGUCUUUAUGUCCUUCAUGACAAUCUUACUAUCCCAAUGAGUGAAUGACUAUAUGACAAAACAAUCUUAUUAUAUGUCGACAUCACAGUAUCACAGUGGAUACUAUGGUAGGCACCAUGCCCCUAUUCAAAAUCAAGGCACUCAUUUCCCCAGAUGCCAGGAGUAUUGGCUGCUAAUGGCUCAUAGCUAAACCCCUCUCCAAGCACUGGCCUUGGAUUAAGACUAUAUUUCCUCCUGAAGAGAGAGUGGGGCAGCCUGUGUACAAUGCAGGACCAGGACUAGGGUGAAAAACUGGCCUUGAGUGCUAAAUUUAAGCAGGAGCCAAAAACUCAGUAAUCAAACAAUAUUUUAAUGUAAUAUUUUAAAAAUAAAAAAUGCAAAGGUUCUGUAAUUAUCAAAAUAUCACAAUUUUAAAUAAAGAUAUAAUCAAUAUGACUGAUUUUUCUCUUUGCUUGAGGCUCCAAUAUGGCUCCCCAAAACACUCUCUAUUUUAAAGCAUUAUUUAAAAAAUACUAACCAAUGCAAAAGUUCACCCUGAACAAAAUACUGAAAUUUUUAAAUAAAGGCUGACUUUUGCAUUAAUUUAGGUUUAAAAAAUAAUAAUACAUUAAAAUAUUAUUUAUCUUGGCUACUGAGCUUUUUGACGCCCUCUAAAUUUUGUCCUCAAGGCAAGCAUCUCACUCUUCUUAUGUAGUCCCAAUCCUGGCAGAUUGACUCAGGGGAAACCAAUGUCUGUCUCCUUUGCCUUAAAGGGAGGCCAUGGGAGGCCAUCCCAUCAACACAGUCCCUUGGGGAUCAGCUGAAGCCUUCCUUGUGACUUCAUUGCAGUCCAAUCCUGCUUUUCUCCCUCCCUUACCAGCAUUAUUCCUAAGAGUAUCCUGCAGGUGAGUCUCUGAGUCUCUUUCCUCUAAGACCUCCCCAGAGAAGAGAGGUGAAAACUGAAGUUCACAGAAGGUGAGGAACUUGCCCAAGCUCUCAGAGCUCCUAUGAGAUGAAAACCCAGGUGAGACCAGGCACAGUGGCUCAUGAGGGUAAUCCGAGAACUGGGAGGCUGAGAUGGGAGGACUGUUGGAGCCCAGGAGUUCAAGAUCAGCCUGGGCAACAUAGUGAGACUCUAUCUCUUCAAGCAAUAAAAAAAUUAGCUGGGUGUGGUGGGUGCACGCCUGUAGUCCCAGCUACUUGUGGGGCUGAGGUAUGGGGAUCACUUGAGCCUGGGAGGUCGAGGCUGCAGUGAGCCAUGAUCACGCCACUGCACCCCACCCUGGGUGACAGAGCAAGACCCUGUCUAAAACAAACAAACAAACAAACAAAAAACAAAUCCCAGUCAAGUUAGUAUGACUUUAAAGCCAGUGCUUCUCAUUAUAACAUUCUAUAGGCUGGGGCCAGAAUUUGUGGCUACAGUCUAAUAAGUCAAAGGUAAAACAGAGAUACCAGCAAUCCCUAUGCACUCUCCUAAUUGAAUUUCCUAAUUGCAGACUAGAAAUCAGGUUCUCUGAUUUCUAGGAAGUGGGCCUCCGAUUAUAUCAGACCCUGUAGUCAGCAGAAUAAUGCCCGCAUCCCCACUGAAGAUGUCCACAUCCUAAUCCCUAAAACCUGUGAAUGUGUUAACUUACAUGGCAAAAGGAACUUUGCAGAUGUGAUUAAGUUAGGGAUCUUGAGCAUAUGCUGCAUUAUCCAUGUAGGCCCAAAUAUAAUCACAAGGGUCCUUAUUAGGGAGAGAGGGAGGCAGGAAAGUUAGAGAAGGAAACAUGAUGACAGAAGUAGAGGUCACAGUGAUGUGAUCAUGAGACAAAGAAUGCAGGCAGGCCUUAGAAGCCAGAAAAGUCAAGGAACAGAGCCUUCCCUACAGCUUGCAGAAGGAAGGGAGCUCUGUUGCCCCUUGGUCUUAGCUCUAAGACCCAUUUUGAACAUCUGACCUCCAGAAGUGUAAGAAAAUAAAUUUGUGAUGUUUGAAGCCUCAAGGUUUGUGGUAAUUUUUUAUAGCAGCAAUAGGAAAGUAAAAGACCCCUAAAGCAGUGUUUCAGCCCUGGCAUUAUGGCAUCACCCAUGUGGCUCUGAGAUGUAUUGGAUCCCUAACAGAAAACAGGUAGGACCACCAGAACAAUUUAAUGAAGACUUCUCAGUUGUAUUAUAUUUUUAAAAAUUUAAAAUGAACUUGUAUAUGUGGAAGGAUUGAUGAUCUGUACUGACUCCAGAUGGUUAUGUUCUCCUGAUGACAGAUGGAAGUCCAGGAGGCGGGGCCAUCUACAGGAAAGCAGGAGAGAAAUGAUUGAUAUAGGAAGCCAGUACAAUCCAGGAACUCUUUAUACAAGCACAAUUUUUACUUUUCUGAUUCUCCGGUAGUAUUUUUUGAAUUAUGGAAGGAGAUGAACAUUCCUAUUUUUUUAAUAUGGAACUAGCUGUACUGUUGUUUCUCUUUCCUUGCUGUGCUAGAAGAGUCUGGAGUUUAAGCUCUUCUUGUAUUUGAGCAAAAGUUAAUGUUUUUAAAUUCUUUUUGUUGAUUAGACAUUUGGGUCUGAUGGAUCACUAAGGUUUAUUAUAAAAAAGUUUGAAGUUCAAGGAUAUUUCUUCUUUUUUACAUUAGUUGUAAGGAAAAGGACAAAAUGCCUUGGAGAGAAGCCAGAACAAGAGAAUUUGGAGCAUCAACAAAAUAUGUUGAACAUAAACAAGAGAGUAGAGUUUCACUCUAGGCAAGAAAGUGGUUCUCCCAGGGGGAUGAACUAGAAAAAGGGAGAGGAAAGUAUCAUGUGUAUAUGAGUAGGAAGAUGAAGGAAACAGGGAAGGGGGAGGUAGUUAUAGUUAAGCAGAUCGGAUCUUAAGCAACUUUGCCAAUGAUAUUCUUACCCCAAGUGUAUGCCAGCAAGAUAUGGUUCUACUGCUGGUGACCUCAUAGAAGCAGAGUCAUCACUGGAGAAAGACAUAGCUCUCAUCCUGAUGGGCAUCUCCUGCCCCUGAGGCCUCAGUUAGCUGCACUUGCCUUCUGCAUCUCCUGGGGAUUUCACUCCAUCAGUUAGCAUCUUGUUUACUGCCUUCCCUAAAGAAGUGAUAUGUAUUAAUAUUAGUCUGUUAUAACAUCGCUAUAAAGAUACCAAAGACUGGGUAAUUUAUAGUGAAAAGAGGUUUAAUUCACUGAAAGUUCUACAUGGCCAGGGGGCCUUCAAAAUUUACAAUAAUGGUGGAAGGCAAAGGGUAAGCAAGCUACCUCCUUCACAAGGCAGCAGGAGAGACAGCAAGAAAGCAGGGGAAAUGCCAGACACUUAUCAAACAACCAGAUAUUGUGAGAACUCCCUCACUAUCACAAGAACAGCCUGGGAGAAACCACCCCAUGAUUCAAUCACCUCCCAACAGGUCCCUCCCUUGAUAUGUGGGGAUUAUAAUUUGAGAUGAGAUUUGGGUGGGGACACAGAGCCAAACCAUAUCAUGAUGCCUAUCCAUUUCUUUGAAUUUUGUUUGAUUCCUGACUGACUUAUUCUUACCUCACAAUGCCCCAGGAUAUAUGUGAGCCCAAGAAAAUGGGAUUAAAGUCAGAGAGACUUAGUAGCGUGGCCUAAUGAAAAAUCCUUGGGGCUAACUGGAGCCAAACUGAUUUGAUACCUUCCCAGCAUCUCUCCAUCUUUUACAUGAGCUGGGACCAUGGUUAAUGGCUCUUUUUAUAUAAUAAUUUAAAAAUGUGUAAAUAUAAGGGCCACCUAGCACAUAAAGAAGGAAUAUAAAGGUCAAGGGUCUUGUUGUUUAUCAACAUGGUCUUUGAGAAUUGCUUAUACUCAAUUUUGAUGAGCCUGGCUCUUUAUGGCUCCUUCUUCCGUGAUUUGGAAAAGUGCAAGCCUGGGCAGCUGUCAACUCAUUGAUACUCUCAGCAGCACAGUUCCGACUGAACUCUUAGUUUAGUCAUGGUGAUAUCUAGUGGUUGUACCACUAGGGUGGUACAGCCCUUGGUACUGUCCUGGUUUGGGUUGCUUGGACAUUUGGAGAAAUAAAACAGAUGGGAGAAUUAUGAUUUUGAACAAAUAAUUUACCAUGUUGCAAAUUUCUUUAUCAGUGAAAGUCCAGUAAUUUUCUACAUUGUUUAACUAAAAGUUGUGGGUUUUUAAAUGUAGGUGUUCAACUAAGCUAGCACUUGAGUGAAUUAAAAAAAAAAUUGGACUAAAUACUGUGGAGGGAGAAGUGCAAAAGGAUCAGAUAACAUGUUGUAGUGGAGCCUUCAGGCUGUCUGCCCAGCAACCUUUUUAUCCAUAGAUGUGGGCCUGGGUAACCUGUGUCACCUGGUGGCCUCCUUCCUGGCCAUAUUGGUGGUGGGAGUUGGGGACUAAGAAACUACACAUCAUUCUCUGCAUGUGGCCAAACUUACAACAUGGGAGUAGUGAAACGUCUGUGAGAAGUGAGAACUAGUGUAUUAGCCCAUUUUCAUGCUGCUAAUAAAGAUACCCAAGAUUGGAUAAUUUAUAAAGAAAAAGAGGUUUCAUGGACUCACAGUUCCACAUGGCUGGGGAGGCCUCAAAAUCAUGGUGGAAGCUAAGGAGGAGCAAGUCAUGUCUUACAUGGAUGGCAGCAGGCAAACAGAGCUUGCACAGGGAAACUCCCCCUUAUAAAACCAUCAGAUCUUGUAAGAGGUAUUCACUAUCAUGAGAACAGCAUGGAAAACACCUGCCCCCAUGAUUCAAUUACCUCCCAUGGGGUCCCUCCCACAACACGUGGGAAUUCAAGAUGAUAUUUGGGUGGGGACACAGCCAAACCAUAUCACUCUGCCCCUUGCCCCUCCUAAAUCUCAUGUCCUUACAUGUCAAAACCAAUCAUGCCUUCCCAACAGUCCCCCAAAGUCUUAACUCAUUUCAGCACUAACUCUUUUAAAAGUCUACAGUCCAAAGUCUCACCUGAGACAAGGCAAGUCCCUUCUGCCUAUGAGCCUGUAAAAUUGAGAGCAAGUUACUUGCUUGCUAGAUACAAUGGAGAUACAGGCAUUGGGUAAAUACAGCCAUUCCAAAUGGGAGAAAUUGGGUAAAACGAAGGAGCUACAGGCCCCAUGCAAGUCCAAAAUCCAGCAGGGCAGUUAAAUCUUAAAGCUCCAAAAUAAUCUGCUUUGACUCCUUAUCUCACAUCCAGGUUAUGCUGAUGCAAGAAAUGGGUUCCCAUGGUCUUGGGCAGCUCUGCCAGUGUGGCUUUGCAGGGUACAGCCUCCUUUCUGGCUGCUUUCAUGGGCUGGCAACGAGUGCCUGUGACUUUUUCAGGUGCACAGUGCAAGCUGUCAGUGGAUCUUCCAUUCUGGGGUCUGGAAGAUAGAGACCCUUUUCUCACAGCUCCACUAGGCAGCACCCUAGUGGGGACUCUGUGUGGGGGCUUCUACCUCACAUUUGCCUUCCACACUACCCUAGCAGAGGUUCUCCGUGAGGUUUGUCCCUGAAGCAAAACUUCUUCCUGGACAUCCAGGCAUUUCCAUACAUCCUCUGAAAUCUAGGUGGAGGUUCCCAAAUCCCAAUUCUUGACUUCUGUGCCCUCACAGGCUCAACACCACGUGAAAGCUGCCAAGGCUUGGAGCUUGCACCCUCUGAAGCCACAACCUGAGCUCUAGCUUGGCCCCUUGUAGUCAUGGCUGGAGUGGCUGGGACACAGGGCGCUAAGUCCUUAGACUGCACACAGCAGAGGGACACUGGGCCCAGCCAAUGAAACCAUUUUUCCCUCCUAGGCUUCCAGGCCUGUGAUGGGAGGGGCUACCUUGAAGACUACUGACAUUCGCUGGAGACAUUUUCCCCAUUGUCUUGGCAAUGAUUCACAUUCAGCUCCUCGUUACUUAUGCAAACUUCUGCAGCCAGCUUAAAUUUCUCCUCAGAAAAUGGAAUUUUCUUCCCUAUCACCUUGUCAGGCUGCAAAUUUCUGAACUUUUAUGCUCUGAUUUCUUUAUAAAACUGAAUGCCUUUAACAGCACCCAAGUCACCUCUUGAAUGCUUUGCUGCUUAGAAAUUUCUUCCACCAGAUUCCCUAAAUCAUCUCUCUCAAGUUCAAAGUUCCACAAAUCUCUAGGGUGGGGCAAAAUGCUGCCAGCCACUUUGCUAAAACAUAACAAGAGUCACCUUUGCUACAGUUCCCAACAAGUUCCUCAUCUCCAUUUGAGACCACCUUAGCCUGGACUUUAUUGUCCAUAUUGCUAUCUGCAUUUUGGGCAAAGCCAUUCAACAAGUCUCUAGGGCAUUCCAAACUUUCCCACAUUGUUCUGGCUUCUUUUGAGCCCUCCAAACUGUUCCAACCUCUGUCUGUUACCCAGUUCCAAAGUUGCUUCCCUGUUUUCGGGUAUCUUUUCAGCAGCAUCCCACUCUAUUGGUUCCAAUUUACUGUAUUAGUCUGUAUUCCUGCUGCUGCUAAAGACAUACCUGAGACUGGGAAGAAAAAGAGGUGAUAUGGUUUGGGUAUGUCCCCACCCAAAUCUCAUCUUGAAUUCCCACGUGUUGUAGGAGGAACUCAGUGGGAGGUAAUUGAAUCAUGGGGGCAUGUGCUAUUUUUCUGAUAGCAAAUAAGUCUCAUAAUAUCUGAGUGCUGUUCUUGUGAUAGCAAAUAAGUAUCAUAAUAUCUGAUGGUAUUAUAAGGAGGAAUUUCCUGCACAAGCUCUCUCUUUUUGUCUGCUGUCAUCCAUGUAGGAUUUGACUUGCUCCUCCUUGGCUUCCACCAUGAUUGUGAGGCCUCCCCAGGCAAGUAGAACUGUAAGUCCCACUAAACUUCUUUUUUUUCUGUAAAUUGUCCAGUCUCAGGUAUAUGUCUUUUAUCAUCAGCAUGAAAAUAGACUAAUACAAGAGGUUUAACAAACUCAUAGUUCCACAUGGCUGGGGAGGCCUCAUAAUCAUGGUGGAAGCAAAAGCUACUACUUACAUGGCAGUGGCAAGAGAGAAUGAGAGCCAAUAAGUUUCACAAGAUCUACUGGAGAAGACCAGGUCUGCCCGAUAUGAGGGCUUUCCCUCUGCCUGGCACAGUGCCUGGCAUAGAAUAGGUCUUCAGUGAAUAUCUGGAUGGAUAGUUGAGUGAACAGCAACAUGCAGAAAGUAUCAGAGGAAAGGCAUAGAGUCCUGCCCACAUUCCAGUCCCUGGUUCCAGUUCCUUCCCACCUUUCAGCUCCAGUGCCAACUUGAAGAGUUACAUAUAACUCAGGCCAUCCUAAGUUGGUUUCUGCUACUUGCAAAUUGUAGAGCAAUCACUGAUAAUAAUGGUCUCUAGCUUGGGGGAACUUGGAGUAUACUUUUAGACAACCUGAAAAAAAAUUAUGUAUUUGUGUAACUGAUUCCUUCCUCUUUACAUGUGUGUAUUUAUAUAUGAAUGUGUGUGUAGGUACAUGUAUAUAAUUAUAUGAUAUUAUUUUUGGAUAUAUACAUAUGUAUAUAAAAAUGCAUAUAUAAAAAUGAAUUGGGCAAUUUAAUCAAUGUUCCUGAGCUCCCUUUUUACCUCUAAAAUGAAAGGAUGAGAUUCAAUGAUCUAAAAUUUUAAAAGUACACGCUUUCCAGGAAUUAUGUAAUUGCUUUGUUAGAAAGUCACCAGAAGGUAUACUGUUGCUAGAAAAGAAUGCCCAGGGAAGGCACUUUGGGAAUUCACGUACAUGCUAUGUUUUGUCAUUGCUGGAAAUAGUUUGGCAGCGCCUCCAGGAAGUACAUUCACAGGUAUUCACAUAUUCUCCAUGGAGGCAGAUGUCCAGUCUAAUGACUGUGAUGACUGAGGGUGCUGGUAAUGACAGUUCAGACAGAAAAGCAAAAUUUAGUUAAGAAACAGCAGUAAGAGUUUUCACUGUGAACUGGCCAUGAAGACAGACCCACAAGGAGUAUCAUUCACUGUCACUAUGGAUAGAACAUUGGUGAGGAUGACAUACCAAACCUUUCUGAAGCAUCAGAAAGGUAGAUAACCUGCAGUUGCAGUCCCCAAACUUGGCUGCCCUCUUUUUGGCUGGGACCUCAGUACUCUUCUCACAUCAAGCAUGGGCAUGUACCAGGUGUUCAAUUAGUACUGAGUGGUCAGUUAAGCCAAACUGAUUAUAACAGUCAUCAGUGUUUGAAUCAGGUGCUUUAUGUAUAUUUUCUUACUUCACACAGUUAACAAUACUCUUUUUAGUUUCUUUGUAAAAAUUAGGAAAGUGAGACCUAGACACCUUAUGGAACUUGCCCCAAAUCACACUGUUAAAUGGCACAGGAGGUCAACCCAGGUUGUUUGACUCCAAAGCCCAUGUGCUAUCCUACCUCUCUCUUCUCAGCCAUAAUUAGAGGCAAAUGAGAAUAGCACAAAGCAUUUUUCCUUAUAUGUAUUUUAACUUACAACAACCCUCCAUAAACUAUUAUCCAUUGGAACCACAAUAUUCUUGUGAAUAACAUCAUCUGCCUGGAAAAUAAGGUAAUAGGAUUAUAAAUCUUUCAAAAAAAUGUACCUAAGUAUUUUCACAAUGUGGAAAAUACAUGUGGUACUCUGUAUUUUCAGAGACAUCUGAAAGGGCAGUGCAUCUUCUCUGCACUGUUCGCAUGCUCUCUUAGCUGUUCGUGUGGGUUUCACUGGCAUGCAUCAUUGCUCCCCCUUCUCCUGUAUGCCUAAGGUAGGGCACUUCUGCCACCCACUGAAGUUUGGUUCUAAAAAGGUAACAGCUUAAAGGGAAUAGCAGAGGGGUUAGUUAUUUUUUUCAAAUGAGUGUGGAGAAAAAGCAACCGAGCAGGCUCUUCCCAGAUGCCUGUUUCUAGUCAGCAGGCUGCUUGAAUCCCCUGGUUGAACACAUUUCAGUCAUCCUGUGCCUAAGGAGAAAAACACCACUCCUGGCUCUCGUCGCUAUGGCAACUGAUGCUCAGCAGGCAGUUGCAGUUUCAUUUAACAAAACUGGCUUUUAGAACUUGAGGGGAAACUAUGCUUUCAUAGAAGAGAAAAGGGAAGAUGAGUGGUUUAAUUAAUGUGUCUCAAUUUAACAUGAAGAUACAGGUCACUUCCACUGUUUGACCAUACAGCAUCUAGCUCCGCUUUAUAUCUGUAUCAGAUCUAAAGCUUAAAAGGAUGGGAUAUUUCUCUCAUCAUAUGUGAAGUGUACAGUGGGCAGAGGAGGAGAAGCAGGGGUUGUGUUAGACCCUUUGCGAAAGGUUUUUCACUUUAUAAAAAUCAUCUCGGCUUGAGAGUGUAUAGAAGAAUUGCUUUCUCUUCUCUCAUCCACAAAGGAGGCCUGAGAGAUGGGUUGCUAGGCAACCUCACACCGAAGACAGGGGCGCUGUGGAAUUAACAUAGCUGACCUCCCCAUCAGCUCUGCAGCUCUGCUAUUCAAAACGAUUUUAUGAGACUGUAGGACUCAAGAAAAUAGAAAUAAAAUAUAAAUACAAAAAUAAAGAAUAGAGGAUAUAAAUCUAACUUUUUCAAGUGAAGAUUCAAUGAGAAAGGGUAGCAGUUGGAAACGGCGGGUUGAGGGGAAAAAACAGUAUUAGUUGCUAUAAACCAGAAACUUGUAUUUUGAAUAAUAUAGGAAGAAAAUUUUCCUAUUUCUUUAGAAAUGUUUAUGGCUGACAGUUAACCUAUCACAGUAAAAGUGCUGAAAAUACUUGAGGUCAAACAGAAAAAUCAGUUUAUAAUAAUGUAGAUCUACAACAUACUUUUAACAAAAAGCUCAACUCUCAAUCCUUACCAUGUGAUGGUCUGUUUAAGCUCCAGAGUCCCUUACUCUCCUUCCUGCCACUAUAUCAUCGAUAUGGUUGGCGUGGGAAGGGAUGGCAUUUAUUCUGCAAGUAGAUGAAUAUUUGGAAGGAAAUUGCAAAGCUGAUCCAUGAAACAGAGCACACACUCUUAUCAGCAAUAAAUAAUUUAGGUGUUUUUUUUUUUUUUUUUUUUUUUUUUAAGACAAGUUUUGCUCUUGUCGCCCAGGCUGGAGAGCAAUGGCGCGAUCUUGGCUCAUUGCAACCUCCACCUCCCGGAUUCAAGCAAUGAUUCUCCUGCCUCAGCCUCCUGAGUAGCUGGGAUUACAGGUGCCCACCAUCACACCAAGCUAAUUUUUGUAUUUUUAGUAGAGAUGGGGUUUUGCCAUGUUGGCCAGUCUGCUCUCAAACUCCUGACCUCAGAUGAUCCACCUGCCUCGGCCUCCCAAAGUGCUGGGAUUACAGGUGUGAACCAUUGUGCCUGGCCUAGUUUGAUUUUUAAAAUACGUCAUACUACUGGAAAAUGGUUCUGGUAACAUUUUAGGAUAGUUUGUUGAAUUUAUCAACAAUAAAUUAAAAAUCGACCAAAGUUGGUGGCAUUGUGGGAGGUGGGAGACUGAAAACAAAUUCUGAACUGGUUUUUGUAGAUUUUGUAGACUUGUUUUUGUUAUAAACGUUUGGGUGAAGCAAUUCUGAAACCAUUUUAGGUAGAUUAUAAGGUUGAAGAAAUGGACAAAUAGGUUGAAGUUGUUAGGAUCCAGGACCACACUCUGGAAAAGGGUCAUACAAAUAAGAACUAGAUGUCAGUGUAUGUGAGACUGUGUGUAUGUACAGUAUUCGUGCAAACACCUGUAUGUCUAUAUGUGUGUCUAUGAGUAUAUGUCUGUAUAUGCAUAUGUAUGUAGGCAUGCAUAUGUUUUCCAUCUUCUGAAAGGAUCUAGAAGCAAUUACACCCUAGUAGCAACGAGCAGACUUAGCACUUGGAUCCUCAUCUCUAACACCAUUCCCAAUAAAAGGAACCAGGGCUCCUCAGAGAAAUGUGUGAUUCCAAGGUUGAAGCAGGGAAAUGAGAAGUUGAGCCUCAGACACCUUGUUAUGAUAGAAAGUAAGAAAGUGCUCAAAAAAAAGAAAAAUGAACAAUGAGAGCAUGUCACAAGGACACAGGAACCAGCCUGAAGAGGCUUCUGCUGGACAAAUCUGAAAUAAUUUGAGCACCAAAAUAAUUAAAGACAUUAAUGAAUGAUGAAAUAUUGAAAAAUAGAAUUUCACAAGACUGUAUGAUGUUAAAUAUUUUUAACAACAAAAAGCUCAAAUCUGAAUCCUCGCCAUGUGCUAGUUUGUUUAAGCUCCAGAGUCCCCUACUCUCCUUCUAUAUUAAACAAUGGAUAAAAUUAUUUUAUCCAGGAGGAAAAAAAAUAAAGCUCAACUCUCAGUCCUCACUAUGUGAUAGUUUGUUUAAGCUCCAGAGUCCCCUACUCUCCUAUAUUAAAUAAUGGAUAAAAAUGAAAAGCAAAAACAAUAAAUAAGCAAAGGCGGGGCUCCUGCUUAUGGUAAAACGCUAAGUACUAACUGCUGGGUACAUGUGGAGCCUUUAUUACCCUCACAGUAAAGAUGGGACUAGGCAAGAAUCAUGAUCAAUCCAGUGGAAAGUUUUGAAGAGGAGCACGAUAUUUGAUCUACGAGUGUCUCCUCACAGAUUGCUUAUUAGUUGCAAGAAAAAAUAUAACUAUGUAGUGGAGAAAUUUGAAGGAGUAAUCAAAAUUAAUUCACAAGUGAGGGCAGAUAAAUAUGUGUGCUUCCAUAUUUGAUACCCUGAGGACAUACUACUUAUAUAGCAUUAUGGCCAGGGAUGUUUAGCUCAAAUUGAAUCAUGAUGAAAUAUCAGACAAACCCUAAAUGAAGAACAUUCUACUACAAAAAAAAGAGGGUGAGGGACAUUUUCUUCAAAAAAUGUCUAUAUUGUAAAAGAGAGAAAGGCUGUGGAUAUGCUCCAGAUUAAGCAACAAUAAAGAGACAAGACAAGUAAAUACGAUAUCUGAUUCCAGAGUGGAUCCUGACUGGAGGAAAAAAAGGACUUCAUUGGAUCAAUUGAUGGUAAAUGAUGUGGAUUAAAGUAUGGAAUCCAUGUUAAAUUUACUGAAGUUGAUAACUACAGUUUGAUUAUAUAGGAGUGUAUCCAUGUUCUUAGGAAAUACAGACCACUGAAGUACUUAGGGGUACAGGGAUGUGUACGAUGCUUGUGACUUUCAGAAUCUUCAGAAAAAAAAUCAUAUGUAUAUAUGUGUGUAUACAUACGUGUCAGUGUAAAUGUAUACAUAAAAUUCGUAUACUCACACAGAAAGCACAAAUGAUAAAGCAAAUGGUUUAAAAUAUUAGGAAUAUUUUAAUGUUUACCUUAAUAUAUAUGGUAUUUGCAAUAUUAUUUAUGCAACUUUCUGUACAUUUAAUUUUUUUCCAAAUAAAAAAUUAAAAAGUUGUUUCCUUUUUGUAGAAACAAAAUCAUUCUUAUUGAAACUUGAAUAAUGAAUAUUGGGCAUUUUAAAAAAUCUACAAAAACAACCACCCAGCACAUACAUUUUAUAAAAGGCAGUAGAUUCAUGUGUUUAACACAAGUAAGUGACAUCAGGAUCUAGACAUGUCGUUUGUCCCGUUUCCUCACCUUGACUCUUCACAUGGUACGUAUUCAAUCAUUUUAACUUUGCCCUUGCGAUUUCUCAAUAUCCUGCACUUGCACCCACCCAGAGUCCCCCUCAAUCUAUCCUCUGCAAUUUGUAACUUAAGUCAAUGUGAAAAAUUGGACAAAAAAAUUCUUCAGGAAACUAUGUAAGGGAGGAGUUUUUAUGUAUUUACUAGAGCAACUUCACAUAUUAAACUUAAACUGUAUGAAAAGAGCAUUUUUGUAACUGCUUAGCGUUUUAGUGCAUUCUUUUUCCUCAAAGUUCUUAAGCUUACUGUGUUUUUCAAAGAAAGUUUAAUCUGUAACUGUGAAAAAGGACCUAUUGCCCUGACCCGAAAUAAGUGAGGAUACUACUGAACAUUUUGCAGCUUUGUCCUCUGUGUUUCAUGUGGUUUUUUAAGGUUCUUACAUCAUUUACCCAUUAAAAAUAAAACUAGGCUGCUUUUGGUGAAAAUGGAAAUAGUAAUUACCUUCUUAAAAUACCCCCUUAAAAAAAAAACAGGAUUUCUUUUACAUUGCCAAAAGAAUUUGUUUGAAGGAAGAUAAAUGUAACAUACAUACUAUUUGAAAGCAGCCUGGUUUAAGGGUUGCCAUCGAGUCUCAUGUUAUACCACUCGGAAGUAAGACAUUUAGAACCUGCUCAUUACUCCGCAUCCCUCAUUUAUGGGAUCAGAUUGCUUUUAUGGGCAUUGUGCCAGAUUCAUUGAUGUGCACUUAAGGCAGAUUGCAGAGUGAAACGUUUUUCUAGAAAACAUCUGGUUCUUAAGAGGAGCAUUAGAAGGAGGGUAGCACAUUUUUGAUCAUAACUGGGAUUUAUCAUGUUACAGUAACUCCCCUCUAAUCUGGCAGGCAGAAUUCCAACAACCACAACCAGGAACCUGGAAAUAAGUGAAAAAUACCUCAGAGUCCAAAGAAAACAGAGGUCCAAGAUCCUGUGCAUAUGAAGGAGUGGUAUUGCCCUUAGCUCAAAGACUAUUUUAUUCAUUAUAAAACUACUGGAGCCAAUUAGCAUAAGGGCUCCUGAAGCCGCCUUUAUAUCAAGUGAGUCUUUCUGCAGUUCAUUCGUUCCUUCACUCCCCUUGCAAAAAUUGUGCACCCCCUGGAUGCCACCAUUUUUCUACUCAGGUUUUCCCCUCCUCUCUUUCUUGUACCUUCAAUAUUUACUGGCUUUUUUUUUUCUCCAUAGAUGCCCAAGUAGCUCUUACCUUAAAAGACAGACUUCUCACACCCUUAUGGACACAUCACUCUUCACCCUCAGCCUUAUUUCUAAAAACUUUUCUAUACUGACUCUAGUUCCUCUCCUUCCAUUCGCAGGGCUUCCAAUAGCCUAUGAGAAAGUUGUAUUCAAAUUAGAAAAGGGAGUCCUCCUGCAUGGAGAUGCAGUUGCAGAGUGGUAAGACUUGGAGGAUUUCUGCCUCCAUCUCCUGUGCCCUUGGCUGGGUCACUCUGUGCAGUGCACACACUGCACGACCACACGUGGAGGCUCUGCAGGAUUUCAGAUAUUUCCACUGGUUUUUAAUUUAUUAUAUUUGGUAGAAUCAUCAUUAAAACUCUGUUAAUGGAAUAAUGGACUAAAAUUACAGAGGACUGGGUUUGCUCUCAAUCCUUUAUGUAAUUGCAGGACUAUGCUCUUACACAUCCCCUCUGGAACUCUUACGUUCUAGUACCACUUCUGUUACCACUCCUACUACUACUUUCUGGCUUUUAUUUCCAUCUUUCACUUCCUGAAUCUCUAUCGCUGGCCAUCGAAGUAAUAUAGAUUGCAUUUUGCAUUAACAAUUAAUAGUAAAGUGUGGUAUUGAGAGUUGAAAUGUCAGCUUUUGUUUAGCUUCUUCUCUUCGUCUGUGUUCAGAAAAAUAACUUUAAACAGCAAAAAGCAAGUUUGAGAAGGCUAUUCUCUAAAAAACAACAAAAAACUUUUUUUAUUGUAGAAUAUAUGUUAAUUCCAGUUAACUUUUACAAUGGUAAAUAAAUAUUUCAUCACUCAGAUAUAACUAUGUUAACAACUGGGUUUCAUCUAGUUUUGUGUAUUCUUAUAUGCAUCUAUAGUUUUGGCAAAUGGAUAUAUUAUUAUUUGAACAGUUACAUUUUCCUCUUUAUUCACUUAUUUUGUGAGCAUUUUAGCAGUUAAAAUCUUUCAAAAAUUUUUUUUUUCUUUUUUUUUUUUUUUUUUAGACGGAAUCUCACUGUUGCCCAGGCUGGAGUGCAGUGGCGUGAUCUCGGUUCACUGCAACCUCCACCUGCCAGGUUCAAGCAAUUCUCCUGCCUCAGCCUCCCGAGUAGCUGGCACUACAGGUGCACACCACCAUGUCCAGCUAAUUUUUUGUAUUUUAGUAGAGACGAGGAUCCCCGUGUUGCCCAGGCUGGUUGCGAACUCCUGAGCUCAGGCAAUCUGCCUGCCUCGGCCUCCCAAAGUGUUGGGAUUAUAGGCAUGAGCCAAAAAAAUUAAAUACAUAAAUAAAUCCUUGAAAUAGUUUUCAAUUACUACCUACUACUAUAUUAUUGGUCAAAUCUUACAUAUGUGACAACCUCAUGUUGGAUGUUUUGAUAACCAAAAGCAGCAAAAAAUUCAGUUACAAUUUUUAAAAUUGGAAACCUUUGAGAAAUUUCGGAAUAUUUCCUGUGAUAAAUUUCUCUACGUGGGAUCACUUGGUUAAACGAGAGACUCUUAUUUUGUGCUGUUUUUAGAGAACAGCCUUCUCGAACUUGCUUUUUGCUGUUUAUAAGUUAUUCCCUUCAGGAAGGCUGUGCUACACUUCGAUGAGCAGCGGUCUGAAUGCGGUGGUUUCCUUGCACCUUUGCCAACCUUGCUUCUAAAAAAAUCUGUCAGCAUGAACGCUGUUGUAUGAUCCUAUUUUAAAGCUAUUCACUUGUCAUCUCCAGUCGCAAACUAGGAUAGCUCCUGUCAGAUUCUUAAUUGGUCUUUUGGUUUCCAUAGUGAUUCCAUUAUCUACUUCUACUCUAGUGCAAAGUUCAACUUGCUUCCUCAGCUGUCCAUGCAUAAAAGCCUUCCAGAUUUGCUCUAGGUUCUUGACUUCUGGGGAAGAAAGAUAUUUCCUCUUGGACCCAGUUCACCAUACUAGCUGAAUUAAGGUCAAAAGUACAUUAAACUUACAACUGUGUCCUUACCAUGACGGGGGGCAGGUGUCCAGAUCCCAGAUCUACAGAAAAUUCUUUCAUUUCUGUUGUGUCCCCCUGCUUCCAUCCUGAGUGUACGUCCCCAAACUUUCAUUUAACAUGUCAUGUUCAUUAGUUCCUUCAAAUACUAGUUCAGAGCAGUCUGGAAUCAAGACUGCCUAGUUUGAGCUCCAACUGUCACAGAUCUUGGGCUUGUCACAUAAGGCAAUCAAAUCCUUAAAGAAGAAAAAACAUCAGAGGUAGUAAAUGCUGCAUAGAGUUUAAAAAGGAUAAUAUGAUACAGAAUCACAGGAUGGCUACUUGAGAUUGUGGGCCUGGACAUGAACACGGCCUCUUUGAGGAGGUGGUGAUAAAGUGAUACCUGAUGGAAAGGAGCAAACCUGGAGAAGGAAGCUCAGAGACAGGAAGCGGGGGUGAAGGGAGGGACAGGAGGAAGAGAAUUCUCCACUGAGGAGAGUAGGGCAAAAGCAAGCUCCAGGUGGAUAAAAUGAGAUGCUGCAUGUGGAGUCUAGCAUAAUGGUUGGUGGGUAGAGAGAGAGGAAAAGAGGGAAGUAGUUGAACAAAAAUUAGAAGGGAAGGAAGGAGGGAAGGUGUGAAUGAAUGAGAAUCUCAAAUCCUGUAGGGCUGAGCUCUCUAGGGGACUUUACUCAUCCUUUUAAUCUUGCUUUGAACUGCAUUUUCUCUUCUCAGUUGCAAUUACUACUUUGCCCUGUUCUGCUUAUAAGAGGAGCUACUAUUAAGAGCCUAGUGAGUCAGAUUCAUUAUAGGUUUUAUAUAAGUUCCCUUUAAUCCUUACAACCUGAGGCAGGUUAUUAUCCUUAUAUGCUUGUUUAUGGGUGAGAAAACUGAGGCUGAGAGUGUGUAACUUGGAGAAAGAUGAAACAUCUAGGUAAUGGUAGAGCCAAAACUUAAAUCCAGGCUGGUCUGAUUUCAGAUCCAUGCUCUUGACUGCUACACUAUAGUGCUCCUCAAUUAGACUGCUCUUUAAUAGUUUCUACAUUUGUAACAGCUGUUCAUUCCACUCAGUCCAUCUUGUUCUUCAUUAUUUAGCUAUCUCUGUGAUACACCAGUUUCUUCUGCUAGCCAGAUGUAGAAAAGAUCACUUCUUCUUACAGAAACAUUAUCUCUUAGUUAUAGAAGGCAUCUUAAUAUAAUAAAUAAGGCAGAGGCUUUGAAGUUGACUGGGCCAGUAUGGAAUUCAGGUUCUGACACUUUUCUCUGUGACCCUGGGCAAAUCAUUUAGUCCAGGUCUCACCUUUCUUAUCUGAAAAGUGGGAAUAUUAUUUCUCUUAAUAGCUGACUGAAAAUUAAAAGACAUAAAGUAAGGAAAGUCCCUAAAAUAGCAUCUAACAAAUGGCAGGUGCAAAAUAAAUGGCUGCUUAAGAAACAAAAACAAAACCUUCCUCUCCUCUUACAGAUAGGAAAACUGAUUUGGAAAUGUCUUGCUGAGAGAACAGAUGCUCUAUUUCUCUAUCCAAUUUCCAUGAUUCCAGCAUCCCAUGACACAAGUUCACUGGAACUACUAAAGGCAUUCUGUUAAUGUGAUUUCUGCCUGAGUCAGCUCCGGCUGCAAUAAUAAAAUAUCAUAAACUGGUGGGCUUAUCAACAAAAGAAAUCUGUUUCUCACAGUUCUGGAGGCUGGAAGUCUGAGAUCACGGUUCCAGCACCACCAGGUUCUGGUGAGGACCCUCUUUUGGGUUGCAAAUAGUUGACUUCUUAUUUUGUCCUCACAUGGUAGAAAGAUAGCUAGAGAACUCUCUGGGAUCCUCUUUUUAAGGGCACUAAUCGCACUCGCAAGGGCUUCAGCCUUAUGACCUAAUUAUUUCCUAAAGCUUCACUUCCCAAUACUAUCACAUUAAAGACUAGGAUGUCAACAUACGAAGUUUGGGGUACACAAACAUUCAGUCCAUAGCAUUGUCCUUAAAAAUGUCCACUCAGGCUGAAAGAUAUUUCUCCACCUGAAUUAAAGAAAAAGAGGUAAUGUUUCACGAUUCCAGAUUUGUAAAACAGGGAUAAUAAUGCCGGCAUUUUAGGUUUGUGAAGAUCAAAUGUAAGGAAUAUGAAAGUAUUUUAACAUAUAUGAAGUGACUUAUAAAUUCUAUUAUUAAACAUUCUAUGAAAUGCCAUAAAUAAAAGCUAGGUGACAAGGCGGCCAGAUUACUUGAGGCCAGAAGUUCGAGACCAGCCUAGCCAACAUGGCGAAACCCCAUCUCUACUGCAGAUACAAAAAUUAGCCAGGCGUGGUGGCGUGUGCCUUUAGUCCCAGCUACUCAAGAAGCUGACGCAGGAGAAUUGCUUGAACCCAGGAGGUAGAGGUUGCAGUGGGCCAAGAUCGCACCACUGCACUCCAGCCUGGGCUACAGAGUAAGACUCUGUCUCAAAGAACAACAACAACAAAAAACCCCACAAAAAACUGUUUUGCUAAGUGAAAAGAAGAAUAAUUGGAAUUUUAUAACGUAAUUGAAAUUAAAGGGAUUUUGAAAAAUGGGAGAAAUGAUCAGAAACAAGAGAAUGGAGUUCAAAACAAACACAGGACAUUUAAUAAAAAGCAGCAAAUGACUUAUAAAUACUGUUUAUUGUAAAUGCAAAUAAAAUUGAGGACUGUGUUUACUACAAUUUUAAGGAAAAUUGAAAAAGAUGUAGAUGAGAAAUUAAAAAUAAUGCUAAGGAUUAAGUUUAGAUUAGGUUAAAUUUAGUGUAAGAGAGUGAAAGCUUCUAUGCCAGGGUGCUGUUAAACAGAGCUGGGUAAACCGUUGCCUUCACAUGGUGUGCUUUGUGACUCCCUGCUGACCAAAAGUAUUUGGUCACCCUUUACCAUCAAAUGUUACAGUGUCUGAAAUUAUACCUGCAGACCAAGUCUUCUAGGCUAAGGUUAAAUAUCCCUAAUAAGGGACCUAUUUAAAUUGAGGUUUCAGGACCUGAUUAUUUCUUAAGACCACAAUGGCCUUGAAAGCAGGAAGAAUGAGCUCAAGAAAGGAAAGGGAAACACACACUCUACCCUUUUCUAAAAAAGAUUUUUCAAUGAAAGUUACAUUUUCUGUACUAUACCACCACCCAUUAACAUUACAGAAUGCAGGGGGAGCUUACCCUGAUUUGCAAAACUUACCACAUCUUUUGAGUUCCAAGAGGAAUAUAAAUCAUCUAUUUAUAAAACCUUUAUUAAAAUAUAUAUUUAAAAUAUAUAUAUUGUCUUUUUCAUGAGUUAUUUACAGGGAGAUUUAUUCCAAUUUUUGAAACAACACAGAAUACAACAAAAACAGGCUGGGUGCGGUGGCUCAUGCCUGUAAUCCCAGCACUUUGGGAGGCCGAGGCAGGUGGAUCACAAGGUCAAGAGAUCAAGCCCCUCCUGGCUAACACGGUGAAAUCCCAUCUCUACUAAAAAUACAAAAAAUUAGCCGGGUGUGAUGGCACAUGCCUUUAGUCCCAGCUACUCGGGAGGCUGAAGCAGGAGAAUCGCGUAAACCCAGGAGGCGGAGGUUGCAGUGAGCCAAGAUCGUGCCACUGCACUCCAGCCUGGGCGGCAGAUCAAGGCUCUGUCUUUAAAAAUAAAUAAAUAAAUAAAAGAAUAUAACAAAAACACUUUAAAAGAGAACAAUGCAUUUUAAAUAUAUUUCCUGAAAUAAUAUUCCUUAGAAAAGAUACAGGGUAUUUAAUUACCUAGAUUUUAACAAAAUAUUCUUUAUAGAAAUAAUUAUAGUCUUUACCACAGAGUCACCAAAUCUGUACCCAAUCAAAACAGAGUCAAAUAGACCAGCUCUCAUUCAACUCCAUUAGGAAACACCAAUUUCACAUAGUACUUCUCUUGAUGUACAGCAGCAACCUCUGCUGGAGAAAAAAGGGUAUACUUCUAAUAACAAAGCACUGAGCUCAAACCUGUUUUGAACAGGAAGAACUGAAAGUUAGAUUUCUUUCAUUUCCUGUUAAACCAACACCUAAGUUAAAAUUAUUUUCAAGGUCUUAAAGACGCACGGGCCUUAUCAAGUAUAUCCUUUCUGAUUUUUGGAUAAGUUGGAUGUGCUUCAAGAACCUGCAAAACAAAUAAAGAACCCAUAAAAACUUGUAACUAAUAAUCAAAAACUACGGAGUUACAAAACUUAUAAGAAAUGAGCAUUACAGUUAAGAUUUCCUUGUACUAAUACUACAACAGCUAUAACACUUUUUAAUGGUGGCAUUUUAAAUGUAACAUGAUGACUCCUUUAUAUUAAUGGUAGUUAGAUGAGAACAAUAGAAUGUAAAUAUCAAAUGCAGAAAAUAUAACAAACAACUGCUUACCUAAUAGAUGAAUUGUAUAAAACAAUUAUGUAUCAAUGAUUUAAAAUAUUUUUGUAAUUUAGCUUUUCAUUCAUAAUAUCUGAUAAACCCUUAGAGAGUGACUUUUAUACAGCAGCACACAUUAGCUUUACCUGAAAUGAUCUUGAGACAUACGUAUUUCUAGUUCUACUGAGUCUAAGAGUGGGGAGAUGCUAGUUUUUUUUUUUAACUCCAAAAAUGAUCCUAAUAUAUAGCCUUACAUUAACACACAACCCUAACCUGACUGAAAUACUGCUUUACAGAGACUCAGUAAUCAACAGCAAUUACUAAGGCCAAGUAUUUACUGUAAUGAUGCUAACAGAUUGCUGUGUGGGAUAAGGGGCAUUACAAAAUUCUUUUCUAAUGAACUUUUCUUGGAGGUCCUUACAAUGUUUAAUAGAAUGUCUUAUAUGGAAUAUCAAUGGGACAAUGUAUAUAUAAAGAGACUCUACAAAUUCUAAAACUGUAAUUUAAAUAUUUGUCAUUUUAGUAGGUGAUCAUUUACUAGGGGAUGAAUUACAGAAUGCAAUUGAAUGACUUCUAAUAGAAUUCCUUUUUAUCUCUAAUUGAUCAGUCUGAAUUCUCUAAUAACCAGAUUCAGACACAUUCACAAGAACUUCUAAUCAGAAUAAUGAUCUGGAGAAUCUAUACUGUCUUCAAAUAUCUUCUAACUUAAAGACUACAUUUUAUUUAACAUGUUUCUCCCACUGGUCUUUGUCUUUUUUUUUUUUUAAAGUAAAAGUCUCUUUUACUCCACCUCUUUAAUCCUACUCCUUUCCAUACAUGUAAAUAUUUUAUGGUUUAUUGUUUAAUAUGUACUCUUCAGUGGUCUUUGUCUUUAAAUUGACAUAAACAUUUUAUUAUUUGAUCUCAAAGUAAAAACAUGUUUUUUAUUUAGGUGAACAUCAUUUUCUAAAUUUCGAACACUGAUAAUCUCCCUAAACAUACUGAUAAAUCAUUUAACUAAAAUAAUGUAUCCUCUAUUUCUAUUCACAUACAUCUGGAGAUUUAAAAAAGUAGGAAAUUGUGCAUCUGAAAAAUUUUAAGAAAUCUAAAUUUAAGUGUUUACCUGGUGACAUAUGUCAAUUGAAUCCACAUAUCUUUUUGCUUUUAAGUAAUUAAAUGCCAGUUUGUAUCCUGUUAAGACAAAAACCAUAAAACAGAAUGAUGGAGUACACUGCUACUAUUACUUUUCCUUGCCUCCUCCUCUCUUUGCUUACUCACUAGAGAAUGGUAAGGGAGGCUGGUGAAUGAACAACCAAACUACGCUAUACAGAGAAGUUGUGUGAUAAUAGAAGACAGAGUGACACAAAAGAAGUGUAAGAAGAAAAGAAAGUGGAGUUGGAAAAAAGGACCACAGUGAAUACAUUGAUAGGUUAGAAAGCUGCCAUCCCACAAGUGUGGUUUCUAUAACUUACUAGAAAAGUCUCAUUUAUUUCAGGUUAUAGUAAAAACUCAUCAUAGGGCAGUAAAUGACAACACAGCCAUUCAUUUAUACAGUACAGAUUUAUUUAGCACUUACACAGGCAAACUGAUGCCUACAGUUAUGAGGUUUGCAUUCUAUUAGGAGAAAAAGUACAUUUUAAAAUAAUUGCAUGAGUAAAUAAUUUCAAAACUGAGAUAAAUGUUAUGAAAGAAAGAUCCAGGCCAAGUGAGUUACCAUAAAGAACCUGAAGGGUAUCAAGAGAUGUCUGAAAUCUGAAGAAUGAGGCAUAAACUAGGCUAGGGUGGGAAUCAAGGACACUCUCAGACAGAGGAAACUGCAUGGAUUAAGGCCAGUGGUAGGACACACAGGGAGUUAAUGAACUUGGAGUAUGGUGAGAAGACAGAGCACAUAGGAGAGCGACACAGAGGAAGGCAGAUUAGUCAUCAAUGACUGGUAAGAAUUAUCACAAUUACUGAUAGUGAAAUGCCACACUUCUACUAUCAACAAUUAGAAGAAUAUUUAACACAUUCCUCUUAAUGGAUGUUGUUCUCUUGUAACAUGCUAUAAAAAUGAGAAAACUAAGAAGACAAGAAAAGUAACAGCAGCUGUGCACGCAGUAAACAAGAUAUAAUGCAAUGUAAAAUAAUGUGUAAUAAAAAAUAUCUCACUCUACCUCUUAAAAAUAUGAAAUAAGAAGUGUAAAUAGUGCUCUUCAGCUCUAAUAAAAGUACCAAAACAAAUGUUUAAAAUUUUAAAUGUUUGAAAAGAAUUACUGGCUAACAUUAUCAGAUGGUAGUAAAAAGAAAGAAAUAGAAAUGAUCUAAAAUUCACACUAUUUUAUAUAUAGUCAGGCACUGCAUGAUGAUGUUUCAUUAACAACAGACCACAUACAUGAUGGUGGUCCCAAAGAUUUUUAUACUGUAUUUUUGCUGUACCUUUUCUAUGUUUACAUACACACAUUGCUUAUAGCAUUCAUGACAGUAACAUGCUGUACAGGUAUGUAGCCUAGGAGCAAUAGGCUAUACCAGAUAGCCCAGGUGUGUAGUAGGAUCUACCACCUAGGUUUGUGUAAGUAUACUCUAAGAUGUUCACACAAUGAUGAAAUUGUCUAAUGAUGCAUAUCUCAGAAGAUUUCCAUUGUUAAGCGACACAUGACUGCAUAUAUAUAUGUGUGUAUGUUUAUAUAUGUGUGUGUAUAUAUAUGUAUGUCUAUAUAGGUGUGUAUAUAUAUAUCUCUACACACACACACAUGCACACAGGCACACAUGGGCAGGGCCUAUGGCAGAAUCUCACAUCUCAGAUUUUAGACAAAAAUAAGAAGUUUCAGAGAGGUAAACUUAAUGUCAUUACCAACAAAUUCUAAAAUGAACUAAAAGGGUUUGUGACAUUCAAAAAGUAAAGCAAUUUUUAAGAUGUCAUGCCAAACAUACUUACAUGGGAACUAGUCAAGAUUUCAGUUUUGGUUUGUGGUUUCUUGACUAGCUUUGGGAUCUUACGCAAGUGGCUUGAGCUGUCAUUUUCAGGUUUCCUCAUCGCUAAAACAGGAAUAACAACUCCUCCCUCUAACUCUUAGUAUAAUUUUAAAAAUCAUAUAAAAUACUUGUGAAAUGGUUUUUAAAACCUUAGAAUACCACAAAAUAUUAGCAUUUUUUAAUGUAAGCAUUCACUAUAUUAUAAUCACAGAAUUUUAACACUGGAAGAAACUUGAUACAUGACCUGGUACAAAAAUUUCAGAGGAAAUAAAGACCUAAGAAGGGGAAAGAAAAUGUGCACUGCAGCUGCACUACACCUGCCAAACUUAUUAGAACUCAACUAUAUGCAAUCAGGAGAGACAGCGAGAGAAUGCAAACAUUCUACACAGUCUAAUGACUGUCCUAUAACCUGAGAAUAGGUAUGAAGGGUGAAACAUGAGUAGUUUCUUCUCUCAUUGGAUCUCAGUUGUUCCUAGUGUGUUUCUUUUUUUCCUCGUAUAUAUUUAAGAUAUACAAAAUGAUGUCGGUGUGUAGAUGUGGGUGUGUAGAUAUAUGUGUGUGUGUGUAUAUAUAUUUAUUUAUAAAUGAUUACUGCAGUCAAGCAAAUUAUCCAUUCAUCAUUCAUCCUGGUGCCUCUUAUAGUGACAAUAUUCAACCCUGAAUUCUAUGGAAAGAGCAUGAGCACGAUUUUUUUUUUUUUUUUUUUGAGACAGAGUCUCACUCCGUCAACCAGGCUGCAGUGCAGUGGUGUGAUCUCGGCUCACUGCAACCUCCACCUCUCGGGUUCAAGCAAUUCUCCUGCCUCAGCCUCCUGAGUUGCUGGGAUUACAGGCGCCCGCCACCAUGCCCGGCUAAUUUUUGUAUUUUUAGUAGAGACGGAGUUUCACCAUGUUGGCCAGGCUAGUUUCGAACUCCUGACCUCAGGUGAUUUGCCCACCUCGGCCUCCCAAAGUGUUGGGAUUACAGGUGUGAGCCACUGCGCCUGGCCAUGAGCAUGAUUUUAAGGGUUUUCUGACAACUGAAAAAGUGAAAUACAUUGUUUAUUUGGCCAGGCACAUUGAGGGUGUUAGAUGCAAUGACAAUCUUAAGGAUGAAAUUGAGGAAUUAAUGGAGAGCCUUAGAAAGAAAUGAUUACCAAAGCAAAGCUAGAGGAACUGAUAAAAUAAUCUAUAAAAUACAAUGAUGACACAAUGAAAGAACUAGUCAUUUGGAAUCUCUUUAUUUGCUGAGGUCUUCCAAGGAAUGGAAUAUAUAAAUAAUUUAACUUCUAUGUGCAUUCCUUCUAUGGAAUAAAGUGUCAAAAUUAAUAUUUUAAGGAUAUUUAAGGACUUUUCAUUUUACCAGAUGACUUUAUUCUGAAAGAUAUAUCACACCUUAGAAUAAAAAAUACUAUAAAAAUCAUUAGUUUUUGUGCUUUGCACAAGUCUAGUAUAGUAUGAGAACAGACUCCAGGAAACUAACAGAUGAGGGAAGACCUGAGCUAACAGCAGUUAGUAUGAGGUUGACUCAUUUGACUGCAAAUCAAAAUCGAAUUCACACGGUGACAUGGCUGCUGAAAAGACUGAUGCCAUCUUAGGCUGAAUUAACAACUACAAAUUGCCUAAUCAAAAGAAAAAAAUAGCUUAAUUAUACUUAUAAGAAGCCAAAUCAUAUUUGAGAGGUUGUUCAUUUAUGGUACAACAGGUCAGAGGGGCAUGGAAAAAUAAAACAGCACUUUCCAAACUUACAUGGCCAUGGCAUCUACCACCUUCACACUUCAUUCUUUUUAAUUAAAAAAAAAAUAAUUAUUAAAAUCUCCCCAACUGUUCCAAAGCACAGUUUGGGAAACACUAUUUUAGAGCUUCCAGGAGACAGCAACAAGGAAGAUGAGAGACUCGGAAUCCAAUCUUAGGAAGAAUGGACAAGUAACUGCAGAUGGCUUGAAGACAAGUCCUAGGACACAGGACUGAAGAUUGCAAUUUAAAGGGUCAUGAUCUGUAAGAGGGAGGCAUUCUGUAAGUUGCUCCGGAAAACAGACUUGGGCAGUUUCAAGGAGGCAUAUUUCAACCCAAUACAAAGAAAGAGUACACAAACAUGAGGAUGAGCUCCCUCGUAUGAGGAGAGAGGUUGGUCAUGACAUAUAUUCUGAUGCCACCUCUGUUAGGGACACUGUAGACUAGCAUUACCCAAACUAACAGCCUGCAACAUCCAGCCUGGGACUGGAUGAUGUUUCUAGAUGCUCAGGAGAAAAAAAAAAUGUCCCAUGGUCAAAUAAUUGUGGGAAACAUGGCCCCUCUGUGAUAUCCAUCGCAAUAUACGUUAGUGUUUAAAGGCUUUGAGAAGUAAAGAAACCUGUGUAAUUCAAUUUAAUGCAAUAUUUUCCUAACUUACUUGGCAAUGGAAACAUCUUUUUCCAUGGCAUUCCCAAUUUCAAAAUAGCACCUUCUUUUAGAAGGAAGAGAAGGGGGCAGAAUUAGACUAGAUGUACACUAAGUGACUGAGGACAAGUUUGGAACUCAGGAAACUGAACUAUUAGUAGCUAAUAAUAUAUUAUGAAUAUAAAAUUUAUUCUCCUUUCAGAAAGGUUGACAAUGAAAAUUGACUCAAUGUUUAUUUUGUUUUGAAAAAAAUCAAAUGCAUUUAAAUGAAAAUUAAUAAAUACAACAUAAUUUUUCUGUGAAAAAUCUAGGUGAUUGCCAAACUCACCUACUGCCGGAUUUGUCCGAUUGCUAUAUUUCCAUGCCAUCUCAUAGUUCAAGGCAGCAUCUGUAUAUGCUUGCUCUUUUUCCAUAAUGUAUCCCAUAUAUUCAUAAGCUUUGCAGCAAGACUGAAGAAAAAUGGGAGACAUCAAUAGAUUAAACUUGAUAUCACUAAGAUUUUAUGGGAUGUUUGUGACUAUAGAGGUCAAUCAUAUCAACCCAUUUAAAUGACAAAUCAAACAAUGGUUUUCAACCUUGGCUAGGCAAUCAAAUUUUUUACUGAACUUAAUAAAUGAUUCUGAUGGCAAGUCUCCAUCACAUAUCUGCAGAAUCAGGAUUUUCUUUACAGAAUCAGAAAUACACAAUAGGGCACUUGUGUUUUACACAAGCACAGGUACACUAUUAUGAGUGAUUUAAACACAUACAAAUACAGAGAUAAGAGCAUAAUGAACUCCAUGAACCCUUAUCUUCAAUAAUUAUUUUUUGACUAAUACUGUUUCACCUCUAUCUCACAAACCUACCCUUCUGUAUUACCAGAAAAAAUCCUCAGAUAUUGUAUCAACUAAGUCUAAAUGUGUUAGUGUGCAUCUGUAAAAGAAAAAGACGUUAUUUAAACAGAACCACAAUUUUAUCACACCUAAAAUGUUAAUGACUCCUUAAUAGCACCAAAUAUCCAGUACUGUCUAAAUUUUAAUUGUCUCAAUAUAAUUUGUUUUUGUUAGAUUGAGGACUGAAAUAAGGACCAAACAUUGUAACUGGUCAAUGUUUUGAUCUAGUCUCUUGAUCCAGAGGUUUCCCUUCUGGUAUGUCUGUCUGUCUCUCUGUGUCUCUUUUCUUGAAAUUAAAUGUAAUAGAAACAAGAAUAUUUAUCCCCGAGUUUCUCACAACGCAGGUUAAUUGACUGCAUCCUUGUGGUGUUUAUAUAAUAUAUUCCUAUGUCACUGACGUUUUCUGGAAGUUGUAAUUAGAUGUAGAGGUUUGGAUUCAAUUUUGAUUCUGGAGGAGAGAGGUGAAUCUACUUCAAACAUCAGUGCUAUGAUAAGCCACACUGAGGCAUAAAAACAUGGAUGCAUGUUUUUGUAUAUUUCUUAAUUGUAAUUUUUUUCCAGAAUAUGAGUUUAAAAAUAUUGAAAAAUCUGAAAGUAUAUAUUAAAAAUCACUACAUUUAAGACUGAACAUUUUAUUUAUACCUAAACUUAAUUUCUUAUCAUUUUACUUUUCUCACUUUAAUGGAAGAAAUCUCACCAGUAAUAUUUUCAUUAAAACCAUUACCAAUUACCCAUUUUUUAAAAAACAUAAAAAUAUGAAUAUAGGAAUGCACAUAUUCCCUUUUGAUUCAGGCUCCAAUAAAGCUCAGCACAGCUGCAUUAAAUUAUUAUUUAUCUUGAUUACUAAGUGUUUCACUUGUCUCAUCCCAACCCUAGCCCUGCCAUAGAUGUCUGUUCUUCUGUUGGGAGGCACAGAAUGUCUGAUUCUCCCUCUUUUUGUGAUGUUACAUCCAUAUAUAAAUUUAUCAGGGUUGAAAAAUGGGGAUAGCCUAUCAGUCUUUCUUCAUUAAUUAGCUGGAAAAUGUCUAUGAUGAGAAACGUCUCAUUGACUAUUUGGUUAACCAAUUCUGUACAGAAAAGGCAGGAUAUUUAUUUGCAAGCUUUAGAAAUAGCAGUCAGUUCACUAGCAUACUGCAGUGGUUACCAAUUAGGUUUUUUGUUUGUUUUGUUUUUUCUAUUUUGGAUCUUCGAGAAGUCAUGGAUUUAAACAGAUUUUAUGUAUUUCAAUAUAUUGCAGUUAUCAUUCUUAUCAAUACUUAAAGCAUCCCAACUUCGGCUACUAGAGGUGUCUUUAAGUUGGCCCCUAGAUCUUUCACACAAACUCUAAUCAUCAUGGAUAGCUUCCUUCAUCAUCUGGUAUGGCAAGACAGUCUAGUGUCGUCUUGUACAUUUCCUGCCCCAGAUAUGGAUGACUUCCAUUUUUUAAAUUAUGUAAUUCAAGUUUCCUAAGCUUUAGUUCUUAAAUAUCAUGCUUUCAAUAUCAACAUAUUCAACCAGCAGGGCUGAAUGAAGCUUCUAAAGCAGCCAUCAUGUUCAACCAUGCAAUGUAUUGUUAUCAGCGUUCUGGCAAACUGAAAUUGUAUGUGCACUGAAAUUCUCAUGCAAUCUUGGUUAAUCCUAGACUAGAUAUAGAAGGGUAAACUAUUCAGCAGUUUAGAUUUUCAAAGCCUAUUAAUGAGCAUUCGGCUUUUCAAAGCCAAUUUAACAUAAAAUUUAUGUAGCUAAUCGUCUAGAAUAGUGCAUAAAUUGACAAAUGCUUGGAUCUUUCAGGUUCUUAAGUUCCUAGGAAAGUAUCUUAAUAGUACUAGAUAAUCACAAUUCCUCUUUAAAAAAUAAACGGUCCAUUUGUAAUCUAAUUCGCUCAAUGAGAAUAAAACAGAUUUACUGUGAUUAAGAUUUUGAAGUAAUUGAUAUGAAUAUAUGAAGAUAAAUAUCAUUUCUAAGUUGUGUGCAAUUAUUUCUCAACAAAAAAAUAAAUCUUAACUUUAAAGAACUGUUAUAAUGACAUCUUUUGUAAUUAAACAUCAAAAUGUUAGUAAAAAGCCUUAAAUUCUAAGGACUUUAUAAUAUUCAAUUUUAUACCUAAAUAUAAGGAAUUUUUAUUAAACAAAUGAAAUUAAAAGCUGAAAAGAUUUUCUCCCACAAAAUAUAUUAUGCAUAAUAGAUUCUAAUAAUGAGAAAAUGACAUGCAGCUGCAGUAAAUUCAUCAAGAGUAUUUCUUAAUGGGAGGGACAGACGUCCGCAAUUAAUGUUCUUCUGCAAUUUUCAUUAGUUCUGGGAUGAGAUGGAUAAUCACAGGCAAUCGUUUGACAUUCCAAAAACACUUUCCGUUAAGUAGGGCAUCACUACAGCUGAAACUUGAAAUUGCAUAAAUCUUUCUUUUUUUUAAACUUUAAAGGACAAAUGGCUUUUUUCUUAUUAUUAAUGCUUGUUUCCUGAUUGUGGUAAGAAUAAACAUUUAAUUUUCAAAAAUCACACAGGAAUCCUUGGAAAUGGACUAACACUCAACAAUAUCUAUAUGGAAAGCUUAUGCAACAAAGGUCAAUAAUUAUUUUUUACUCUUCAAUCACCUACUCUAUUAUGACGCAGGCACCGUUUUAACAGGUCUUCUGCCAUGUCAUAUUUUGCUGAUUGAAUGUAAAUAUCAGCAAGUAGCAGCCAACUCUUCUCAAACUCUUCAGCAUCAAUAGCAUUCCAAUUCAUUUUCGCAAUACGCUUCAGCUGGUUUCUGGCUCGUGGAGUCUGUUUCAAGAUCAUAUAAGCCGUUGCCAUUCCCAAGAGCGCUGGGAUAUGCUCCUUCUAUAAGAAAACAAAAUUUUAGACCAUAAGAUGCAUAAACAUAAAUGCCCCAAAAACAUACAGAAAGCAGAAAAUGCUACAUAAGAACUAGUUUGUGGAUUCUAUUUCUAGCUCCAUUACAGAUAACUGUGAUUACAGGUCAUUAUUUAACACAUCAAGUACCCUCAAGCUACUAUGAAGAAAACUUGGUCAAGCACUGUGUGGUCAAGAUAAUUGAAGAUAAUGACAACUAUUCAGAUGCCAUAUGCACACAAUUCCAAGAAUUAGUGAGACUUUAUCUUUAAUGGGAUUCAAACAGUCAUGUUUUAGUUUUGUAUAGAAACAGAAAAAAUAAAACUCUAUUUCAGUAAAAUCCUUAUUGAGCAGUUUGUAUUUCAGAUUUAACAUUUAGGCUCCUUAGUUCUUUCACCUGUCAAAGACGAGUAACAAUAAUUUACCUGCAGAUGAUGGUCCUUACCCAUUAUGACUUCUAUUGCUUUUUUUCCCCCUCCCUUCUCCUUUUAUCCAAAAACCUCUUCUCCCAAUAAAGUUUGAAUAACGAAAUGUUAAAAAUAAGGCAUAUAAUUAAUUCACCACUUGGAAAGUAUAUGAAAUAAACUCAUGCCUUAAAAUAUGCUUUUAGAUUUGGAGUCUGCAGCUUCCUAAAACAAUCUAUAUGAUAUUCUUUUGGAUAGAGUUUGAAGUCAGAGAAUGUCACUCUGUGAAACCAAUAGGUUAAUGAGAACUCAUAAAAUGGAGGCCAUUAGUGAUCUAUCCAGACAACUAACUUUCAUAAGCAAUAAUGUGUAUGUUCCUGAUUAAGGUAGGAUGCUUCCUAAAUUUCAGCAGAGGGAUUAUGAUGCAUUUAUAAAGAAAGAAGCCUCAGCUUAACAUACAAAUAAAGGGGCCAGGAGGGCAGCUCAUGUCUGUAAUCAAAGCACUUCGGGAGGCUGAGGCUAGUGCAUAGCGAGACCUCGCCUCAACUGAAAAUACAAAAGAAAAACUAGCUGAGUGUGGUGGCCAGCCCCUGUAGUCCCAGCUACUCAGGAGGCUGAAGUGGGAGGAUCUCUUGAGCCUGGGGGUUCAAGGCCACAGUGAGUUAUGAUCGUGCCACUGCACUCCAGCAUGGAAGACAGAAUGAGACACUGUCUCAAAAUAAAAACAAAAACAAAGGGUAAGAAAUUGUGACUGAGGAACGGUGAUACCAUUACUAUAAUAAAAGUAUACUAUAAGAUAGCAAAUUUGGGUAACUCAUAAGGAAUACUGCAAAAGGAGAGUGGUAAAAUGUUCAAUGUCCAACUGAUCUUUGGAAGUAAGAAAUAACUCUGGAAUAGAGAAGGGCAAUACAUCAGGGUUUUAUAAAAACAGCUUUUAGAAAUAUAAAAACUUCCUUGCCUCAAAUUCUGUAUCUAUCAAUAAGCUUCCAAGAUAUAAUCUGUUCCUCUAGGUAAGGGGUGGCAAAAUGGUUUGAGUGUCAAAUCCAACCAACUGGUUGUAGGUUAUGAAGAAGUGUGGGAUGUUACCAAUUACUGAGCCUCACCCUCUCCCCACCUCAGCCCACCUCAGGUGGGCCAGGAGAGGAGAGAAGAUAGAGGCCUGCUAUGUAUUUGUCAGCCAGGUCCUAGCACAGCCUAAGAGGAGGAGGGUCCUAUGAAAAGGUCCCACAUUCCCUCUACACUACACAAUUAAAAAUAACCUCUCUUACACUUUGAGUUUGAUUAGAACGUAUCGGUUCUUCACAACUUGAUUACUCCUGAGUGAACUGAAGAACAGUUUCUAAAAGCAAACCUGAGUUCUAAUCCCUGCAUUAGGUCUUUUUUUCUGGUGCAGACAUCCUAAGACCUACAGCCAACUUCUCUGUCUCUCAAUAACUCUAAAUUGCAGUAACUUUAGAUUGCAAAGGACAAGACUUGGAUGUGGACAAUACAGCUGUUAUUAUAAACAUCUCAUCUUUAUGGUUCAAGGUGAUGCAAUGAAAGCAAGUGGAAACACUUCAGCUUGGGCUUAAUGUAUCUUCCAGCAUUUCUUCCAUGAUUUCUUGUCACAUACCUCUUUUUUGGUCCCUCUGAAUGACAAAUAGGAUUGUGAACAUACCCUAUGUUUUUCUGCCUCCCUGACUUUGUUCACAUUUUCCUCUUCCUCUGAAACACAUUGUCUUCAUUUCUGCCUGUUAAAAUGCAAUUUAUCUUGGUUCUUCAAUCAUACCUGUUUCUUAAAUCCUAUUUUUUCUUAAAUCAUACCUUCUUUACAAAAGGGUCUCCCAACUCUCCUUAUACUGUCUCCUACAGCAUUUUUAUUUGCAAUUCUAGUAUGGAAUGUAACACAUUUUGCUUUGUAUUAAGUCAUCAUAGUCAGUAUGCUUGUCUUGUCUUCCAUAGGCUAUGAGAAACUUGAAAAACGGGACCAUACAUUAUUUAUCUUUGUGUUUCCCACUAUGCUUAGCACUCGCUGGCUGCUUAAUGAAUAUUCAUUAUAUUGAAUACAUGCAGCCUAGGAGUUAAAAGAAAAAAAAGUGAGAAAAUUUGAUGCUUAUGAAACUUCAGCUCAUAUAUCAUUGUCUUUUGAAUAAUAUGGUUAGUAAACAGAUCUGAAGAUAGUAUUUUACUAACCACAUAUGUAAGGAUGAUUAAAAAAAAUAACACAGUCUUAUCAACAGAAAGCAGGCAUAGUCCUUCUAGGAAAUAGCUGUAAUAUCAUUCACUGCUUUUGGCUUUUUUUCUCUCUUAAACUUCACAGUAGGGAUAACGGAUUUAGUCAAAAUAAACUUUCUCAUUGUUAUGAGAUAGAAUAGCACAUCACAGCAUUCAGUAGCUAUGGCACCUGACAUGAGAAGCGCUUCCUCAUGUUCCUAGAGAUUCUCUUAGAUGUACAUGAUUGCCCUACUUCUGCUCUGCCUUCAUUCAGCAGCUGUCAUCCAUCUGCUCCACAAAGCCAAUUCAACAGAGCAUGACCCCUGAGCACAUUACUUCAAUGUCUGCAGAAGGGCCUUGCUUUGGAGGGUUGCUGCUGCCAUGCUGUCCUGCUGUUUUAUUCCAAGCGCAAUAAUAAAGCUGCCAUCUAGGAUACUUGUACCCAAGCCACAACAAGAGUUGCAGGUCUCCCAAACCCCUGACAUCUCAAUCUCCUCCAGGGCCCUAAAAGGUGAGGGGAAAGAGAUCACUGUCCAGGGCUUUGGGUAGUUUAUUGCUGCCACUGUGACUACUGAAUCACAAGAAAUCACAGCAAAAUUCUGUAUGUUCUCUGAGACACAUAAAAUGAGUUUCCAGUGGCCUACAGCAUCAUUGAAUGGAAGAACAAACAUGAAAUUCAAUGAGUAUGCUUAGAAGUAACUAUUACCAACUGCUGAUGGGAGGGUAUCUAGAAUUCCUUUCUUAAUAUCAAGCAAUUGAAGAAAUAAAGUGCUGUGUGAGGGAAGGAAAACAGUAUCUAGAGAGUAAGAAAAAAGGUGGAGGAGGCCGAGAUAGGCGGAUCACCUGAGUCAGGAGUUUGAGACCAGCCUGGCGACAUGGCAAAACCCCUUCUCUACUAAAAAUACAAAAAAUAGCCAGGCAUGGUGGCAGGCGCUUAUAAUCCCACAUACUUGGGAGGCUGAGGCAGGAGAAUUGCCCGAACCUGGGAGGCGGAGGUUGCAGUGAGCUGAGAUCGCGCCAUUGCACUCCAGCCUGGGCGACAAGAGCAAAACUCCGACUCAAAAAAAAAGGAAAAAAGGUGGAUUCGAGCACAGUGAAAAGAGAAGAAAGCCUCUGAUUUUAUAAAAUAAUACUAUGAAAAUAACAAAUAUGAAAAGAUUGCAGGAGGUUAUUUCAGUGUUGCUAAAGAAUAUCAUUAUUUGUAUGACUAAAUUAUAAGCUAUCAGUAUUGAUCUCAUGUAGCUAUAUAGCUGGAAAAAUUCCAAGUUCAUGUAAGUGAAGAAGUAAGAUAUCAGGGCAGCCAGGUGUUUAUUUCCACUUAGUAAGUUAAUCUUGGCUACAUCUACAACACAGAAAUUCUCCAGGGGAUAAAGUGGCUCCCUUGAGAAUUAACUUAUAUACUUUUGAAGAAUUCAGUUUCUGUAGAAUUUAACAUUCCAGUAGAGAGAAAUAUAUCAACAACACAACAAAACAGUAACAUCGUCUCUUCCGCCAAGAAGGGGACAUUGUGUAUGCCCAACUAUAUACCUAAUUUUUAAUAAAAGUUAAGUAAUUAAGUCAAUCUUCAGAAAAUAAACAACUAAUCAAAAUAUAUGUUUCUAUACUACCAAAUAAAGAUACCACAUGAAGCUGAAAAAGGAAAUCCACUAACCUCAGAUGCUGCUAUUUCAGUGAAGGUAUUUAAUGCUUGUUCAACAUUAGAUUUCUGUUUGGUAGCCAUUAAGCAAUAGUUUUCCAUUAUGCGAAGCUGUACGUGACCCUGAACAGUCUGAGGUUUUAGUUCCUUAAGAAGUUUUUCUGCUGUUCUUACUGCCAGUUGCACAGAUUCUUGCUUCUCAGUUGAAUUACUGUAUAUAAUUAAAAAUAAAUCACUUCUGUCUCUUACUCAUGAUACAAUUCAUUGAGAUUAGAAUCAGCUUUUGUACACAAAAGCUCUGGGCACUCUUUUAUACUCUUUUUGUCACUCAUUUAAAAGUAAUCUUUUGUAAAGAAUGUCACUCAUUCUCUUCUAAUACAAAGUGAAGCACAGUUACAAUGCAUUUUAAACAAAAUUAAUAUGGACUCAAUAAAACACCAUUAAGCAUUAAUUUCCUCUAGAAUGAAGACAAAAGUUGGAUAAUAUCUACAUGUUGUAAAUGUGUGCAUUCCAGCAAAUAUAAAACUAUAAGUAGAAUCAGAAAAUUAACAUAUAUCUAUUCAAAAAGUGAAAGGAAAGGAAAAAAGUGACAAAUACUGUAUUAUUUCAUUCUAUGUUUAAUCCAUUUUACACACAGGAAAACUGAGGCUUGAACAGGUAAAGUAAUUUUCUAAAGGUCACACAGCUAGUAAGUGGUAAACCUAGGACCUGAAUCUAAGCUUAUCAGACAUAUAAAAUCUACUCUGUUCUCUUCACCACAUUGCCUAUCAGACUCUCAGAAAUUAUAUAUGUGUCAAACAGUAAUUUCAAGUGCAAUUUGAAUAUUUAAUAGCAAUUUUCUUAUUUUAUACACACAAACCCAUGCACAUAAAUAUACAUAAAUCAAUUAAUAAAAGGAAAUUAAACACUCAAAGUCCAAUCACUAAAGCCACUGGUCUUCUUCUCAGGCCUUAGGCUUAUCUUGCCUAAACAUGUCACGCUGUUGACUACCACUUCAAAGUUCUUCUCCCUUGGCUUCUGUAACACUACACAGCUUUAGUUCUCUUUUCACCAUGCUGAUUGCCCUUUUCUGACCUUCCUUCCUCCUCCAGACCCCUUAAAUGUUAGCAAGCUUAACAUUUAGUUCUCAGAUUUUUGUUACUUCAUUCUACCACUCACAAAGAGACCAUUCAUGGAGUUCCAACUAUGCACUCUGCAGAUGUCUCCCAAAUCUCUAUCCCUAGCUGUGACCUCUCUUUCUGAGUUUUAGUUUUGUAUUUUGAAUUGCCUGAAGAAGAUUUCCACUUGAAUAGCUUAUAGUUCCAUAACAGUAAUGUUACCUCAACCUUCCUAAAACAACCAUAAACAUGCCACUUCCCUGCUCUAACUGGUCUCGGUAAUCCAAGCGUUAAAAUCUGUUGUUGAAAUCUCUUGGCAAUCUACCACUAAUUUUCUCCAGCUCCUCCAUGCAUCUUCUCCUGAAUACUAUGCACUGCUAUGAUUCCUAAUAAACUCUGACAAUACUUAAUAUCUAUUUAAAUCCAUUUAUAUUUAGUUGCAGAUUGAAAGGUUUCAGGUAUUGUCUUGCCUCUUAAUUAAACACUCCUGAAGACAGAAACUACCUCUUAUAUUCCCUUUAUGUCCUAAUACAUUCCCCACAAGCCUUGCCUGAGUCAGAAGAGAGGACAAGCUACUAAUGCAGGUUGAUAAAUAACCAUUGACUAGCAGUAUACCACACUAACAGCAGUCAGGACUCAGUCUAAAUCUUGCCUCCAUCAUUACUAUCACAUUAAACAAGUUGACUCAGCUUAUUCUGCAAUACUGUUAUAGAAAACAAAUGAGAUAGUGUGUAGAAAGUAUAGAGGACAGGGUCUGGAAAAUAACUACCAUUUGUUAAGUAGUUACUAUUAUUGUGUGGAUAAUUUUUGCUACAGUUGUCAAAUUCUACAAUUAGGGGAGUGUCUUCAUAGCAUGUCUAUUAUUAUUUAGGAAACCUAAAAGCAUUUCAUGCCUGUUUCACAGAAUAGUUACAUUAGCAAUAACUAUUCUAUUGAAUAACUAUUCAAUUUGCUAAAAUAACUAUUCUCUGAAACAGGCAAUGAAAUGCCUAUUUAUUUAAUUUAUUCAUCUGACCUUUCAUUAUUGCUAUCCUAAAUUUAGUUCUUUUGUAUAGUAUCCCUGUUUAUUAUCUCCAACAAGUGUUUUUUAAAAAAGGAUAAUAUGUCAAAUAACUCACCCCAGGUCUCCAUCCAGGUUUUCAAAUACUUCACCUCCAACAGUUUCAUUAUCUGGAUUCAAACAGAUCUCUAUCAUAUUAUAAAGGGCAUUUUGGCCCCAGUCACGAUCUUUCCGAGCUUUAUUAAAAUGUCGAAGGGCAUCAUUUGGUUCUCCAGUGUACCUUGUUAGAUGUUUAAAAGAAUUAUUUAUUUCAAUCACUGACUACAAAAUUUAUAUUAGUUUAUAAUCUGUCUGGUAAAUAAAACUGUUGAAUUAUUUUGAAAUGUACAUUUUUUUUUACUACAAAGAAAAGCUUAUUCUACUUGAUUUACAAUGAGAAAAAAAAAUCAUGUAGCAUUUAUUUGUAAAUAGAUUUACCAAAGAUACAGUCCUUUACAAUACUGAAAUCCUGGUUCCAAUUUUGCUCUGGAGUUACGUUUCUCAGCCAUUGAGAAAAAUCUUGGGACAUCCUCGAGUUUUCCACAUCUUCUUAGGAGAUCAAUCAAACGAGAUAAUGUCAUAUAAUUAUCUAGAAACAAAUAAUACUUCAGAUAUGGGCACCAUUUUAUACUGUUUCUUUUGUUGGUUAUAAUUCUACUUCAUUAGAGUAUAAUUUACUUCAUAUAAAGUACAUUUUAAAUAUAAAUAAAAAAUGCCUCAGGGUAUAAUUCCCUAUAGAGGCUGUAUGGCCAACUAGAUGAUCUACUAAAUAAUACAGUUUGGGCUAGGCUGGUCACAGUGUCUACAUAGGCAAAUCUAGAAAAAUGCAUAUUUCUUGUAGCUUUUCUAUUGUUUGGGGGACCAAAACCUUAGAGAAACAGCCCCUACCUAGGUAAUCUAGACUUUCAACUGUGAAGUUCAGGAAUACCGAUUUAAUUGCACAGGACAAGUUCACUGUCGGUCUCUGAGAACCCCUCUCCUACAUACUGUUGCUAGGAAGGGUGUGGGAACAGUACAAUUGACAAAUAAUGUAUGGGAUGGACAAUAAGAAAUUUUUCUCCAGUCUCUCUUUGAUAUGUACAUGUAGCUAACAUACCAUAUGCUAGCUUACCAUACUAGAACCUUAGCAUAUUAGUCCCCAUAUUUUAAUCCUGUUUCACCUUCUUCUAAAAAAAAUUCAUUCAUUCAUUCAUUCAUUCAUUCAUUCAUUCAUUCAUUCCUUUGAUCUCAGGUAUAAUUUCCUGGCAGGUUCCUAGAAAGCCUUCUUCCAAUUCUAUCUAGUUCUCUCUUAUCAGUAACAAACUAAGCUUUGAGAAUAAUUUAAUAAAUCUUUUUUAGGAUUGCAAAAAUAAUGUAUAGACACUACAGAAAAUAAGGAAAAUAUAUAUAAAAAGUAUGAAGAAAAAAAAAAUCACCAUAUUUCCAGCUAAAGAUUAGCACAUUUUGGUGUGCUUUCUUUCAUAUAUUUGAAAACCAACCUAUAUAUAAAUGUAAGCAAAGAUAUUUCUUUGUUUACAUUCAUACAAAAUAGAUGUUUAUUUAAAUAUAUACAAAACUGGAGUCACAUUGGGGUUUUGAUUUUGAUCGGUUUUGAUUGGUUUUAAUGUUGAUUUUGAUGAACAUUAAACAGUUAACAUUUCCCAACUGUCAUUAAACAAUCUUCUAAAACGUGAUUUUUAAUGGUUGCAUAAGGGCCUACUUACUGAUGAUUCACAUUAUUUAUUUCUUUAUAGUGGUGUCUUUUAGAUGUUUGUGUGCUCAAGUUUCAGUUAGUACAGGACUAGGGAUUUGUAGGGGACUUGUAAAAACCCUUAAAUAAGCUAUUCUGAACAUGUUCUUAGGUUGAAUUUCUACAAUUAAAACACACAAACAAAAAAGCUUGUUUUAAAGCUAUUUAUCCUUGACUCUAUUUUGCUAUUUGAAAAGAGAUGACACCAUGUAAUUCAGCAACUUUCCUGAGUAUAUACCCAAAAGAUUAAAAGCAGAGACUCAAACAGGUAUUCGUACACCAACAUUCAUAGCAGCAACCUUCACAAUACACAGAAAAAGUGGAAAGAGCCCACAUGUCCAUUGUGUUUGAAUAGAUAAUCAAAAUGUAGUAUGUACAUAUAAAGGAAUAUUGUAUAUUGUAUGUCUGCCAUAAAAAAAGAAAAUUUUGACAUACACUACAACAUGGAUGAACUGUGAAGACAUUAUACCAAGUGAAAUAUGCCAGACACAAAAGGAAAAAUGCUGUGUGAUACAGCUUACAGAGGUGCCUAGAAUAAAUUCAUCAACAUAGAAAGUAGAAUGAUGGUUGCCAGGGGCUCCGGGAAGAGGAAUGAGGAACGAGGAACUGGUGUACAGACUUCAGUUUGGAAUGGCAAAAACGCAAAACGUUGAUGGAUAACGGUGAUGACUUACACAACAAUGCGAAUGCAUUUAAUGCCACUGAACAGUACACUUAAAAAUGGUUAAGAUGAUGAAUUUUGUGUUAUAUAUGUUUCACCACAAUACAAAAUAUUCUUUAAAAAAGACUUUUGGAAAUACUGUAUCUACUUAAUUACAGGAUGUCAAACUAAUACAGGCUGAUAGUAUCAUUUGUCCCCUUGACACACAAUCUUGGGUCCAGAGAUUUUGUUCACCACACCUUUUAGCAUCACUAAAAAGGGCACAAUAAGAAUAUGGUUUCAGAAAAAGACAAUUCAAAUAUUGGUCUUGUCCUUUAGCUAUGUGAAUUCAAUCAAAUUACUCAAAUUCUUUGAGUCCAAUAUACUUAUUUUCUUAAAAUAGGAUUAUAAUAUUGACUGUAGGAGUGCUACAGAAAUAAAGGCAUGAAAAAUAUUUAUAAAUUACAAAUGUUAUUAAUAAUAUUUAUACUUCCAAAAAUGUUGACAAGAAAUAGAGUAACUACCCCAUAAUAAAGCCACAGCAUCUGGAAGCUAUAUUGGAUUAAGCAAGAACUAAAGGUUAAAAUUUCGGAUUAAAUUUUUUUUGCAUGAUACUGCUAGUAUUAUCAACAUUGGGAAGGCAAUUUCUUGAAUAUUUCUUAUAUACUAUUGAAAUGUAUUCAUUAUUAGUUCAAGUUAUAAUUACCAGUGACAGAUUAAAUUACAUUCACUUGUCUUUGGUUAACCAUGACAUUUGACAGAAGGCAAAUUUCUGCACUUAAGAAAUGUAUUAAAAACUAAAAUGUAUAUUACCUUCUAAAAAACUUAGCUGGUCCAUCUUUAUUGAUGAAUAGUAGGAAGAUAUCAAAAUAGUUAUAGGGUGAUGAGAUGUGGCAAGCAUGCAGUGCUAUGGUAUGGUAUUACAAAGCACAGGAUUCUUAACUUUGCCUGGAGGAGUUGGGAAAUUUCACAUAGGAGUUGACCUUUGAGCAGCCUCAAGGAUAGGAGGAAGAUCUUACUAGACGGACAAAGGCAUUCCAAGUAGCAGAAGGCAUGCGCCAAGAGGGAAGCAGAGAACAGUGUGGGGAGUGUUGGUAACUUUGAUAUUAUUAAAGCGGAGGAAGAAGGAUAAGAAAUAUAAAUGGCCAAAUAAUUUGCGGCCAUAUUAUUAUUAAAAUAAUGCUAUGAUUUUAGACUUUAUCCUGAAGCACUAACUUAAAUUUUAAGCAAAGGGUAGGUUUUGAUUUUUAGAACUGAUAUGCUAGUCCUAUGAUGACCUGGAGCAGCCAGAACCUAGAAGCUGGAAGAUGAGUUGGGAAUCUGCACUAGUUCAGAUGAGAGGUGAUAAGGGUCUUCAUUAGAGCAGUGGGUUAGGAUACGACAGACUGGAUGUGUUAGCUAGCUAUCAAGCAAACAGAGCUGAGGAGACAUGUUAACCAAUUAGUAUGAAGGAAGGGGAAAGCUCAAGGCGAUCUGGAGAUUCUGAGAGAGAAAAGGGGCAAUCUGUCGUGAGAGCAGUAAUUAGAUCUAGAAGAGGAAUUUUUCAACUACUUAAAUUAGGUCAAAUUUGUAUGGUACAUUUCUGAAAUAAGCUAAAAUAGAGCCUUAAUCUAAAGUACAAGAUGAGUUACUGAGGAUAACCAAUAAUGUACACAUAAAAUGAACGGAGAUGCAUGUUUUAGAGUAAUUCCAACAAAAUAGAUCUGUGGAUAAGUAUGUAAGGUACUAGUAAGAAUAAAGCAUACAACACAAGAUUAAAAACUCUUAAGAUUAAAAAUAUCACAUAGACAAUAAAAAUUUACUUAAAAUUUUGUGGUUGUUUUUGAGACCAAGUCUCACUCUGUCACCGAGGCUGGAGUGCAGUGGUGUGAUCUUGGCUCACGGCAACCUCCACCUCCCAGGUUCAAGCGAUUCUCCUGCUGUGUUUUUAAUUGACUUGGUGUUUUACAGUCAUUCACUGAUCCAUUCAACCAAUAAACAUCUAUGUUGCCACAUCCAUGUGUGUGGCAUUUUGUCUGAUAUUGGGAAUAUGGUGUGAUCCCUGAACUCGAGGAGUCUACAGUGUAAUAAAGAACACAAAUAUGCACAUAAAUAUUUUUAGUAAAAUACUAUAAGUAAUAAAGACGUAUGGACAAAGUAACCGAGGAUUAGGGUUACCAACUCAUCCCAGUUUGCCUGUGACUUUCUGUUAGCAUGGGAAGUCCUGCAUCCAGGAAAACCCUUUGCUCCGAGGCAAAUCUAGGAUGGUUGGUCAUGCUACCCAGCACCACAUAAGACAUUUUUUAAUGUAGGUGGUGGUAGUGGGAUGCAGAUUUACUUUUUUAUUUUCCCCCAAGAGGGAUAUAUUUUAGAUUAUGUGUUUGGAAAGAGAAAAGGGAUAAGGAAGCUAAAGUUCAUUUUAGGCAAAAGGAAAAAACCCAAGCAAAGACUUGGAAGCAUGGUUGUAUGUCAUUUGGUGUUGCUGGAGUACAAGAUCCUUAUAUUGCAUUUAUAAAAAAUUGCUUUUAUAUUUGUUUACAAACAGUCCAAAGCAGCCAGUCUACUAAGCCAAUUUUUUUGGGAAAAAGGCUGCUGCCAAGCAACAGAAACUUACGUGAAACAAAACCCACAAGACACAUGAAGACUUCUUCAAAUCUUAGAAAACUAUAAUGUGUGAGAUUCUUCAAAUCUUAGAAAACUAUAAUACUUUUAAUGACUUAAAAUAUUCACAGUGGAAGAAGUCUGUUUUUUAAAGAAAUAAAGUUAGAUCAUUGUCUCAAAGGGAAAGACUGUGAAAUGGGAACAGCUUGAGAUAGAAUGAAUAUAUUAUGUAUAUUACUUUUAAAUGGUAGUUUAGAGAAGAGGAAUAAGAGAAAACAGUGUGGAACACAAGGUAGAAAUGGCAGGGAAAAAAACGAUACAGGCCUGAAGAAAAUAAAAGUAGGUUUGGGCAAUGUGGGUGGCAAGAUGAGCCCAUAUUUUGGACCCAGAGUGAGUGGAAGAGGUGAGAUGGUCAAGUAGUUCACAGCAUUCUUUUAAAUAACAUCUGAGUAUACUCUGGAAUAGACAGGGCAAAAAACAAAUGAAAUUGCCUGUGGUAGUCCCCAUAUUAAAUAAAUUUAAUUUAUUUAAUUAAAAAACUCAAAGAGUAAAAAUAAUAAAGAGAAAGUGUUGAUAUUACUGUAAAAAACAGACCAUAUUUUCUCCUUUCAAUUUUUGUGCUCGCUGGGGAUAUUUUAUUUUUAAAUACAAACUGAUGUUCUCUAAAUUCAAACAUCUUUUUAUUAAAAGCGUUACUAGAGGUAGCCUGCAGAGCAUAUCUAGUUCUUUGAGUUGCCCUGCUUGAAGGAUUGCCACCUCUGUGUCUCUGAGGCUCUGAGCACAGAUGCCUAGGGCAUCAGCCUGAGAUGAAGGUGGUGGGGUUUAGAAGAACUGAAACACAGCUCUAGGACUUCCUCUGCCAUUUCAAACUCUUUUUAGUAACACAGGUAGUAACAUACAGUCAUGUAUUAGUCAAACAGUUCCCACCUCUUUCUUUUUCUCUUUCCUCUCCUCCCUCCAUCCCUGCUUCCCUUUCUUCCUUUUCUCCCUCACUCUUCUUUCCAUCUAGUAUUUGUUGAGUACUAACUAGGCCAGAUAUUCUUCUAAAUUCUGGAAACACAGCAGUGAAGGACAACGUUUCUGGUCACUUGAUGCUUCCAUUCUAUGAUUUGUAGUUUUUUGCUUUUGUUUCACAAGGGCUACACAAAACCCAAAAAUCCUAAAGCCAAACCCCAAAAACUCAACUGAACAGAAAACAGGAUAAAGGGACAGAGAGCAAGAAGUGGUGCUACUUGAUGUAGGCCAGUGAGGGAGGGGCAUUCUAAGGAAGAAGCAGCACCAGAGCAAAGGCACAAAAGAAAAUGAGGCAGCAGCCAGAUAGACCUGUGGGAGCAGCAUAUUCCGGGAAGUAGAAACAGCAAACAAAAAGGCUCAAGGCUGUAAUUGGCUUGGGCUUUUGCCUACCUAGUUUCUGUUGUCCCUUUCUUCUUUACUAUCAGAAUUCUGAUUUUAUUCUACAGGGUAUUAGAUUCAGCUAAAAGAUAACAUUUCCCACCUUCUUUUGCAGCCACGGAGGUGAUACUACUAAGGGUUUUUUUGUUUGUUUGUUUGUUUUGUUUUUAAUAAAACGAUGAUUUGCUGGUUGGGAAGCCCUUUUGCCCAGCUCUGCACCCACCUUCCCCACCUGGGCCCUGGAACAUCAAUGCCCAGCACUGCGGUGGUCAUCUUGAACCAUGAGGUGAUGCUCAGGCAAGUCAGGGUAACAACGUAGAACAAAAAGAGAGAAGGCUCUGGUUUCCUGAUGAUACUGUGGAACCGCCACACCAGUCCCUACACAGUGUACUUUUCAUUUCUUUUACAGAGAGAAAACUAAAAACCGUGAUUUUUAGCCUAGAAUUUUCAGGGGUAUCUCUGCCAUUUUCAAUGAAAGUAUUUCUAAAUUCUUCAUAGGCUAGGGAUGGAAACACAGAUGAGUUAUGACGACGCUGCAAUAAUCUAUGUGGAAGAUGGCAAUGCCUUAGACCAGGGUGGCACUAACAGAGGUGGUAAAAAGUGAUGGCAUUCUAGGUAUACUUUGAAUGUAGCACUAACAAGGAUUUGCUGAUAGACUGGAGGUGAUAUAUGAGAGAAAGAUGAGACAAAGGUUAACUGUGAGGUCUGGGCCGGCACAACAGUGAGCAGUGAUGCCAGUCACUGAGGUGAGAGGUGGGGGUGGAGCAAACUUAGAGGCGAGGGAAAGUUCAGGUGUUCUAUUUUGGACAUGUUAAGCUUGAGUUACUCCUAGACAUCUGAGUGGGAAUGCAAAGAGGCAGAGGUGUACAUGAGUAAGGGCUGCAGAUAAAUGUUUAGGACACAUCUGCACAUACAUGGGAUAUAAAGCCACGCACCUGGACAAAGUCACCUAGGGGGUGAAUAUAUAAAAAGAAAGGGAGUUCAGGAACUGAAGCUACGAGUGUUCUAAUAUUUAAACGUCAUACAGAGAAGAGAACUCCAAAAAAGGAAACUCAAACAGCAGGCAAUGGGGCAAAAGAAGAACUGAGUGAGUUUAGGAUCUCAGAGACAAAUGAAGAAAGUCUUUCAUUGUGGAAGGGAAUAAACUGUGCCAAAUAUGAUGACAGGUCAAGUCGGCAGAGAACUGAGAACUGAAUCUGACCUGGCAGUAUGGGGGUCACCGACCACAUUGCAGAAGUGACUUCCCUAGGGUGCAGCAGUGGAUGAGACAAAGUGAACACAGCAUGUUUGAAAAUCCUUCACAGAAAAUUUGUUGUCGAGAAGAACUGAGGAAGGGCAUAGUAAUUGGGAGGGGAUGAGAGUUAAGAGUUGAUUUUUAUUGACUGAUUUAUUUACAGCAGGAAGAUGUCACAGCACAGUUCCAUGCUGAUUAGAAAAAAAAUGAUAAUUCAAGAGAGAGAACUGUAAGAGUGAAGCCCUUUUUUAGGUGAGAAGCUGGCCACAGGCGGGAUCACAGGCCUGGGGAGGACAAAGGCUGAGGGGUGGGUAAAUUUGGUGACAAAGAAUGGAGAAGUUCUCUUCCAGGUACAAAUAUUCUCUUAGUGAAGUAGGUGGCAAGGCUUUUAACUGUGGGCAAGAAAUGGGGCAAGGGUGAUGGAGGUUUGAGGAGACAGGAGAAAGUGGGAAAAGUAGUUCGAAUCAAUGAAUUCAUUUUUGGAAUACAGUAGGAUUACCAGGUUUGUGCUCAUAAUUUAAAGUGAGACCAGUCAACAGUGUUGCAAUUUCCUUAUAGCCAUUUCAGCUACUCAAGCCCAUGUGUGGAAUAAACAGACAGUCUGAUUCAACUAGGGACGGAGUUUGCCCGAGGGCAUAACCACUAAACAGAAGAAAAAAGGAGAAAGGGAGGGGUGACUGCACUCAAAAAAUACAAUAAGUAGGUAUUUACCUGGCUUACGUUCUAAAAGCUGCUGUAAAUGAAACACUGCUUGUUCAUAGUCUUGUUUUCUGAACAUGAGAUCAGCCAUCAUCUAUAAAGAUAAAAGUUGGUUCUAAAAAUAUUGCCAUGUAUUUUACACAACAUGUUCUUCCAAUCAAGAUUUAGCACUAGAAAAAUAUAGAUGAUAAACAUGAGGAGGGGGCAGCAUUUUAUAAAAAGGAGGCAUUUAAGAUUCAAGCCCACCUUGUGCAGAAUAACUUGCAGAUCAGUGUAACAGAAGAUAAUCAAGGAUGUGAAACAGAUUGCUCUGCUUGCAAAAUUGUAUUUUUAGCAAAAAAUAUGUUUCUAGCAAUUGUUUUAAAAACAGAAAUUUGAAAGGAAUUGCACACUCUAUGUGCUGUUGUAGAAAAGAUACUCACUGGACCUGACUAAAAUAAUAAUGAGACGAUUCAAAAAUGAAACAAAAUUUAAAUCAUAACUAUUUUGAAAAAUUAAAAAUGAGCAAGACCUACUGACAUUUUUCUUAUUAUGUGUUUAAAAAUGCAGAUUUCAUAUAUUUCUUUUUAACCACAAUAACCUUAAAUAAACCUCACAAAAUGUCAUCUGUGUAGCUGUCUGCAAAGCUAACAAAUAUUUUAGCCCACGUAAAAAUAAGAAAAAAUAAAAAACUCUAUUCAAAACAGACUGUCUUAGACUGAUAAUAUGAAGUUGUUUUUUUUCCCCUGUAACUCCAAAAAUUCCACCCAAACUCUUAAAUUUGUCCAGCAUUCCUAAGUACUUAAAAGUUAGUUCUUAGCAAAUUAUAGUGUUACCACAUGAACUCCACCUGACCAAGCAUCCCCUUAGGCAUAAAUAAAAAAUAACUAGACCCAAAAGGGCAUGUAAAAGCCUGACCUAGGUUUAUCUUUCUUAUAAAUAAAAUCCUAAUGAUUCUGGGUCUUUAUUGGUAAAAUGUAGUAAUGUUAGAAAAAUGUUAUUUCUUCCAAAAGCCAACGUGAGCCAUGCCUCAUCAUCUAGUAGUAGUUCCAUGGGGUAAAAUUUAAAACUUAUAAAACACAAGUGCUUUUAUUGUACUGAAGUUCCUUGGACUGACCAUGGUAGCAGCUUCGUUAUCCUGGUCACUCUGAAGCAGUAGAGCACACUGCCGCAGGCAGGAAUCAGGGUCAUCUUGUGCCAGGUAUAAUCGUGCCAGUUCCAACAUAAUCUGUAGAGCAAAGGGCUAGAUUCAUCAGACACUGUAUAGAAUAAAAAGUCAAUGAGGAAAAUACGUGGGUACAGAUUAAACUUUAGUUGACCAAAAGUCAUUGCAAUAAAAUGCCAAGUAUAAUAGACAAAAAAAAAAAAAAAACAACAGUAUGUAUACCCAUCUCUAUUUUCUCUUACACUAGAAAAAAAAAAAACAGAGAAACAGGUAGUAACUCACUUCAAAAGUAGAGAGACAUAAUGCAUUGUGAAAAGAACACUGGUCUUAAAACCAUGAGACUGGAUUAUAGUCCCAUAACGGGGCCAAGUCAGGUCCCUUCUACCUCCCUUAACCUGCUUUCUCAUUUGUAAAAUAAAAAGCUUCAAGCAGAUAAUCUCUAAGGUAUGCCUCAGAUUUAAAAGUAGGAUUCCAACUCCUUUAGCCACCACUGAAAAAGGUAUCUGUUUGGUUAUGCCUUGCUAAAGGUUGUUUUUGCCGUUUAUCUGAAAAAAUUAUAUUAAUAAAAAUGUUCAAACUAGUUAUUAAAUUCUAGAGGAUAGUUGUCUUUUGUACAUGAUCACUUACUUAAGUGUUUAGCCAUUAAUUAUUUUCAGAAAUUAAUAAUCUCUCCAAAUCCUCUCAGAUCUUGACAGAGUAAAAACUUUUUAUAUAAUCAGUCAUGUAUGUAAAUGUGCUACACCAAAAUUAUCUUUACAUUUAUUCUCCCACUGUGCUAUAUGAGGUCAUAGAUUGAGCCUAGCCAUUUUUGCAUCCUUAGUACUAAACACCAAUUGAAAUACAGAGUGUACAACAGCUGUUUAGUAAAAGGAACUGAAUUAUCUAAAUCCAGGUAUUUGUGAUUGAGAAAUUAUUUUAAAUUAUUUUAAAAUUAAUUUUUGAUAAACUAAAUUGAUACAAUAAAUUUGAAAAUUAUUUAAAUUAUUUUGAUAAUUAAAAACAUAAAUAUUAAAACAAUUUGCAGGUUGCUUUAUAUUACGUGUUCCAUUAUAGUUUUUAAAUAAUUGUAAUGUUCUUUUUUCUUUUCUUUUUUUUUUUUUUUGAGACAGGGUAUUGCUUUGUUACCCAGGCUGUAGUACAGUGGCAUCAUCAUGGUUAACUGCAGCCUUGACCUUCUGGGCUCAGGUGAUCCUCCUGCCUCAGCACCCCAAGGAGCUGGGACUACAGGUAUAUGCCACCAUGCCUGGCUAAUUUUAGUAUUUUUUAGUAGACUGGGGUUUACCCAUGCUGCCUAGGCUGGUCUUGAACUUCUGGACUCAAGUGAUCUGCCUGCCUUGGCCUCUCAAAGUGCUGGGAUUACAGGCAUGAGCCAUUGCAUCCAGCCUUAAACUCUAAUAUUCUUAAUGUAAGGCAUCAUGUAAGAUUUUGAAAGUUUUUGAGGAAUAAUAUUAAUCUUUUAACUUGUAUUUUUGUUACAUUUCUUUUAAAAUCUUGUUUCUAUUUUUUUAUUUUAUUUUUUGAGAUGGAGUCCCGCUCUGUUGCCCAGGCUGGAGUGCAGUGGCGCGAUCUUGGGUCACUGCAACCUCUCCGCCUCCCAGGUUCAAGCGAUUCUCCUGCCUUAGCCUCCCAAGUAGCUGGGAUUACAGGAGGCGCCCCCCACCACGCUGGCUAAUUUUUGUAUUUUCAGUAAAGACAAGGUUUCCCCAUGUUGGUCAGGCUGGUCUCAAACUCCUGACCUCAGAUGAUCCACAUGCCUUGGCCUCCCAAAGGGCUGGGAUUAUAGGCAUCAGCCACUGCACCCUGCCUACAUCUUCUUUUAAAAUAAGCUGGUAAAAAUUUUACAUCUGAGGAAAUUAGAAGACAUCUGGAAUAAAAGGUAUUUAAAAUUUUAUAAAGGUACUGACCUUAUUAUCUGUUUCGCAGUGAACCAGAGCCUCUCUAUAAAACUUAAUUGCUUUUUCAUAGUCUCGCUGAGCAACAGAAUGUUUUGCAAUCUCUGCACAAAUUUCAGCUGCUAAAUGUUUCUGUGCAGGAACUGCAUCUGGCUGUUCCAUCUGAACACGUUUUAGUACCCGAGCUUGUAAUUCUCGAGCCUAGAAAAAAUCAGUAUAAAAGGGAAUAAAAAAAAAAAAGGAAAUUAAAUUCUCCGUAACUCACACACAGCAUAAUUUUACAGAUUUAUUUAAACAUUAUGAACCCUUGAUCUAACAAAGUCUGAUCCAAAGAAAAUGUCUUAUUGAGAUCUCAAGCAUGCACUUAUUUGCAAAUGAGCCAGCACACAUAUAUCUUUCCAACAAAACACUUAUGGAAUUACUGAGUCUUUUCCCACUGUUACAACAUGUGUAUAGGAAGUUCACUAAGGAGGAAAUACAACCGUGAAACAAAUACAAAGAGGUGGGGCCUUCCUCAGAGUAAGAAUGUAGAGUAGAUUGUUAUAUUGGAAGAAUAUCAGCCUUUCCACCCAUCCAUCUGGUUUCUGGAACAUUGAGAUCUUCCUUUAAUAAAUGGUAAGAACUCACACGUUUUAGGUCUUCAAAAAUAAAAUUUAUGUUUUAGCUACACAUAAUGAUUCACUAGUGAAUGCAUUCAUUUAACAAAUAGUAAAUGCCUACCACAUGCAAUAUAUUAUGCUACACACAAGGCACCCUUCUGGGGAGUCUUGUCAAAAUGUUAGCUAACAAUUGCUUUGAAACAGGUUUUCUUUUUUUUUUCUCAAGCCAGAGGUUUAGACAGUCAUAACAGCAUUCUUUUGCAAAUGAAAGAAAAAUAUAAGUAUAUAGCAUGUGGUUAACAUUAAUACUGUCUCAUGAAAUUUUUAUUUUGGUUAUAUUAAUAUGUGUUUCAGUAUGUCAGUAUAUGUACCUUUAUGUGUUUUAGAUUAUACACAUGCAUACAUCUGUUCAUGUUUUUGCAUAGCUAUACACAUAUAUACACAUUCAUGCAUGUGCUCCUAGUAAAAAACCUGAAAACAAUUGGUUUAGAUAGAAUGAUCUCUGUCUUGCAGGAAGGCAUCCUUGCAUCCCUGAAUUCUUGUACCUCUACACAUCAAGAUGUUGUCCUCUGACAUCACUUAGCCAUUAGGAAAGUAGAAAGCAGGGAAAGACCCUGGGGCCCAUCCCUAGCACCUCAGGGGUAAGGGUACCAUCCCAAGGACACAAGUUUCCAGGCAGCAGCCUCCAAGAAUUUUGUUAGAGAUGUCCCAUCACUUAUGGCCCUACACUGUUUUACAUCUGGACUCUGGAUUGCAAGUGUAAGGAAGAAAGUGAAAAUGAAAGAGAAAGUGGAACAAAUAUUGGCAACAGAGCCCCCAGAGGACAGUUGUCCCUUUUCCAACAAGUUAAGUGGAAAAUGCUGUUGCCAUGGGAGUACAUAAUAGAAAAUCUAACUCAGUCUUGGAAGUCAGGUAAGAAUUAAAGAAUGGUUAGUAGUUACACCCUGGUGAGUUGGGGAAAAACAGAUGGGAUGAAGAGAUGGAAUGGCUCAUAGGCAUUAGGAAUCACAUGUGAAGGAAAGAGAAUGAGGGAUACACUGCCUGAUCAAAUAAUUAGAAGAAAAAAUGGCUGGAAAGAUAUAGAGAAUAUACAACAGGUAAGCCUGUUAAAUAAUCUACAUUUUAUCCUAGAGCCCAUGGGAAGCUACUAUGCCAUGUUUAUAGGCAUUGGCAUGACAGGAUCAGGUUGCCUUUGGGAACCAUCACCCUGGUGUCACUGUGAAGAACUGACUAGAGGGAAAUGAGACUGGGAUCAAUCAGGAGGCUACUUCAGGACCGUAAGCAAGAAAUAACGAUGGAGUCAGCUAAAAGAUGACAGAGAGGGCUACGGAAAUGCGGAGUUAUUGGAAAAGUCUGAAAUGUUUAGAAAGCAAAAUUCCUAAGACUUGAGAUUUCCCUAAAUUUACCAUUUCCGUCAUUGCCAAAAAUGUUUAGCAACUUUGCAAAAACACUAUGACAGAACCCCUAAGUUACAUAAUGUGGAGAAUUAAGCUCAAUAAAUGGUUGCUGAAUAAAUGAACAGAAAAUAUCAAAAACUUUGACUCCACUUAUAGGUUUCUGUUUGAAUUGCAUCUUAAGAUUUGUCUCUUUGUCAUUCAGAAUAUACAGCAUGUCAUUAGUGGGAAGAAUGUUAUAAUUCUUCAAACCUUAUUAAAGAUGAAUAAUCCCUGGGAUCUAACAUAUAAACUCAAAAUUGAUUAUAGUUUGGGGUGCUGGCAUUGUCUAGCCAUGGCAUGCUGUUUUUUGAUGUUGCUUCAUAUGUCUGCUUUUAUAACACAGAGGCUCAUGGGACCAUGGUGACUGGGACUAAUGAUAUUCAUAAAGGAGUGAACUAAGCUAAAUUUAUUUCUAAAAUGUUUUAAAAGUCACCUUUACCAAAGAUUACACUUUCCUUGUAGCUUCUGGUAACUAACCUAUGGCUGGGUGCAAUUCUCUAUCAUGUGAUUCAGAAAAUAAGAGCUAAAAUGUACCAAUAAUUAAGGAUAAGAUAUUAAUAUUGUUUAAGAUUACAUAUUUUAAUGAUAUCAUAAACUUAGAUAGAUAUCACAGAAAUCUAAUAAUCCAAGCUCAAUUCAUUCACAAUUAGAACAAAAAAAUUUUGGGACUGUCUACUGAAACUUGGGUAUGCACGCACAUGCAUGCACACACACGUGCACACACACAUACACACACCCCUGUCAGUUAAAUCUCAAAACCAAAACACUACAAAUUAAUUGCAGAAUGCAGAACUCUUCUGGGUACACAGGAAUCUAGUCAAAAGGUGACUAGUAUAGUAUCCUGGAAAGCACAAAGGGUUAGGACUGAGGCAUCUGCAUUCCACUUCAAACUCUUCUAGUAACCAGCUGUAUAAUCUUGGACAAACACUCUCUGUGGGAAAAUAAGCACAGUAAUACAUAAACUGUUUGCUUACCUCACAGACCUGUUGCUUCCAACAUAUCACAGGGGCUUACAGACACAGAAUAAACAGAAUGAGAUAAAAAUAAUGGGGGUCCUUUUUAAAAAAUAUAAAGUAUUAAGAAGGUAAGUGAUGAUUUCACUUUUAUAUCCAGAAACUAGACAACUGCAAAACAAACCAAUAUUAUGGAUCCUAUCUGGGGAACAGUAAAGUGCCUCCAGGGAACUUGGGAAGUAAGAUCAUCCCUCUCAGAAGUAAGCUGCAAAAUCAACACAUAAUAGAUAGGGCAGAUAGGCAAAAUCGCUUAAAUGAGAGGGAGAACCUAGAAGAUUUCUCUAAAAAUCUUCCAGUGUCUGAUACUGAAAUAAAAUAUAUCACAUUGUGUUCCCUAUAAACAAAGUUUCAAACAACUAAUUUAAAAUGCAUGACAACAAUAAUAGAAAAGGCAAAGAUAGAAUAAUAGAAUUUGGAUAAGAAGAAAUGUGUGUUGUAGCUAACACCGAAAAAUAAUAAAAGGAGGUAUAAAUAACACAAUAGAGGGGAAAGUGGAAUAAGAAUAAUUUAACUCAGAUAAAAGUCAAGAAAAUUUAGAAAAAAACAGAUUGUAAGAUGGCAAAUCCAAAUGCAAAUAUAAUUCAUAACUAUAUUAAAUGUUAAAAAAACUAUAAUAGAUUUAGAUUGUCAAGAAAAAAAUUGUAUGCUGACAGAUCUUAAACAUAAGGACACGUAAAAUUGAAAGUAAAAGAAUGCAGGAGAUAUACCAUGCAAGUACUAAAAGGAAACUGGAGUUAGCUAUAAUAACACAAGACAAAGGAGAUUUUAAAGCAAGAAGCAUUACUAGAAAUGAAGAAGGCCAUUUUAUUAUUUUAAAUAACUUAAUUCACCAGGAAGAUAUUGUAAUUCUAAAUCUGGAUCAUUCAAUAAUGUAUCUUCUAAAUAAAUGAAGCAAAAAUACAUAGAACUAAAUGGAAAAAAAAGAAAUCCACAAUUACACUGAAAGACUUUAACACCCCUCUCAUACAAAUAGACCAAAACCAAGCAAACAAAUAACGACCAAACACUAAGAACAGGGAAGAUGUACAGAAAUCAGUCAACAAACCUGACCUAAUUGACAUACGGUUGAACUAAGUAUUUAUUAGGUUGGUGCAAAAGUAAUUGUGGUUACAGUAAUGUUAGAAACACAUUAUUUCAAGUCCACAUGGAACCUUUACCAAAACUGAUUAUAAUGUAGGAUGUAAAGCAAGCUUCAACAAAUUGCAAAGGAUUGAAUCAUUCAAAGUAUGUCUUGGCACAGCAGAAGUGUACUAGAAGUCAGUAUCAAAAAGAUAACAAGCAAAUCAGAACUCCAUAAAAAUUCAAUGUUACACUUUUAAAUAACCCACCGGUCCAAGAAGCAAUCAAAGUGAAAAUGAGGAAAUGUUUUACACUAAAUAAUAAUAAACUUGUGGAAUGCUGAUAAACCAGUGUUGAGAGAGAAAUUUACUGCUUCAAAUGAAUAGGAAAAUAACAAAAGCUCGAAAUCCAUUACCUAACAUACUAUUUCAAGAGGCUAAAAAAAAAAAAAAAAAAAAAAAAAAAUUAGUAAACCAAACCCAAAGAGUGUAGAAGAAAUUAAUUAUGAGGUUAAAACAUUUAAUGAAGCCAGAAAAGGCAAAAGUUGACCCUUUGAAAAUAUUAAUAAGAUAACCCCUAGCAUAACUGAUUAUUAAAGAAGAAAAAAUUACUAAUAUCAGGUUUGUAAAAGGGACCUUUUUCACUGCAUUUGUAGACAUUCAAAAGAAAAGAUAUAAUAAACAAGUUUAUGUUAAUAAAUUUAACAAUAAACUGAGUACUUAAAAAAUUCCAAAUUGAUAUAAGAAACAAUUUGAAAAUGAUCAGUCUGAAAUCUAUUAAAAACUUUCCUUCAAAGAGGUCUCAAGGCCUGCAACAAUGAAUUAUUCCAAACAUCAAAGAAUUAGCAGCCGGGUGCGGUGGCUCACGCCUGUAAUCCCAGCACGUUGGAAGGCCGUGGCAGGGGGAAUCACCUGAGGUCAGGAGUUUGAGACCAGCCUGACCAACAUGGUGAAACCCUGUCUCUGCUAAAAAUACUAAAAAUACAAAAAUUAGCUGGGCAUGGUGGUGAGCAUCUGUAAUCCCAGCAACUCAGGAGGCUGAGACAACAGAAUCGCUUCAACCUGGGAGGCAGAGGUUGCAGUGAGCUGAGAUCAUGCCAUUACACUCCAGCCUGGGCAACAAGAGCAAAACUCCGUCUCAAAAAAAAAAAAAAAAAAAAAAGAAAAAAAGAAUUAGCAUCAAUUUGUUGAACACAGAUGCAGAAAUCCUGAACAAAAUAUUAUAAAACAUCUUUAAAUUCCAGCAAUAUCUUUUUAAAAAUUAUAUCAAAGUGACAUUUAUUUCAGAGAUAUAAGGUGUUUUAACAUUUGAAAAUAAGUCAAUUUAAUAUACCACAUUUGAAAAGGAAAACAGGAGGAAAGACAUAUGAUCAUCUUGAUAGAUGCAGAUAGUAUAUUUGAUAAUAAUUCAAGUCACUUAUAAAGAAGUUGUUAGCAAAUCAGAAACUGAAUCAUCAUUAAAAAAACAUCAACCACUUGGGAACAUACCUAAGGAAAUCUGUGUAAAACCUCUACACUGAGAACCACAAAAUAUUAAGAGAAAAAAGAAGAUCUAAAUAAAUGGAGGAAGAAAGCACUAAGUUCAAAUCCUGAUGACACUAUUCAUAUGACUUCACACAAGUUAAUCAAGUCUCCUCAGCUAUAAAAUGGGAUUAAAAAAUUCCAACCUUCCCAAAUUGUUAUAAUAGUAGUAAUAGUAUAUUUAAAAUGUAUAAUUCAUAAGCAUUCAAUAAGUAUUUUGAUUUUGACAUAUUUUCUGUAGCUGUUUGGCCAAAAGAGAUUGCUUUCCUCUUAUACAUGGCAUAUUUCCUUCUGCAUCCAUCUCCUACCUCAUGACCACACUCACAGACAAAUGUGUUUACCUGUUGUAAUGCAGUGAUCGCAUCACCAAGUUUUUCCAUUUUACUAUAAACUUUUGCUAGAAGAACUUGACAACGUCCAUCCUCCAUGAGAGCUGACAGUUCAUUUACUAUGAAAGAAUGGAAUGUAAUGCAAAAAAUUAUUCAUCUUAAAUAAAUGUUUAUAUUUUUCCAGAAUUUUUAAAACUGGUCUCUAGAAAAAAUGAUUUUGAAAAAUAGUGAAUACGGUUAAAAUUUUCUCAAUCAGUUGCCUGAAGAAUGGCCAAAUUAAAAAAAAAAAGAAAAGAUUUAGGAUAAAAACUGGCUGGAUGAAAAGUUAAAGAACGGGUUAACAACUAGAGGCUUUUCUUAGACAUAUAUUAGGAGAUAACAAUUUAACACCACAAUAAUUUCCAUUUUUAUUCUUAAGUGUAUAAAAAUUUGUUUACUGAAGUCAUUAGAAGAUAGAGUAGUUGCUAUAUGCAAUUAAGAAGAUAACUGCUCUUUUAAAAAUCAUAGAUAUUUGAUAAGCAAUAAAGUACAGUUGUUAAGAGCACUGACUUUGAUGUUGAAUGGUCUGGUUUCAAAUCUAGGCUUUACCACUUACUAGCCCUCUAAUUUUGAGCAAGGUACUUAACCAUUCUGCAGUUCCCUCUCAUCUGUAAAAUAGGAAAAAUGAUAGUAACUACCUCACAGGGUGGAUGCAAGAUUUUAAUAGCUAAUAAGUUACUAAAUAAGUUAAAAUAUGCAAAGUAGUGAAAACAAACUCUGGUACGUGGUAAGUUCUAUAUAAAUAUUUGGUUAAUGCCAAAUGUUUUGUGUCUAAGAACAAUAAAAGAACCCUAGAUAAUUAACAAAAAUGUUUCCUCCACCAUUUGUCAAGUGCACAGUUCAUGACACGCCAUGCCACUUUACCAACUAGGUAGUCCUGGACACAUCAAUAAAACUGAGUUUCAGAUUGCUAAAUUUAAAAUGGGUAUGAUUAUAUUUGCCUCAAAGAUUAAUAUGAGUCCUGAUGAGAUAAUGUAUGAAACGUAUAUGAAGGCAUCUAAGUAUGUCAUGGGUAUGCUCAGCAAAUAUUAAAUGAAAGCAUUUAUGUUACAUAAAUAUAAUAUACCCAUUGUAACUAAAACAUAUGAUACUUGAAUCUCUCUCCCCCUACAAACUUUUCAAAAUGUAUAUCCACAUUUAGGCCUUUCAAGUGUUUCAAAAGAAGAUCUGACAAAUCCAUGCAUAUAUUUUUAUGGAACUACUAACACUUCAUACAAUAAAUACAUUUAUAAUUAGAAGAAUUUAAGCACCAAUGUCAUUAAAGCUAAACCAAAAGAUCAUUUUGAAAAUAUCAGAAAACUUACAAUGGGCUUCUCUCAUCAUGUGUUCAAAUGUAUUUUAAAGCUACACUAAACAUGUUGUUGGCAAAAGAAAAGAAACAUACACAAUGGAAUAAAACAAAGAUUCCUAUAAUCAGAGCAAUGUAUAUGAAGGAGUUUAUUAUAAAAUAAAGGAGCCAGUUCCAUAAAUGGCAUGAAAAUAAAAUUGGCUAUCCAUUUUGGAAACUAUAUAGUAAAACUUGUAUGUGGAAUAAAGUACAUGGAUUAAAGUUCUCAAUAUAAAAAUGAAAACAAUAUAAAUGACAAAAAUAUAUGGAAAUAGUUUCAUAACGUUAGGAUUAGGGAAGGUCUUUUAGAGAGUGACAAGAAAUUCAGAAGCCAAAAAAAGACAUGAAAAGCAGAUAUAUGAUCAUUAAAUAUUCUACUUGAUCAAAGAUACAAUAAACAAAUCUGAUGAAGAAAAGACAGCCCGGGAGAAAAUAUCUACAACAUGAACAUUAGGUAAAGGAUUAAAGACAAAGAAUAUAAAUUAAAAAUUCCUAGAAGAAAAUAAGAUAUAUAAACAAAAUAAUACCUAACCUUAUCACUCAUCAAAGAAAUGUAAAUUAAAAUGUUUAUUUUUCAUGACUAACACGACAUAAUGUCAGGAAGUUUUUAGCCUUAAGAAAGAACAAUGGGGCAAGAUUCAAUUCUAGGAAGUACAGAGAGGUAUAUGUAUAUAAACAAGGACUUUAUCUCAGUACUGCUUCCAACUAUUUCCCAAGCUAAAUGUCUAUUCCAAUAUGAGACUCAUCAAAUCAAUUAUGAUAUUAAGAUACAGUGGAAUACUCUACAUAUGCUAAAAAAUAAAGAAGAGCUAUAUUUCUAACAAGGAAAGAAGUUAUUAAAUGAAAAAUGCAUACUGCAGAAUUAUAGGUGUACUAUAAUCCAUUUAGAUAGUAAAAAGUGGUAGGUAUAAUAAUUGUGUAUAUAUGAGAGGCAAAGAUGGGGGCAGGGAGACUGAAUAUCAUGAUAUACAAGUUGUUAAAUAUGGUUUUCUCUGGAGAGCGGGAGAGGACACAACUUUUAUUCACUUCUGUAAUCUUUAAAUUCUGGCAAUGGGCAACCACUAGAUUUUAUUUAAAAAUAAAGAUCUUAGGCCAGGCGCGGUGGCUCACGCCUGUAAUCCCAGCACUUUGGGAGGCCGAGGCAGGCAGAUCACAAGGUCAGGAGAUCGAGACUGUCCUGGCUAACAUGGUGAAAACUCGUCUCUACUAAAAAUACAAAAAAUUAGCCGGGCGUGGUGGCAGGGGCCUGUAGUCCCAGCUACUAGGGAGGCUGAGGCAGGAGAAUGGUGUGAGCCCGGGCAGCAGAGCUUGCAGUGAGCUGAGAUCGUGCCAUUGCACUCCAGCCUGGGCAACAGAGUGAGACUCUGUCUCAAAAAAAAAAAGAUCUUAAAAAAGUAAAUUUUUACAAACUUGAAAGAAGGUAAUUUGAUAGUACCCAAACAAAUUUUACAUGCACAAAAUCUCCAGCUCAGCACCCUACUCUAAGAAAUAUAUGCAAAUGUACACUAAGGAAUGAUACAGUGAUAUUCAUUGGAACAUGGAUUAUAAUAUCAAAAUAAUGGAAAGCAAACUAAACAUCCAAUAAUUUCAAGAAAAUUAAGUAAUUUAUUGGUGUUAUGGAACAUUAUGAUGCCUGUAGAUAGAAUAAUAUGAAUAAAAUUUCCUAGAAGAAAAUAAGAUAUAUAAACAAAAUAAUACCUAACUUUAUCACUCAUCAAAGAAAUGCAAAUUAAAUGCAUGAUGUACUGACAUCAAACUAUCUGGGACACGUAUGUGGAAAAAAUUGCAGAAAAGGAAGAGUAACAGUUUCGCACAGGAAAAUCACAUUACACUUAUAUAUACACACACAUAUAUAGAAUAUAUAUUAAAUUACAAGCUACUAGGGAGGUAAUUUGAGAACAAGGCAAAUGGAAUUCAUAGGAGAAACAGAUGACUUAUGCAUUAUAUUCUUUUAUAGAGCUUGAAUUUUAAAAAAGAAGCAUGCUACUUUUUAAAAAAGAUUACAAAAAUGCUAAUGUGUUUAAAUAUGAGAUAGCUGUAAUUUAAAGAUAACUAUAUUAUUUUGGAAAGUAAGCUAUAUUUCUAUAACACAAUUAACUGUUUCAUAAAUCUGCUACUAGAUUUCAAAAUAUCACAUUUUAGUAGAGUGGCAUUCUGAUAAAAGAAAAAAUACGCAUGUAUUUAUAUAACCAACCACAAAUAAAAUAUUGAGAAUACAAAUACAUAUUUAUGCAAUAUAAAAAUAAAAUGGAUCAGAGUUAUCAGACUUUUUUCAAACCAGAAAGACUUUCAUACCAGGUUCAUGAGCCAGAGCAUGCUGAAGAACUUUUUCUGCUUUGUCAUACCAUUUCAAUUUUAAUAAGAGCUCAGCCAGGUCAUAGCAAAGAUAAUUCUUUUGUCCAGUUUUCAGAGCAGCUUCAUAGUAAGUGAUUGCCUAAACAAAAUUCAUUCCAUUUAAGGGAACAAGGCAAUGAGAAUGGCAUUCAAGCAGAGCUAUUUAAUACAUUACAGACUUAAAGCAUUGGUAUAACUAGAAAUAACCAGGAAGAAUUGUAGGCAUACACCUGCCUGUCAAUUAAGUAUGUCAUACUUCUCAGAGAAUAGAUCAUCACAUGAAACAACUAAUAUAUAUAUAUAUUUUUUUUUUUUGAGUCACAGUCUCACUCCAUCACCCAGGCUGGAGUGCAGUGAUGCAAUCUCAGCUCACUGCAACCUCUGCCUUCCAAGUUCAAGCAAUUCUCCUGCCUCAGCCUCCCAAGUAGCUGGGAUUACAGGAGCCCACCACCAUGCCCAGCUAAUUUUUUGUAUUUUUUCGUAGAGAUGGGGUUUCACCAUGUUGGCCAGGCUGGUUUCAAACUCCUGAACUCAAUUGAUCCACCCGUCUUGGCCUCCCAAAGUGUUAGGAUUACAGGCGUGAGCCACCACACCUGGCCAACAACUAACAUUUCUUAUGAUAAGUAGAUAAAGAACGGUACUUGGCAAAGAAUAUUUUUUACAGGUUUUAUGAGGCCAGUGAACCUUAUCAAAGGCAUACAUUUUGCUAGCUGUUGUACAUAUGGUCAACAAUUACCAGGAAUAGGGCAAGAAUAUAACAGUUCAAGAAAAAUCUGUUUCCCUUACUGGAAAAAAAAAUGAACUCAAAACACAUAGCUUGCAAAAAUUGGUGCAACAGAAAGAACAUUUAUCAUGUUUUGUUACACAAUGAAAGAGGUGUAAGAAUAGCAACUUUAUGGUAAUUGAUUUGGUAGCAAGGAUUCUAGCUGCAAGAUGAAGCAAGGUCUAGGGUCCAAAUAAUCACCACGAAAUGAAGCAAUGAAGAAUCUGAUAAAUCUAAGAAGGCCUUUAACACAAAUCCCAGUUCAUAAAUACAGAUUUGGAGUUUACAACCAUUAAAGAUGCAAAUGGUGCUCGCUGAAGCUUCUCGAGGACAGGGUAUGAUAAAUUUGAUGCAACAGACAUAUUUCAAACAAUAAAGUACUUACCAUUGAGUAGUUAUGAGUUUUGAUAAGUGCUUUGCCCAUUUUGCUUGCCAAUGUUCCAUCUUUCGGGUUCUGAUUUAAUGCUUGCUCAUAUGCUACUAUGGCUUCUUCAGGCUAAUAUUGCCAGACACAAAAAAUAAGCAAUAAAAAAUAGCAUAACUGGGUCCCAUUAAAGGGCAACAGUUCUAUAAUUAAUCUCUACAUUUGUAAUAUUACAUAAGACUUGGCAUAUAUUAAAGCACAGGAACUUUAACAAUUUCAAAAAGGUGAUAAAUGAGAAAAGCAGGUAUGGAUAGGUAUAAUUUAUUAGGAUAAUUCUACCCAUAUUAACUGUGCUCUUGUCUAUAUAAAUAACAAUAUGUGGACUAAGAGACACCAUCUUGACUUUUCAUUUCCAGAAGUCAUUAAACUGCCAGUUAUAGAGGGCUGAAGGAUUGGUUCCCUUUGAAGAAAACACCACCUUAGUCUGUAGCUCCCUUUAUCCUUCUGUAUAAAGAAGAAGACUCCUAACAUACCUCUGGUAUCAACUCUACAUUUUUUUUUUUUGAGAUGGAGUUUUGCUCUGUCACCCAGGCUGGAGUGCAGUGGCGCAAUCUUGGCUCACUGCAAACUCCACCUCCCAGGUUCAAGUAAUUCUCCUGCCUCAGCCUUCCCAAUAGCUGGGACUACAGGCAGGGCUAAUUUUUUGUAUUUUUUGUAGAGACGGGGUUUCACCAUGUUGGCCAGGCUGGUCUUGAACUCUUGAUCUCAAGUGAUCCACCAGCCUUGGCCUCCCAAAGUGCUGGGAUUACAGGCAUGAACCACCGUGCCUGGCCUCAUCUCUAUUUCAAAUAACAAUAGUGCUGAAUUACUGGAUCUCAACUUUAAAAAUAGAAUCCAUUUUUAAAAAUUGAUAUCUCCCUUUUAUUUUAUUUAUCCUUUAAAAUGGAUAUCUCCCUUUUACUGUGAUGGCUGGAUCUUCAAAUAUUAAACAUUAUUUUAAAAAACAUUCCUUUUAAUAGGAAGUUGUACUCAUCACAAAUAAUUUUUUAAAAAUGCAGUUCAGUAACAUCAGAAAUUUUACCUCUAGAAUAUUCAUGUAUGCAUCACCAAGGAGAAGAAAAGACCGAGGGUUAGCCAUUCUUUCAGCAAUUUCUCUGGAAAUCAGACCAACAUUACUUAGCAUAUUGAACACAGAUAUCUUCUUCCAAAAAUAAAAUAAAAUAAAAAAUAAGCUCCCUUAUUUUAGUUAGCCAGUAGCCUUCAGAGUAUCUCUAUAUACCCAACAGUGUAAUAUUAUAAAAACCUCAUGCAUACCCACACCCAAAUUGUUUAUGCUAGAUCAGCUAUUUCUGUCACUGAAUCUUUCCAUUUUCUGAAAUGCAGGUAACUGAGUUCAGAUAGAUAGUAAAUAUCUAGGUUCUCCUUAUUUGGACCUACACAUUUUGCUAUGUUUACUUCUGAAAUGAUGUGGGAGUGAAGGUACCAAAAAAAUGAUGGGAGAAUAAAAUUUUACUGUCCUCCUAUGCAUCUUGAGCUCUGAUACUCAUGGCAUAAAUUAUAUGCUGAAAUAAAUUACCUUAAAAAAAUACAAAAUCUUCUAUUUCAGUAUUUGUUGCUUACAUUUGACCUGAAAAUGUAGACUACUAAAGGUCAAAUUACCAAAGUUAUUGAAAUAAUAAUGUGGUGUUAAGUCUUUAACAUACAGUAUUUCAUCUAACUGGUCCAAAAACUCUUGAGAAUUAUUAUCCCAGUUUUACAGAUGAUGUUAAGAGUUGCAGCUGAUGUGUCAGAUCUUCCUGAAACAAAACCUAUACUUUUAACUAUUACAUUAUAGUACAUCAAAAAUAAAUCAACCCUAUUUUGAAUUAUUUUCAUAUCAUUAGAGAUGACAGUGAUAAUCUUCUGGAAAUACCUUAGAAAACACAAUCUAGGAACUCCAGUCCAUCUGUCUAAACAUGCGGUGCUGCUCAGUUUCUCUGAAUCACUCAGUGCUUAAAAGAAUCUGAGCAGCUUUUUGAGUUUGAUAUAAUAUAGAUGAGCCAAUACUGAAUUACUUCAUCAACAGUUUACUAUGAUCUCAAGAGCUAAAAACGUUAAUUUUCUCUUACAUAGAGUGUAUGCUUCUAUGUUUACCCUUCUGUUUGGGGAGAAGAGGAAGAGCAAUCUGUGUGUGUGUGUGUGUGUGUGUGUGUGUGUGUGUGUGUGUUGUGUAUCCCAAUAACUCAUAAGGGCAUCAGUGUGACAUACUUUUAAGGUCAUGCUCUUUCACCAAGAAAUAUCUGUAAUCCACACGUUAGCAUGGUACAUACUAAAAUAACUUUUUUUUUCCUACAACUACUAUAUCGACUAAUAAAUACACCUGCCUAUCCCGUAGAUUAUUGUUAUAUUACAUGAUGCUCUUAAGUUAUUAGAACACAGGGUACAAUUUCCCUUCUCAAACAGGAAGAUCUAGGGUCUAAAAAUAAUAUUUGAUAAGGAGAGCUGAGAAACUACAGCAAGCCAGUUUGAAGGAAUCAUAAUUAUGUUUUAGGGAGAGCAAAUAACUUGGUUAGAGUGAUUGCAGUUGGUGGUAGAAGGAAUCAGGACCACAUUCAGAAAACGAUCUGUAAAGUAUUUGUGAAGCAGUUGAAAGAAAGUUAAAAAAAAAUUGGGAAUUAAUACUAGUGGCUAAAUGUAUCAAAAUAUAAUGGGUUAAGACAAUUACUUACCUAAAACAAGUGAUAUAUAACAUUUUAUCUUUUCUGUGCUUCAGAUAAAUAUCUGCCAUUUUUUCUCUGGCCUCUAUAAAAUAAGGCUGUUCGGCUGUAACAUUCUGAAGGAUGCUUAAAGCCCGUUCAAUAUCUCCUUGGGCUAGAGCAAGGUCUGCAUUAGCAAUGGUAACCCGCACUUCUUCAGAUGUUCCAGAAAAUUCAUGGAUGGCAUCUUGUAAAACUUUGGUUGCCUCAUGCUGUAAAGAUGAAAUUAAAAUAAUCAUUCUUCCAAAAUAGUGAACAAAUAACACUAGAAAGGGAGAUUUUCUCAUAACGCAGAAUGAAUAAAUGCUAGUACAUUUAUAAUAUUUACGAAAUAAAUUGAUAGAAUUUUCUGAAACCUCAAAAAUUUAAAACUAAACCCAUGACCAAAAUCAGAUGAGCCUGUAAAUAUUGUUAGCUAGAUAAAUGUUUUCACAACUAGGACAACAGCAGCUGCUACAGAGGGUCACUGCUACUAUAUUAAUGAGCACUUACUAAGCACCCAGCAUUGAAUAAUGAAGAGCUGUACACACUGGCUCUUCAUUAAGUGGCAGAUUAUUCCCUCCACCAGAACACUGUUGUUACACUUUGGGUGAAUAUUCUACCUCAUUUCCAAAUGUGUACCUUGAUGAAUCUAAAAUGUCAUUUAAGAGUCAUCUCAACUUCAGAGAUUAUAAGAAUUCCAGAAAUGUUAAAAUGUAAUUUAAGUGUACCUCAGAAUCAACUUUAUAGGGUAUAAUUGGCCUUACUUGUUAAAUGUACUUUAAGUUAACUAGUAAAACAGAAAUUCUCUCACACCUGUAAUCCCAGCACUUUGGGAGGCCGAGCUGGGUGGAUCACUUAAGCCCAGUAGUUUGAGACCAUCCUGCAUAACAUAGGGAGACCCUCUACAAAAUAUUUUAAAAACUAGCUGGGCAUGGCCCAGCUACUUGAGAGACUGAGAUGGUAAAAUCUCUUGGACCCAGGAGUUUGAGGUUGCAGUGAGCUAUGAUUGUAUCACUGGAUGCCAGCUGAGGAGACAGAGUGAGACCUUAUCACUAAAAAAUACAGUAAAUAAAUGGAAAUUCUUUGUGAUUUGGCAAAUAUUUAGAAAUACAGCCUUCUUAAUUUUCAUUAAAAUAUGAAAAAUAAGUGAUUAGCAAGUGCUGCAACCUAAAACAACGGAUACAAAUGACUUUGAGUUCCUCAUUUUCUACAAAGUUGUAAUUCUCCCAGAAUUACUUUCUAUCUUAUCGUAUAUAUUAUUAUUUUUAAAAAUAUCUGACUUUAUAAUAUUCCUAUGAGUUUACCAAAGCUGUAUUCAUCAAGUAUUUUGUCUCCUCAUCUACUAGAAUUUCAGGUUGGUACUUCCUUUUUAUUUCAGUAGUUCUGGAGUGUGCAUAAAUGUGUGUUUGUGUUUAUGUGUAUAAAUCUUUUUAGAGAUUCAUAGGAUUAUAACUGCAUUAUAUUAUUACAUUCAUGGUAACCAAGAGAGUUGUACAUCAUGUUAUUAUGUUCCAUUGUAGCCAACAUGAGCACACUGAUACUUAAGGUCAACCAGGAGCAAAUUAUGCUUAACUUUCAGGGGCUUACAGGAAGUUUAUUUUUAGUGCAAGGUAAUGAAAAUUAAAUUUUUCUAAAGUUUACCACCUGGUCAAGGGAAUACAUUUAGCUUUUCAUUUUUUUUCUCUGAGAUGGAGUCUCAUUCUGUCACCCAGGCUGGAGUGCAGUGGCAUCAUCUCGGCUCACUGCAACCUCCGCCUCCUAGGUUCAAGCGAUUCUCCUGCCUCAGCCUCCCGAGCAGCUGGAACUACAGGUGCGCACUACCACAUCCAGCUCAUUUUUUUGUAUUUUUAGUAGAGACAGGGUUUCACCAUAUUGGCCAGGCUGGUCUCGAACUCCUGACCUCAGAUGAUCCAUCUGCCUCGGCCUCCCAAAGUGCUGGGAUUACAGGUGUGAGCCACCAUGCCUGGGCAGCUUUUCAUUUUCUACUAAUAUAUAUGUUAGAAUAAGAAAGUUCACAUCCGAGCCCUUAAAUUAAAACUUGACCUACCUGCUCUCCAUUUAAGCGGUGAACGUCUAUCAAUUCAAGAAAGAUCGAUAAACGAUGGCUUGUAUCAACUUCAGUUUUUCUGUCUUUUGAUUUUGUGGAAGCUCCAAUUCUUUUCAUUCCUGGUAAACUCAUUGCCAUAUGCAGUGUUUUAAUUGCGUCUGCUAUUUCUCCCAUUUUCUUUUGUGACUGAGCUUUUAUCAAAUGGUAUAAAGGAUAGUCUCUCACCUGAAGAAUAAUAUUUAAUAUUUCCUUGGAGUGCUUACAACAUCAACACAUAAUUUACAAUCCAUCAAACAUUAAAAUAAUGAGAUCACUGAGAACAGUCCAUCUUUGAUUGUAUGCAUGAGGUCUAUCUCUGCCCUCUUAUUAACCCUCUGAUUAUGUAUCACAUUAAAUCGGAUUCAGGAAAAUUGCUUCUCCCUGCAUCCUUUGAGAUGACAAAGAGGUUGAUUACAUAUUUCUACUGUGACAGAAGAGAAAGUGCAAACAAGCUUUAUAAGGCUAGCAAAUACAUUCUAAGAGAUUACUUGAAUUUUCAGGAAAAGAAUUUCUUUAUCUGGCACUUCUACAACUGAUAUGAAGUUAUUAGAUUUCUAGAAACACUGUUUCUCCCCUUUAUUUUUUUAAUUUGAAGAUUAAAAGUUUCAGGACAUUUUAAUCAAACAUUGACCUUCCCCUUUGACACUACUCCUAAAUAUGUAGUUCUGAAGCUUCCAUCUUUACGUUGGCUAUCAACAGUAUAUACAGAAAACAUAAGAAAAUGAUAAAAAUGAGGUGGGAAAAAGAAGUCAAAGGGAAGGAGAGGACUCAGAACGAGGUGACGUGGCAGCCACCUAGCGAUUAGGAAGUCUAUAAUCCUCCUGAUGCUGAGGUUCUCAACCUUAGGCAGCCUGCACAUUUGCUUACAGAGCUUCGUGUGAGACUCACGCUUGUGCUCCUUCCUCAGAGAUUUUGACUCAGUAAAGGUGGGGCACCAGCACUGAGGCUCUGACAUACCACUAGUCUUGAAAACCACUAUCAUAAGAAGCAGGUGAUAUUUUCUGCAAUUUUUUUUUUGAGAUGGAGUCUCGCUCUGUUGCCCAGGCUGGAGUGCAGUGGCGUGAUCUCAGCUCACUGCAAGCGCUGCCUCCCAGGUUCACGCCAUUCUCCUGCCUCAGUCUCCCGAGUAGCUGGGACUACAGGCACCCGCCACCACGCCUGGCUACUUUUUUUGUAUUUUUAGUAGCGACGGGUUUUCACUGUGUUAGCCAGGAUGGUCUCGAUCUCCUGACCUUGUGAUCUGCCCACCUCGGCCUCCCAAAGUGCUGGGAUUACAGGCGUGAGCCACCACGCCCGGCCUUCUGCAAAUCUUAAUUAGGAUUCUCUAAUUCACUGAAGGGUUCUCUCUUAACAGGGUCCAUGACCCUGUGAAGCAAAGCAGAAGUUUUCAGAGCUCCUCCAUGACUUGAGGUAGUUCAGGAAGCAACUGAACCUAGGAUUUUCCCUAACGUUGAGGGGAUACUGGAUAUAACACAUAAUAUCUUGGAUAGAAAAGUACUGUGUUUUUAUAUCCUCAAACCACAAAAUUACUUUCAAAAUGACAAGAUGUUCUUUCACAAUGAAUCUAAAAAGAAGUUAUUAAAAACUAAGGUCCAAGAAAUAAACAGACAAUUAUUAUCUUUAUACAUAAAAAUAUUUGACAUAAGGAUCAUCAUUUUUAUAUACCUUCAUUAUUGCAUUUAAUUCUCAUUGUAACAGCAGAGUAUUAGUAAAUGAGUUUUACAGAAAAGAAAACUGAGGCUCAGAGAGAAGUGAAAGACCAGACAUUAACCUCAGGAUUUUUGUCACCAAGUCCACAUAGUUUUUUACCCAUACCUGAAUUGCCUCAAUUUUUCCUCCUACUGCUUGUGAGUUCCAUUUUUUUUUCCAUUAAAAAUGCAACUGUUAGCAAAAUACUACAGGCUAAAACACAAAAUACUUGAAUAUGUAAGCUUUCAAGGAGGGUGAUAUGUCUUAUCCACUUCAGUCUGGAAUACUUACCUUAAAAUCAUAGCUCAGACAAAGUUCAAGAGACUGAGAACACAAUUUGACUUUUUCUUGAGACAAGUAAACCUGAGCUAGCAGCAGAUGAGCAUCAGCAUAAGAGGGAUUGUGUUCUAAGCAGUGCUGAAGGUUAUUGAAAGCUGCUUCAAUAUCACCUAAUAAGAAAAACAAUGCAUUGUUAUAAUUCAAAUGAUUAAGAAAUGGAGAUCUGAGAGGGAAGAGGAAGAAGAGUGUUUAGUUUACGGAUAGCCCUAGUGUUUGUAAACUUAAAGUUUGCUGUUCAUAGGCCAUGGUUUAAUUCCAUCUGCACUAGUUAGCUUCCUUCUAGUCUACAUGAAUGAAUACACCUGCAAGUCAGGCAAGUUCUUGAUCCUAACGAACAAGCCAGGGAAAGCAGGAAAGGAUGAGAGCCAAGCACUGGUGUUACUGAGAGGCCAAUAAACGGACCUUUAUUUUCCUUGUCAAAAAAAGGUUUUAUUUAUAAUUUCAUUAAAAUAAAUUAUGUAGAACAAAAACAUUUGAAUAGCUAGAAUUUUGUUGUGUCACUUAUGUUAACAAAGAGGAUAUCAGUCUAGUAAUCAUUCUUGGUCAAAAAUUCUAUUACUACUAUACAUAAAAUAACAAAAAAGGCCUAAGGAUAUACUUCAGAGAUUCAGAAAUAUGAGUUAUAGAUUUAAAAUACCUUUAAAUACCAAUGGAAAUAAUGCCAGUUAUAUAUCUGGGAGUCUUAAAAUAGAAGGAAAUAAUCAAGAUUAAAGUGACAGGAAUUGAGGAAUUGACCUCGGGCUGAUAGAUGCGGUAAGAAGAGGCUCUUCAGAGGAAAACACUGCAUUGAUUCUAAGUCUUAGAAGUUUCUCAUGAUGUAACCCGCACUGAUCUGCACUUAAGUCACCUCAUAAAUGGGCCUUAAGAAGAUGUAAGUAGGCUAACUCCCCAUUCAACCUUGCUAGGAGAAUGUGGGAAGAAGAGAGCCUAAAUGAUUUUCUGUUCAUUUAUGCCCCUCAAACUCACCUGAUGCCUCAGUCAACAAAAUAAGGCUUAACUUACUGGUAACAGACAUGCACUGAGACUGAAAAUGUUCUUCUCAGAGACAGAAGAUUAAUAGAAAACUAACUGGCUGAGAUAGCAUAAUGACUUACUAAACAUGGCAUCAAAGUUUAGCAAUCAACCGUCAAGCAUAAUUAACAAGGUUAGAUUCUUAACUUAUUGUGAUACAAUCCAACACUCAAAACUGCACAGGUACAAAAAGGAAGAGUUAGGCAUAAUAAAUUUGUGUGAAAAUUCUUUUAGCAAGGAGAAGGACUAAGGCGAUAAUUUGAAGAAACAGGUUGUACUAACAGGAGAAAGUGCAUAGAGAAUUAGGGUUUGCAACUAAGAGAAUGAAGAAAAUGAGUGCCGUAUGAGUAACAGAAAUGAGAAUCUUUGUUUCUUUUAAGGGUGAGGAGAUGGAUAUGUAGGGUAGGAUACUAAAUAUUUAAAAUAUUUUGAAAUAUUUUAAAUAUUUAAAAUAUUUUGAAGGAUACUAAAUAUUUAAAAAUGAGAAGUGGGUCAUUACUUUUGAGGAAAAUAGACCCUGUCACCAGAGAUCAACACCAACAUCACAUUCUUUCUAAGAGCAGUCCAACUUCCCUUGAGUGAAACUGAAAGACAUUUCAGUCCUGUCUGUCUGUCUUUGUCAGAAUUCUGGGUAAUAAAGCAUUUGGCUGACGUUUGUCUUGGGUUCCUGGAAGGAGACUCUAACUCUUCAAAUUUCCCUCAUGUUAGGGAUUUCUGUGUUAUUCAUUAUGGACCCUGAUAGUUUAUCCUAAUUAAGAGAAUCAUGGUGUGCCCCUGGAUAGUUUAUGCUAAAGAUAUGACUUGGAAUGGGGGCUAGCUGUGCCAGAAAGACCAACCCUGUGAUUAGAGGGUUGGUGCUUAGAGCCACAUUAUCAGUUGGUGGGGGACUGGAGAUUGAAUUCAAUCAUAUGGCCAAUGAUUUAAUCCAUGCCUAUUUAAUGAAAUCCCAAUAAAAGCUAGGGACACCAAACCUUGGUGAGCUUCCCUGGUUGCUAAUACUCUGAUUGUCACACAUUGACAUGUCAGGAAGGUGAUGUCUCCUGACUCCAUGGGGAGAGGGCAAUGGAAGCUUUACAUCUGGGACCCUAUCAGACCUCACCCUGUGCAUCUCUCCCUGUUGCUGAUUUGGGUUAGUAUCCUGUUGCUAUAAUAAAACUGUAAUUUCAAGUCUAGUGCUUUCUUGAAUUCUGUGAUUCAUUCUAGUAAAUUAAUGAAACUGAGGGACCUCCAAAUUUGCAGCUAGUCAAAAGCACAGGAGGCUCUAGGAGUGCCCAAAUCUGUGGCUGGUGUCUGAAGUCAGGGCAGUUUUAUGGGGGACUGUGCCCUUAACCUUUGAUGUUUGGCCCAACUCCAACUAGUUGGUGUCAGAAGUCAUUGCAGUUGGCAAUUUAGCAAAAACACUACUACUUAGACACAUGCUAGCAGUAUUUCACAUGAGUUAAGGCUGCUCUUCCUUUUUUUUUUUUUUUUGGUUACUAGAAAUUUUCUUAAUCUUUUUUUUUAUUUCAAUAGGUUUUUGGGGAACAGGCGGUGUUUGGUUACAUGAAUAAGUUAUUUAGUGGUGAUUUCUGAAAUUCUGGUGCACUCAUCACCCAAGCACUGUACCCAAUGUACAUAGUCUUUUAUCCCUCCCUCACUCUCCUCCCACCCUUUCCCCUGAGUCCCCAAAGUCCAUUGUAUCAUUCUUACGUAGGCUGUUAUUCUUAAAAAUGGGAUUAAUAUAAGAAAUUUUCAAGACUAGAGACUUUAACAAUUAAGUAUUACUAGAUUGACAUAUAAAUUUUCACAAUAUAAAUACUUAAUAAAUUAUAGGAAUCAAAGUCCCAGUCUAAUUAUUUAGUAGGCGAUACCCCUUCCAAUUAGGAGAAAAGCUGAAAUAUCAUGUGGCUUAAUAGUACAAUUCAAUCAGAAAGUAUUAGUGUCACUUCUUACAAUUGAAAUAUUUUAGAGGUAAAACAACCCUCUGACAUCAUCUAAAUUUUUUUUAACAGUUAAAACAGAAGUCCAUAAUUUCCACAAUCUAUAGGGAAUCCAAACAAAUCAUCAAGAAAAAAAAAUCCCAUUAAAAAGUGGGCAAAUGACAUGACUAGACAUUUAUCUAAAGAAGAUAUACAAAUGGCCCAUAAACAUUUUUAAAAAAUGCUCAACGUCACUGAUCAUCAGGGAAAUGUAAAUUAAAACUAUAGUUAGGUACCACCUUACCACAGCCGGAAUAGCCACUAUUAAAAAGUCAAAAAAAAAAAAAAAAAAAAGACGUUGGCAUGGAUGUGGUCAAAGGGAACACUUAUACAUUGCUAGUGAGAAUGUAAAUUAGUACAACCUCUUUGGAAAAUAGUAUGAAGAUUUCUCAAAGAACUAAAAGUAGAUUUACCAUUCAAUCCAGAAAUCCCACUACUAGAUAUCUACCCAAAGGAAAAGAAAUCAUUAUAUCAAAAAGUCACCUGCAUGUGUAUGUUUCUUGCAGUACAAUUCAUAAUUGCAAAGACAUGGAACCAACAUAAGCGUCCAUCAACCGAUGAGUGGACAAAUAAAAUGUGGUCUAUAUAUACACCACAGAACACUACUCAGCUGUAAAAAAGUAAUGAAAUAACGUGUUUUAUAGCAACCUGGAUGGAACUGGAGGCCAUUAAUAUAAAUGAAGUAAUUGAGGAAUGGAAAACCAAAUACUGUAUGUUCUCACUUGUAAGUAGUAGCUAAGCUAUGAGUAUAAAGGCAAACAGAGUGAUAUAGUGGACUUUGGAGACUUAGAAGAGGGAGGAUGGGAAGAGGGUGUGGGAUAGAAAGCUUCAUAUUGGGUACAAUGCACACUACUCAUGUGAUGGAUACACUAAAAUUCCAGACUUCAGCACUAUACAAUUCAUCCAUGUAUCCAAAAACUAUUUGUACCCAAUACAAAUAAAAAAUUGAAAUAAAAAAUAAAAAAAUAAAGAAAACAGAGGUCCAAGGAAGCAGUAAAGACAAUCUCAUCACUCCAUUAUAUUACAGGAAAUAACUAUUCAUGAAAAUACCUUUAAGUUGGUUUCUGCUCUUAACAGUUUUACAAACGUUAUUUACUUUUAUAGCAUUCAGUUGGCAAAGGUACAUACAGACAAGCAUAAUAUGAUGGUCUUUUUUUUUUUUUUUUUUUUCCAAGACAGAGUCUCACUCUGUCACCCAGGCUGGAGUGCAGUGGCACGAUCUGCUGACUGCAAGCUCCACCUCCCGGGUUCACGCCAUUCUCCUGCCUCAGCCUCCCGAGUAGCUGGGACUAUAGGCGCCUGCCACCAUGCCUGGCUAAUUUCUUGUUUUUAGUAGAGACAGGAUUUCACCAUGUUAGCCAGGAUGGUCUUGAUCUCCUGACCUCGUGAUCCACCUGUCUGGGCCUCCCAAAGUGCUGGGAUUACAGGCAUGAGCCACCACGCCCAGCUGGUUUUUUUUUUUUUUUUUUUUUAAUGAGACAGGGUCUCACUCCCAUCACUGACGCUGGAGUGCAGUGGCGUGAUCCUGGCUCAAUGCAGCCUCAACCUCCCUGGGCUCAGGUGAUCCUCCCACUUCAGUCUCCUGAGUAACUGGGGCUACAGGCACAUGCCACCAAGCCCAGCUAAUUUUUGUAUUUUUUUGUAGAGAUGAGGUUUCUCCAUGUUGCCCAGGCUGGUCUUGAACUCCCAGGCUCAAGUAAUCUGCUCGCUUUGGCCUCCCAAUGUGUUGGGAUUACAGGUGUGAGCCACCGCACCCAGCCAUGAUGGUCUAUUUUUAUGUGUAAAGUCAGGCAUUUGUCUGUGCCUUAGAAAACUAAGGUUAUAAACGGAUUGUUUUUAUUUUAAGCUAUCCAUAACAAUUCACAGAAACUAAACAAGAAUUACUCAGUACUUUUCAUUAGGGCCUGAAAUCUGGCAAAUGUUGCAUUUGGUUAUACCAGUAAGAACACAACCAUGGAUUAAUGACUGUAAAUUCUUAUUGCUAGUCUCCAGUAAUUUCUGACAGACUUUUUUUUAAAGUGGUAUAACUGCAUUUUCCCAGCAAUUCGCUUAAGCCACACAAGUUUAUAGUAAUUUUUAAAGGAUUAAAGAGUAAGUUAUGCAAUUCUAUUUUGGAUUAAAAUUACUUAUCUAUGCAUAUAUAAAAUGUACAUUUUAUGUGACUAUUCUCUAUAUAUACACAGUGCUUAAUUUAUUUACGCUUGUUUUUAUCAACAUCAGAAUAAAAAGGUUAAAAGUUUUUAAGGUAUACUCUACCUGACAAAUAUUUCACUUUUGCUAUUAGGAAGACUGUUUGCAGAAGACCUGGAACAGUUCUUACUACAGUCUCCAGGACUGAGAUGCAACGCCUGAGAAGUGGACAAAGAGGUUGCCCAGGACUUGCAGGCUAAACAAAACAAAUCAGCAGAUCAUUUUAUAAGUGUAAAAAUAAUAUUUACCUAAAAUAAACAUAUAUUAAUUUUAGUAUAACUAACCAAGCUAUAUACAUUUUUCUAAAAUUUCUUUGAUUUAACUUAUUUUGUAAUACCUUUAUUAUGACUUAACUAAUACUAAUUUAUUUCCCUGGGAUCUAUGAACAGACAAUGCAAAUAAUGGCUCUUGUUCAGCAAAAUAAUUAUGAAACUAUUAUACAAUUCUAAAUGGAUAACAUAUCAAGUGGGUAUUAUCUAUUCAAAAGUUUUAUCAGAGAAAUAUAUCUGUUAAAGGAAAGAUAACUGAGAGGUACAGUUUCUUGCUAGAACUGACAGAGUCAAGGCAGUAAGUGUUCGAAUUCUAGAUUUGCCUUGUGAUUUGCUCAAUUCAAUUACUUUCAUUAUCCCCUAGAGUAUUGUAAACCAGUUUUUUAAAGAAUUCAGAUUUCCCCCAGUGGUAAACAGAAGGUAGAACACUCACUAUGCUAAACUAAAUGUCUCAUACCUUUACAUUCCCCACUCUUCAUCCCGGCAUGUUUUAGACCCUCAAAGUUUUCCUUUCAAUUAAUAAUGAGUAUGAUAAUUAAAGUGAUACUAGAACACUACUUUAUUCUUUUCACUGUUUCUUCUUCUUAUAAUGGCUGUCUACCCAACCAACUUUUAUCCAAUGGUCAUCCAAUCACAAUUUAGUAAUGUGAUAUCAGAAUUUAAAUAUAAAAUGUUCAUUCCUCCUGCUUUGCCUUACUAAGGCUGUUUCUUUAUGUAAGGAUGAUCCUCUCCACCCCAAGCCCCCUGACACAUAAAGCUCUUCAAUUGGACUGUGCCUUCUUAUGGAAAAUUACUCCUAUAAUGAGCCAUUAUUACCAACAAGAAAGUGCUACAACUUACUUAUGUUGACACACACAAUAUAUACGCUCAAAAAGAUAAUCAGAAUAUGACUAUUAUUGCCUAGAAUACUUCAACUUCUUUAUCAUAUAUAAUCUAUAUAAUAAAAUUUGGCACUGUAUAAUACCCAUACAGUUCUACUGGUAGUUUCAUAUUUAGUUUUCCUUCUUUUAUAGGCCUACGGGUUUUUAUGUGUCUUGAAGAUAAGAUUUUUAUGCUUCUUUGCACGGUAAUAGAUACAGAGCAAACAGUUUAAAAAUAUCUGUUUUUUUCAGCCUAAGUAAAAAUAGUGAAAGUGUAAGUGAUGGUGAGGUUAUGAUAAUGUUCUUUGUCACCUGCUAAGAAUGAGUUAUUGAGAACAACCAUCAUUUUCACUGCAAACAAUUUCAAUGUACAAUCAUAGAAAAAAUAGUUAUGCAGACAAUCUUUAAGAUAUCGUUUGUUCAAUUAAAAUUCUAAACAAAAUUAUGUCUAUAAAACGGUCAAAGAAGUAGGAACAGAGCUAAAGAGACAAUUCUGCCUUUCUGAUAUUUCCCUAUGAAAACAGUAUCACAUAUGCUGAUUACUUUCUAUCAUGCUGGUAAAGGAAAACAGAAUUUCCUGGUAAAGGAAAAUAGGAUGUCCAUUUGAACUAGAGGCCCAACUACCACUUAAUGCAUGAUUUCUUGUUCUAUCUACAGUUUAUUCUCAGCACAUCUGAUAGAGAAAUCCAUUAAAACAUUGAGUUAAAAUGUUGACUUGGAUCAUGCUGGAAGCCUUUUGGUGACUCCCCAUUGUACCCCAUUGUACUCAGAAUUAAGGCCAAAGGAGUUAUAAGAACUGCUAUGGCCCUACCUGGGCUGGUCUCCUGUGGGAUGACCUCAUCUCUGACUACUCUCCUCCUCCUCACCCUGCCCCAGCCACAUUUGUCUCCUCGUGUCCCUUUGGGCUUCUGCACCAGCUGCUCCCAUUGUCUGAAACACUCUACCAUAUUUUCACAUGUUCUGUGAUGGUUAAUACUGUCAACUUGAUUGUACUGAAGGAUGCAAAGUCUUGAUCCUGGGUGUGUCUGUGAGGAUGUUGCCAAAGGAGAUUAACGUUUGAGUCAAGAGGCUGAGAAAGGCAGACCCACCCUUAAUUUGGGUGGGCACUGUCUAAUCAGCUGCCAGCAUGGCUGGAAUAUAAAGCAGGGAGAAAAAUGUGAAAAGACUAGACAGGCUUAGCCUCCCAGUCUACAUCUUUCUCCCAUGCUGGAUGCUUCCUGCCCUUGAACAUUGGACUCCAAGUUCUUCAGCUUUGGGACUCGGACUGGCUUCUUUGCUCCUCGGCUUACAGACAGCCUAUUGUGGGACACUGUGAUCGUGUGAGUUAAUAUUCUUUAAUAAACUCCCAUAUGUAUAUAUGGAGUAUAUAUAUAAACUCCCAUAUAUAUAUAUAUAUAUAUAUAUAUCUCCUAGUAGUUAUAUAUAUAUAUAUGUGUAUAUAUAUAUAUCCUAGUAGAUAUAUAUAUAUAUAUAUCCUAGUAGAUAUAUAUAUAUAUAUAUCCUAGUAGAUAUAUAUAUAUAUAUAUCCUAGUAGUUAUAUAUAUAUAUAUAUCCUAACAGUUAUAUAUAUAUAUAUCCUAGUAGUUAUAUAUAUAUAUAUCCUAGUAGUUAUAUAUAUAUAUAUAUCCUAGUAGUUAUAUAUAUAUAUAUCCUAGUAGUUAUAUAUAUAUAUAUCCUAGUAGUUAUAUAUAUAUAUUAUAUAUUAUAUAAUAUAUAUAUAAUAUAUAAUAUAUAUAUAAUAUAUUUUAUAUAUAUAUAUAUAUAUCCUAUUUUCAAGUCUUUGUUCAGAUCUUACCCUCUUCAUGAGGCCUAUCCUGACCACUGUAUCUAAAAUCGCCAUCACCCAACCAUGCUCUAUUAUUUUCUCCUGUCAUUUUCUAAACAUAUUAUACAAUUGACUUAAUGAUAUUAUCUGUCUCCUCCUGUUGGAAUACAUGCUUCAGGGGAAAGGAAUGUAGUUUGUUUUACAUGGGUAUUUCCCCAGCUCUAAGUAGAGUGCUAGGUACUCUAUAAACAUUUGUACAUUUGUAGAAUGAAUCCUGAAUACUAGAUUAAUACUGAAAAAAAUGUAUUCCAACUUCCAAGCAAGGGAAAAUGGAUUAUGACUGGGGAGUCUGAGGUCAACCCCUGGUACAAUUCUAUGAGGGUUUAAGUUUAAAAAAUAAAUAGUAAUGAAAGCCUAAAAAAGGACAUGAUAAUCAAAAAGUCUGUAUGGGUUCCCUAAGGGAAGGUCAUUUUCCUUAUUUCCCAUGUUAACACAGUUACUGAAGCUAUAGAUCAGGGACAAUGCUAAGAAGUUUGCUUUCAGCAAUGGAACGCUUGAUAGUGCCUGCUCUGAUAUCCCUGUGCUGAAUGUGAGCUGAAUAUAAUAAAGUUAGGAUGUCUGUAUCUGCUUACUAUCUGUAAUAAGAGUGCUGACUAAUAAAUCCACAUCAAUUUGGAAAGAAAUCUCUGGUAGUACAACAUAGGGUUUCAUCUUCAAUUAUACUCAAAACUGUUAAUGCUUGGAAAAGAACAUUAUAGUAAUAGUUAUCUCAGAGCUAGAUAAAGCAGAUGACAGAUGACAAUAAAGAUCCAUCUAAAAUAGGUGACAAUCAUGAUCCACAAGGAAUAUGAUAACAUGGAAUUAUGAGAUGAAUCUGAAAAGAUAAAAUUUCACAGGAAUAAAUGUAGAGUCCUACAUUUGAGUCCAAAAGUACAACAAGUAAGAGACUGAAAGUCUUUAAUUAACUGUUAAUUCAACAGAGGUCAUUAAUGUAAUGUGAUUUAUAAAAAGAAAGUUGGAUGGACUUCCAGAAUAAGGGAGGAAAAGGUCUACUCUAGUUCUUGCAGGUCAAAUCCACGUUUGGAAUAGUAAACUUAAUGAGAGGCACAGACAAAAUAAAGAAUAUCAUCAGAUUCACACACAGAAUUCUCAAAACUAUUUCAUAUAAAACAUAAAUGGCUGGAAACCUGGAGUUGUUUAGUGGAAUGUGAAAACUAAUUGCCAAUAUCUGAAGGUCUGUUUAAUGAAUGAGGAAUGAUCCUUGCUCUAAGCAACUGGACUUGCCCUAUGUCAAUCUAGGGAGCAGAAGGAGGACCAGUAAAUGGUCCUUUCUUUUUUUUUUUUUUAACCAAAAGCAGAGUUUGACUUAACACAGGAAACACAGGCUAACAAUCAUAGUUAUAUGACAAGAACUUCAUUUUAGUGUGUCCAGACAUGGGAUAGACAUUGACAGUGAUGUUACAGACUGGUAGCAAAUAUAAGGUAGGUGUCUGAAUUAGAUGCCUUUUAAUAUUUCUUUAAACUGAAGAUUUUAAGAUUUUAUGAAAUACAAAUGAAUAUUUGCAAACCAAUACUUUCAGUAGUUGACAGCAGUCAUUACUAAAAACAGUCUGAUUAAAAGCGAUUUCAACUAACAUAGGUACAAAUACUACCAUUUUAAGAUGCCGAUAUAGUCUAAUGCAUCAAAGAAAACUUUUAAGUUCUUUCAUAAAACAUCAAGUAAACGCAUCCUUGAAAGUAAGUCCCAUAAUUACUUACCUGCAUUGGACAGAAGCUCAGAUACUCCAUAACAAUUUCUAACAAGAAAUCAGGAUUUAGCUUUUCAAAAUACUGUAUGCCAAGAGGCAAACCUUCUAAUUGUGAAAAGUGAGUGUCCAGGACAUCAUUUAACAAAUUAAUAACUUCUUCUUGUCGUUUAUUUUUCUUCAUGGCAAGAACUGCAUGUAAAUAGAUUAAUUCCUAGAAAAUAAGUAGUUUUCAUAAAUUAUUCCAUUUAGUUAUAAAGCCAUUUAUUUCCACUUAGAUUUCAAAUGCAUAUAAUGUGCUACUGAUAUGCAAUUAUUUGUUCAAACUCAAGUAUUAGCUUGAAUAGACUUUUAGAAUCAUUCAGAAGAAUAAAGUUUAGUUUUGAAUGGAGGUAAAUAAAUGCAAUUACAUAUUAAAAUUAGUGUACACUAGUGCUUUACAGCCAUUACAAAACAAUAAGACUGAUUAAUAAUUUCAUAUUUUAUAAACAGCUAGCAUCUACCAGCUGAUAAAAUAAAAUACUGUACCGCAGAUUUUCCAAUGGAUUGCUGGAUUUCAUUUAAAAAUUCUAGCUGCUGAUCUGCAUCCUGUAAUUGCCCUUCUAUCAACUGACAUUGGAUAAAUCCUAAAAUCAAACAGCAGAAAGACAGUCAAAGUCCACACCAAUUCAGGGAUGCACUCUUCAAGCUAACAUAACAACAUUAAUAAAACACCCUUUCCCCCAUCACAAUACUUAACGUUUUAGAUUAAAAACAACAGAAAGAAAGAAAAUGAAGAGUGAAAGAAAAUAAAAUGGGUAGCCUUGGACCUUAUAAAAUCAUUUACUGAAGAAUUCAUAAUUUAUAGGAACCACGUUAUAAAAAUCUAUUCUCUCAAGAUAUUAUUUGUGAAUUAAAAAUUUUAAAGACAUGACUUUUUCGAGUGUGGGCAGUAGAGAACAAUUUAAGUUUAGAAAACCACAAAAUCCAUGUGUUCUUCUCUAAUGGCAAGUUAAAAGCAAUUGCUACUUGUAUCUAUAUUAUAAAUAUUUAUGAAAACAGUUGUCAUACCAACUAGGGCAGACACACUAGUCUCAUCAAGUGUCAUGGCGGUCUUAUACCACUUCAGUGCCUCUUUAACUCUUCCUUGUAAAAUCAUUUGGUAUCCAAGUUCUGUAGCAAAUUCUGAUUGCUGAGGGUUUAAACUAAAAGCUCUCUCAAGUAACGUUUGAAUUUUUUGAAGAAUAAGUUGACUACGUCCACACUAAAAAGAAAAAAAAAUGAUGUAAGAUUUCAAAGUCUAACAUUUCUACUGAGACUAAAGGAUUAUUUUUUCUAAAUAUAUAUAUUAUUUGUACUUCAAAGGAGUGAUGAAAAAGAAAAAAAUUAAUAAUUAAGGAAAAAUAAAACUUUCCUAUUAUCUAGACAAUGCAUCAAGAAAGAGUUUAUAUUCUAUCAGAACUUAAUAUCCUAAUGAAUAUAAUGCUUUUACAAAAUAACUAGUAUGAAAAGUACACUUCUAAUGAUGUCACUGCAAAAACAUAUUUUUUGAACUCCUUUUCCAAGCUGUCUCAUGACUGUUUUACAGAUUAAACAGGAAAACCAUUAUUUUAUGGUUACGUGGGUAUGGGGGUGUGUGUGUGUGUGUGUGUGUGUGUGUGUGUGUAUAAUAUAUGUAUGCUUUUUCUUAUUGAAUAAAAAACUAGGACUAGGAUCUGUUUUCCCCCUAAACACUAGCUAUGCCAUCAGUGAGAAUAUUUUAAAAGCUCAUGCCUUAGAAUCUUCUUGAAAAAAAUUUCAAGAAAUAGCAGUGUUGUUAGAAUAAGUACAUAAUUUUUCAAGACAACAAACUUUAAGAGUAAAAUAUUUAUUCAAAUGUUUGAACUUAUAUUUUAUAAGCUUAGUAAAAAACUAAUUGAAAUAAUGUGUCUAGCACUACGGUAAGCAAAAAAGGUAAAUACCUCCUUAAUUCAAACUUUCGUUAUAGCAUGGAGUUUUCUUCCUCUAAAGUUUACACAAUCUGAUAUCUUUGUUUUUAAAUAAGAAAAUUCAGUAUAUUCAUGUCAUUUAACAAUUAAUAAUCCUUUUUUCUUUCAACUUUAUGCUUGCUAAUUAUUUUAACCUUCUUAGUUUAAUGAACUUUUCAAUAUUCUCAUUCCUUGUAUUGAUUUUGAGAUUCUACUGUAUUUUUCUAUUUCAUUCUUGAUUACCUUUCUUUUACUGGGAGCUUAUAAUAAAAACAUUUCUUUCCUGUUGUUUUUUAAAAAAUAAGAUACCAACCAUUCCCUCCACCAAAAUGGUCUUUUAUACACUUUAAAACUUUUUAAAAAUAGUUUUAAAAAACAAAAGCUAAGAGCAAUCCUGGUCAUAAAUCUUAUGCUCUGAUGAAAAUAAACCACCUUCUAUUUCCUUUGUCUGGAAGGCACUUCGCUAUGCUUAAAAGAUCAGUAAGUGGCAUUUCCUCCAUGAAGCCUCCAUCAGGUUCUUACAGUUGGAAACCACACCUCCUCUAAACUGCCUUUCCUAGGAGUAUAUCAUAUAUUUAAAUACAUAUUUGCACUCUAGGCCAUAUGCUCUUCCCUGCUUCCACCUUUUCCACUUAUUUUAUGUCCUCUACUAUAGAUAACAGAGCUCUGGUACAUGGUAGGCACUCUCACAGUUCUGCUGAAGGCGAGUGUAAUGUUAUAGAAAAGUUGAGCAUUCUGUGGUUCCAUGGCAUCCAAUGUAUUUCCCAAGUUUUCCAGCUUGGUGGAAGCCUAAAACAAAAGGAACUGGUAUUAACUUAAAAUAUACUAAGUAAAAACAACAUAAUACAUGCACAUACACACUAACAAAGCAUUACCCUACUAGUAUUUUAAAAGACCUUUGCUUUUAUAAAUUCCUCCUCCUUCAAUGGAUGAUUAUAUGUUAUAAAACAUAUUUAAGAUUCUAACAAACUCAAUAAUUAUAAAUGUGUUUUAGAAUGUGUUUCUUUAAUACUUGUUAUUGAAUGGAAACCUUUGGAUAGGCGAAGACACCCAUAAUAUUCCAUUAACUGUACAUGCCCAGCUCCGCCUUCAAUAGUUAAUUCAUGACACAAAUGAGAUACGAAUGAUAAUGUAUUUACAAGUAUAUGAGGUCAGCCCUUCAAUUGCCUAUACAGACUGGUUUAUAUUCAAAAUAUAUUCUAGACUAGAAAAAUCAUUACAGUACUUAGUAUAAGUAAUUUCAAUGCCUGGAAAAUUUACUGAAGAUUUACCCCUACUAAGAUACUCCUAGCAUUUACUGAAGUAUCUAUCAGGCACUGUCACAUUAACCAAUUUAACCACACUAAACAAAAUGCAAAUCUACUACAUGUUAUACUAAUAUUACUUCCUUCAGAUUAGAGUUUGGCACUCCAUGAUCCAAUCUACAGUCAAUGUGUUCACUACUACAGAAACAGAUGUGCUUUAUUAUGAGGUAUAAUGGGAUUUUAUCCCAAGCCCAUUUAAUUUUUGCAAAUUCAGUUAAAUUGUAAAUAUACUAUAAAUUACAUUUUGCAUACAUACUUUCUCAUAUCUAGUAUCACUAGUUACAUUACGUAUCUAGUUACAUUAAUCAUAUAUAUUACUACACAGGAGUUUCAUACAGAAAGCCAUAUAUACUAUAAUUAAUGAUUUAAGGGAUUUUCAAGGGUAAUAUUAACUGUAUAGUAUUUUUGCUUUACCAAUAGAUUUCAGAAGCUGACCUCUUUGUUAAGGUAUACUCUAGUAAUCAACUAAAAACUACCAUGAUGUAUAUUUUAAAAGAGAACUUCAAGGCUUUAAUGUAUAUGCACAUGCACACAUGGGUGUGUAUGUGUAAUGAAAUAUAUUUUUUAAUAUAGGAAACUUAAAUAAUACAAUGCCACUUACCUUCUCUAUAUCCCCCUCUCUACACACAUAGUAGAGUGCCUGCAUUCUCAGUGCUUCCACAUUUUGGCUAUCUUGGAGCAGCAACCUGCAGGAAAACAAUUUAGUUAAUGUCAAAAUAAAUUUAUAUAUUUUCUUUUAUUCGAGGGCAUGAAAAGUUGGUUUGCUUGCCUCACUAUUCCACUGUUCAAAUAAGUAAUUUUCACUAGUAAAAUGUCAUCUGCUUUGUGAAAAUUAUCAACUUUAUUAUUUAAACAAGUAAAAGUCUCUGGAGUUUAAUUUUUAAUAUGUUUUUAAAAGAUAUGAAUAGAUUAUACUAGUCUCAUUAAAUCUUGUGGCAAUCCUAAAUAAAAUAUUAGCUAACUAUAUACAACAGUAUAGUAAAAGAAUAAUUCACCUUAACCAGGCUGACUUAUUACAGGAAUUCCGGGAAUGCAAACCAGGGUCAAACAUUACAAUACCUACUAAUGUUAUUCACAACAACAGAUUCCUACGUGAUAAAAACAAAUGAGAAAAUAUUACAUUAAAAAAUCUUAUUAAUAAAUGGAACAAAAACCAAAAAGAAAAACAUAACAGGCAUAAACUUAAGAAAUGUGCAAAAGCUAUAAAAUUCCUAUGAAACUGUACUCAGGGACAUUUUUAAAAAGAACUGAACCAAAAAGGUAACGCCCCAGACUUCUCUUAUCAUGGAUGAUGUGGUACAUAUCACAAUUACUGGUUCCAGUUUUUCAACCCUCCCUGAGUACGUGUCUUCUGCCAUGUAACUAACUACAAAAGUUGGAGUGUACCCUACUGCUUCUUGACUAGGGACUUGGACAUUUUUCUUAUAUUGGCCAAUGGAAUGUGGGCAGGAAUAGCAGUGUAUCAACCUAAAUUUUAGAGGCACUGCAUACUUCUGCUUGUUCUCUGGCACUUGCUAUCAGUACAAGAAGAAUUUCCUCUGGGUAGUGGCUGCUACUUGUUGUGAGUCUGGGGGAAACACUAUUGGAGGUGACAAGAGUCCAAACUGCAAUGAUGUGCCACAUUCACCCAGCUGCAUCUGAACUGAAGCAGGGCCCCAGCCAAGCCUUGCCUGAGAUCAGCAGACCCUCGAUGACCCACAAAAAUGUGAGUAAAGAAUACUUAUUAUUAUAUGUCCUGACAUUUGUGGUUGUUUGCUAUACACCAAUAGCUGCCUGAUAUAAUAAUGGUCAUUUUUGGGAAAGAAAAUUUUUUUUCCCCACAUAUGACUACAAAUUUAAUGCAAUUCAAACCAAAAUCUUCUAUGGCUUCUUUUUUAUUAUUUUGUAAAUUGAUUAUGACAGUCAAGAGCGAAAAAAAGAGCCAACAAAACUGUUAUAAGAGAAACACGGAGAACUCCGUCUCUACUAAAAAUACAAAAAAUUAGCAGGGCGUGGUGGUGGGUGCCAGUAAUCCAAGCUACUCAGGAGGCUGAGGCAUGAGAAUCACUUGAACCCGGGAGGCGGAGGUUGCAGGGAGCCAAGAUCGCGCCAUUGCACUCCAGUCUGGGCAACAAGCGAGACUCUGUCUCAAAAAAAAAAAAAAAAAAAAAGAAAAGAAACGAAACAUGAUGGAGAACUUGUGAUAAAAAUUAUCAGAGUCCAUUGAAAACUGAGGAGAGAAUAGGCUCACUUAAAAAAAAAAAAAGCAUAUUUAGAACCAGUUAUAUACCAAAGAAAAACAAGAGCUUUUAGCAUAUGAAAAAUUGCUCAAUCUCAACACAAUAAAAGAAAUGAAAAUAAAAAUGAGAUACCUCUCUUUCAGAUUGCUUGAAAAAAAAAAUACACGCACUGAAAAUGGCCAGAAUUGGUGAGGAUAAGGUAAGGGAUCAUUCAAUAGACUACUAGUAGGAGUGUAAAUUAGUACAAUUUCCUAGGAGAGCAAUUUGGCAGUGCCUAUCAAAAUUUUAAAUUUAUAUACUUGAGGGAGAGACUACAAUUUGUCUCCUCAAAUUCAUUCUCUCCUUAUUUGCUUGGGCAUGUGGCUAGCCAACACUUCCUAGAUAUCUUUGCAUUCAGAGGUGGUCAACGUGAAAUAAAGUAAUAUAUGCCAUUUCUGGGCCUGGGCUUUUAUGAAAAGUGGAAUGACUUCUCUACAUUAUCUUUCCCUUUCUGCCAAGUGUUAUGAGGUCUUAGGAGAUGGCAGGACUGCAAGAUGGAAAGCGUCUAGGUCCGUUAAAAACAGUGUGGAGCAAAGCUGCCUGAUCACUUCUAACAUUUACCCAAAACAGUUACAUAUGGGGAAACAUUCUUCUAUUACACUGAAUCAUUAUAUGUUUAGAUCUGUUUUUGUAGCAGCUUAGCCUACCCUAACAAAUACAGUAUCUUGGAUUCAACAAUCUCUCCUUUGGGAAACUUCUCUGCAGAUAUAGUCCUACAUGUGUUCAAAGAGGUAUGUGUGUAUGCAUGUGUGUACAGUGCACUAUACUGAACAGUGAAAAAUAGGAAACUGCUUAGGUGCAUACCAAUGCGGAGAGAUUAAAUAAAUUAUUUGCAUUUUCAAUUCAUAGAAUGCUACUCAGUUUUAAAAUGAUUAGGGAAAGGAAGAAAUACAUAGAUGUUUACAGAUGACAUGAACAUCUAUGUAGAAAAUCUAAAAGAAUCAAUUAAAAAAAACUCCUGGAAUCAACAAGCGAUUAUAGCAAGAUUGUAGGAUAUGAGGUUAAUAUAUAAUAUCAAUUGCUUUCCUAUGCACUAGCAAUGAACAAGUGGUAUUUGAAAUUAAAAACACAAUAACAUUUACAUUAGCACUCCUUAAAGUAAAAUACUUAGGUACAUAUAAAUCUAACAAAAUAUGUGCAAGAUUUCUAUGAGGAAAAUUUUUAAAUUCUGACAAAAGAAAUCAAGGAAAAACCAAAUAAACGGAGAGAUAUUCCAUGUCAUGGAUGCAAAGACAAUACAAGAUGUUAGUUCUUCCCAAUUUGAUCUGUAAACUAACUCAAUGCAAUCCCAAUCAAAAUCCCAGCAAGUUAUUUUGAGGAUAUUGACAAACUCAUCCUAAAGUUUAUACAGAUUAGCAAAAAAACACAGAAUAGCAACAUACUAUGGAAGGAAAAGAGCAAAGUUAGAGGUCUGACAUUAGUUGACCUCAAGACUUACUAUAAAGCUUCAGUAAUCAAGAGAGUAGUGUGGUAUUGGUGAAAGAACAAACAGGUCAAUGGAACAGGGUGGAAAUCACAGAAAUAGACCCACAUAGAUAGUAAACUGAUCUUUGACAAAAGAGCAAGGACAAUGCAGUGGAGAAAAGACACUCUUUUCAAUAAAUGGCACUGGAAAAACUGGACAUCCACAUGGAAAAAAUGAAUAUAGAUACAGACCUCACCUUCUUCACAAAAAUUAAUCUGAAAUAGAUCACAGAGCUAAAUGUAAAACAUAAAACUAUAAAAUUCCUAGAAGAUAAUACAGGAGAAAAUCUGACGGCCUAUGGUUUGAUGAUGACAUUUUAGAUAAUACACAAAAGGCAUAAUUCAUGAAAGAAAGAGUUGAUAAGCUGGACUUCAUUAAAAUUAAAAAUUUCUGCUCUGUGAACGACAAGCCACAGACUGGGAGAAAAUAUUUAUCAGAUAUAGAUAUAUCUGAUAAAGGACUGUUUUACAAAAUAUACAGAGAGCUCUUCAAACCCAACAAUAAGAAAACAAUCAAUCAAUUAAAAGAUGGGCCAAAGACCUUAACAAACACAUAACAAGCAAGAUACACAGACUGCAAAUAAGCAUAUUUAAAAAUGCUCCACAUCAUGUCAUCAGGGAAACGCAAAUUAAAAUUAAAAUAACAAUGAGAUACCACUACAAACCUAUUAGAAUGGCCAAAAUCCAGAACACUGGCAACAUCAAAUGCUGAUGAAGAUGUUUUAAAGCAAGAGAAACUCUCAUUCAUUGCUGGUGGGAACAUAACAUGGUAUAACAUUUUUGGAAGACAGUUUGGCAGUUUCUUAGAAAACUAAAUAUACUCCUACCAUAUGAUUCAGGAAUUAUGUUCCUUGGCAUUUGAUCCAAAGGAGUUGAAAACUGAUGUCCAUACAAAAACCUGCACAAGGUUAUAGUAGCUUUAUUCAUAAAUGCCACAAUUUGGAAGCAAUCAAGAUGUCCUUCAAUGGAUAAAACUGUGGUACAUCGAAACAAUGAAAUAUUAUUUAGUACUAAAAAUAAAUGAACUAUCAAGUCAUGAAAAGACAUGGAAGAAAGUUAAAUGCAUAAUACUAAAUGAAAGAAGCCAAGCUGAAAAGGCUACAUAUUGUAUUAUUCCAUAUUACAGGACAUUCUGGAAGAGGUAAAACUAUAAAGGCAGUAAAAAGAGCAGUGGUUGCAAGGAGUUGGGGAGAUGGAGGGAUAUAUAGCGGAUACACAAUAAAGAUAAUUUUUAGGGCAGUAGAAAUAUUCUGUAUGAUACUAUAAUGGUGGAUACAUGUGAUUACACAUUUGUCCAAACCACUAGAAUGUACAACACCAAAAGUGAACUGUAAUAUAAAUGACGGACUUUGGGCGCCUAUAGUGUAAGUUCAUCCACUGUAACAAAUGUACCACUCUGGUGGGAGAUGUUGAUAAUUAGGCAGCCUAUCUAUGUGUGGAGGCAAGGAAUAUAUGGGAAAUCUCUGUACCUUCUGUUUAAUUUUGCUGUGAACCUAAAACUACCCUAAAAAUACUGUCUAUUAAAAAACAGUUUGGUGUAUCUAUGUGAAUAGGUAUAAAAUGAUAUCUAUGAAAUACCCUCUUAAAGAGAAAAACAAGUUUAAAAGUACAUUAUGAGUCUAUUUAUUAUUUUUAAAACACCCUCAAAUAUAUACAUAUUUUUAAAAUAUAUAGAAACCACACACACACACACACACACACACACACACACACACACACACACACACACAGUGCCUAGAAAAAAAAUCUUGAAAGAUAUAUACAUCAAAAAAUUACUAGUACCCUAAUUGUGGCCUUCAAAUAUCAUUUCACACUAAAAGAGAUUAGAUUGCCCUGGACAAAUGACUGAUACCUACUUGGGGAAGUAAUACACAAAAUGAGCCUGGACAGCUUGUCGUACCAAAUAGCAAAGUAACUAUCAAAGACUACUAGGAUCAUGUCAAAAGGACUUAAGAACAACUUGAAGAAGCUCCUAAUAGUCAGAGAAAAGACUGUGCAAUUAUAAUGACUAAAAUGUCCAGAAGCACUCAUCUAAAUCCAUGGUAUGUAAAACAAACAAACCUGAGCCACUAAUCAAUUACCAAUGAAGGAUGCUAAGGAAUUCUUGGCAUUUUUUUUUUUAAACCUGGAAAUAACGGAAAAGACUUCAGCAUCUUAUCCUACUUUUCUUAUAUGAACCAUACCACUCAGUAACUAACCAGGAGAAGAGAAGUUUUUCUUUAUAGGUAUUCUAGCUAAGAAACAAAGAAAGAAUGACAGAAUUCAAAUGCAACCCUACUAUAAUCCCUAUGAAUCAAGCACCUAGUUAUUGAGCAUGAAUAACUGCUGAUAUCACGAAAAGAGAGAGACAAGCAGACAUUCUGUCACUGUGAUGAAAGACAACAGUACCACUCAUGAAGUAAUUGCCAAAACAACAAAAUUGAAUGUGAAUUUAACCAAACCUCUAGAUCCAACUACCAACUUACAGGAAAUACAGAGGAUAAAGCAACAAGUUGUACUACACCAUGGCAGACAAACAACAAAAUCUAGAUCAUGGAAAAUGCUACAGGACAAAACACUGGUUUCUUCACUUAAAAAAAUGGCAAGAAGAAAAAGAGAAGGGAAACAGGGAAACAGAAAAGGCAGGAAGAAGGAGGGAGGGAGAGGGAAGAGGGGAAGGAGAAAGGAAGGGAGAGGGAAAGAAAGAGUGAGAAAGAACUCACAGAGACAGGGAGACAGCCUCGAGACUUUAAAGAUAUAAACCAAUCACCAUAUGUGGACUUAUUUGGAUCCUGAUUAAAAAAUAAUUUAUUUAAAAAACACAAUAUUUGAGACUAUUGGUAAUUUGAACACUGGAUAAUUGAUAUUAAAAAGCUAUUUUUAAUUUUUUAUAUGUGAUAAUGAUAUUGUCAUUAUGUUGUAGAGGGAAAAGAAUUAUCCUAUUUUUUCAACACAUCUUGUGAUAUUUACAAAUGAAAUGAUGCAGAGUUUUGAAUUUGCUUCAAAACGAAAAUUAAAGCCAAGAACCAAAUGGGAGUUUAGUCAUGUGGUGACGGUAGCUAGGGGCAGGAAACAGAUAAAGAGUACCUCAUGAUGUUCUUCUGUCUGCUUUUACAUAAAUCUGAAAUUCUCCAUAAUAAAUGAUAGACGAUCUUAGCAAAGAUGUUACCAAGAUGUUCGGCCCUGAGAUAGCCAUUAAUAUUUUGUCAGAUAUGAAUAAAAGUUAGACAUGCUUGCAAGUCACUUAUUCUCAAGAUUCUAAGACUAUAAACCUUAAUCCAAACUGAAGUAAAGGUGACUUUCUAUGCAAUUUAUACUUCAUUUGUAUCUUGAAAGUAUCCUGCCUAUUGUUUGCAUGAAAAGUUCUAUUAAGACAUUCUGAUUUUAAAGGUAUAUUUGUAUUACCUAUGAAAUUUACUUUUCUGUAAUUUCAGUAUUAAGUGACAUGAAUUCAUCUGUUAGAAAGUAUUGAUUUGUGACUCAAAUAUAUUUAUUCUUGAUCUCAUGGCUUUAAAGUCACUGACACAUAAAUCAUAUCUAUGUGUCAGUGACUCCAAAAUACUAGCUAUAGCCUAGACCUCUCACAAGAACUCCAGAUUCAGACAUCCAGCUGCCUGCCCAUACAUCCAUCUCUACUUUGACUUCUCAUAGGCAUUUCAAACUUACAAUGUUGAAAGCUAAACUCCUUACCUGCCCUGAAACCUUCUUUUUCCAUAAUCACCCUGUCCAGCUGAAGCAAACUCUAUCCUCUAGUGCAAGUAGUGGGUAAGAGCACAGACUCUGGGACUAGAGUGCUCUGGAUUUGAAUCCUGACUCCACCACUAAGUAAUUGUGUGGCUCUGGAGAAACUUCUUAACCUCUUUGUACCUUAGUCCACUCAGCUGUAAAACAGAAAUACUAAUAGUACCUUCCUCUUAGGGUUACCCUAGGAAUAAAUAGCACUUCCUAUGAGCCAGGCAUUCUGAACACUUCACAACAGUUCAUUAUCAUCAUUGUUGUUGUUAUUCUGGUAGUUCAGGCCAAAAACCUUGGAAUCACCUUAAACUAUUCUUUCUCUUACACCUAAACAAAAUGCUACAGGUCCAGAUUCCAAUCACUUCUCAAAGCACUUCCACCACAACUAUACUGGGCCUGCCCCGACCAUUUCUCAAUGAUGGCAACAGCUUUCAAAAGGUUCUCCCUGCUUCUGCCUUUGCCUGCUCGCCCACAGUCUGUUUUGCACAUGGCAGAGUGAUUCUUUUAAAACAGAAUUUAGAUGAUGGCACUCCUCUGCUCAAAACCCUCCAGUAACCUCAUGCUUCAGAAGAAAACCCCAAAUCCUUACAUGGGUAACAAGACCCUUCACCAUCUAGCACGGGCUCACUCCCACCCUUUGUCUCAGACCUCACACCUUACUCACCUCUCUUACUCCUUCCCACUCCUCAAACAUAUGACAUGUGCUCCCACCUCGGGGACUCUGCAUUUGCUUUUCCUUCUUUCUGCAAAGUCUUCUCUCAAAUAUCUGCAUGGCUUACUCCCUUACCUUCUUUAGAAGAUGGCUCAAAGGUCUCAGCCUUCCAUGACCAUCCCAUAAGAUUGAACCCCUCAACACUCCCCAUCUCUUUCUUGGUUUAUCUUUUCCCCAUAGCACUUAUACUUUCUAACAUACUACACAAUAUACUUAUUUGGUGUGCUUAGUAUAUGGUUCCUUUCACUUAAAUAUAAGCUUCAUGACCACAGGGAUAUUGGCCUGUUUGCCUAAAAAGAGUGUCUGUCUUAAACCAGGAAUCAAAUAUUUAUGUAAAUCAAUAAAUUCAAUGUUUAAAAGCAGUAUGAUUUUAAGUAUUUCCUCGGUUCCACACUGUUUGAAAAAAAUCAAAUUUAAAAACCCUUAUGAAAAAAAUUCACAGAUGUCGCUUUUUCUCAAAAUUAUAACCAAAUCCAAAGAGACUUGUGUCAUCUUUUAUUACUUAACCUUUGUGCUGUCUCAACUGUCUGGUCCCAAUCCUGCAAGGCUAGUUGUAAUUUCAUUUUCUUAACAAAAGCAGGAAGGAAGCUCGGAAAAUUCACGAUUAUCUGGUUCACAGUCUCCAGGGCACCUGAAUAAUUCUGGCGCAUCUCAAGGCAUUGUGCCUAAUGGAAGGGAAAAAAAGUGAUAUCCAAACUGUGAUCUUUCAUAUCAAAGUUCUCAUAACGCAGAGCAGGCAGAGUAUGAGCGUUUAAUACUUACUUUUCUGUGAGGAGCAGUUAUCACUUUUUAAGUUUUUGUCAAAACAAAAUUUUAAAACAUCACAGAAUAAUACAAAUACAUUAUAUAAGCUAUUGUGUUUUAAAAUUUACUUUUAAAUGGCUGAAAAACAUGAUUAAAGGAUAAAAUUUUUUAAAAUGUUCUCGGAAAUACCAUAAAAUAAUGUUUCCAUUUAAAACAAAAUUAUCUUUUUAGAUUAAAAUGUUUCCAGGAAAUUUUCAAGUAGCAUCUAAAAUUUUAAGAAAUUUUAGAAAUUUUGCAUCUUUUUUAAGAAAUUAUUUUCAGGUUAAAGAAUAUAUGAUUUUAAAGAACAAGCAAAAUACAGUUCAAACAAAUCCCUCUACUUCAACAUUUUUCACUUCUAUGAAUUAUCUGAAGGAAAUAAUUGGACAAGACCACAAGGAAGUAUAUAGAUGAUAUUUAUGGCAGAAUUGUUUAUGUAUAAAAUAAUCCCAAAUGUACCUAGAGGAGAAAAUUAUAGUAUAUCUAAUUUAAUAAAAUGUUAAGUAAUCAUUAAAAAUGAUGAUAUAAAUUUGUAGACGUAGAUUUACUGACAUGAAGAGAUAUUAUAUAUAAUAGUUUAACUGGUUAUUUCCAAUGGUGAUGCUCAUUUUCUCAUUCAGAUGUUAUUGUAUUUUCUGAAAAAAAGUUUUACUAUGUUCAUGUAUCUCAUAGUCAGAAAAAAUAAAGCUAUAAAUAUAGUUAGUACAUUAAAAAGAGAUGAUGAGGCAAAUUUUUAUCAACUAGCUUUUCUUUAAGAGAAGGAAAAUGAUCAAGAAAAGUAUAUGGCCAAUUUCUUCAGCAGUGCUAUUAGGUAAAACUUGAGGGUAGUGGGCCUGAACACAAGAUGUUCAACAGGCUUACUGUCCACACAAAGUGACAGGAAAAGUGAUGUGGAGACAUUAACAAAAGUCAAGACAUGAAUCCUCUCCCCUUCUUUUUUAUCCCUCCAAAUUACUGCUUAUCUAGCAGACUUGUUCCCAACAUAUAAUUUCUUUUUGCUGAGUCAAAAAAAAAUUAAGGCAUUUAGAUAGCAUCAAUGGGGAUUGAAGAAAGGGUCCUACUUAAAUAUUUCCAUCCAUCAGUAAGUUCUAAUGACUCCUUCAAUUGCUCAUCCCUCAAAAUGUAUGUCCGAUCAUGUUAUUUCUCUGUUCAAAACUUUGUAUUGGCUGCCUGUCUCUCUAAUAGAAGGUAGAAGCCAAAGGCCUUACAGAACAGGCCAGGCCCACCACUCCUCCUCACCCCCAUCCCACCUUUCUUCCUCAGGCCUUCACUUCUGUUCUCUUUACUCAACCCACUUUGGCCUCCUUGCUAGCCCUGAAUACACCUUAGGGUACCUGAACUCAUCAUCUCCUCUAUUUGAAAUACUUUCCCCAGAUGCCUGCAGGGCUUUAACCCUCACCUCCAUAAAUGUGUUUGCUCAAAUGUCACUUUCUCCGACCACUUCAUGUAAAACUGGAAGUUCAUGCCCUAGCUUUUCCAGCUGUAUUUUCCAUUAUACUUAUCACCUUCUAAUAUACCAUAUAACUUACUUAUUUUGUUUAUUGUCUGCCUCCAUCAGUAGGAUAUAAGCUCCAUAAAAACAAGAGGUUUUCUCUUGCUCAGGGUUUCUAAUAUCUAGAGGGAUGCCUCACAUACAUAAGACACAUAAUAAAUGCUGAGGAAAGAAUGUGUGAACCAAAACAACAACAACAAUUAACAGUUACAGCUGAUCCAGGAUUCAGGAACUCUGGCAGGGAAUACAUUUCUCUAGUGUAUUGCUCAUUGUCCUACACAAAUGCCAGUCUACCUUACAGCUGUGAGCUGACAACAGUAUCAUGAAAAUUAUCAACUUUUUUGAGCUACUUGGUUUUGUCAGGUUUCAAAUAUAUUAUGAAUAUAUUUUGAAACAUGAUUUAUUUACCCUAACUCCAACUCACCUUACCCAGCAGAGCAAAAGUAUCAUUCCCAUCUUGGAGUCCCUCUUCAAAAUACUUCAGUGCUUUUUUAGUGUAAGGCUCUUUUCCUCUUGUAAUAUCAAGCCAUGCUUUCAAAACGUGUCCCUGUAAAAUGAAUAAUUCUAUUUUUACUUUUUUAGAAAUGAGAGAAAUAAAUGUUAAUGAAAGAGCCUAAUGUCAUUUUUCUGGCAAUUAAUAACAAAAAGGACUCUAUCAAAUAUGUUAUGAACAAUAAAAUUCUGUUAGUGAAAUCACUUUUGAACCCUUGCCAGCCUAGUGUCUUGGGAACUAUACUACAAAUUUCAGCCUUUAACAUUACUAUUAAGCUCAAUAUUAAAAUUAAGAAGCUUAUCAAAUAUUCCAUUAGUGUUAAAACCAUUAUUUUCUCUGAGACUUUGCUAGUAAUUGACAAUUAAUAACACUUAAACAUGAAAUUCAAUAUAUAGAUGAGAAUUUGUUGUUUCUUUUUGGACAAACCGUCUAAAUGAACUAAGAUGAAAUAACAGAAGAAGCCUUGCUUCACAUAUCUUAAAGAUUCAGAUAAUCUGGCAACAAUCUUCUUAACCUCUUUGAUUAGUCCAUUGAAUUUCAAAUGACAGGUGGAUAGCCUGAGAAAUUAUAAACUGAAGAACUCAUGGAUAUUUAUCUUUACACAUGUUAGUGGGCCGAUGGGUUGUAAGACAUAUGGGAUUGAAAACAAGAUAAAAACUGGUUAUUUUUCUCUUUAAGGUCAAAUAAAAAACUGUGAAAUGUGCUUUUUCUAUUAAAAAAAUCUAGGUUAACUGACAAAUUUAUAAACCUUUAACUAAGACUAUAUUUACCUCCCUGUAUUUCACCCGAAAAUACAAAUAAGGAUCUUAACCAAUGCUAUGUGCUAAAUCAGUGCCAUCAUUGAAUGGUUUUAACUAUUGUCUCUGUGUGGAUGAUUCCCAACCUAUAUUUCUAGCCGAAAACCUCUUCUAAAUUUUUCUUUUUCCAGAAAUUCAUCUGCUAUCUCCAUCUUACUGUUCUGCCAGCACCAGAAAUACAGCAUGUCUUAAGACAAAUAGAUCACUUCCCUUUAAGAUUAGUUUCUUAUGCCAAUGUAUUUUCUAUUUAUGCUAACUGGUCUCUAAUUUUUUUAGGCUUAAGGCCUCAAAGACAUCCUAAUACGUGACAACUUGUUAUCUUUCUAAACUAUUAUCAGUUCACAGGUCCUGUGGGUAUUUAAAAAUUUUGAACUUUGUACUCACUGUACAAUAUUUUAGUGUAGUGCCUCAAAACCUUCCACAAGGAAGUACUAUCUUUUUCUUUUCACUGCAUUUCAGUUUAUUCUCAAGCCACUUCAUCCAAGAAACCAUUGUCUAAUUAAUCUUCUGGAUUUGCACUCUAAUAAAAUCACUACCAUAGUUAAAAGUCUUCAAUAGCCUCUCAAUGCAUGUCAAUCAGAUACAAAUAUUUUUAACUAGCAGUCAAGAUCCUUCAAUUUGUCUCAAGUUACCUCUCCAAGCUUUUCUUCCCUUCUCGUUAUCAACGUAUCCUGUAUUCCAUCAAAUAUGAGUAUCUUAGUGUACCCUCAAGUAACAUGUCUCAUUUCCAUCUAUUAUUUCUCACCUUGGGAGUACCUACUUCCCUUUCCCAUAAUCUUUGCCUGUUGAAAUUGUAUCCAUCUUUCAGGUUUUAGCUCAAAUGCUAGUUCCUUCAAAAAAAUUCUUUCACAUUCUCUUAACACUUAAGCGUGUGAUCUCUCCUUAAUUUAAAACAGUGCCUAGCACAAAGUAAGCAAGCAAUAAAUGUUAGCUAUUAUUUUCUUGCAUACUUUAAUCACAUAUCUCUCAUAUCAUCUAUCAUUUUUCUCACAAUAUUAGCUGGGGAUGUGCUCUAUGCACUACUGGGUUAUUCAUUCAUGAAAGCAAAGUUUAUGUAUUAUUUUCCUUUGCAUUAUUAACAGUACAAAUAAUGGUACCUUGUAUCUAGAGCUGUUCAAUAAGGAGAGAGGGAGAAAGGAAAGGACAAAAUAUGGAGGGAAGGAAAAAAAGGUAGAGAAAAAGAAAGAGAAAAACAGAGAGAAGGAACCAGGCAGGGAUCUUUGAAGACUCAGUAGCAUAAAACUAACCUUAGAGAAUUCCUAUUCUACAAUACACUAUUAACCAUAUUGAUAACCAUAAAUGGGUUAAAAUAAAGCUGUUAUUUACAAACUGGCAAUAGAGUGAACAAUAAUAAAGAGCUAAAUCACAGAUACUACUGGAUAUAUCAAUAACAUAAGCAUUUUUUAAUGUUAUUAUUUUAAACUCAGAAAAAUAGCUACCUGUUUACUACCAUCUGAUAUUUUGAUCAUUCUGUCAAUAUAUUCCCUUGCUUUAUCAUGGCGACCAAUGUGCCAUAAAAAUAAGCCUGCAUGGUAUAAGGCUUUCUCUCCAGCUCCUUUACGUUGUUCCUUCACUCUGGCAUCUGAUUCCAGAAUAGCUUCUCUAUCUGGUAGGGGAAAAUGAUAUUAAAUAAAAAUUAAAUUCUGGAUCAGGUAUUUAUAAUAGGUCAGAUAAUUAACAAGGCAAAAAAUUUACUUCUCUCUAUAGUGGUACUGUCUAAUAGAAAUAAAAUGCAAGCCAUAUAUGUAACUUAAAAUUUUCUAGUAGCACUAUCAAAGAAAUAGAAAGAAACAAUUAAAAUUAAUCUUAAUGUUUUAUUUAGCCCAAUAUAUCUAAGAUAUAAUUUCAAUGCAUCAUUGACAUAAAAAUUAAUGAGAUAUUUUGCAUGCUCUUUCCUUACUAACUGUGAAAUCUGGUAUUUCAUAAUAACAGCACAUCACAAUUAAGAUGCUAAAUUUUGGCUGGGCGCAGUGGCUCACGCCUGCAAUCGCAGCACUUUGGGAGGCCAAGGCGGGCGGAUCACGAGGUCAGGAGAUCGAGACCAUCCUGGCUAGCACGGUGAAACCCUGUCUCUACUAAAGAUACAAAAAAAAAAAAAAAAAAAAUUAGCCGGGCGUGAUAGCGUGCACCUGUAGUCCCAGCUGCUGGGGAGGCUGAGGCAGGAGAAUGGCGUGAACUCGAGAGGCGGAGCUUGCAGUGAGCAGAGAUCGCGCCACUGCACUCCAGCCUGGGUGAUAGAGCAAGACCCCGACUCAAAAAUAAAAAAAAAAGUUAAAUUUUAUUUAAAAAUACUUGAUUUGUAGUUUUCAUAAAACUUAUGGCUGAAAAGCAGAUUUUUAGACUCAAGUUACUCCUAAAUAAGUUUUCUAAUAACUGAAUCAAGUAUCAUUUUUAAGUUUAAAAAGUAAAUUAAUUAGAAUUAAAUAAAAUUUCAAAUUCAGUUCCUCAAACUUGGUAAAAAAGCUGUAUAUGGCCAGACAUGGUGGCUUACACCUGUGAUCCCAGCACUUUGGGAGGCCGAGGUGGGUGGAUCACCUGAGGUCAAGAGUUCGAGACCAGCCUGGCCAACAUGGCGAAACUCCAUCUAAAAAUAAAAAACAAAAAUAGAUGGGCGUGGUGGUGGGUGCCUGUAAUCCCAACUACUUGGGAGGCUGAGGCAGGGAGAAUUGCUUGAACCCAGGAGGCAGAGGUUGCAGUGAGCCUAGAUUGCACCACUGCACUCCAGCCUGGGCAACAGAGGAGGUAUAUGGUUAAGGAUCACUGUAAUGCACAAUAUAGCUAUAGAGUUUACAUCAUUCCCAAAAUAGAAAGGCUGUAUAUACUAAUAUUUUUUAAUAAUAAGACUUAUAAAAAUGUAUAAUGGUUCUAACCACAAUUAUUAGGAACAGGUCCAGUACUGGUACUCAACGUAUUAAUAAUUCUUAAAUACAAUUCUAAAAUAUAUAAACAUGCCAGCUACUGUUAUGGGUCAGUAAAAAGAUGGCAUAAUUGCUGUUAUAGUUUAAUACUGACUGCUCCCUUAAAUAGAUAACUCUAUUCACUUACAUUAAGUCUAUACACUCUCUCUCUCUCUCUCCCCUCCCCCAUAUAUAUAUAUAUAUAUAUAUAUUAGUAUCUGCUUAGGACACAGAAGUCAAUUACACCCAAACCCUGGAUGGAAUCAGAAUCAGAAUCAGCCAUGCAAUGAGGAAGAAGAAAUGUAAGUUGCGGCCUGUGAUUCCAACAGUUCUCUUUCUGGAAUGGCUACCAAGAGAAAGGUAUGUGACUCUUCCUUUCAACUCUAAUGAUACAAAUUUAAAUGUGAAAUUAACAAGGUACAAUCUAAUGAGUGAAGGAAACAAAACUGUUUCUGUAAGUCUACAGAUUGCUUAGCAAGAAGACCCUUUUCUCCUCUCCCCACUCCCCACCCCUACAACCCCUUCAGAAGUGUUCAUUAAACAGCCAUGAUACAGAAACAGAAAUAAGAAAACAAACAAACAAAAAAAACAACCACCAGGCAGAAGCAGGCAUUGUACAGGAAAUCUUUCCUACUCAGAUUUCCAUCACGUCCCUAAUGAGGUAUCAAUCAGCUCUAACACCGUCUGCACAAAGUUGUUGAAAGAUCGCAGCCUUUUUAUAAGCAGGGUUUAUUUACAUCAGCAUCCUGGAAGGAAUGUAUACUAACAAUCUAGGACUUUCCUAGGCAGUAUUUACAGACAUCUGGGCCCCUACUAGAGCUCAAGUCCAUUCAGCAUCAUCCUUGGUGCAAAGCAGAGUUAGCACUCAGGUUCCUCUGAACAGUAUUUCUGAUUCUGUCAUUUCAGUGUCCUGCAAAUCACAGUGUCCAACAGAAUCAACACUGGUAAGAAUAACCAAUUAAAUAAAAACUUGAUUCUAAUAAUAAAUUAUUUUGUACUAAUUUCUUCAAUCUAUACUAACUACAGCUCUCCCAUGAAAAUUUUCUGCUCUAGCUAAACACACUCCCACUGGAGUACGGAGAAAGGGGAUCCACAGAAGAGCCUAAUCCUGAACCACUUCCAUGUAUUUGCCCAUCCAUUUCUCCUCUCUGGCCAAUACUCUUCAUAUUCAAAUUCUACCAGUCCUUCAAAGAUCAGAUUAAGUUCCAAAAUUUCAAAAGCCUUCUCAGCCUACUCUUACAGCUGAAUAGUGCAUACCAACUUCAAUUAAUUAUAAACUCAUGUUUCAUUUUGUAUUAUUUAAUAGAAACAUUGGAAUUUAAUCUUUGUGUUUUUUACAUUUUGUUUUCUCCACUAGAUUACCAACUUGAUGACAUGAACCACUUAUUAGAAUUCUUUUGUAGCUUGUAACUGUAUUAGGCACAGUUUCUUGAAGAAAUUAAGCACAUAUUUACAUGUUUUAAAUAACUUUGUAUUGAUUUGCAUAUGUAUGAAGGAGGUAUGUCAUACUUGGCUUUAGAAAAAAGUCUCGUCUAAUAUUCAAGGAACCAGUCUGUGACCUUUGUUUAUUAUGUAAUUUUUUGAAACACAAUCUAUAUUUACAAUCCUAUUAGCUGUUACUGGAUAUAUAUUUAUGGAAGAAUAUAACACUACUUCUUCUUUAUUACAUACAAUUUGGAUACUCUUCUGCCUUCGCCAUUAACUAUACAUUAAGACAGUUCACAUAACUUUAUUUUUUAUUUUCUGUUUUUUUUUAGAGAUGGAGGUCUAACUAUGUUGCCCAGGCUGGCCUCGAACUCCUGGGCUCAAGUAAUCCUUCACCUCAGUCUCUCAAGUUGCAGGGAUUACUGGCUUGAGCCACUGUGCCUGGCAGUUUACACAACUUUAAUUGCUGGUUUAUGUAUAAAUUUCCUUCUAUAAUCUAGUCAGAAUCUAGUCAACCUACUACUGCAUAAAAAUUUGCUGAAUAUCUCCCAAGAGCUAGCCCUCAUAAAGGGUUUUAAGGCUCUCAAUAAGCUUAAUAUACAGAAAUAAACUGCAUUGGCUGUAUAUUUGCACAAAAGUUGUAAACUUGGCUGCUGCAGAGCAAUUUAUGUACAUACGGUACCUGUUUCUUUGGCUGUCCUUUUUUUGUGUAACAAUUACUAAUAUACAUUCCCUUUUAUCUAAAAAAAUCCCUAUGUACUAAUGAAACCUCUGCCAGAGGAUAUAAGGAACACGAAAAUAGUAUAAGACACAUUUCUUGUGCCUGAUGAAUUUACACCCUUGUCAGGAAGAUAAACAUAUGUAUAAAUUGUACCUACAGAAAAUACAUAAUAUAGUGUGAUCAGACUGAAUGACUUGGUAACUGAGAAAAAUAAAAAUAAACUGAAUAGGAAAAAAUGUCCUAAGCAUUGCAUUUAAAUAUCAUACCUGGAUUAGGACUCAUUUUAUGGGCAUAUAUCAGUGCAAGUAGAGAACAAAGUGAUACAUCUUGUUUAUUUUUAAUAGCCUCAAAUUCUCGAAGAGCUUCUUGAGUUUUACCUGAAAAUCAAGAUUAUGAUAUGAAAAACUGUUCUUAGUGCAAAGCAAGAAUUUAAAACUGAUGGAACAUGUUUAAUGAUUAACACGUACCUUCCAUUAAUGUGCCAUAGGCAUGAUAAAACCUGAAGACUGGAUCACUUCCAUACCUCUUAAUUCCUUCACUGGCAACCAGUAAUACAUGAUGGAAAUAUCUCUCUUGACAAUAGUAAUUAAUCAAAGUCUAAAUGGAAAUAAUGAAAAAAUGUUAUAAAGGAAUUCUGGUGCUCUGAAAUACUCUAAGAAGCAGAUAAUAAUCUAACAUCUAGAAUAAUGUAAAAUUCAGGCAAUGUGACUUUUUUCUUCCAAGUUUCUUAAAAUACUAUUAAUGGCUAGAACUCAAUGCUAAGGAUUGCAGAACUGAAUGAUCAUAAAAUUACUGAAAUAAUUCAAUGUUUUCUAAUAAUUUAAAUUAUUUUUCCUAAGUUUUUGUUAACAGCACCGAAAUGAGGCUGCUUUCACCUUUUUUCCUUUGCCCACAUUUUCUUGAACGUUUUAGAAAACAGAAAGGCAGACAAUAAACAGGAACUAAAAAAAAAAAAAAAAAGACAAGAGGCUUCCAUUGCCAGACCAUAGGUUUCUUUAAAAAAAAAAAUCUUCUUUUUAAAAUAUCCAGUAUUUUAUUACAGCAUUACAAAGUAAUGACAAAUUUAAUUCUUCAACAUAUCAUCAAAUGUUAUCUUACUCGGCUUUGAGUUCUGCGACAAAUAAAUUGUCAGUUAAGAAUAAAUAAACUAUUUUUCAAUGAAAAUCGUUGUCUUUAAGCUUUUUCCAAAGUUAUAUUAUUUCCAUAUACAAGACAAAACUACUAUCAGGACCUACUAACUUCUGAAUAAAAAUGGGCCUGUGCUGUCUACCAUUUUUCCUACGAUUAUGUCUAAGGCUUGGUUGCUAACCUCAUCAAAGACAGAAACCACACUUUCCCACCAUCACUAGGAUACACCUGAUUCACCAGAAAGCAGUUUGGGCCACCCCAUACCUACCUACCUGGACUCUACAGCUUGUUCAGUAGCAGUGAGAAAUACAGGUGACUAAGUGACAGGAUUGAAAUCUAAGGGUAUCUAGACAGCUCUGGUUUGUUUGUUUUGUUUUGUUUUGGAGAUUCUGUCACUCAGGCUGGAGUGCAGUGGCGCAAUCUCUGCUCACUGCAAUCUCUGCCCCCUAGGUUUAAGCGAUUCUCCUGCCUCAGCCUCCUGAUCUGGGACUAUAGGCACACCCCACCGCACCUGGCUAAUUUUUGUAUUUUUAAGUAGAGAUGGGGCUCCCCAUGUUGGCCAGGCUGGUCUUGAACUCUUGACUUCAAGUGAUCCACCCGCCUGGGCCUCCCAAAGUGCUGAGAUUACAGGCGUGAGCCACCACGCCCGUCCGACAGCUCUGUUUUAUAUAGUCUCUUGCUUCUGGAGGGCUAUAGUCCAUGUACUUCUCUAGAUCAGUUAGGCGACUGUUCUCUGUAAUUUUACUCUGCCUCCCUCCUUGUGAUCACUGCUCCCUAACCUCCUUUUUAGCCAUGUUUCUUAAAAGUGUGCUCCAUACCCCAUCUCCAGACCCCCACAACACAUUUCAGUGAAACACAGUUUUCCUCCAAUGCUCCAUUCCCUAAAGUUGCAGAAUGACUUCUUACUUUGCCACAACUAAGGACACGUUUAAUACCUUACUUGACUUCUGCACACUAUCACUAAGCAUCUAUAAUCCUCCUGAAAGGCAGUGGCAUAGCACCAUAAAAAGGACGCGAAUUUAAAGGCAAAAAGAAUCUCUGGUCCUUCUUACAACGCCUCAGUCUGCUCAUUUAUAAAAUGCUGUUAGUAAUGCAAAUGUACAGGUCACUGUGAGAAUUAAUUAAGAUAUCAUAGUAUAAGAGUUCUAUUCUGAAAAAAAUAAGUUCCUCUGCAUCCCAUAUGUUAAUGGAAUAAAAAAAAAAUGUGUCCUGCGCCAAGACCUCUUGUCUAUGUUCCAGAUUCAUAUUUCCAUUUUCCACCUGCUACCCUGCUACUCAUGAAUCCUCCCUUCCUAUUUGCCCAGUCUCUCUAAGUCUAACCACUUAGUAGGUUCUUCUAUUUCUCCAGUCUACCUCCCACUAAACAUACCUAAUGCUACUGCCUUGGUUCAGGUUAGGUUAUUCAAUCCAAAACAUUUACUGACUGCCUACUAGUACCCAGGCACUGGGCUAGCUACUAUGAAUAGAAAAAUGAGUAAGACAUGGUUCCUGUCCCCCCGGAAAACCUACAUUUUUCAGAUGAGACUGUAAUCUGAAGACUAACUGAAAUAUAAUGUAGUAAAUGUAAGAAAAGAGCUUAUAAACUCCUUUGGGAAUGUGGGAUAGCAACAUUUUGACAGCAUUGAAAACUGAAUGUGGUGUGAGGGGAGGAUGGAUGACUAAAAUCAAGGGAAAGAUUAUUGGGGAGGAUUUCAGAGCUGACUCUUGAAUUGCAAACCCCUCAUUCUCCCUCCACACACGUACACGCUCUUCCUAUUUCCUUUUCAUGAUUCUUGAGGAAGGUACAGGAGUUAGGAAGAGGAACUGCAACAACACAGAUAACAAGUCAUCAAUGGUACAUUGGGAUGGCAGUGGUGAUGAAGAUGACUAAAAGCCACUCCAUACUCUAGAGCAGGGUUUGGCAAACCACACUCUGUGGGCCAUAUCUGGCUGGCUGGCUGUACAGCCAGUGAACUAAGAAUGGUUUUUAUAUUUUCCAGCUGUCAAGGAAAAAAAAGAAAUAUUUCAUAACAUGAAAAUUACAUGAAAGUCAAAUUUCAGUGUUCAUAAAUAAAGUUUUAUUGAAACACAGCCAUGCUCAUUUAAGUAUUGUCUAUGGCUGUUUUGAACAAGCCAAUUAGAUGUGAUAGACCAUACGGUCCAUAAAGUCUAAAAUGUGUACUAUCUGGCCCUUUGUUGAGAAAGUUUGCUAUUCUCUGCUCUGGAGGCUUAAGUGAGACAGAGAGUAUUGGAUGAUGAGGUUGGAGACGAAGGUGGGGUGAAAAGCCUCAUAUUAAGUACUUGGACUUGAACCUCAAGUCUAAGUAAUGAGGAGGCCCAUUUUUACAUUUUACAUUAAAGUGUUUUUAUUAAAAUGUUCAUUUGGGUGGCAGUGCAAAUAAUACAUUUAAGGGAAUAAAAAAAUGUAAGGAUAUAGGGGGAUAGCUAGAACAGAGGAUAAUGUAAAACUUCAGGCAGAAAAACAAGACAUUUCAGCAUUCCCUAACCUCCUACAUCGCCAAAUUGUCCUCCAUCCACUUAUCACCAUCUCACAGGAUACACAUUUCAUUUACCUACUUGUUGUCUGACUCCUCCUACUCAAAUGUAAGCUCCAAGAUUGGAAGAGUUUUUCUUGGUUUUAUUAUUUCAGUGCUUAGAACAGUGCUAGACACAUAGGAGGCAUUCAGUAAAUAUUUGUUGAGUCAACUGAAUUAGGGUUUUUCCCCAGCAUUAAUUAGCCUGUAAAAUCUGAGAAGGCAGAAACUGUUCAGUUUUGCUCACUGCUAUCUCCAGCUUCUAAUGGACAUACAGUAACCCUUCAUAAAUAUUUGCUGAACGAGUGAUUCAGUGAACAAAUGAAUAGAGAAGACCAACAUCCGAAAAGUUAUUUUAUUUUCAAGCCUCAUGUCUUUAACUGUUUUAUAUCAGCCUUUCUUAAGUUGACCGUCAUUAAUAUUUGCUGAAUGAAUGAGUCAGUGAUAAACAGAGAAGACCAUCACCCUAAAAUAACGACCCCUCCACUUUUAAGUCUUACGUCUUUAAUGGGUUUCAUAUAAUCUUUCUGCGCUCUUUUUACUGUCCAGUGUGGGAGCUGACACUAGUUUGCCUUAAGUCCUUAAAAAUCGCACCCGGAGGCGCAGUGUCAUAGGUAACCCAAGCUUUCCUAGUAAACAUGAUACAAAAGUAAACACAACCAACAGCAUGGGGACCAGCAAUUCAGAAACACCGAGCGGGCGGGCUGCCCAGACCUGGGCUUCCCCAGCAGGGCCCGCGGAGACCGGCCGUGAGCAGAGGCUGCAGGCCCACCCCGCAACCCGAGCAGCCGGGGCACCGCAGGGAAACAGCGGCCUAGCGAAGCCACCCGAGCUCCCUCCGCGCCCCCGGGCCAAAAGGCCGCAAAGGAACUCCGCCCGCCCGCCCGCUCACCCGCUCACCCGCUCACCCGCUCACCUUCAAUUCCUGCGAGUCCAUGGCUGCCCCGAGGCCGGGCCGCGGGGCUCUGGGGAUUGUCUCGCCGCAGCCUAAAGGAAGACGCAGAAUUCAGCUCCCCUAGCCUCCCGGAGCGCUCUAGCGCCCCGGGCCCCAGCGGGAGGGGCGGGGUCGCGCCGCGAUUGGCUGUCGGAGGGAGAGGCGGGCCUGUGUGGCGGGGAUCGUGCUGUAAUGGAGCAGGGGCGGCGGGGACCCGGAGGUGAGGGCUGCGAGGGCCGCCCGGGAGGGUCCGGGCUGGGAAAAGGGCCUCCGCCGGAGAGUGCAGCUGGAAAAGGAGGUCACACUGGGAAACGGCUGUCUGAGGACAGUGGGUGGGCGGGCCGAGGAAAUGGAAUUCAGGAAUAAAGGAAACGGAGUAUGAAGAAGGGGAAGUCUGUUUCCUGUCACUGGUUGUAAAGGAAGACACCAUUUUCUGCACGUUUGUCUGGAGGCGGAUUCCCGCAGUGCGGCUCUCAGCAAGGCUCUGCCGGCGCGGGAAAAAGCGGUCAACUUUCACGUGGGCAAGUUGUUUUACGGCCACAAGGUGGCGCAGAAAAAAAAAAUCACACGUUCUUAACAGAAAUACGGUGCGCUUGGGCCCGUCUUUGCAGGCGUUGCUGCAAUCUUUGUUAGAAUGUGUGUUCAAUUAGCCCUUUUUUACCAGCCCCGAUAAUAAGAGGGACAAAUAAAUUAAACUUCCAGAAAAUUAGUGUCUUGUUUUCAAUGAUACUACUGAUUUUAAACUGAGAAUAAAAUGAAUCCCAAUGCAAAUUUUUAUGUUUGCACCCCAUUAGGCAACUCAAUCAGUCACACAUAGAUUUCUUAAGUCCAGGAAAUUAAAUGGAAAUAUAAUAGACUAAGAUUUUCUAUUUCUGCUUAAAUAAAUAUUUAAAAUAGUGCAUAAGGUCUGAGAUUUAAGUGAUCUUUGCAGAAUCUUUCACGUGGAUUCCAAAUUUUGAUCCUAGUGUUAAUUAUCUUACUUUAGUUGACAUGAUACGUAGUUGCCUUUUCCAGAUUUUAAGUUUCUUAAGGAGUUUAUAAACAUUGACUUUUUCCCCAUGCCAAUAGGUUAUGUAAGGACAGUCUUGAGAAAAACGGUAGCUACCAUCCUAGGCUUUAAGGUGAAGCAAUAUUUCUCACCGGUUUCUCUUUAAAGGAAUUCACCACGUAUUUUCACGAGCAACUUUUUUUUCUUUCCAAUAUUUAUAGUCCAGCUAAAUGUCUGUGGUGAUGAACAACUGGUGAUAUCUCUUUGAUUUUCAAAGCUGCGGAUUAAUCCGCACUUGGUAUACAGCAAAGAAUACCACAGGACCAGGGUGCUCAAUGAAGUGUAUAAUCUUGAACUGUAAACCUUUGGUUAUAAGAGAAAAGUUCAUCUGUAAGGAAAUAUCUCAGGAUCAUGGUUAACAGAACAGAUGAUCAACCUACCUUUUGGAGAUCUUGAAAGUCAUAUUAAUUUAGCCUCGUAUUCUCUUCACUGAAUUCUGUUCUAAGGUUGAAUUAUUUAGCACAAAACACCAAGCCUGAUGUUUCAUAAAUGUUUGUUGGAUUAAAAGUACUCUGAGAUUUGCUUUGACACUCACGGUGACUUGGUGUGCCCUGUGCCCUUACUAGAUCUCAUGUAAGAAAUUUAUUUUGGAUCUCAGGCCAGGAAAAACUCUUGUCUUUCCUGAAAAAUCGAUGUGUUCCUUAGCAGUAACAUUUUUAUCGGCUCACUUUUACUAGCUACAAACUUUUGAGUCUGAUAUCCAUGACCCUUCACCUCAUCGUCUUUUCAAGCCUUAUCUUCUACCUCCCCUUCAAGGAGCCUUUAUUCCGCUCAGUGGGACAAAUAUUCCUUCUUCUGGUAAUGCUUUCCCCUACUUUGUUUUGAGCUCUUUCUUCACCUGAGAAAAUCUCCUUCUUCUGAGUUCAUUUCAAAUUUCAUGAAGUCUUUAAGGAUCACCAUAACUGGAUGGGUAUAAAAAUAUCACAGUGUAGUGGCAAGAAUACCCUCUUCUGCAUCUGAGGUGGAGCUCCUAUUACGCUAGCUACUUUUGUGACUUGGGGAAGUAAUUUCCCUAAGCCUCAUUUUCCUUAUUUACUAAAGAAACUAAAUGCCUUACAGACAUAUUAAAACUUCCUGACACAUAAUAGGCAUUGUAUAACCAAUAGUUUCCAUUAAACACGUAGUGCUCUAUAGCAGUGGUCCCCAAUCAUUUUGGCACCAGGGACCAGUUUGGUGGAAGACAAUUCACAGAAGAUAAAUUUUCCAUGGACAGGGGUAGGGGAGAUGGUUUCGGGUUGAAACUAUUCCAUCUCAGAUCAUCAGAUUCUUAUCUAAGGAGCAUACAGCCUAGAUCCUUCACAUGCACAGUUUAUAAUGGGGUUUGCAUUCGUAUGAGAAUCUAAUGCCUCGCUGAUCUGACAAGGAGGUGGAGCUUGGGGUAACGCUCCCUUUCCUGCCCCGCAGCUCACCUCCUGCUGUGUACCCCGUCCUGCUGUAUACCCCAUCCUGCUGUGUAGCACUGAUUUGCAGUCCUCAGAUUGGGGACCCCUGCUCUAUAAGACUUAUUACACUUGCAUAGUCCUUGUAUUACUAGUUAUAGUGCAUUUUUGUUUAAUGUUCUCUACCAGAUGAUGAGCACUAUAAAGCUAGAUAAUAUAAUGUAGCAGUUAACAUCUUCGUCUCCAGAAAUACGUCAUUUUCGUUCAGACCUUAAUGUGUCCGGAAUUGGUGGGUUCUUGGUCUUGCUGACUUCAAGAAUAAAGCCGCGGACCCUCGCGGUGAGUGUUACAGUUCAUAAACGCACGCAGACCCAAAGAGUGAGCAGCAACAAGAUUUAUUGCAAACAGCAAAAGAACAAACCUUCCACAGAGUGGAAGAGGACCCCAGUAGAGUGCCCCUGCUAGCUCAGGUGGCCUGCAUUUAUUCCCUUAUCCGGCCCCACCCACAUCCUACUGAUUGGUCUGCUUUACAGAGAGCUAAUUGGGCUGUUUUACAGAGAGCUGAUUGGUCCGUUUUGACAGGAUGCUGAUUGGUGUGUUUACAAACCUUGAGCUAGACACAGAGUGCUGACUGGUAAAUUUACAAUCCUUUAGCUAGACACAAAAGUUCUUCAAGUCCCCACCAGAUUAGCUAGACACAGAGCACUGAUUGGUACCUUUACAAACCUUGAGCAAGACACAGGGUGCUGACUGGUGCGUUUACAAACCUUCAGCUAGACACAGAGUGCUGACUGGUGCAUUUACAAACCUUUAGCUAGACAUAAAAGUUCUCCAAGUCCCCACCUGACUCAGGAGCCCAGCUGGCUUCACCUAGCGGUUCCCGGCCCGCCGAGACUGCAGCGGAGCUGCCCACCAGUCCCGCGCCACGCGCCCGCACUCCUCAGCCUUUGGGCAGUGGAUGGGACCGGGCGCCGUGGAGCAGGGGGCGGCGCCCUUCGAGGAGGCUCGGGCUGGGCACGAGUCCACCGGGAGAGGGGAGGGCUCGCGCAUGGCAUGACGGGCUGCAGGUCCCGAGCCCUGCCGCGCGGGAGGCGGCUGAGGCCCCGUGAGAAUUCGAGCGCCGCAGGGGCAGGCUGGCAGUGCUGGGGGACCCGGUGCACUCUCCGCAGCUGCUGGCUCGGGUGCUAAGCCCCUCACUGCCUCGGGCCAGCGGUGCCGACCCGCCGCUCCAAGUGCGGGGCGGGCGGAGCCCGCGCCCACCUGGAACUCGCGCGGGCCCGCCAGCGCCAACCGCAGCCGCGGUUCCCGCCCGCGCCUCUCCCUCCACACCUCCCCGCAAGCAGAGGGAGCCGGCUCCGGCCUUGGCCAGCCCAGAGACAGGCUCCCACAGUGCAGCGGCGGGCUGAAGGGCUCCUCAAGCACUGCCAGAGUGGACACCGAGGCCGAGGAGACGCCAAGAGCGAGUGAGUGCUGCUAGCAGGUUGUCACCUCUCAUUAAUACUACUAUUCACUGGCUAUUCAGUUGGAAAAAGUUAUUUAACUUCUCUGUAUACUUCAGCUGUAAUAUCAGACUAACACCUCAGAAAAUUGUUAAGAAGACUAAAUAAGUUAAUAUUUAAAGUACAGAGCAGUAUUAGGGGUAUGGUAAGUACUGAAUUACUGUUACCUAUAAUCACUUGUACUCCCAACUACUCCAGAGUACAGUAUUGAUCACAUAAGUAUUUAGAAAGUUUUACAGCAUUGAUAGUUUUUUUCAAUCAUAUCUGUGUUUGAUUUUCUCCUCCUCCAAUUCUUAUACUGAUCCACUUGUAGCUGUAUUAUUUUAUAUAUUCAAAUUAAAGAAAAACACUUAGGAAAACUAGGGAGUUUUGGUAACAAACAAAGUAAAAGUGAAUACACUAAAAAUAAAACAGAGGUAAGUAUAUGUCAUCAUUAAAUUUGGGAGGUGAAAAUAAUGUUAGCAGCUUGAACAGUUUCAUUUUAUGGAAGAGUAAGAUGAAGCCCAAAGCUAAGACCAAUAGUUUUCCACCGUCCAAUCUAGCCUGCACAACAAUUGUGAAUAAGAAGAGUGUUUGCCUUUUCUUUCUUUUUAAGGCUUGUUAAAUUAAAUUAAAUUUGGCCUAAAGAAACCUUCAUACAUACUGCACCAUAAGCUAUAUGUAAACAGACUGAAAUGUAACUAAGAGUAUGUUUUUUAAACAGCCAAGUUUUGGCCAAUCAUAUCAGCCAAUAACAAGUCGCAAACUGCUCAGACAUGUUCUAAUAAGGCAAAUACCAAACUAUAACCAAUCAGGCUGUUUCUGUAUGUGCCUUCCUUUUUCUGUCUGUAGAUACUACCUAAAGAAGUUGCUGGGUAGACCUCUCUGAACCUUGACUGGUUCCAAGUGCUGCCCAAUUCAUGAAUCAUUUUUUUGCUCAAAUAAACUCUGCUAAAUUUGUCUCAAAGUGUUCUUUUAACAUUAUUACUAUAAAAUUGAAAUUAUAUAUAGAAGUUAAAAAUGUAUGAAAUCCAAACUAACUAGCACAUAAUUCAGUCUCAGAGGCAACAUCAUGGAACAGUUAGGUUAACUGAAAUCAGAAUUGCUGAGUUGUUAGAGUUCUGUCCCUCAAUAACUUCACAACUUUGGGUAAGUCAUUAACUUUUUUAAAAGAAAUUACUUUAGGCUGGACACAGUGACUCAUGCCUGUAAUCUCAGCACUUUGGGAGGGUGAGGUGGGCAGAUCACUUGAGGUCAGGAGUUCGAGAACAGCCUGGCCAACAUGAUGAAACCCCAUCUCUACUAAAAAUACAAAAUUUGCUGGGCGUGGUGGCAGGUGCAUGUAAUCCCAGCUGCUCCAGAGGCUGAGGCAGGAGAAUCACUUGAACCUGGGAGGUGGAGGUUGCAGUGAGCUGAAAUCACACCACUGCACUUUAGCCUGGGCAACAGAGUGAGACUCUGUCUAAGAAAAAAAUGUAUUUUAUUGAUGCAUAAUAGAUAUUUAUUAUUUCAGUUACAUGUGAUAAUAUAGAUUCAUACUUUAUAAAGAUCUAAUCAGUGUGGUUGGGAUCUCAUCACUUUAAUUAUAUGUCCUUUGUGCUAGAAACAUUCAAAUUAUUCUAACUAUUUUGAAAAGCACAAAAGAAUAUUGUAAACUUACCCUACUGAUCUGUCUCACACUAGGUCUUAUUUCUUUUGUCAACUAUAUGUUUAUACACAUUAAUCAAUUUCUCUUCUUUCUGCUACUUCCAUACCCUUCUGUCCUCUGGCAACUACCAGUCUACUCCCUAUUUUCAUGAGAUUGAUUUUUUUAGCUCCGACAUGUCAGUGAGAACACACAAUAUUUGUCUUUCUGUGCUUGGCUUAUUUCACUUUAAUAUACUGACGUCCAAAUCCAUCCGUGUUGCUGUAAAUGACAAGACUUCAUUGUUGUGGCUGAACAAUAUCACAUUGUGUAUAUAUACUAAAUUUUCUUUAUCCAUUCAUUCACUGAUGGGCAGUUAGGUUGAUUCCAUAUUUUGGCUCUUGUGAAUAGUGUUGCAAUAAACAUGGAAGUGCAGAUCUUUUUCAGUAUACUGAUUUUCUUUCUCUUGAAUAUAUACUCCGUGGAAUUGGUGGAUCAUAUGGUAGUUCUAUUUUUAGUUUCUUGAGGAAGCUCCAUCCUGUUAUCCAUAAUGGCUGUACUAAUUUAUAUUUCCACCAACAGUGUAUGAGGGUUCCCCUGUCUCCACAUCCUCACCAGCAUCCGUUAUUGACUGUCUUGUUGAUCAAAAGCCAUUUUAACUGGUGUGAGAUGAUAUCUCAUUAUAGUUUUGAUUUUCAUUUCUCUGAUUAUUAUUGAUGAGCAAUUUUCCUAUCCCUGUUAGGCAUGUGUAUGUCUUCUUUUGAGAAAAGUGUGUUGAGAGCUUAUGUUCAUUUUUAAAUCAGAUAUUUUUUUCCUAUUGAGUGGUUUGAGCUCCUUAUGUAUUCUGGUUUUUAAUCUCUUCUCAGAUGGAGAGCUUAUAAAUAUUUUCUCCUAUUCUAUGGGUUAUCUCUUCACUGUGAUGAUUGUUUCCUUUGCUGUCCAGAGGAUAUUUAGCUUGAUGUAAUCCCAUUUAUCUGUUUUUGCUUUGAUUGCCUAUGCUGUUGAGGUCUGACACAUACAAUUUUUUCCUGUAUCAAUGUCCUGGAGCAUUUCCUCAAUGUUUUCUUCUAGUAGUUUCAAAGUUUCAGGUCUUAAAGUCUUUAUUUUGAUUUGAUUUUUGUAUAUGGUGGGAAUUUGGGGCCUAGUUUCAUUCUUCUACAUUCGGUUACACAGUUUUCCCAGCACCCUUUAUUGAAGAGACUAUCCUUUCCCCAUGGUGUUCUUGGAGCCUUUGUCAAAAAUAGGUUGACUGUAAAGGCAUGGCUUUACAUCUGGGUUCUUUGUUCUGGUCCGUUGGUCUAUGUGUCUUUCCUGUACACAUUGUAUGGUCUAUGCCCACACAAUGCUGUUUUGGUACUAUAGCUUUGUCAUAAAUUUUGAAGUGAGAUAAUGUGAUGCCUCUAGCUUUGUUCUUUUUGUUCAGGAUUGUUUUGUCUAUUAGGGGUCUUUUGUGGUUCCAGAUAAGUUUUAAGAUUAUUUUUUUCAAUUUCUAUGAAGAAUUUUAUUCUUAUUUUGAUAAGGAUUGCAUUGAAUCUGUAAAUUGCUUUGAAUAGGAUUGCCAUUUUAACAAUAUUAUUCUUCCAAUCUAUGAGCAUGCAAUAUCCUUCCAUUUAUUUGUGUGUCCUCUCCAGUUUCGUUCAUCAGCGUUUUACCAUUUUCCUUAUGAAGAUCUUUCACAUCUUUGGUUAAAUUGACUUCUAGGUAUUUUAUGUUUUUUUAGCUAUUGUAAAUGUGAUUGCUUCUUGAUUUCCUUUUCAUAUUGUUUGCUGUUGGCAUGUAUAAAUGCUACUGAUUUUUGUGUAUUGAUUUUGUGUCUUGCAACUUUACUGAAUUCAUUUGUCAGUUCUAACAGUUUUUUUGAUGGAGUCCAGGAUUUUCUAAAUUUAAGAUCAUAUCAUCUGUGUUCAGGGCUAAUUUGACUCUUCCUUUUAAAUAUGGAUGCCCUUUAUUUCUUUAUCUUGCCUAAUUGCUCUAGCCAGGAGUUCCAGUAUUAUGUUAAAGUGGUGAAAGUAGGCAUCCGGCUGGGCGCGGUGGUUCACGCCUGUAAUCCCAGCACUUUGGAAGGCUGAGGUGGGUGGAUCAUGAGGUCAGGAGAUCGAGACCAUCCUGGCUAACACGGUGAAACCCCGCCUCUACUAAAAAUACAAAAAAUUAGCCAGGCGUGGUAGCGGGCGCCUGUAGUCCCAGCUACUUGGGAGGCUGAGGUAGGAGAAUGGCGUGAACCCGGGAGGUGGAGCUUGGAGUGAGCUGAGAUAGCACCACUGCAUUCCAGCCUGGGCGACAGAGCGAGACUCUGUCCCCCACAAAAAAAGUAGGCAUCCGUGUCUUAUUUUAAAUCUUAGAGGAAAGGCCUUCAAUUUUUCCCUUUUCAGAACAGUGUUAGCCGUGGAUUUGUCAUAUAUGGCCUUUAUGAUUUUGAGGAAUGUUCCUUCCAUACCCAAUUUGUUGAGGGUUUUUAUCAUGAAGAGAUGUCGAUUUUUUUUUUUUUUUUUUUUUUUCUGAGGCAGAGUCUCACUCUGUCGCCCAGGCUGGAGUGCAGUGGCACGAUCUUGGCUCACUGCAACCUCGGCCUCCCAGGUUCAAGUGAUUCUCCUGUCUCAGCCUCCUGAGUAGCUAGGAUUACAGGUGCCCACCACCACGCCCGGCUAAUUUUUUCUAUUUUUAGUCCAAUGCCUUUUUUUGCAUCUAUUGAAGUGAUCACAUGGAUUUUGUUCUUGAUCGAGUUAAUGGGAUGUAUCGUGUUUGCAUAUGUUGAAUCAUACUUGGAUCCCUGGGGCAAAUCCCAGUUGAUUAUGGUGAAUGGUCCUUUUAAUGUGUGGUUAAAUUCAGUUUACUACUAUACUGCUGAGGAUGUUUGCCUCUAUGUUCAUCAGUGAUAUUAUCCUAUGUUUUUCUUUUUUUGUUGUAUCCUUCUUGCUUUUGGUAGCAGUAUAAUGCUGGCCUUGUAGAAUGAGUUCCACAGUAUUCCCUCUUCCUCAAUUUUUUUUUGAAGAGUUUGAGUAAAAUUGGUAUUACAUUUUCUUUAAAUGUUUGGUAGCAUUCAGCAGUGAAGCCAUCAGGCCCUAGGUUUUUCUUUGAUGAGAGACGUUUCAUUAUGGCUUUUAUCUCAUUACUCGAUACUGGUUUGUUGAAGUUUUGUAUUUCUUCAUAGUUUAAUCUUACUAGGUUGUAUGUGUCCAGGAAUUUAUCUAUUUCUUUUAAAUUUUCCAAAAGGUUGGUGUAUAGUUCUUCAUGACAGUCUGUAAUGAUUCCUUGUAUUUCUGUGGUUUCAGUUGUUAUGUUCCAUUUUUCAUUUUUUAUUUUAUUUAUUUAGGUUUUUCUCUUUUUUUUCUAGUCUAGCUAAAGGUUUAUUGGAUUUUUAUCUUUUAAAAAAAAACUUUUCAUUUUGUUGAUCUUCUUUAUUGUUUUUAUAGUCUGAAUUGUAUUUUUUCCUGCUCUGGUCCUUACUAUUUCUUUUUGUCAACUAAUUUUGGGUUUGAUUUGUUCUUGCUUUCCUUGUUUCUUGUGGUGCAUCAUUAGUUUGUUUAUUUGAAGUCUCUCUACUUUUCUGAUGUAGACAUUUAUUGUGGUAAAUUUCCCUCUUAGAGCUGCUUAGAUUUUGGUAUGUUAUAUUUCCAUUUUCAUUUAUUUCAAUAAAUUUUCUAAUUUUCUUCUUAAUUUCUACAUUUACCCAUUGUUUGUUCUGGAGCAUGCUGUUUAAUUUCCAUGCUGUGUAAUUUCAUGAAGCUUCUGAGGUUCUCUAAUUGAUUUCUACUUUUAUUCUACUGUGGUCAGAAAAGAUACUUCAUAGAAUUUCUACAUUUUGUUUUAUUUUAUUUAUUUAUUUAUUUUGGAGACAAGGUCUCACUCUGCCACCCAGGCUGGAAUACAAUCAUGCAAUUGUAGUUCACUGUUACCUUGAAUUCCUGGGCUCAACCAAUUCUCUUCUUCUGCUUUGGCCUCCUAAGUAACUAGGACUACAGGCACAAGCUAUCACGCUUGGUUGUUUUCUACAAUUUGAAUUGGUUGGAACCUGUUUUGUGACUUAAGAUAUUGUUUAUUCUGGUGAAUGUUCUAUGUAUUAAUGAAAAGAAACAAUGUUAUUCUGUAGCAGUUGGAUGAAAUGUUCUGUAAAUGUUAGUUAGGCCUUUCAGUAUGUAGUUUAUCUCCAUUAUUUCCUUUUUGAUUUUCUCUCUUAAUGAUCUCUUCAUUUUUAAGAGUGGGGUGAUAAAGUCCCCUACUAUUAUUGUAUUACAAUCUAUCUCUCCCUUAAGAUCUAUUAAUGUUUGCUGAAUAUACUUGGAUGUUCCAGUGUUUGGUGCACAGAUAUUUAUAAUUGUUAUAUUUUCUUGCUGACUUGACUCCUUUAUCAUUAUAUAGUGACCUUUUGUCUCCUUUUACAGUCUUUGAUACGUAGGCUAUUUUAUCUCAUAUAAGUGUAGCCACUCCUGCUUUUUCUUUGGUUUCCCAUUGCAUGUAAUAUCGUUUUCCAUCUCUUCACUUUCAGGCAGUAUAUUUAUAGGUGAAGUGUUUUUUUCUGUAGGCAGCACAUAGUUGGGUCUUGGCUGUUUAUUCAGCCACUGUAUGCCUUUUAAUUAGAGAAUUGAGUCCAUUUACAUUGAAUGCUGUUAAUAAGUAAAGGCUACUGACAUUUUGUUGCUUGUUUUCUGGUUGUUUCAUAACUCCUUCUUCCUUUCCUCCCUUCUUCCCUUCUUCCUUUGUGGUUAAGUAAUUUUUCUCUGGUAGAAUGCUUUAAUUCAUUGAUUUUCAUAUUUAGUGAAUUAUUGGUUUUUGCAUUGUGGUUAUCAUGAGACUUGCAAAAAACAUAGAUGGAAGUUAUUUUAAAGAGAAGACAACUUACCUUACUUAUAUCAAAAAGAAUAGGAUAGAAAGAAAUAAAAAAAAAAUCUACGCUUUAACCCUAUUCCCCCACUUUUUGACUUUUAAUCGUCUCAAUUUGCAUAUUUUUAUAUUAUCUCUCUCUCUUAACAAGUUGCUGUAGCUAUUACUGCUUUUGAUAGAUUUUUCUUUUGGGUUUUGUGUUAGAGGAAUCAGUGAAUUGCACACCAUGCAGUAUUACAGUAAUCUGGGUUUGUCUAUGUGCUUCAUUUUACUGGUAGGUUUUAUAUCUUCAAUUUUUUUGUUGUUGUUUUCCUUUCAGAUUAUAGAACUCCCUUUAGCAUUUCUUUAAAAAUGGGUCUGGUGGUGGUCAAUUCUCUCAGCUCUUGUUCGGGGAAGACUUUAUCUCUCCUUCAUAUUUGAAAGAUAACUUUGCUAAUUAAAGUGUUCUUGAAUGGCAGUUUUUUUCUUUCAACACUCUGAAAAUGUUGGUGCACUCUUUCCUUUCCUGUGUGAUUUCCAUUGAAAAAAAAAAUCUGUUGCCAAAGGAAUUGGGGAUCCUUUAUAAGUUAUUUACUUCUUUUCUCUUGCUGCUUUUAGAAUUCUCACUUUGUCCUUGACCUUUGAGAAUCUGAUUAUUAUAUUCCUUGGGGUAGUGUUAUUUGGGUCAGAUCUGUUUGGUGUUCUCUGACCUUCCUAUACCCGAAUGUUUCUUUUGAAGUUUUGUGAAGUUAUCUGUUAUUAUUUCUUUAAAUAAGCUUUCUACUUCUUGCUCUUGCUCCAUUCACUCUUGAACACCAAUAAUUCUUAGAUUUUACUUUUUCAGGUAAUAUUCUAUAUCUUGUAAGUGUUCUUCAUGCUUUUCAUUCUUUUUUUUUAUUCUUCUGACUGCAUUAUCCCACAGCCUGUCUUCAAGAUUACAGAUUCUUUCCCCUGCUUGAUCCAUUCUGCUGUUGACAGCCUCUAAUGAAUUUUGACAUUCAGCAAAUAUAUUUCAGUUUCAAUAUUUCUGUUUUAUUUUUUAAAAAUUAUUCUAAUCUCUGUGUUUAAUUUAUCUGAUAAAUUUCUGAGCUCCUUUUCUGUGUUAACUUGGAGAUCAUUGAGCUUUCUUCAAGAGGCUAUUUUAAAUUGUUGGUCAGAGAGCUCACAUUAUCACUAUGUUGUUAGGUUCCUUGCUUUCGGGAAAUCAUGGUUCCCUCUUUGCUGUUGUUUUUUGUGGAUGUACAUCUAUGUCUUUGCAUUGAAUGAUUUAUUAUUUAUUUCAGUCUUCUUUUUCUGGCUUGUUUGGGUUUUUAUUGGAUAUAUUUGCUUAAAGGUUCUUUACCACUAGGCUCCAUCGCUCCAUCGCUCAAGCUGGAGUACAGUGGUGCGAUCUCUGCUCACUGCAAGCUCUGCCUCCCGGGUUCACGCCAUUCUCCUGCCUCAGCCUCCCGACUAGCUGGGACUACAGGUGCCGGCCACCACGCCUGGCUAAUUUUUUUUUUUGUAUUUUUAGUGGAGACGGAGUUUCACCAUGUUAGCCAGGAUGGUCUCAAUCUCCUGACCUCGUGAUCUGCCCGCCUCGGCCUCCCAAAGUGCUGGGAUUACAGGCGUGAGCCACCGCGCCCGGCCCAGGCUCUUGCUUUUUAUCCAACUGUUGCUUUCUCAUACACUGGGCCUUCCUAAUCAGCCCAUCCACUUGUCGGAAUUAGCAAAAUGAAAACAGCUGGAGCUCACGCCUCAGGAUCCCUCUUCAGAAAUUUAUUUAUAACUGUGCUUUAAUUUGUGGCAGUAUGUUUCUUUCCCCAAAUGUUUAUUUUGAGAAUAUUCAAACAUACAGAAAAAUUGAAGCAGAGUAUAAUGAAUGCCUCAUGCUCAUCACCGGAGAACAUUUUAGAAAUGCUAUUUUGCAUUGCUCUUUAUAUUUUUCAUUCUCUGUUUCAAGUAGAUAGCCAGGCUAUUUGUAUUUUUACAGCAGGAUAAAAGAAAAAGCCUGCUGUGCUUUAAAACUGUGCAGCCCAAUAAGGUAGCCACUGGUCACAUGAGGCUGUUUAAAUUUACAUUAAAAUUAGAUGUAAUUAAAAACUGAUUUGUUGCACUACCCACAUUUUAAAUGCUCAGUGGGCACAUGUGGCUAGUGGUUACUGAAUUGGACAAUAUAGGUAUAUAGCAUUUUUAUCCUCUUAGGAAGUUCUACUGGACACCACUUUAAAAGACAUUUAGGUCUUUUAUAAAAGACUAAAUUUGUUAAAGAAAUAAAUCUGCGUUUCUUGGAGGGCAGGAAGAGAUAGAGGAGUACCUCUGAAGCAAGAGAGGGAGGAGCAGUUUCCACAACUGGGAAAAGGAUAAAAGCCGAUAGGUCCUGUAAUUUUUAGGGAUCCAGCUGCUCGUCUGUAGCAGUGCACCCAGAGAAGACAAAAUCUCAGAUAAAUGGUUGUGUGGUAUGCCCAGGAGAGCUGAAUCUAGGACACAAACCUCAAGGGUCCACUUUAAUUUGGCAGUAGGGAGUCCACUAGAGGCUCUAAUAGAAGGAAAGGUCAAGAAAUUUAUCCCAUUUUCUGAGCACUGAGUGAUAUGGCUUGGCUGUGUCCCCACCCAAAUCUCAACUUGAAUUGUAUCUCCCAGAAUUCCCCUGUGUUGUGAGAGGGACCCAGGGUGAGAUAAUUGAAUCAUGGAGGCCAGUCUUUCCCAUGCUGUUCUCGUGAUAGUGAAUAAGUCUCAGAGGAUUUGAUGGAUUCAUCUGGGAUUUCUUUUUUUUUUUCUUUUUUUUUUUUUGAGAUGGAGUCUCACUCUGUCGCCCAGGCUGGAGUGCAGUGGCGUGAUCUGGGCUCACUGCAAGCUCCGCCUCCGGGGUUCAUGCCAUUCUCCUGCCUCAGCCUCCAGAGCAGCUGGGACUAUAGGCGUCUGCCACCAUGCCUGGCUGAUUUUUCUGUAGUUUUAAAGAAAGAGAGGGGGUCUCACCGUGUUAGCCAGGAUGGUCUCGAUCUCCUGACCUUGUGAUCCGCCCACCUCAGCCUCCCAAAGUGCUGGGACUACAGGCGUGAGCAUCAGGGAUUUCUGCUUCUGCUUCUUCCUCAUUUUUCUCUUGCUGCCACCAUGUAAGAAGUACCUUUCACCUCCUGCCAUGAUUCUGAGGCCUCCCCAGCCAUGUGGAACUGUAAGUCCAAUUAAAUCUCUUUUUGUUCCCAGUUUUGGGUAUGUCUUUAUCAGCAGUGUGAAAAUGGACUAAUACAGUAAAUUGGUACUAAUAGAGUGAGGUGCAGCUGAAAAGAUACCCAAAAAUGUGGAAGUGACUUUGCAACUGGGUAACAGGCAGAGGUUGGAACAGUUUGGAAGGCUCAGAAGAAGACAGGAAAAUGUGGGGAAGUUUGGAACUCCCUAGAGACUUGUUGAAUGGCAUUGACCAAAAACCAGAUGGCAACAUGGACAAUAAGGUCCAGGGGUGGUCUCAGAUGGAGAUGAGAAACUUCUUGGGAACUGAAGCAAAGAUGACUCUUGUUAUGUUUCAGCAAAGAGAUUGGUGGCAUUUUGCCCCUGCCCUAGAGAUUUGCGGAACUUUGAACUUGAGAGAGAUGAUUUAGGGUAUCUGGCAGAAGAAACUUCUAAUCAGCAAAGCAUUCAAAAGUUGACUUCAGUGCUGUUAAAAGCAUUUCAUUUUAAAAGGGAAACAGAGCAUAAAAGUUGCAGCCUGACGAAUGCAGUAGAAAAGAAAAACCCAUUUUCUGAGAAGAAAUUCAAGCCAGCUGUAGAAAUUUGCUUAAGUAGCCAGGAGCCUAAUGUUAAUCCCCAAGACCACGGGGAAAAUGUCUCCAGGCCAUAGCAGAGACCUUCACAGCAGCCCCUCUCAUCAGAGGCCUGGAGGUCCAGGAGGAAAAAGUGGUUUUGUGGGCCGGGCCCAGGGUCCCCAUAUGUGUGCAGCCUAGGGACUUGGAGCCCUGUGUCCCAACCAUUCCAGCCAUGGCUGAAAGGGGUCAAUGUAGAGCUCAGGCUAUGGCUACAGCGGUUAGAAGCCCCAAUCCUUGGCAGCUUCCAUGUGGUGUUGAGUCUGCAGCUACACAGAAGUCAAGAAUUGAGGUUUGGGAACCUCUGCUUAGAUUUCAGAAGAUGCAUGGAAAUACCUGGAUACCCAGGCAAAAGUUUGCUGCAGGGGCAGGGCUCUCAUGGAGAACCUCUGCCAGAGCAAUGCAGAAGGGAAAUGUGGGGUUGUAGGCCCCACACAGAGUCCCUACUGGGGCACUGCCUAGUGAAGGUGUGAGAAGAGAGCCACCAUCAUCCAGACCCUGGAAUGUUAGAUCCACCAACAGCUUGCACCAUGAACCUGGAAAAGCCACAGACACUCAACACCAGCCCGUGACAGCAGCCGGGAGGGAGGCUGUACCCUGCAAAGCCACAGGGACAGAGCUACCCAAGGCCAUGGGAACCCACCUCUUGAAUCAGCGUGACCUGGAUAUGAGACCUGGAGUCAAAGGAGAUCAUUUUGGAGCUUUAAAAUUUGACUGCCCUGUUGGAUUUCGGCCGUGCUUGGGCCCUGUAACCCCCUUCUUUUGGCCAGUCUCUCUCAUUUGGAAUGGCUGUAUUUACCCAAUACCUGUACUCCCAUUGUAUCUAGGAAGUAACUAACUUGCUUUUGAUUUUACAGGCUCAUAGGUGGAAGGGAUUUGCCUUGUCUCAGAUGAGACUUUGGAUUGUGGACUUUUGAGUUAAUGCUGAAAUGAGUUAAGACUUUGGGGGACUGUUGGGAAGGCAUAAUUGGUUUUGAAAUGUGAGGACAUGAGAUUUGAUGGGCCAGGGGUAGAAAGAUAUGGUUUGGCUGUGUCCCCACCCAAAUAUGAACUUGAAUUUUAUCUGCAGAAUUCUGUCAUGUUUUGGGAGGGACCCAGGGGGAGGUAAUUGAAUCAAGGGGGCCAGUGUUUCCUGUGCUAUUCUCGUGAUAGUGAAUAAAUCUCACGAGAUCUGAUGGGUUUAUCAGGGGGCUUUGCUUUUGCUUCUUCCUCAUUUUUAUCUUUCUGCCACCAUGUAAGAAGUGCCUUUCACCUCCCACCGUGAUUCUAAGGCCUCCUCAGCCAUGUGGAACUGUAAGUCCAAUCAAACCUCUUUUUGUUCCCAGUUUCAGGUAUUUCUUUAUCAGCAGUGUGAAAGUGAACUAAUACACCAAGUAAGCCUGUGGAUAUGGUUGAUUUCUAGAGAGAAAGAUAUGAUACUGAGUAAGAAUUAGUUUCUAGGCAGUCUAGUGUCCGUUUGGGAUUUCAUCAUGAAUAAAGAGAAGAAAUUUGGCAACUGAGUUUCAAGCUCACUUAAAAACAUAAUAAAAGUUAUCUUUGGAAAUUAUUUUCAACACAGUGUACAAACAUAUUUACAUAAAAAGAUAAUGUACAUAUUUGUGGCCACUGGGGGACAUUGUUCCCUCAUACAAAAGACAAAGAAGAUUUUGAAGCAGUGGUUCUCAAACAUGAGCAUACAUCAGAAUGACUUGGAGGACAUUUCAUCUAGACUCUUAGCAUUUUUCAAGACUAUGAUUUACUGUUAACUACAGUUAACUUGUUGUAGAACAAAUUGUUCUCACGACAAAAAUGAAAAGUAUGUGAGGUAAUGCAUAUGUUAAUUACUAGAUCUAUUAAUUCCACAAUGUAUAUACACUUGAAAACAAUAUGUCGUACAUGGUAAAUACACAUAAUUUUAUAUGUCAAGUUAAAAAUUAAAUAAAAUAAUAAAGAUAAUGAACAUUUAAAAAAAUCACUUGAAAGACUUGUUAAAACACAGACUGCUGGACCCCUACCUGUAGAGGUUCUAAUUCAGUGGAGAUGCUGGGAAGGAGACAAAAAUAUAAAUUUUUAACAAGUUCCCAUGUGAUGCUGUUGCUGUUGGUCUGGGGACCACACUUUGAAAGCCACUGCUUUAGUAAAACUUUUAAAAUAUAGUAUUAAGACUAUUUAUUGAUCAAACUUACUUCACCAUGAGAAUAUUAUAAUGAACACAAAGAACAGUCUGGAUGUACUGAUAGGUGGCUUUUAUCUGGCAUAAGAAGAAUGUGUGCAAUUAUUCUAUUUUUAGAUGGCAAUAGUGCUAUAGAGCAUUAUACAAGGUUAUAGUUUCUAUAUAGUUAAAGAGAAGGUGUACAGUGGAUGGGGCACAGCAAUGAUGUGCAAGAUCAAAAAACAGAACCGCUUCUGAGACUAAAUUAGCUUAGGUUUAGACAGAGCCUAGUCCCCAAAAUAUUGGUAUAGGAAAACCUCUCAAGGUGUGUACCUGGGAGACUUCCUGUUCCAAAAUGUUUGUGUAGACACAGGUUUCCUUCACUCUUCAUUCCCCCCACCCCACAAAACCAAAAGAAAUAUACAGCCCUGAGAUUUCACCAGUGACUUCCAGAAAUUCAAAUGUGAGGAUAAAUCAGUUCCUGAGGACAUAGAGAAGUAAAAAAAUUCUGAGCAGAUGGUAAGAGAAUCAAAUUUUCAUAUCCGAAAUGCCCCUUCCUAAUAUCUGCCCUGCACCAAUUUGCAGAAAAUGUCCCUUGAUUCACAGUUUCUGCACUGGAUAAGGUGAGAUCAAGAUGAACAACCAGCUUUCCUACCAUCUUGGGUUCCCUGGCAGGAGACCUAUUCAUGCCUCAAUCCACAGCAAGUAUUGUGAGUGUCUGGAAGGAGAGAACAGCCAGAGACAAGGAGAGAAGGUGGAACUACCAUUCUUAGUGCUUGAAACUCUACUCUGUACUUAGGCCAAAGGAGAUGCUUUGGAGGUACAUGUGGCUGCUCACCAGCACCAUGCUGUAGGAGGUACAUGUCACAGGUCCCCUGAGCACAAAUCCCCAGCCAGCCUUUUUAUACGACCAGGAUAUCCCCUUUCAAAUCUCCCACUGCAGAUGGGCAGUGCUCUGAUUGUUUGCUAGUGCAAAGGCAAACCUGAGUUUAAGGUGCCAUCUAGUCCUGAAAGGAGGAAGUGACCAAGUGAGAAAAAAGUAUAAGAUAUUGAACAGGUAAUUUAAGAAGAAUCUCUAAGUUAACAUCCCAUCCCCAAUUAAAACCAAAACAAGCCAGACAGAGAAGACUAAAGUAAUCCUUUAAUGCAAAGACGUAAAUAUACAUCCACAAGAAACAACAGGAAACAGGAAACCAUGAACAACACAAAUGGACAAUGUAAAGAACCAGUGAUUGACCCUAAUGAGAUGACAGUACAUCAAAUACCUGACCAAGACCUCAAAAUAAUAGUUUUAAGGAAACUCACUGGUAUCUAAGAUAACACAGAAAGGGAACUCAGAAAUUUAUCAGAGAAAUUAAACAUGGAGGUUGAAAUAAAAAAAAAGCCAGCAGAAAUCUUGGAACUGAGAAAUAUAUCUGCUGAGCUCAAAAAUUUACUGCAGGCUCUCAACAGCUGAAUGGAUUAAACAGAGGAAAGAAUCAGUGAACUAAAAGACAGGCUAUAUGAAAUCACGAGGAAAAAAAAAUGAAAAGCAAGAUAGAGAAUAUUACACAGGGUAGCUGGCAUGAUGGCCGAAUAGGAACAGCUCCAGUCUGCAGCUCCUGGCGAGACCAACACAGAAGGCGGAUGAUUUCUACAUUUCCAACCGAGGUACCCAGUUCAUCUCACUGGGACUGGUUAGACAGUGGGGUGCAGCCCACGGAGGGAGAGCAGAAGCAGGGUGGGACAUCGCCUCACCUGGGAAGGGCAAGGGGCCGGGGAACUCCUUCCAGUAGCCAAGGAAGCCCUGAGGGACUGUACUAUCCAGCCCAGAUACUAUGCUUUUCCAUUGGUUUUUGCAACCCAGAGACCAGGAUAUUCCCUUGUGUGCCUACACCACCAGGGCCCGGGGUUUCAAGCACAAAACUGGGCGGAUGUUUGGGCAGACACUGAGCUAGCCGCAGGAGUUUUUUUUUCAUACCCCAGUGGCACCUGGAACUCCAGCGUGAUAGGGCUGUUCACUCCCCUGGAAAGGGGGCUGAAGCUAGGGAGCCAAGUGGUCUCACUCAGUGGGUCCCACUCCCAUGGAGCCCAGCUCUCACUGCCAGCACAGCAGUCUGUAGUUGACCUGGGAUGAUAGAGCUUGGUGGUGGCAGGGGCAUCUGUCAUUACUGAGGCUUAUGUAGGCAGUUUUCCCCUCACAGUGUUAAAGAAGCCACUGGGAAGUUCGCACUGCGGGAAGUUCAGACUGUAUGAAACUCACUACAGCACAGCAAAGUGCCUGGGGCCAAACUGCCUGUCUAGAUUCCUCCUCAUUGGGCAGGGCAUCUCUGAAAGAAAGGCAGCAGCCUCAGUCAGGAGCUUAUAGAUAAAACUCCUAUCUCCCUGGGACAAGGCACCUAGGGGAAGGAAUGGCUGUAGGCACAGCUUCAGCAGGCUUACACAUUCCUGCCUGCUGGCUCUGAAGAGAACAGCAGAUCUCCCAGCACAGUACUCAAGCUCUGCUAAGGGACAGACUGCCUCCUCAAGUGGGUCCCUGACCCCUGUGGCUCCUGACUGGGAGAGACCUCCCAGGAGGGGUUGACAGACACUUCAUACAGGAUAGGUCCUGCUGGCAUCAGGCAGGUGCCACUCUGGGAUGAAGCUUCCAGAGGAAGGAGCAGGCAGCAAUCUUUGCUGUUCUGCAGCCUCUACUGGUGAUACCCAGGCAAACAGGGUCUGGAGUGGACCUCCAGCAAACUCCAGCAGACCUGUAGAAGACGGGCCUGACUGUUAAAAGGAAAACUAACAAUCAGAAAGCAGUAACAUCAACAUCAAAAAAAAAAAAAAAAAAAAAAAAAGGAUCAGCACCAAAGAUCAAAGGUAGAUAAAUCCACUAGAUGAGGAAAAACCAGCCCCAAAAUGCUGGAAAUUCCCAAAACCAGAACACCUCUUCUCCUCCAAAUGAUCGCAACUCCUCUCCAGUGAGGGCACAAAACUGGAUGGAGAAUGAAUUUGACAAGUUGACAGAAGUAGGCUUCAGAAGGUGGGUAAUAAGAAACUACUCGGAGCUAAAGGAGCAUGUUCUAACCCAAUGCAAGGAAGCUGAGAACCGUGAUAAAAGGUUACAGGAACUGCUAACUAGAAUAACCGGUUUAGAGAAGAACAUAAAUGACCUGAUGGAGUUGAAAAACAGCAUGAGAACUUCGUGAAGCAUACAGUAUCAAUAGCCAAAGUGAUCAAGUGGAAGAAAAGAUAUCAGAGAUGGAAGAUCAACUUUAUGAAAUAAAGCGUGAAGACAAGAUUAGAGAAAAAACAAUGGAAAGAAGUGAACAAAGCCUCCAAGGAAUAUGGGACUAUGUGAAAAGACCAAACCUACGACUGAUUAGUGUACCUGAAAGUGACAGGGAGAAUGGAACCAACUUGGAAAACACACUUCAAGAUAUCGUCCAGGAGAACGUCCCCAACCUAACAAGACAGGCCAACAUUCAAAUUCAGGAAAUACACAGAACACCACUAAGAUACUCCUCAAGAAGAGAAACCCCAAGAUACAUAAUUGUCAGAUUCUCCAAGGUUGAAAUGAAGGAAAUAACGUUAAGGGCAGCUAGAAAAAAAGGUCAGGUUACUUCCAAAGGGAAGCCCAUCAGAGUAACAGCGAAUCUCUCUGCAGAAACCCUACAAGCCAGAAGAGAGUGGGGGCCAAUAUUCAACAUUCUUAAAAGAAUUUUCAACCCAGAAUUUCAUAUCCAGCCAAACUAAGCUUCAUAAGUGAAGGAGAAGUAAAAUCACUUACAGACAAGCAAAUGCUGAGAGAUUUUGUCACCACCAGGCCUGCCAUACAAGAGCUCCUGAAAGAAGCACUAAAUAUGGAAAGGGAAAACCGGUACCAGCCACUGGAAAAACAUACCAAAAUAUAAAGACCAACGACACUAUGAAGAAACUGCACGAACAAAUAUGCAAAAUAAACAGAUAGCAUCAUGAUGACAGGAUUAAAUUUACACAUAACAAUAUUAACCUUAAAUGUAAAUGGGCUAAAUGGCCCAAUUAAAGGACACAGAUAGGCAAUUUGGUUAGAGUCAAGGCCCAUCUGUCUUGACCCAUCUCACGUGCAUCAGGAGACCCAUCUCACUUGCAAAGACACACAUAGGCUCAAAAUAAAGGGAUGGAGGAAUAUUUACCAAGCAAAUGGAAAGAAAAAAAAAAAGCAGGGGUUGCAUUCCUAGACUCUGAUAAAACAGACUUUAAACCAACGAAGAUCAAAAAAGACAAGAGCAUUACAUAAUGGUAAAGAGAUCAAUGCAACAAGAAGAGCUAACUAUCCUAAAUGUAUAUUCACCCAAUACAGGAGCACCCAGAUUCAUAAAACAAGUUCUUAGAGAUCUACAAAGAGACUUAGACCCCCAAACAAUAAUAGCGAGAGACUUUAACAGCCCACUAUCAAUAUUAGACAGAUCAACGAGACAGGAAAUUAACAACUAUAUUCAGGACUUGAGCUCAUAUCUGGACCAAGUGGACCUAAUAGACAUCUACAGAACUUUCCACCCCAAAUCAAUGGAUUAUACAUUCUUCCCAGCACAUGGCACUUAUUCUAAAAUAGACCACAUAGUUGGAGGUAAAACACUCUCAGCAAAUGCAAAAAAUGGAAAUCAUAACAAAGUGUUUCUCAGACUGCAUUGCAAUCAAAUUAGACAUCAGGAUUAAGAAACUCACUCAAAACAGCACAACUACAUGGAAACGGAACAGCCUACUCCUGGAUGACUACUGGGUAAAUAACAAAAUUAAAGCAGAAAUAAAUAAAUUCUUUGAAACCACUGAAAACAAAGACAAUGUACCAGAAUCUCUGGGACACAGCUAAAACAGUGUUAAGAGUGAAAUUUAUAGCACAUUAAAUAUAUAAAUAUAGAUAUACAUAAUAUAAUAUAUAUAAAUAUAAAUAUAGCACUAAAUUUAUAGCACAUCAGAAAGUGGAAAAGAUCUAAAAUCAACACCCUAACAUCACAAUUAAAAGAACUAGAGAAGCAAGACCAAACAAAUUAAAAAGCUAGCAGAAGACAAGAAAUAACUAAGAUCAGAGCAAAACUGAAGGAGACAGAGACACAAAAAACCCUUCAAAAAGCAUCAGUGAAUCCAGGAGGUAGUUUUUUUGAAAAGAUUAACAAAGUAGGCCACUAGCCAGACUAAUAAAGAAGAAAAGAGAGAAGAAUCAAAUAGUCACAAUAAAAAUUGAUAAAGGGGAUAUCACCACUGAUCCCACAGAAAUACAGACUACCAUCAGAGAAUACUAAAAACACCUCUAUGCAAAUAAACUAGAAAAUCUAGAAGAAAUGGAUAAGUUCCUAGACACAUACACCCUCCCAAGACUAAACCUGGAAGAUGUUGAAUGAAUCCCUGAAUAGACCAAUAACAAAUUCUGAAAUUCAGGCAUAAAUUAAUAGCCUACCAACCAAAAAAAAAAAAAAAAAAAAAAGCCAAGGACCAGAUUGAUUCCCAGUCAAAUUCUACCAGAGGUACUAAGAGAAGCUGGUACCAUUCCUUAUGAAAGUAUUCCAAACAAUAGAAAAAGAAGGACUCCUCCCUAAUUCAUUUUAUGAGGCCAGCAUCAUCCUGAUACCAACCUGGCAGAGACACAACAAAAAAAGAAAAUUUCAGGGAAUAUCCCUUAUGAACAUCAGUGUGAAAAUCCUUGAUAAAAUACUGGCAAACCGAAUCCAGCAGCACAUCAAAAAGCUUAUCUGCCACGAUCAAGUUGGCUUCAUCCCUGGGAUACAAGGCUGGUUCAACAUACACAAAUCAAUAAACGUAAUCCAUCAUGUAAACAGAACCAAUGACAAAAACCACAUGAUUAUCUCAAUAGAUGCAGAAAAGGCCUUUGAUAAAAUUCAACACCUCUUCAUGCUAAAAACAAUAAACUAGCUAUUGAUGGAACAUAUCUCAAAAUAAUAAGAGCUAUUUAUGAAAAAACUUCAUAGCCAAUAUCAUACUGAAUGGGCAAAAGCUGAAAACAUUCCCUUUGAAAACCAGCACAAGACAAGGAUGCCCUAUCUUACCACCCCUAUUCACCAUAGUAUUGAAUUUCUGGCCACGGCAAUCAGGCAAGAGAAAGAAAUAAAGGGUAUUCAAAUAGGAAGAGAGGAAGUCAAAUUGUCUCUGUUUGCAGAUGACAUGAUUACAUAUUUAGAAAACCCCAUCUUCUCAGCCCAAGGACUCCUUAAGCUGAUAAACAACUUCAGCAAAGUUUCGGGAUACAAAAUCAAUGUGCAAAAGUCACAAGCAUUCCUAUACACCAAUAAUAGACAAGACAGAGAGCCAAAUCAUGAGUGAACUCCCAUUCACAAUUGCUACAAAGAAAAUAAAAUACCUAGGAAUACAAAUUACAAGGGACGUGAAAAACCUCUUCAAGGAGAACUACAAACCACUGCUCAAGGAAAUAAGAGAGGGCUCAAAAAAACUGGAAAAACAUUCUAUACUGAUGGAUAGGAAGAAUCAAUAUCAUGAAAUGGCCAUACUGCCCAAAGUGAUUUAUAGAUUCAAUGCUAUUCCCAUCAAGCUACCAUUGACUUUCUUCAUAGAACUAGAAAAAACUACUUUAAAUUUCACAUGGAACCAAAAAAGAGCCCAUAUAGCCAAGACAAUCCUAAGCAAAAAGAACAAAGCUGGAGGCAUCAUGCUACCUGACUUCAAACUAUACUACAAGGCUACAGUAACCAAAACAGCAUGGUACUGGAAACCAAAACAGAAAUAUAGACCAAUGGAACAGAACAGAGCCCUCAGAAACACCACACAUCUACAGCCAUCUAAUCUUUGACAAACCUGACAGAAACCAGCAAUGGGGAAAGGAUUCCCUAUUUAAUCAAUGAUGCUGGGAAAACUGGCUAGCCAUAUGCGGAAAACUGAAACUGGAUCCCUUCCUUACAACUUGUACAAAAAUUAACUAGAGAUGGAUUAGAGAUUUCAACAUAAAUCCUAAAACCAUAAAAACCCUAGAAGAAAACCUAGGCAAUACCAUUCAGGACAUAGGCAUGGACAAAGACUUCAUGACUAAAACACCAAAAGCAAUGGCAACAAAAGCCAAAAUUGACAAAUAGUAUCUAAUUAAACUAAAGAGCUUCUGCACAGUAAAAGAAACUGUCAUUAUAGUGAAAAAGCAACCUACAGAAUGGGAGAAAAUUCAAUCUAUACAUCUUACAAAGGUCUAAUAUCCAGAAUCUACUAAGAACUUAAGCAAAUUUACAAGAAAAAAACAACCCCAUGAAAAGGUGGGUGAAGUAUAUGAACAGACACUUCUUGAAAGAAGACAUUUAUAUGGCCAACAAACAUAGAAGCUCAUCAUCACUGGUCAUUAGAGAAGUGCAAAUCAAAACCACAAUGAGAUACCAUCUCACACCAGUUAGAAUGGCAGUCAUUAAAAAGUCAGGAAACAACAGAUGCUGGAGAGGAUGUGGAGAAAUAGGAAUGCUUUUACACUGUUGGUGGGAGAGUAAAUUGGUUCAACCAUUGUGGAAGACAGUGUGGUGAUUCCUCAAGGAUCUAGAACCAGAAAUACCAUUUGACCCAGAAAUCCCAUUACUGGGUAUAUACCCAAAUGAUUAUAAAUGGUUCUACUAUAAAGACACAUGCACACGUAUGUUUAUUGCAGCACUAUUCACAAUAGCAAAGACUUGGAACCAACCCAAAUGUCCAUCAAUGAUAGACUGGAUAAAGAAAAUAUGGCACAUAAACUCCAUGGAAUACUAUAUAGCCAUAAAAAAAGAAUGAGUUCAUGUCCUUUGCAGGGACAUGGAUGAAGCUGGAAACCAUCAUUCUCAGCAAAUUAACACAGGAACAGAAGACCAACCACCACAUGUUCUCACUGAUAAGUGGGAGUUGAACAAUGAGAACUCCCACUUAUCAGGGAGGGGAACCUCACACACCGGGGCCUGUUGGGGGGUUGGGGACAAGGGGAGGGAGAGCAUUAGGACAAAUACCUAAGGCAUGUGGGGCUUAAAACCUAGAUGAUGGGUUGAUGGGUGCAGCAAACCACCAUGGCCCAUGCCUGUUAGAAUGGCUUUUAUAAAAAAGAUAGGGAAUAAUAGAUGCUGGUGAGAUGUGGAGAAAGAACCUUUUAUACCAUUGGUGGGAAUGUAAAUCAGUAUAGCCAUUAUGGAAAACAGGAUGGAAGUUCUUGAAGAAACUACAAGUGGAACUACCAUAUGAUUCAUUGAUACCACCAUUGAGUAUAUAUCCAAAAGAAAGGAAAUAAAUGUAUCAAAAAAUAUCUGCAACCCUGUUUAUUUCAGCACUAUUCACAAUAGCCAAAAUAUGGAAUCAACCUAAGUCUCUAUCAACAGAUGAAUGGAUAAAGAAAAUGGAUCUGGAGAUCAUCAUACUAAGUGAAAUGAGCAAAGAGCAGAAAGAAAUAUUGCAUGUUCUUACUCAUAUGUGGGAGCUGAAAAAGUGGGUCUCAUGGGGUAGAGAGUAGAUUGGUGGUUACCAGAUGCUAGAAGGGUAGAGGGAAGUAGGGAAUGAAGAGAGGUUGAUUCAUGAGUACAUAUGUACAAUUAGAUAGAAGAAAUAAGACCUGAUGUUCAAUAGAUCAGUAGGUUGACUAUAGUUAACAUUAAUAGAAUGCAUAUUUCAAAACAGCUAAAAAGAAAUAAUUUGAAUGCCCUAGAAUAAAGAAAGGUAAACAUUUAAGAUGAAGGAUAUCUCAGUUACCCUGAUUUGGUUAUAUGAGUGUAGCAAAUUUUUACAUGUAUGACUAAAAUAGGUACAGCUAUUAUGUAUAAAGAAAAAAGAUGUGUACUUGAAUAUGGCAGGCCUUAAAAUUCAGUAAUUUAUUUCCAAAUUGUUAUUCAGACAGUAUCAAGGAGUCUAUAUUUGUCAGGAUAAUCUAGAGUUAGAUCCUAUUUUAGAGUUUAAUUAGAGGCUGAAACGUGAGCUUCCUGAUGACAUACGCACAGCCUUGAAGGGCAGAGUAGAGGAAAAUCACCUUUCGCAGGUUCCUAUCAUCUUCCACAAAUUCCUAAGAAUUGGAUGCUCUUCUAUAAUAUUGGUAUCCUUUUUCCUCUCAUAGUUAUAAUACCAAAAUCACUGCAUAGACGGAAGUUAUACCUUGUCAGGAGAAACCCUUUGUAUAUUGUCUUAAAAGUCUAUAAAAUUAAUGUGAGGUUUACUUGAUUCACUAUGUUAGUUAUGAUAAUUGUUUUAUGCCACUAGAAAUCGUUUUUACUCUCUGAAAAAUAAUGUUUCAAAACGAAAAUGGACCUUGAAAGAUUUUAUCUUUCAAAUUCUUCAUUUUGUAAAUGAGAACUCACUGUUCAACAAAGUUAAAUAAUUAGCUCAAGGUCUUAGCAAUUUUAUUAGACUAACAGUAUUUCUGGUUUUCUGAAAGAGUGAUUGAGAAACAGUAGCUUAGGAAGUUUGAAAAAUUAAGUAAAUGUUUUUGAUCCAGUUUUACAUAUACUUACAACUCAUGAAAAAAUAUGAACUAAGUUUUAGUAGUGUUUAUCUUUGGGCUUCUCAUUUCCUACUAUGUAAAUUUCAUAGUCUUGUUUUGUUACAACAAUCAAGACUAAUUUCUAUUUCAGAAAUAUCUUUUGCAAUCUCUUUGAAUGUUUUAAAAUAAAACCUCUACUGCUUAAUAAGAUUAACUUCUUUUAACUAUAAUUGUUCACAGAUAAUUAAUGUUUUUUAUUUAUUAAUUCAAAUGAUAAGAAAGAAUUGAGUAACAUCAAAUGUGCUAAUAGUGUUUGCCAUAUGCUAUAGGCUGAAUGUUUAUUGCUAAUAGCAUUUGCCAUAUUCUAUAGACUGAAUGUUUAUAUCUCCCCCGAAUUCAUAUAUUGAAAUCCUAACCUCCCAUAUGAUGGUAUCUGAGGGUGGAUCUUAGGGAGGUGAUUAGGUAUGAUAGCAGAGCCCUCAUGACUAAGAUUAGUGUCCCUAUAAAAGUGCCCAAACAUCUCCCUCACUCCUUCUGUCAUGUGCGGACUCAGUAAGAAGACCAUUGUCUACAAACAAGGAAAUAGGCCUUCUCGAGACAUCAAAUCUCCUGUGGCCUUGAUCAUGUACUUCCAGCCUCCAGAACUUUGAGAAAUAAAUUUCUGUUGUUUUUAAGCCACCCAGUCUAUGGUAUUUGUCGUAGCAAUCUGAAUGAACUAAGGCAGAAAUUGAUACCAAAAAGUGGGAGUGCUGUUAUAAUAAAUACCUAAAAAUGUGGAAGCAGUGUUGGAACUGGGUAAUGGGUGAAGGAGGCUGGAAGAGUUUUAAGGUGCAUGCUAUAAAAAAGUCUACAUUACUGUGAAAAGGGAAUGUCAUAAAAUUCUAAGACAAACCUGACUAGUUUCAUACUAAAUUUAAUACUAUUAAUGCCUAAUGAAUUUUAUUCUAGCAAAUCAUAACAUAUAAUAAAUAGAAGAAGCUCUGCUGUAAUAAUGUCAUUCCUCAUUCUCUUCUCUGAGAGAAAUAUUCCUAGAUACUUUAACCAUUCCCCAUAAAUCCUAUUAUCCACCUUCUUACAUAUUUAUACAUUCACAAUCUUAUGGUUACUACAUUUUGCUCUAGCAUUUCACCUGUCUCAGGUUAUCGAUCAGUAUAACUCAAUAGACGUUUCCCUUAGGUAGGGCAAAUGGCUGCACUUAUGACUAAGUCUGAUCAAAGGCACAAUUUGUUUGCCUUUAGAAAUUUUUGUUUUCCAUGACUGCAAGAAAUACUGCUGAACAAGACAUUUCUUCAUCAUCCUUGAUGAAAGAUGAACAUUAAUAAUGCAGAUAGAAAUCAGGCCAAGUAAUGUUGAAGAGAAAACAAGGUCCAGUAGCACUACUUCCUUUUAGAAGAUAAGAAUAAACAGAUUUAAAAUGGCAAGCUCAAUAAUUUUACCCUAACAAAAAAUGAGGUGAGUACUAUAUAACCCUUAAAUUCUGAAGAGUUUAAAAUCAAUUUAUGUACUCGUAUCUUGAAAAUAUUUGUGUAUAAACAUAUCUAUACUUAUCUACAUCUAUGACUAUUUCUUUACAGGUAUGGUAUGCACUCUUAUGCAUGUAACAUAUGCUCUUUUAAAUAUGAGUCAUAUGUAUCCAAUAUUACUGUAAUAUACCAAGGUCAACUUUCAUUUGUAAGUUUUGUGAUAUCUUAUUCUUUUAUGUAUCUUCUAUAUAAUGGAAGCCCUCUGAUAUUCUGUAUAAGUAAAGAAAAAAGAUUUUAGAGGCAUAAAAACUUAAAAAAAAACUAAAGCAAUACUAACAUUUAAUUCAAUUGCUCAUUUACUAAAUACUUACUCAUCAUUUUGUGUAUGCCAAGCACUAUAGAAGUUCAUUUCUGCCUAUCAGGCAGAUGGUAUAUGUUUUCUUGUGGCAGCGUAGAAGUAAGGGUGAUAAAAGGGGGAAACCUACAUUCCCACAUAUACAUAAUGGUGGAUUAGUAACCUUCUGUCCUGAUGUGCCUGUAAGAGUCCUGGAUUGUGCCUGUUUUAGCACAAUUAUUAAUAUUGUCCUCUUUCACUCUCAGAAGUGUUUGGGUUUGAGUAUCUGGGUACAUGUCCAAACCCUGACACUUUUGAAUGAAUCCCACAGAGAUUCAUAGGAGAAAAAAUUCUUUUCCAGUAAUAAGAAACAAAGAAGCUGUCUCCGAAUCCUGAAGAAUGGGCUUGCUUUCACUGGGUAGAAAGAAAGAAGAUAUUCAAGGCUUAUGUCUCAUCAUUGCUUGUGUUUUCCCAGUAGCUUCCUAAACUUUGUCCCUGAUUUCUGUUUCUUUUGUUUUUUUGUUAUCAGCAGUUGCUUUUAUUUAUUUUAUUUAUUUAUUAUUUCCAUUGCUUUAGUGGUACAAGGUUUUUUUGUUGUUGUUGCAUGAGUGAACUGUAUAAUGGUGAAGUCUGAGCUUUUAAUGUAGUGAUGUAGUGAUGAAUAGUGUACAUUGUACCCAAUAGGUGAUUUUUUAUUCCUCAUCUCCCUCUCCCCCUCCCUACUUCUGAAUCUCCAGUGUCCAUUAUAGCACUCUUUAUGGCUUUGCAUACCCAUGGCUUAGCUCCCACUUGUAAGGGAGAACAUGUGGUAUUUGGUUUUCUAUUCCUGAGUUACUUCACUUAGGAUAAUGACCAGUUCUAUCCUAGUUGCUGCAAACAUGUUUCAUUCAUUUUUAUGGCUGAGUAGUAUUCUGCCAUAAAUAACUACUGUUCAGUCUUCAAGCUUGUCCCGCCUAACUUUAUUGUUCUUGUUGUUCUGUUUUGUUUUGUUUUAGACUUUAGCAGCCUGAAGCCAUGACUUUUAGUUUCUGUCCCUAGUGAUAAGCAGAAAAGGGAGAUGAGCAAGGGGCUUUACUGACCCAAACAGAAAUAGAAACUAAGAACCCAUGACUGUAUUGUCUACCUUGGACACCCCUGAUUUUCUUUAUCCACUCUUCAGUUGAUGGACACUUAUGUAGAUUCCAUAUCUUUGCAAUUGUGAACUGGGCUGUGAUAAACCUACAAAUACAGGUGUCUUUUUGAUAUAAUAACUUAUUUUCCUUUAAGUAGAUACCCAGUAGGGGGAUUGCUAGAUAGAAUGUUAGAUCUCUUUUAGUUCUUUGAGAAAUCUCCAUACUGUUUUCCAAAGAGGAAACAUAAAUGGUACAUAAAUAGUACAUAAAUUGUGCUAAUUUACUUUCCCACCAACAGUGUAUAAGCCUUUCCUUUUCACUGUACCUCACCAACAUUUAUUGCUUUUUUACCAAUGUCAUUUUUCCUAGAAUUAGACAAAACAAUUAUAAAAUUCACAUUGAAUGUUUCCUUUGUCUUGAAGUCAAAAUCUACUCUCACCGACUUUUGCUUCUUUUACAAUUUCUAAAUGGGUCUUCAUCACCAAGGCCCCCACCCUGCAUUUAAAGCCCUUUAUCAUCUGAGUCCUGCUUGUCUCUCAGUCACUGUCAUUGCUCCUUUUUCACAUUAGCAACAGUGAACUCUUAAAAAUGCUCUGAACUGUCCUUGUGUUUCUCAUUUUCAUAUGUGUCUUUAAUUGUCAUCAUUAAAACAAAGACUUAUGUAGUAAUUAUAUGCCUGGAACUGUUGAUCUGAAAGCUUUACUUCCGUUAACUCAUUUAGUCCUCAUAAGAAUUAUUAUUACCAUUUUUACAGAUGAUGAAAUUGAGGCAAUGAGAGGCCAAGAAACUUUUGUAAUAUCAGUAUAGCUGAUAUUUGGAUCCAGGCAAUCUGACUCUAGAGCCUGUGGUUUUGGCCAUUGGUCUGAUAUUUUUGCUGUCCUGGCUGCCCUACCCCGCUUAUUCUUCAAAACCCAGAUCAGAAGUUAUCCCAUUAUAGGCUCGGCGUGGUGGCUUAUGCCUGUAAUCCCAGCACUUUGGGGGGCCAAGGCGGGUGGAUUACUUGAGGUCAGGAGUUCGAGGCCAGCCCGGCCAACAUGGUGAAACCCCGUCUCCACCAAAAACACAAAAAUUGGCCAGGUGUGGUGGUGGGUGCCUGUAAUCCCAGCUACUUGGGAGACUGAGGCAGGAGAAUCGCUUGAACCCGGGGAGUGGAAGCUGCAGUGACCCGAGAUUGCGCCACUGCACUCCAGCCUGGGUGACAGAGGGAAACUCUGUUUCAAAGAAAAAAAAAAAAAAGUUUUCCUAUUAUAUAACCUUUCCCUGUAUCCUCACAUAGCAUUACUCAUUUGUUCUUCAAUAUAUCCUGUAAUUGUACUUAUUUCUUUUGCCGAAUUAGAAAGAUAACUUGAACAAUAACAGAUAUGGGGAAAGCUGGUUGACUUCUGGCUAGUUUUGUUGAUGGCUGAUAGGGAUAGACUAUAAAGGGACUAGUUUUGGACAUAUUAAGUUGAAGGUGAUAGCUGAAUAUGCAAGUACAAAAGUCCAACAGACGUGUGGAGAUGCAGCACCAACUCAGCAAAAAGGCUGCUGCUGCACUACAAAUCUAAAAGGAGAGAAAAUAUUGAUAGAGAGUAAAGGCAAAGAAUCAAAGAUACAGGCCAGGCGCGGUGACUUAACGCCUGUAAUCCCAGUACUUUGGGAGGCGGGGCGGGUGGAUCACGAGGUCAGGAGAUCGAGACCAUCCUGGCCAAAAUGGUGAAACCCCGUUUCUAUUAAAAAAUACAAAAAAUUAGCUGGGUGUGGUGGCGUGAACCUGUAGUCCCAGCUACUCAGGAGGCUGAGGCAGGGGAAUCGCUUGAACCAGGGAGGUGGAGGUCGCAGUGAGAGGAGGUUGUGCCACUGCCUGGCGACAGAGUGAGACUACAUCUCAACAACAACAACAACACAAAAAAGAAGAAAGAAAGAAAGAAAAGAAAAAGAAUCAAAGAUACACUAAGAGGCCUAGGGUACUCUAGUUUUAUGGAAGACACAGUAAGAUGCAAUUUAAAGAGGGAGGAGGUGAUGAUCAUCAUCAUCACUGAAUUCUAAAAAUCUGCCAGAUACGAUGAAGCCUGAAUAAAGAUCAAAUUUAGCUAAUUUAGAGUGGUAAAAGUAGGAGCCAGGUUUGAGACCAUGAAGGAGAGAGAGAAGGUGCUCUGGAAGAAUAAGAUUCAGCAUUGGGCUGGUAUUUGAAUUUGUUUGAGUCACAAUUUAUUUCAAACAGCUUGAAGAAGAAAAAUAAGACUUGUAUCUCAAUGGUUUCCAACAAAAUAUACACAUGCAUAAUGGCAAGUUUAAUUAACACAGGGGUAGUCAGUUCAUAACAACUUAGGGGAAAAAUUAAACUUUCUAUAACAAUACUUUUUUCAUGAUGAAUUUAUCCUUAAAUUUUUUUUUUUACAAAUUUAUUUUAGGGACUUUCUGGUCUCCAUAUUCUCAUAAAUAAAAGUUGCAUUCCAUGAGGAGAAAACAAAAAAACCCAUCACAGUGAACAAUUGAAUUGCUCCGUGGACAUCAUGCCUUUCUAAGCAAGCAUUGAAUAUAGGAGAUGUAUUUAUGAUAACCAGAGACAGAGUAUGUAUAGCUUGGCUCCAUAGGGGUGGUGUUCUCGGUUCCUAUGUCUACCUUUUGUAUUUUCCAGCCCUUCCCUCAUAAUGUUACUGGGAAAGUUAACAGCUAGCAUAACAUUUUGAAAACCCAAAGUGUUUAUAUCAACAAGAUUAUUCACAGUCAAAUUUUCCCAUAAAUAUCACUGGGACCUAUAUUUCUUUUAAUUUUAACCAAGAGUGAAGGUAGUGAGUAUAGAGCCCUGGCUUUAGAAACUAACCUUUAAAAAUAAUGAGAUAAUGACACAGUGAAUAAAGAUGCAUCAGGGUUGAGCAAAGUUAUUUUUUAAGAUUAGAAAAACUGAUUUUGAAAAUGCAAAGGCAGACAAAAAGGAUCAGUCAAGAGGGAAAGAAUAAAGAUAGAAGAGAAGUAGAACAAGUCAUGGAGCAAGGUAUCUGAGAAUGUAGAAAUGAAUGGGAAAAAUUGAUCUCUGAAAAGAUAUAAAAGUAUGGAUUGAAGGAAGGAAGGAAGGAGAGGGAGAGAGGAAGGAAGGGAGAGAGGGAGGAAGGGAGAAAGGGAAAGGUAGGAGGGGGAGGUAAAGUAAGAAAAAGGAAGGAAAAAGGAAGAGAAUGGAAGGAAAGAAAAAGGAAGGAAAAAGGAAGAGAAUGGAAGGAAAGAAAAAGGAAGGGAAGGGAAGGAAAAGGGAAGGGAAAAGGGACUUAGAUAUUUUUCACUGGAUAGGAAAGAAAUUGAGGAAGUUUAUAAUGAUGUCCUCUUGCUUGUUGCUGAGGUGAGGGGCUGAGUUAUCUGCAAAUAUGAGGAGUGUUCUAACGGAAUGAUAAAGGACUCAAGCAGUUGAGUAAAAUCAAUUGAUAUUGCAAAUUAUCCACUUGUGAUUUUAAGAAUUUCUUGGUGAUGCAAUUUUCCCAUCUAUACUUGAUUGUCUAGAGUAUUUUCCUCCUCUAGUGCCUUUGCUGCCACACUGAUUAAAUCAAUAUUGAUUGACAACCUCAGUGGGAUAUUUCCAUGUGCCAGGAAGAAUAGUACUAUCAGCAGUACCCAAUUCAUGGUGGUUUAGAAACACAUUUAUUUUCUUAUAUAAUAAGAAAUUCCAGUGCACACAUGAAGAAUAUGCAAUUACCAGACAUAUUUGCUGUCUUUAGUGCGACAAGUUUAUAUAGUUCGAGUGUCUGGGCUUUGUGAUACAGAUAUACAAACAUACAAACUUAUGCAGUAGAGUUGUCUGUCCCAAUGGUUACUAGACUUUUGGAUUUCAUGCACCAGUAAAAUACAAAUGGGAGGACCGACACCAGGUUGCCAAUUUUCCACUUGGCUAAAUAAAAUAUUAAAACCAAUGACCCAUUAUCACGUAUUCUCACCAUCAUUUCCAAAGAACAUUUAAACAUUAAAUGGUAUUAGUCUUUAGAAAAUAAUCUAAAAGAUACAAUUUCAGGAUAAAGGUCUUUAACUUGGAUAUGUUCAGCUUUAUAAAUAUUUAUGGCAUUAUUCUUAAUUUUCUGGCUUAACUAUAGACAUAUGAAAACCUUGUCAUAAGGGUGCUGCUCUGUGGAGCUGUGUUUGGAAUUACUAUUUAUACCCACAGUGUCUGGUCCCCAGCUUAAACAGCAAAGUGCCACCUUCUGUUAUCCAAAUCAGAUCUGUUUAGCAUCAAAUACUGGGGUCUUAACCACUAUGCCGCAGAUCUUUUCUAAAAUAUUCUUAUUUUAAUUAAACAGUGAUUAUUAUGAAGAACAAGGAAUGUAAUCAUUUCUGUGACUUUUCAGGAAGAUUACUGCUAGGAAAUGAGAAUAGUAGUUAAAAAACCAGUAUAUAUUGAAUUAAUUACCAACAGUAGAUCUAAUUUUGAAGGUAGAAAUUAUAAAGUCCAGGGCAUACAAAAUAUGAUAGUGUGAACACGCAGACAUAGGCACUUCAGUAACACACAGCAAAAAAAAAAAAAAAAUCCUCCCCUUUCUAAAGACACACACACAUCUAUACUUUUAUCUAUGUCUGUUUACAUACAUACAUAUAUAUAUAAAUGUAACUCAUUUUUCUUUGAACUGAUUCAAGAAUGAGCUGCAGACAUUGUUGCAUUCACCCCUAAAUACUUUAGCAUGCAUUUUCAGAGAAUAAGAACAUUUUCUAUUUUCAUGGAACAGGCACACUAGUCUUAACAAAAUUAGGAAAAUUAACACUAUUAUAAUACUAAUAACUAAUAAACAGUCCAUAUUCAAAUUUAUUCAACUUUCCCAAUAAUAUUAUUUAUCUGUUAUUUUUUAAUUUGAUAUUCCAUCCAGAAUUGUGUUUAGUUGUCAUAGUUCUUUGACCUCAUGGAAUUCUUUAGCCUUUCUUUGUCUUUCAUGACAUUGACAUUUUUAAGGAGUUCAGUCCACUUAUUUUAUAGAGUGUCCUCAAUUUGAUUUUCCUUGUAGUUAGAUUCUGGUUUUAAAAUUUUGACUGUGUACCAAGAAGUAAUGUGGCCCUUUCAGUAUAUCUUAUCAGGAGGCACAUAGUAUCAGUUGGUCUCAUAAUUGAUGAUAUCUUUGAAGGUAUUGUCUGCUGUAUUUCUCCAAAGUAUACUUUCUUCUGUUUAAAUUUUCUACUUAAUAGAGAAGAGAUACUUUAAGAUGCUAUAAAUACCCUAUUCCUCAUCAAACUUUCACCCAUGAGUUUUAAUACUCAUUGAUGAUUCUUGUAUGAAUCAAUUGUCAUUAGGGUGAUUGCCAAAUAGUGAUUUUUCUAACUCCGUUAUUUCUUCUACAAUUGUUAAUUAACAUUCAACUGCAAGAAACAGAUUUGUACUUUUCCUUAUUUACUUACAUCAGUAUGUAUUUGCUGAUUCUUAUUCAAUGAAUUAUAAUCUUUUACUAUCAUUUAUUUUGAUGCUCAACUUGCCCCAGAUUUGGCCAGUGGGAAGCCCCUUCUAGUUGGUUCCUGUGUCUUACUGACAUGACCUCAUCAUUCUUUGAAGAAUAAUUACUUUUUAGCACAGAAAAUAUCAUGCCAAAUAUUUCAAAAUGAAUAUGGAGAUUUAUAUGAUUAUGUUUUACCAGUUCUUCUCUUUGUAUUUGGAAAGGUAACAGUGAGUAAUGGCGUGGAUGGGUAGUAUAAAAAGUCUGCAGGGUUUAUCCUAUAAUUCUGACCUACCUUAGUUGGAAAUGGGAAUUUUUUUCAGCUACUAAUAUAUCAGAAUUAAUUGUUGUGUUGCUUUAGGAUUGUGAUGUUAUGAAGAGGCAAAGUCAGUCCAUUGUACAAGGAUGGGAAAAGCCUUUUAAUUACUGUCCCUUUUCUGGUUGAGGCUAUAUUCCCUCUUCUGGCUUCACCUGAUGACAAGGGAAGGCUUCUCGUUCCUCAGAAAUUUAGAUAGAUUAAUUUAGACUGUUAAUUUUACUAUCUGGACCACCCGAGUAACCUUUCCAUGAUAUCUGUGAAUUCUGCACUGGACUUCACUGUGGUUCCCCCAGUUACUGUUUUUCUUUAUCUGCAAAAGUUAGCAAGAUUAAGACCCCAAGCUGAAGCAAGGCACAUCUUUGCUUCCUGCUGACUUUCAUGAGCUGUUGAAUCACCUUGUGUCAGCCAGGCAGGAGACAGAUGGCAUGCUGAAAUGAGGCAUAUAGAAGAAUUUCAUGAAGGGGACAUUUACAAAAGUGUCAGCAAUGUUAGGAGAAAGCUACAAGGAAUACAAAAGCACUCUCAAUGCAGCAGCAGACCUGAAGGAGCAAGGGGAGGAGUGAUUACCUGACCCCAGAGAAAGUAGCUUCAGUUGUAUGAGGGGCAGUCUGAUUGGAGUAUGACUUUUCGGGGAGGAAUGAGUCCAGUGCCAACCCAGCAAAGAAGGAAUUGGAGAAGAAAUAUUCCUAUGUCAAUCUUCUCUCUCUGGUGCUUUCCCACUGGUGCUUCUCAUUGGCCAAACCAAUUGGGAGCUCAAAGGUAGGAGAGCCCAUUUUUGCAAUGUGUAGAAGUCACCCUUCUGGGACACACAGAAUGAUGCAGAAGCAGAGAGAGUGGCUCUGGAGGAGCAAACACAGUAUCCUACACACAUGGCAAUUCUAAAUUUUUAAAUGAUGAUUUAAGGGUUUCUUUUCAUAGCUCAAGGGGUCAUCCACCAUCACUCUGGCUUCCAUACUUCUCUUCCUCCUAGAAUCACUAGCUAUCCUCUGACACCAGUUCUUCCUCCUAACAGAGAACACACCUGCUGCUUGUAAUUCUGGGAGGUCAUUACCCCCUACCUCCAGUGACAUAUCUACCCUAGGUUUUGUUGUCAACGUGGGUAUGCCUCUGUGUGUGUGUGUGUGUGUGUGUGUGUGUGUGUGUGUGUGCGCGCGCGCUCCCCUUCUCCCCCAAUUUGUAAUGUAAAAAAUCUCCAUAUCAUUAGAAUAUUCUGUUAACAAAAAGUGACUGGGCAAACAAUAAAAUAAAAAAUGUAAUCUUUAUUAGUUUUGCACAUUUUAAAUGUUGGUUAGCAUUAUUUAGCAUAAUAGUAGCAUUUUCCAGCAUGCAGUUCACGAAUACAGUUUAUCUAAGUAGUUUUAAGGAAAAGAGGAGCCUAUGGUUUGCUUCUGUAAGAAACACAAAAUGUCCUGAUGUAAUUGACUAUAUAAGUUGACUACUCUGUUUUUGUGGAAAAAAAAAUUAUGAAGCCCACAUUCUAUUUAGAACAAUCUAGAGCAGCAUUACUCCAAAGAAAUGAAAACAUAAACCGAAGUCAGAAAAAAAGAACAAAAAUAACAUAAGCACUACCUUCAAUUCAGUUAGUGCAGGUACUACCAGAAAUAUAAAUAAAAUUUUAAACCCUUUUCCAAUUGCAAAGCAUAAUUUGGAUAUGAAUCGUGAACCUAUUUUGCUCCUUAAAAUUGUGAAAUAAUCUAAAAUUAGCAAAUGUAAUUUAAAAAGCAGAAAUCUACAACUACCCAGUCUUGUUUUCAUGUCUUAUUUAGCAAAUUUCUUUCAUGAAAAAGUACUAUGGACAGAAAGUAAGAAAAGUGAUUGUGAUAUCAACCUGAAGAUAAUUUCCUCUUCAUAUUUAUGUACAUAAUGCUGAAAAAUAAAAUAAAGUGACUUUUUACAGUAUUUAUAUUUGCUUAUAAAAUUCUAAACACAUAUUUAAUAGGUUAAGCAGUGUGUUUUUUUAAACAUGUCUGUACAGUCUGGCUAUAUACCAUAUGUUAUCCACUUAAAAUGUAAAAAUAACCAAAAAGCUGUUAAAGUGCUGCAAACUAUUGCUUAAUGACUUAAAUAAAUGAGAUCUGUUGAACAAUUUCCUUGACUUUACCACUGACAUAUGGUUUCUCAUAAAUGAGAUUCUGAGCAGUGAGAGAAACCAGAUACAGCAGCAUGGUAAUAUAAACAUGCAUUGAUAGCAUCCAAACUAUCUAUAAAUGGUACAGAAUACAUUUUAUUACCUGUGUAAAGCUUGCACUCUACAUUUCUUGUGGUACAUAUUUGAUGCAAUAAAUACUGUGCUUAGGUCAUUAUUUGUUUGCUCAAACGUGCACCACAGGGUAAAAUGACUAUUUACAUAAUAAAUAGCAUUUCAUUAACAUAUACAGUGUCAACCUUGCUGAGAGCCGAAGAUGGCUAAACAAAGUGCAGGAAAAAGCAGAAAUUUAUAAAGAGUAAUUUUGGUCAAUUCAGUCUUCUGGCGGUGGAGGGUGAGGGGCAAUAUUCACUAUUCAGGUUUUUUUUUUAAUACAACAAAAAGAAACAUAACAUUUAUGACUCCAAACAUUUGAAUGAAGUUUGCACCUGCUAAGAUUUACUGGCCUACCCACAAAUAAUCUACUUGGUCUAGGGGCUGGAUUUCGCAAAACAAGAUCAACAAAGCACCUCCACUUAUCACCCAAUUACCCCUCCCAGAAAUAUGGUGAAAUUUAAGAAUUUGUUUUUCUUGUGACUUUUUCUCAUGCAUGAUCUCUAAGUGCAGCAUGCCCUCAUGCAAACCACGACUUUGUGUAGCUGGGAGGGCCAUGUGGUUGCCAUACCCCCCAGGUGGCAUACCUGUUAUAGAGGUCCUUAGCCUAUUUCUCAACAGAAACUUCGUUUACAAAAAUAGUCACAUAUAAUAAACACAUGGAUUAACAAAAAGAUGAAUCCACUAACAGAUUCCAUAAAAAUGUGACAAAUGUGGCAGUUGAAAUGCAAACAGUGGAUACAAUUACUACACUAAAGUGUUUCAUGUUAAACAACCCCAAAAUCACAGGUUUGCACCCCUUGAAACUGGUCCCUACAGUCUGACUAGCCAUUGUGCAUCUUAUCUUCAGCAGUGUCAGCUGGUAGUGAGAACAGUAACCUCCUGUCAAGGUCAUCUCCCCUUUACACAGAGUCACAGUUUGCUGACAAGGGGUCACUGUCUUAUUGUAGGCACUGACCUUAAGGAGAUUUGUGUAAAAACAGUCAGUUUGGCAUUGACCUCCUAAAGGAGUCCUGUUGAUAAAAAUACAUCACCUUCACAGGCUGUAAACAAUUUGUCACCCAAUUAUUUUUAUUUAUUUUCAUUUAUUUCCCUUUGGCUUUUUCAUCUUUGCCUUCUUGCUCAUGUUUUUCCACAAUUGGCUUUGUCACCCGGUCAUAGGAAGGUGGACAAGCUGCAGUGGACAUGGUCAGAUCAGUUUUUUCUGUAAUAGAGUUUUCAUUUAUUCUGUCAAUUAUCAUGUCUUCUUUUAUAAGAAGAUUAGCCCCACCUUUGAUUUUGUUUUUAUUGUACGUAAAGGAAGCUUGUUUUACAGUUCGCUUUAAAAGGUGGCGUCUGUAAGCACGCUGAAUAAUGACAGCAGAUACUUCCUCUUGUUUUCGUUUUAAAGUAGUAGUGAUUGGCUGAUAGGAGACCUUGGAAGGAUUGGAAGCCAUGAAUCGCUCUUCCAUCUGUAUUCGUAGAGCAUCCAUCUCUCCACUCUCUCCUAGAACCCGCUUUGUAAAAGCAAAUAAGAUAUCAAGACAGUGGAUCCGGUCACCACUCACCAUGGGCAAAUCCAUGGCAAUGAGCUGGAGUUUGUUUGGUUGUGGCAGAUUGAGAGGCGGUUCAAGCGCAGCUGCAAACUGAGAUAAUUUUUCAAAUUCCAUGAACUGAGUUGCAUCGGGAUCAAACUUCUCCCAAACCUCAUAGAACAUCUCAAAGUCAUCCUCACUCAGAGGCUCUGCACUUUCUUCAGUAGCAACACUGAAGUUCUCCAGGAUGACCGCGAUGUACAUGUUCACCACAACCAGGAAGGAUAUGAUGAUGUAACUGACAAAAAAGAAAAUUCCAACAGAUGGGUUCCCACAGUCUCCCUUAACUGAGCUUCCAGGGUUAACUUUAUUAGGGUCACAGUCGGGUGGCUUACUGUUGAGAAUGGGUGCUAGCAAUCCAUCCCAGCCAGCAGAGGUUGUAAUUUGGAAUAGGCAGAUCAUGCUGUUGCCAAAGGUCUCAAAGUUGAACAUGUCAUCGAUCCCAACUUCCCUCUUAACAUAGGCAAAGUUGGACAUCCCAAAGAUGGCGUAGAUGAACAUGACUAGGAAGAGUAGGAGGCCGAUGUUAAACAACGCAGGAAGGGACAUCAUCAAAGCAAAGAGCAGCGUGCGGAUCCCCUUUGCUCCUUUGAUCAGACGUAGGAUUCGGCCAAUCCUAGCAAGACGGAUCACUCGGAACAGGGUAGGGGACACGAAAUACUUUUCUAUCAGCUCGGCAAGAAACAUACCUAUGAAUAAACAAUGAGAAUACCAACCAGUGAAGAAAUCAUGCGUUAAAAUAAACAUAUGUUUCUUCUAAAGCUCCAAGGUAAGGUUCAGAGUCCUGAACCCAGUUAUAUUAAAUAUGACAACUAUAUAUAAUAUAUAUAUAAUUGUACAUAAUAUAUUAUAAAUCUUAAUUUUGAAAUUCAGCAAUAAUUUCAAUUAUAAGGAUUAUAGUACUUUUUUUUAUCUUUAAGAGAUGUUUAUAAACUACUUUUAGUUUAUGUAAAGUCCCAAGUCAGAAUUUAAAAAGAAAAUAAGUUAAAAAUGCACAUUUGGCCGAACAGUAGCAGCCCAACAGUAUAGGUACAAGUUUAUAUGUAUACAGUGACUUUUUCUGAAAUUGCCAUAUUCUAAAUUCUCUAUUUACUCCUUUUCCAUCUGAAAGUAUUGGUAGCUUUUGAUGCUACUUUCAUCUCCCCAUGAUCUUGGUACUUACUUAAAUUCCACUCUAAUAUUUUUAUAUACUCAUUUAUGUAUGUUCUGGUGCAUUUCUGAAAGGAUCCCAGGUUGAUGCUCUUUUUAGUAUCCUGUACUUAAUGUUGUAUUUCAAUUCUUUUUGGUCUCCUGUACCUAACACUGUAAUCUCAGUCUUCUUAUUUUCAGCUUCUCUCUCCAUUUGCUUUUUAGAUAAAAACAAUACUUGUAAAGUUAAAAAGAAGAGCUCAAGAAACUAAAUGCCUUCAAGUUUAAAUGCCUCAUUCUGAAAAGACGAAGUGUAAGAGUGUGUGUGUGUGUGUGUGUGUGUGUGUGUGAGAGAGAGAGAGAGAGAAGGAGACGUGUGAGAAUACAACUUUUAUACCUUAGCCACACUAGUUAUAACCAAGGAUUAUAAUUAGUGGGAAUCAAAGGCUAUAUACAAUGAGCUGGAUAUAAGGCCAGUUUCUUCAGAGAGGGGAGUGGCAUGAAAAUCUGUCCAACACAGGUGCCUCGUUUUGGAUAGUAAAAUAUUGACCCAAUCAUAUCAUCCUGUUUAGGGAAGAAUGAAUAGGCCCACAGACAGAUGCUUUUUACUUUACUAGAGCUUUAGUUUUGUCUAAUGAAAUGAGCUAUUGCUCAUGAGGCUAGUUAUGUGUUCCAGGCUUUGAAGUAUAGUACUGAUGAUGUCCCAUGCCACCUUAUUUCCCUUGUGCAUCAUUAUGAUAAACCCAUUUUUAAGGUAGUCUAGAAAAUCUCUACAUGACACUUGCAGAGAACCUACUAUAUGCAUUUGCUAAUGUUUAGUCCUUGUCUUUAUUCUCUUUUUAUGCAAUACUUUUCCUUAUCUUGAAACCACUUUCCACUAAUAUCUAUAUGCUGGUGACUCCAUGUCUAUUCUCUAAAGCAAUUUUCGUGAGUACCAGACUACAUUUCUAGUCUUGUUAACAGAACCAUCUAGAUACUAUAUUGGUUCUUCAAUCUCAACAUGUCAAAAACAUUUUUAUUUUAGUUAAUAGCACAGUUCUAGUUCAAAUGAAUGAGGUUUUACUACAUUUACACUAAGUAUAUUGUUCUAAAUGGAUAGAAUAAGAAACAAUACUGACAUAUAGUAGGAGACAUUUUGUUAAAAAAACAAACACACUUGGAUAAAAUGUAUCAAAAUAUUUACAGUGAUUAUCUCUGAUUGCUGGGAUGAUCUUGAAUCUAAUCUUGAUUGUUUCAGCUUUCACUUUUAUUUAACUGAAUUUAAGAACUUUAAAUAUUUCUUACCUACAAUGGAGAGAAUGACAACCACAAAAUCAAAAAUAUUCCAUCCAAUGGUAAAAUAAUAAUGGCGUAGAGAGAUGAGUUUCAGUACACACUCUCCAGUAAAUAGCACAAUGAACACCAGAUUGAUGCGUGACAAAAUGGUAGUCACAUAUUCACUCUGGUCAUCUGUUUCCACCAUCAUUGUGACCAUGUUAAGACAGAUGAGAAUCAUGAUGCUUAUGUCAAAAACUUGUCUGGUUACGAAGUCAAAGACCAUUCCUUGAAAUUUGUUCUGUAGAGAAAUAGAAAUGCUUUUAACAACAAAGGAGUUUUCUCAUGUGCAUUAGCAUUAAGUACUUUCUGCAUUAAUUGACUUUCUAGUUUCUUGCAAAGUAGUCAUUGGCCCUGAUUUUUGUAAGAAUGAUUUAUAGCAUAUUAAUUGUUAAAAUUUAGUUAUUUAAAUUGCCAUUUACUAAUGUGUAUUUCUCAGAAUAACAAUCCCUUAUCCAAAGAAGGUUUCUGAUAAAAACAAACAAACAAACAAACAAACAAACAAAAGAAACAUUCAACACUGUAUACUUCUUCCAGAGGUAUGCAACACAUAUCAACAUUUUAAGAUUAUGAAAAGGUAAGAAACCCAUUUAAUUUUUUUUUCAAGACUUUCCAAUGAUCAGCUGGACCAUACAUCCAUUUUAAAAUAUAGUACUAUUAAUAUUUCACUUGUUGUAUUCUCAAAUAAUUGUUAAGGAGAAUUUGGAAUUUCCAAGACACAUCUAUAACAUUAUGCAUUUAAAUACCACAUAUGGCAAUACUCAUAUUCUUCUACCAAAUAGCCUUGGCUAACAUUGUCAGACACAGAAUCCUGAAACUGCACAAGGAUAAUGAGACCAGAAUGACAUUUCCUAUAUGUUUAUGUCAAAAAAAACUUCACGUUCUUUGUCGUUGAUCUGUGAUUCUGCUUCCCAUUUCUGCCACUGCUAGUCACUGAAGGCCAUCUGCAGGCUUAUUUCUUUGGGCCACUGAGGAAUUCUGAGGGAAUUUUCCAACUUAUAUUUUUCCUAAAUUGUUGUUUCAUUUCUACUCUUAGUGCUAAAUUUUAAUGGAGAAAGUAUAUAUUUCUCAUCAUUCUCAGGAAGGCAAUAUUCAAUCAUCACAAUAUGAAUAUUUGCUAGUAGUUUUUUCCUUGAUGCACCCUAGGAAUUACUGAAACCUCUCAGAUCAUCAUCAUAAAAAUAUUUAUAGUGUGGGAUAAUAGCUGUACAUUUUCAUAGCAAUUUGUUUAUUUCAUCAUGGAAGCAUGAGUAUUGUUAUUUAUCAUCAUAAACUGUAAUUACUGACCCUGACUUCUGCAGACAUUAGUAAUACCUAACUCUAUAGCCAUACAUAUGAAUAGUAGAUACUGGAAUUCUUUCCUCCUUUAAAACACUUAGUAUCUCUAGUGAAAAAUAAAAUAGAAGUAAGGUGUUAUUUCACUCAACACUUCAUUUCUUAAAAUAUUAGGAAAUUGCAUUUCUUACAGCCCCAUCCCAAGGUUUACUUCUUUCCCUGAUAUUACUUGGCAACCAUUCUUGAGUUGUGUGAUUAACUUUCUCUUGUGCACAUCACAUUGUCUAUGUGUCCAUUGGCCAAUUAAUAUGGAUUGUAAUGGGGUGCUUCUAAAUCUCUUGAAGUCAAGGGUGUAUCUUCUAUUUCUUCUUGUUCUUUUUUGGUCUUUAAUUUUUUUUGUUGUUACCAUUAUCAUAAAAGAUACAAACAUCACUUUUAGAUGAUGCUCUACAAGUGAAAGAAAUUUUUUCUACUGGAAAUGUUAGCUACUUUCUUUUUUGUGAGACAAGCAUGCAAGUUUUUGUUUUUGUAUUUUUCCCCCAUAUCAUUUGAUACUUCUUACUCCUGGUCGAGGUAUAGGCUUUUGCGGUUUUUUCGAUCCUAAUUUUUUCAUUGCAUUAUAGUAUUUCUUCUGUUCUUCUGUCAUAAAGAUGUCUUGACCUCCAAAGUAUAGAAAAGAAAAAUCAAACUGGUUAAAACUGUGUCCUUUUGUACAUUUUUUUCAAUGUUAAAAUAGAAAAUGGAUGGCUAAAAAAAGAAAUACAAAAUUCAACUGAUUAGUAUAAUUAUAUCUGGGAUUUAAAAUGUAAAAAAAAUUGUACUCUUUAGGUAUGAUAAUAUUUAAUUCCCUAAAUAAUUCAAAAUUGACUUUAUUAUUAUUAUCUUAUGAAGACAAACACCCCCAAAUCUCAAAAAGGUUAAGUAUUUUACCCAAGACCUUAUGCUUAGUGAGUGGCGAAAUUUGGUUCACUGAGAUAAUAAAUACUUGGUACCUUAUACUAUACAUACUACCUUUAUGAUGUUAAAGGCAAUAAUUUUCUUAUUUAAAUGUAGCAAAGAGUUAGAGGAUGUAUACUGCAAGACAGUUUGGAGUUACUCAUUAAAAAAGUCACUCUAACUCUGUCAAGAAUUGGAGGAAAGGGAUAAAAAGAAAACUGGAUGAGUUAGUGAGAGAUUUAGGGGAUAAAUCAGAGCUCAUAGCAUAGUAAGUAUGGGACAGACCAGUAGGGAUAGAAGAUUGGAACACUGGCAAGUAAGUGAAAUAGAGUAGCCUGAUAUUGACUUAAGAAUACUACUGGUAAUAAGAAAAGGGAAUUGAGGGGAGAAUGUUCUGUAGUCUAAGAAAGCACUCAUUCAUUAUACAAAAAGCAAACCUACUGAACAAGUGAGAUGAAGCAACAGUACAUAAAGGAAGAAAUACAAAUGGCCAAUGAGCAUUUAAGAACAUGUUCAAAUGUAAUAAAAUACAUAAAAGUCAUAACAAUUAAGGUUAUAAAAGUCAUAAAAAUUAAAAUUAAAUACAGUUUUCACCUAUUAAAUAUCAAAUAUUCAAAAACAGAAUGUUUGGUGACAGUGAGGGAACGGUGGCAUGGGUGUUCAUACACUGAUAUUGGGAGUUUGAGUAGUUAUAUUACUCUAGGGGAGUAAAAUACUUCAUUGUGGGAAUUUAUUCUCAGGAAAUAAUUAAAGCCUUAUUUUCUGUCCCUCUCUCUUUUUUUUUGUACAAAACUUUCAACAAGGUACUAUUUAAAUCAUUAAAGAUUAAAAACAAUCUAAAUUAUCAACCUACUGGGGAAUGAAUAAGUAAAUUAUGAUAAUGCAUAUAUGAAGACUUAACAAAAUGAGAAAAUACUUAUGUUAAGUCUAAAGUGGAAUUUAUAAUUAUAGAUAAAAAGUACAACAAUAAGAGUAUGUGCAGAAAUACUCUGAACAGAAAACAAAAUGUGAAUGGCAGCAGUUACUUCCAAGUGAUGAUAUUUAUUUACUUUCCAUAUGUUCUAUAAUGUACAUAGGUAAUUGGGACAAUCAAAUGAGCCUUAUAAAUGAUAAAUAAUAGUCAUACAAUUCAAGACUGAAACGGAUAGCUUGUAUUUAAAUAUCUUGGAGAAAGAAAUGGGAAUAUAUAAAAGAAAUCAAUGACAGAAAAAAGCGUAAAAAUAAACACUAGAAGAAGCUUACAUCCAGUGCCUAAUUUAUUGCAAAGAAUUAGUUGGAAAAUAUAUUUUCAAGGGGGAGUGGGUAGUUGUAGGGAUAAAGUAACAAAUUGCUUUUGGGAAAGAGGCAUAUUCGGUUGCUUUCUAGUUUUAUUCUAAUUAUUAUUUUUUAAAAGAUAGAAAAUGUUUCUUGAUAAUGAAUAAGAGGAGGAAAAACUUUAUGAACCUAUGAACAAGAGUGUGGAACACAGUUAUUCUUAGCUUUCUAUAGCCGGAAAUAUAUGGAUAGUGAAUGACAGAGGAAGAGGAAGGAAAAAUCAGUUAUAAUAUAUACUCCCAUUUUGUUUCUAAAUUCAAGUACUCAUUUGGCAGAGAAAACACUCCAAGGAAUAAUUUUCUAUCUCAGUGGGAGAGAAAAUAUUAGAAAUACUUAUCUUCUUUUUCUGCUGGUUGAAAUUAUCUAUGAUGACACCAAUAAACAGGUUCAAGGUGAAGAAGGACCCAAAGAUGAUGAAAAUAACAAAGUAAAGAUACAUGUACAGACUUUCUUCAUACUUAGGCUGGAGUUCCACCUACCAAAGGGGAAUAUUUUGUAAAAUAUUACCAUACAUUUUAGUGCUGGAAAUGUCACUGGUGCUUUUUCAUAACAAUAGAAAAAAUUAUUCUUACUAAUAUGUCAGCAUUUUUUUUUUUUCUGAAUCAACUACCUCUAAAAAACAUCCCUGAAAUUGGCCUUUAGGGAUGUUUUCAUGUGAAAAAUAUGGCUAUUAUGACAUUCUAAAAUCUAUUUUUAUAACUAUAAAUACAAAUAAUAUUCUUCCAUUUGAACAGUAAUGUGCUAAAUUUGCAAGCUUUUAAGGUACUGAAUUUUAGUAAUUUUAAAAUUAUUAAUAAAAAAUUUAAAACUGUAAAUAUCUACAGGCUAGGUUUAGAAACAGUCAUUCAUGUAUGCAUGAAAUAAUGUAGCAAAUAAGAAAUGAGUUGUUCAUUCAGAUGUUUGGCACUUUACCCUAAAGUAACAGUUAUUGAAUUUUUCAGAUUAAGUAGACAUAGAUGGACAGUCCAUUUUAUAAAUCCUCAGUUGAUUAUUUAAUUCCUAGAUUGUGCUUAAAACAAAUGGGCUAUUACUUAUAAUUUAGUAAUGGACUGAAAGGUCACUAUAGUUUUUUAACAGAUUCAUGUCCUUCUAAAAGCAACAAAGUUAAAAACCAACUAAACACACAAAACAAAAUAUAAGUGACAAAGUGAAAUAAAACAACUCUGGAGGUUAUCAAAAUGAUAUUCAACAUAAAACUAAAGCUAUUUGAAAUGCACUUCAAGAAAGAUAACAUCAAACUCUAUCAGGUUGAAGACUGCAGGGACAGAGGUUAUUCUUUAUGAUGAUAAACUAAACAGAUGGGACUUGAGAAUAGAAAGAUGAAGGUUGAUAGAAAAUACUACAUCUUACAAAGUUUUGAAGAGCAAAGUUGGAAUGAGCAUGAAUUUCAGUUUAGGUCUUGGAGCCUGAAAGAGGCUGAAAUCAAAUAAAAUAGGUUUAUAUUUUGGUGAUAUACACUUAAAGGAAUCUGUUGGUCACAGAAGUGAUUGCAACAUUAGUAAAGGCUCCAGUCAAUUUAUGAAUGCAAAAAUCAUAUAAAAACAUUCUUUUAUAUGGUUUAAAAUAGGAUUAUUUGAAAGAAAUCAUCACAGUAAUCUAAGGCUGACAGAACAAUAUCCAUAACUUUUCAUGCUGUCUAAUAUGGAGGGUGACUAUACAUUUCAACUAAUGAUAGAAAUCAUAUAUUUCUUCAAAUUUGGUCCCGCACACUAAAAUUACUACUAAUUAUAUAAUGUGUGGAUAAAUAGGAAACAAAAUAGAAAAUAUUUAAAAGGAAAAUAUUUGUUAGUUACUAAAUACAUGAAUUUGUUACUUUGGUUUUCAAAAUAAUUCAUGUGUUGAAUUAUCUUAGUAAGAUCUUUCUGAUAAACAUUGCUAUGCUUGAAUAUUUACCUGUCACACUUUUUCCCAAAUAUUUUAAAUCAAGAUAGAAUCAUUUCAUUUGGUCGUUUAUGCUUUAUUCGAUUAAUUUUACCACCUGAUCAAUAUUGUAAAAAGACUUAGAAUACAAGGAAUACUUACAUUUCUGGAAUCAACUGCUGCAUACAUUAUAUCCAUCCAUCCUUUGAAUGUGGCCUAUUAAGAAGGACAUGCAUGUUUUACUUUGGAGUAAAAAUAAUUUAGACCUGAUGUUUAAUAAAUAUUCUUACUGAUAUAAUUUUCAAAAGGGAAUAUUUUUGAAAGACAUUUCAAAACAAAUUUUACACAGAUUUUGGACCAAGACAGUAUUUUAGUAUGGCUUUUCAUUUCUAGAACACAUAUUGAACAAAAUGGCCAUUUGAUAUAUCCUCCCCUUGAUAACCAACUCACAAGCACUUUUCAAUUCUUUAGAGUUCAUGGUGUCAUGAUAUUUAAAGCAGUAUUAAAAUUUGCUGGAGCACUUUUUAGAAAGUCUUACAAAUGCCAACACAUGGGUCAAUAGCUCUAUCAGCCAAAUAAUUACAACUUAGAUCUAAGGAUCAUCUGCUAAAAUUUAUCUGCAGGGUGAUCAAAGUGAUUGAAAAUUUAAGAUUUCUCUUUAUUGUAACAAUGUAAGGAUAGUACCAGGAUACAUAAAGGCAGGGUUGCAACUAUCCUUUUAAGAAUUUUGGAGCAAAACAUUUAGAAAUACAAUCCUUUUAAGAAUUUUGCAUCAAAACAUUUAGAAAUAACCCCCUAUUCUAUUUUCUUUCUGAAAUUCUUGAAGAUAAUAAGUUAAUAUGAAUAAGAAAUGUGAACAAUAGUACAGCAGACACUUGGCACUCACAGGAUGAAGGAUACUCAGGCUAACAACUUACAGUAAUUUGUUACUUGUCCUGGGGCAUGAAUUUUGAGUCCUGUGGGCCUAAAAGGAUUAUCCCUUAGCUAGUGAGGGAGGUUAGCAAAGCCUUUAGCGUCUGUAUCACAAUAUAUCUUUGUUCUGAUAACGCUAACCCUUGUGAGGUGGUGGAUUUCAUGAGACAAAAGCUAAGCAAGGGUGUGGGUGACAGCAGUGAAAAGAAAGUAAUGAUUCCUAGCUAGAAAGUACAAGGCUUUUGUAUAUGAAAGAGAGAGAGAUGUGUUAAAUAUGUCAGUGGCUUAGGUCAAUGAUAGAACAAUUCCAUUACACACUUGGUAUAGAAACAAAAAAGUGAUUCAAGGGACCAUUUCAAUGACUUACUAAUCAAUAGAGAGGUGAUUCUAUAAAAGCCAAAUGUGAAGCAGUAUUUUAGAGGGUUUUUUUUUUUUUUGGUGGCAGAAUUUAUUUAAUAGCUUUGUGCAGGACCAUCACUGUAUUUUCAGAAUUGCUUACAUUUUAAAGGAUUGCUUAAAAUUUUUAAUUUUUCUUUCCUCAAAUUUAUGGAGGAGGUGGUUGCUUUAGUGAUAUUUACAAGUAUGGUCAUUAGUUAAGGGUUAGAAUAAGUGCCCAAAUAAAUAUCAUCAUGUGUCGACAAUUUUUAAAGAAAGCAUUCUUGCUAGAUUUUUUUUAACUUUUGUUUUUAUUUGUCUUUAGAGACAAGGUCUCACUAUGUUGCCUCCACUGGUCUAGAUCUCCUGGCCUCAAGCAAUCCUCCAGCUUUGGCCUCCCAAAGAGCUAGGAUUACAGGCAUGAGCCACCAUGCCCCACCCGUUCUUACCAGAUUUAAAAAAUCUCUAUUUUAAUUGCAUGAAUAUUAUUCAGAGUAGAUCAAAAAUGUUAAGAAGAGAAAUAAGAAUUUCCAACAAAAAGGUGGGAAGAAUUUGUAAAGUAAUCAUAGUUGACACCUCUGGAAGAGCUGCAAAAGGGUUUUGACCAGUGUUGGUUUGUUUGCUUAGUUAGUCUUCUGGUUGAACAGUUGAAAUCAUAACCUUGGUGAGCAAAAAUUGAUUUCUGCCCUAAAGACACUGUAGAACCACAAGGGAAGAAAGAAAUUGUACAGUCUUUUUUUUUUAAGCUGAGUUUUCAAAUAAUCUGGACUCUUAUUUUAUUCCCUGCUUUGUUGUGGUGCUGCUGCAGCUAGAAGCAGAAUCAAAUGAAAAUGUUUAAAGGGCUACCUUUUUUAAAUAUAAAUUAUAAACUAUUUUUCUUGGAGACCCAGUCUUAGAGACCCAGUAGUGAAAACAUUAAUAUUUAGGACAAAAUAGACUUAAAUAAUGGUGCUGAAAGGUCAUUUGAGAUAAGACAACAGCUGCUUUUGCUUCAUUUUUGUUUCUAGUUGCUUCCAGGUAUAAUUCUCUCUCUUUUUUUUUUUUUUUUUUUUUUUUUUUAGAUGGAGUUUCACUCUUUGUUGCCCAGGCUGGAGUGCAGUGGCACCCACCGCUAUGCCUGGUUCUAAUUCUAAAACCUAAAUGUCAUUCCCCAAACUUUGAUCCAAAUAAUAGAACUCAGCAGCAGUUAAUCCCUACCAAUUAAUUACAAUCCAAUUAGGUGUAUUAAGUGUAUGUGUUUUGGAAGAUGAUCUAUCUGUUAAGUGUAUUCCGUUUUGGUAGCUGAUCAGGGAAACAAGCCUUCUAAUCACAAUAAAAAAUGGCAAAGUUACUGAUUUAUUAAUUUACUUGUUUAUAUAGAAAGAGCAAUAUAGAAACAAAGAAAAUACAAGAAAAAAGACAAAGAGGUCUUUGUUUGGUCUGGUCACUACUGACUAUAUCUGCAGUCCUUACAUGUAAUAAAGUUUUCACCCAUCUGGGCUCAUAAACUUGUACUAACAAAUUGAAAUUUUUUAAAUAGAAAGAAAUAUAUACUUUUUCUUAGGAACUAAAUAAUAGAUGUAUGUCAUUAUUUUGUUAUUAUUCCAAACAAUAAAAAUAUUCAGAGAAAAUAGUGUUCACUUACAACUUGAAGCAAAGAGAGAUACCCAAAUCCUACAUUAUCAAAGUUUACUUUCACAUUUUUCCAUCGAGCAGUCUCAUUUCUUUCUAUUAGUUUUAGGCAAUCAGUAUGAUUAUUCACGUCUUCGAUGUCAAACCUGUCACCAGUUGUGGUGUUAAUACAGUGGUAGAAUUUGCCAGCAAACAAAUUUACGCCCAUGAUGCUGAAAAUUAGCCAGAAUAUAAGACAAACCAGAAGCACAUUCAUGAUGGAUGGAAUUGCUCCUAAAAGGGCAUUCACAACCACCUAAUACACAAAUGGAAAAAAAGAAAAGUCAGAAUUCUUAUCUGUUAAUAAAGAAAAAAAAUUCCCCUAGUAAUCUCUGGUCUUUCCAUUCUUUUUUUCUAUCAAUGCUAUUUAUUCUAGGAUAUGUAAAAGCAAGGUUCAAAAAAAUCUUAAAAUUCAUUUUUUUUUCUUAAGCAAUACACUUAGGAAAACAACUAUAGGCAAUAUAACCAAGAAAUGAAACAAAAAUGUUUUUAAAAAAAAGGGAGGGAGAAGCAUUAAAAGGUUAAAGGAAAAGGAAAAUCAGAGGAACUUGCUGCCAGAUGAAGUCAGAAUUGUGUUAUCAGAAUAAAGAAAAGUUAAAAAGCCUAUACAGAAGUUUAACUCAUUUUAAAAAGGCAAUAUAUUAAAGAACAAAACUAAAACAUUUGGACCUGAGUUGAUUUGACCAAUAUAUUUUUAAAAUAACUUAAAAAUUCAGAUGAUAAAUAUAAAAAAUAUUAUUAAAUACCUAAUAUAAUUGUCUUUAAUUAUUCAUGCAUUGCUAUGACUAAUAAUUUUUGCAUAAGAAGCAAGACAAUUUGCAUUAUGUAUUUCAUUAGAUCAUCACAUCGUUUAUUUCAAGCUCCAGUCAUGUCAGUUGUUUCAUUUACUGAGUUUAAUUCAAAAAACUUAUUUCAAAUGAAACAUAAUAGAAAUCAUUUCUUAGGAAAAUAAGAAAAAGAGGGAUGCCAUACAUAGUUCUCAAAUCUGAUGUGAUCACAUGAAGUUCUGUGUUCAAUUAUUAUCUACUUUUUUUUUUUUCUAUAGAAGGAUGUUUUCCCCCUCUUUACUUCUGGACCACUAGUUAAAAAUCUUGAGUGUUCAUGUUUGGAAACAACAUAGGGAUGGCUUCCUUGCUUUUUCCUCCAUACCUCCCACUGGAGCUGCACAGGAGUGGCUAAGAGGGAAGCUAAAAACAGACCCUAAAAUGCUUAUAAGGGGCAGCUGCCUCAAACUUGGACAUUAAUAGCUAAGUUUAAUUCCACCUAUGUGCUUGUAUUAUUCUUGUCAGUCUGAUCCAAUGGAAGUAGUCGUCAAAACAUCUUCUAUUUGCCAUUUGAUGCCAGUGUAUUUUUAGAACAAUUUUUUUUAACUGCCUGUCUGAAAAAAAAAUACAUGAGCCAAUUUCUUAUACUUCUGAUCCCUGUUUAAAGCCUGUAAAGAACUCUAGGCCUUCUGGGGAACAUAAAACAGUGUGAUAAGUGGGCCAAAGAAAAUAAGAAUACCAGUAAUGACAAAGGUGGAGGGGAUGAGUAUGAAAAAUUAAUUUGGUUGAGUUAUCCAGGCAGAACCAAAUGAUGUGGCCGAUGCAACUACCAAGCUGACACGUGACACUUUGCCUUAUCUCAUCUGACUGUCUGCAUUAAUACAAUGGACUUCAUAAAUUCUCGUUAUAUAAUUUAUUUUAAAUGGAUGAAUAGAAUUAGAUUUCUUUCAGAUUAGAGAUUUGGAAAUUGAAAUCAAGUUACUAUUUCCCUUCUUUUCUGAAUAUUUUGUCCACUAUCCAGAUUACAAUGCUGUUUCUAGUGUGUAUACACAGAGUACUAAUUAAAAUACGUAUUUUGCCUUCAACACCCAAUUUAGAGUAUGAGCAGAACACUGAUUAUCUAUACCUAUUUCUCGAUUUUCUUUUCACAUUACCUGUCUCACAUUUUUUCUUUGAAACGUUUCUCAGCUUUGCCACCUCUUUUCCAUUCUCACAGUCACCACCUAGAACUGCCCUCUGUUAUUUCAUACUUGCACUGUCAUCUGUCUCCUAACCUUCUCCUUCAUUUAAUCUAUGUAAGAUGAAUUAAUCUUCCCCAAGUCCCACUUGAAAGUUAUUUAUUGGCUCUCUGGUAACUAACAAAUAUUUUUCUUACCUUGGUAUUCACAUCACUCCACAAUCUAUAUUUCCAGUUUUAACUUCCCUGGUCAUCUAUACUUCAUGCCACUUCAAUUAAUAUAAUAACCGUGUGCUAAUAUAAUUGCCAGGUGAUUGAGAUGCCAUUUACAUUGAAAUUCCUUGUCUAAUAGCUCCUCUUCUGAAAUACUCUCCCCUCUUAAAGGCUUUAGUUCAAAUAGCACUUCUUUCAUGGAGCCUAACUUUGUCCCCCAGUUUAGCCUCCAAAAUAAAGAGGAAUGUUUUCCCCUUUGAAUUCAAGAAUCAGAAUUCUAGUACUGAACAGAACUGUACAGAUAAUUCAGUAUUGCGUUCUCAUUUGGCAUAUGAGAAAAAUGAGGUUAAAACAAGUUAAGUUCAGAAAGUAGCCUAUAAAUAGCAUUUAGUGCUGUUUCCAGUCUACGUGGAAGAGUUGCUCCCACUUAUCUGGUACCCAUAUUACUCUGUACUAGAGUUCAGUGUAAUCCUGACAGAUUGUAAGAUUUUCUAAAAAUUUAAGAUGCAAACAUAUGUUCGUGAAUCUUCCAGGGCCUUGAGUGUCUUGAAUAUAAGAACAUACCAGAGAGCUUUGAAUAUAGGAAUAAAAUAAUGGUUGACAAAAAUGAAUGGGUUAAUGAAGCAAAGUUUAGAUUAGUAUUUAUUGAUCAAAGCAUAAUUUUUAAAUGUUAUUUCUGAAUAUGGGAUGAGAAUAAUUAAGGAACUGAGCACAGGGAGAAGUUUGUGCUUAGGUAAUAUGUUUGAGAGGUUUACUUUGAAACUGGGGAUUGAUUUAGAGUUAAAGCGAACUCUAUGGAAUUUAUGACGCAAGCAUGUACUCUGCAGCAGUGCACUUCAGGAUAUGAUUUGCAAAGUUGGCAUACAUUUGGCCCAGAGAAAAGUUUUAUUUUUUUUGUGAACAUAAAAUAACUUUAUCUUAGAAAACAUCUGGCACAGUAUUGGGGAGUUUAUUAUACAAAGCUAUAGUCAUAUUUAUGAUGUAUUAAAUUAGACAAUGAAAGAUCAUAGAAAAGAUUGUCUUUUCCCAAGAGUUCCAAGCCAUUCCUUGGUUCAGCAAAGAAGGAGGUGUAUUAACUUUUUUCAGUCUCAAUAAAGCUGCAGUAAUUGGUUCUUAUGGGGGGAAGAAAGUAGGCAGAAUUAGUCUGAAUAAAUUGGAAAGAACAAAUUUCAAAUUGAACUUUCAGGCUACAUGAAAGGAAAUGUCUGAGAAAGGAGCUAUCUUAAUGAAUUAAUACUGUACUAGAGGUUGUUUCUUCUCAGAAGCUUUUUUUUCAAAACAAUCAUCAAAUAAAGUUUCUCUACUCUAGCACAACCAAUUCUAUUUCUGGUUCAUUACCUGCAUUUUUAAAAAUAAGUCUACACUAAAUGAAGGAUUGAUAAUUAAAUAUGCAAAUUCACAUUAGAAAUUUUCAUACAUGCAGAAAUGUCUUUUUAUCUGAAUUAAUUACUUUGAACUUCAAAUCAACACUAUUCAUGAAUUCUAGUGCUUCUCUAAUAGAAAUAAAGAAAAUCUAUGUGAAUAAAAAUAAAAGUGGGCAAAGUAGGAAUCAUCCAUUUUUAAGUAUAAAGAAGAAUAAUAGAAUCUUUCUUAAAAAUCUAAAAAAAUUAUGUUGUGGGUUUUAAUUAAGACAGUUUUUUUGUAAGCUAUGAUAUAUUGGUGAUCCAAACAAAAAUUCUGACUUUUUCUGUCUCUCGAAUAUAAACUCUUCUUCUUGUAUAAUACACUUAAACUUUAAGAAUAAAUAAAAUGUAGAGUUAUGUUUAUGUAUGUUUUCACUGUGUUAUGUUUUAAAAUCCUAGAAAGUUAGUUGGGAGUUACUUAUUCUAAGAAGUGAGUUUAUGCCUUAAAUUUUAUCUUAAUACUCAUGAUAAGACGUUUUUGUUUUAUUUCUAGGUAUGUAUUCUAUUCUGCAUAAUUCAAAUAAGUGGAUUUUUUUAUUCUAACUUUUUGUUUACAACACAAUUCACAUGUGCUUAUUCAACUAUUUCUUAAUAUAUUUUUGCCUUGUUAACAUUUUGAAAAUAACCCCAUAUGAACUUACACAAUAAAAAAUGAGAGUGGUCACAAUCAAUACCAGUCUUAUGAAACCUGAAAUAUUGCACCCUAGUAUCUGCUCAUACAUAUCAAUAAUCAACUGAUGGUAUCUAACUGGUAAUUUUCAGGACCCAGACCAAUGUACUAAACAGCAGGGGCUGUAUGCCUCAAACAGUAUCAUGAGCUUAACAAGUUAAAUUGUUUUUUCACAUAAUCAUUCUACACCAGGGUCCCCCGCCCUCACCAAUCCAGUAAUCUCCCCAAAGAUGGAUAACUCCAUAUACACAUAACUAAAUCAUAUUCAAUGAAACUUAAUAAAGAUAUCAACCAUUGGGGUUAAAAUCCACAGAGGGUAAAUUCAUAAAGGUUUUUUUUUUUUUCAAAUGAAAUUUAAGACAAUUGAAAAGAGGGGAUUAGGAUGUAAAUAAUGUAUUUUCCCUACUGUGGUGCAAUAAUAGUACCCUUCCCAAUCCCUCCCUCACCCCACUACACAUAAGUCACAGUGCAAGGAUUAAAGGUAGCAAAAGGGGUAAUACAGUACCCAUAAUAAAGGGCUCAGGGGAGGAACCAGCGCUCCACCCCAUCCAAGUUGGAGCAAGAUUAUCCUAUACAAAAUAGAAAUAUAUAGUUUGUUAUUAGUUAGAAAUCUGAUAUGACAGAACAUUUGGUGUUACUUUUUGUUCAUGAUGCUCUCCGUCUGUUUCCCUAUCCAUUAAGACUUGAGUUCUUUUGAAAAAGAAGGUAUUUAAGAUUUCCUAGGUUAGGAAAUUAAAAAUACAAAUUUAAACACAAAUUUUAUUUUACCCUAGAUAUUCACGACAUCAAUUCACUCAGUUUAAUUUUACAAGUUGAAAAAUUUGGACUGGAAAUUUGAAAUACAAUAAAUGUUUAAAAGCUGUCAGCCAGAAAUGUGCAUAAAACAUGCAAAACACAAAGUGCAACGUGAUGAUAAUUUAUUUGUUACUUUCUAACUUCUUAUCAAGCACUGUACAACAUGCUUUAUUCAGUAAUGUUGCAUAAAAGCACAUGCUUUGAAAAAAUAACAGAACAACAAAAAUAAAAUGAGUGCCUGAGUUACGCUUUGACGCAGCUAUUGUGAUUUUAUGCUGCUAGGGCAAAGAAUUAAAUGAGAGUUUCUGAGCAUGUUCAAAUCUCACUUCCCAAUCAUAAUCAUCAUUCUUAUAUCCAACCUCACCAUCAUUCAUGAUUAUAUUUUUACAAAAUAAAAUAUCCAAACACUAGAAGUAUAAAAAAUAGAAUCAAUUAUAACGUUAUUUUGACUCUACAAUGCCAAACACGUAUUGAAGAGAUUAGUCAUUUUAGUGCUGUGUGUAUGUUGUCAUUAUGAGGAAUAGAGCCAUAUUCAUAAAUCUGACCAUUUAAACUAUUAGUUAUAUCACUAUCAGCAUUUAUAAGGAUUUUAUGUCUAAAACUCCAAGUUUCAAAAACUAACCUCUUUUAAUAUAAAAGGCAUUAUUGAUUAAUAAUUAUAGAUAUGGUUAUUUCUGAGAAAAUUAAAAGUAUACCGAUAAGAUCAGCUUUUUUAUAGAAAUGAAGUGUAAUGUAUGGAAAUAUCUGAGCACUUGACCAAUGAAUUUAAUAAACUUUCAAAUGGUCAAAUGUAAAAGGUUUAUAAUAUUUUCAAAUGUUUAGCAUUGUUCAGAUUUCACAAGCCAUAUAAAAUAUAUUAUUUUGAUUCAGGCAACAUGUUUUCAAGUAGAAUGUACACAAAUGACAUUUUUUUUCUCCAGAACUGAAACUGCCAGUCUGAAACAAAACAAAGUGACAUUUAAUUGGAAAACAGACUUAAUUCUUAUACACCCCAGAGAUAAUUUCUGUUAACAUUUUGGUGAAAAUUUGAGGCUCUCUGUGAGAAAUAAAAGAGGACUACUUGUAUUAUAUUGUUCUGAGUUGUCGAUAAUGAGGACAAAGUUUUCAUAUAUGUUAGGGAAAUCGAAGACAAGUCCUACGUUCUUACAAAGUGACAUUUAUAAUAAGACUUGAGAAGAGAACAUAAGGCUAUAAACAAUCUACAAAGUGCAAAUGGAAGUCUACAAUACAGCUUAGUUUCCAUAAAAGUAACUACACCUUAGGAGGUGAAAGAGCAGUGUUUUUCUAUUGGAAUCACACAAUUCAGUGUUUUGUUUUGAUAAUAUUUUUUUUUAAAAAAAAGCAGAACUAAUUUUUUAUAUUAUAUAUCUAUAAACUAAUGCUUCAUGCCGUAAAAAAAGGCAUGGAAAAUAAGUCAAUAAUGGCAAAAUUUCUAAUCUGUUAUGCAUGAUGGAAAAUGAUUAUUGCAUCUUUGAAAAGGAUAAAAUAACAUUUUGUGUGACUCUGACCAAUAAGAUGCAAGUUAAGGUUAAUGUAUAAAUUACCUAUAGUAAUGAGUCAAAAUUAUAUUUUCUGUUCAUUAUAAGUGUUUUACUUUAUUGUUAUAAAAAUGAUGUGGAUUUGUAUGUAAUCUUUAAGUUAGUAUUACUAGUUUUAUAAAUUCAGUCAACACUUAAUAUCUAACCAUCUAAUCUUGAAUAUAUUCAAAUAAUGCAAACUUUGGCAUUAUACAGACAAAAGUUUUAACAACUCCUUUCAUUUUUUUCUUAACACUCAUACUUAGGCACAUGUGUGAUUCACAUUAUUUUCAGGAAAACUCGUUAAGUACAGUAUAUCAUCACAAAGAAUAAGUACCUGAUAUAGAAUUUACUUUAGAUUACCAUUAUAUCAUUACACAUAGUACUUUAAUAAUGCAUCAGCUUUUUUUUGUAUAUAGAUUUGUAAGGAAACUCCCAAGAUGGAUUAGGAAAUAAAGUCAUUUAAAUAAGCACAGCAGAUAAAUGAUAUUAUAUCAUUUCAAGAGAGGCCUAUUUCUCUUGCAUAUCACCUAGAAGUAAAUAUGCAACAGAUAAAACAAUAAAGUAGCAAUUUUGCAAGAAUUUGCCAUUCCUUUUGCAUGCAUAGAUUUUCCUUUUUCUAAAUUUAAUUUAGUUUAAUUUUGGCUAUAUACAAUACUUCAGGUUCUUUCAUUUUUCUUACCCUCAUCCCUUCAAAUCGAGAUAAGGCUCUUAGAGGUCUCAGAGCUCUUAGUGUCCUGAGAGAUUUGAUGGCUCCAAGUUCUGAGUAACCCAAGGCAUUUGCUGUUAAACUGACCAAUGAAACCUGCACACACAAAAAUAAUAACAAUUAAUAAACAGAAUCAUCAUUCAAUGUGUAGUUGCUAUAUAAUACAACAAGUAUAAUUUUUGCUUAUAAUUAUUCAGAGGAUAAAUGUUCAGACAUUUUCAGUAAACCUUUAAAAAAUUAAAGAAAUAAUUUCAGUUUGAUGUAAAGGAUGUAAUUUUUAGGACA
RNAcentral lists this long non-coding RNA (220253 nucleotides) under Homo sapiens (human). RNAcentral's name for it is "long non-coding RNA NONHSAT183033.1". The stretch from base 24474 to 24529 matches the Rfam family "mir-1302 microRNA precursor family". The record is from RNAcentral. Lineage: Eukaryota; Metazoa; Chordata; Mammalia; Primates; Hominidae.